Molecule: long non-coding RNA, 186464 nt
Filed under: Vitis vinifera (wine grape)
Lineage: Eukaryota; Viridiplantae; Streptophyta; Magnoliopsida; Vitales; Vitaceae
Description: long non-coding RNA (VVIN_LNC006487)
Rfam family: Bacterial large subunit ribosomal RNA (bases 58079-58506)
Source: RNAcentral
UGUAAGCCACCUGCAAGCAUAGUAGCCUGAUGAAGCUUCUCAUGCUUGACAUAGGCAUAUGCACCGUGGAGAUUAGGAAGAGGAUCCUACCUUAAUACUUGUACCCUAAUCUGAUCAGAACUUGGGUCAAGGCCAGCUAGAAAACCAUAGUCCCUCUUGUUCUCAAUCUCUUGUUUAGUUUUCCUGUAUCCAAAACACACCAUAUCACAUGGUUGAGAAAAUCAAGCUCCUAUUAAAUAGCCUGAAGAGCAAACAAAUAGCUAGUCAAUGUCUUCCCCUGUGUCUCUUCUCAUGUGGCCUAUGCCUAUGUUCCUAGAUCUAAGAAGCAUCACUCCAUCAAAAUAUGUUUGAGCCACAACAUCCCAAAUAGCAUGAGCUGUAAGAUGUUGAAGAAAAGUAGUACUAAUAUUCGAAGUCAUCAAAUUAAGAAGCCAUCAUAUGAACAUGACAUUCUCCUUCACCCAAGUAGAGAAGGAAGGAUCAGAAAUAGCUGGUUGUUUCUCCUAUCGCGUAUACAACUUUCCCUUUUUUUAAUAUGCAGCUUCAUGAACUAGGACUAGGCGAAGUAAUUCUCAUCAAGUUUUUUAGAAGACAUUUGCACAUUCAUGUUAUCAUGUUGAACUGUCACAGCCAAAGGAAUUAGUGGUGGUGCUAUACCAGAACCAGAAAUUGUUGACACCAAUUUGGACACAAUUCUUUAUGUGAAGGCAGUUCCAAAUUUAAAAAACAAGGAUGGGAUGCCAAUGGAAAUAGGUUAGCAAUAAUAGCUCAAACCUAACAAUCACAGAAAUUGCUUUGAUACCAUGCUGAUUUAGAGAGAGAAACUGCUGAUUUUUUACUUCAUAACUUGUACAAGUAUAUAUAUUAAAACUAUGCAAGGAAGAGUCUAAACCAAAUCCCUACAAUCUGCUCCUAAGUUAUAACAAUCAUAAUAAUUAAUGAGAUUCUUAAAAUAAAGGAGCUAAAAACCUAUUCCUUACAAAUAGAAAUUAUAAUUAUAAACCCUUAAAAUAAAGGGGCCAAAUAUGAACAAUGCUUUAAAAGGGUAUUGAGCCUCAAGGUGAGACUCUACAAAUUAGCUUUAAUGCUAUAGACUUAGGGUAAUCGAGGCUUCAACCUUACUUAGUCGAAGCUUACAUUCUUAAGCCUUUAGCCUCAAGAUUGUUGAGGCUUAAGCCUCAAAUAUUCAAAGGGUUUUAUAAGCCUCAAUAUUCGUUGAUUUUUAAUGGUUCUAUGCUUUUGUGAGAUUUUGGUUUAGAUUUUAUGAGUUUUGUUUUAUGUCCAUGAUUAGAUUAAACUUUUUACAAAAUAAGAGGAGCUUAGUUGACUUACAAUUACACCUUCAAAUGGAAGGGGGAAAGGUGAUUGGGAAGAAGACAUAGUGGAAUCAUUGACUGCUUUUCUGGCUAUCAUAUAUGAUUGUGAUCAUAUUACUGAAGGUAAGGAAAACUAUUGCUACAAUUGAUGGAUGAAGAAGAACAAUGAGCGGACAUUAACUCUAAUGGGAAGAUAAUACAUCUAGUUUGAUAAAAAAAAAUGAUAAUACAACAACUAGAUAUGAUCAUGAUUCCUUAGAGGAUCCUACAAAGUGAUAGUGAUGGUAGUGCUAAAGAUUGUUUGAUAAAACCAUGAGAAAGUUAAAUUUUAAAAGAGAGCAAAAAGAACUAAUUUAUUUGAUGAUUAAAUAAAGAUAUUGUACUUUCCAUUAGCUUUUUAUUUGACGACCUCACAUUUAUCCUUUCCACCAAUUUGGACAUGAUUUGGGUCAUGGGUUAUUGAUUGGGUCAAACUUGAUCAAAUUCCCAAUGAUUUCAAAGGUUUCAAACUCCAUAUUGUUUUAGAAGAAGAUUUGUAUAGGCAAAUCAUAAUAUAAAGUGGCUUGGGUUAUAGUAGAACAAUGAAGGAUAUGUUUUGUGGAGAAAAAUUGUAUUUCUCAUUCAUAUCUUAAAAGUGUAUAAUCUUACAGUUUUUUUUUUUUUUGAUUGGAAACGACAAAGGAAUAUAUUGAUAGAAAAAAGAAGUACAAGAGAAGGAUGAGGAAUCCUCCCACCAAAGAAAACUAAACUACAAGAAUACGAAAACAAGAAAAUACAAUGUAAUAAUGAACAAACUCUCUAGACUAGACCAAGCCAAAGGAAUUACACACUGCUAGCCAAUCAAGUUGUAACACAAUAAGGGGAGUCCCCUUAAAGACCUUGGAACAAAAAGCCCAAAGAGAAGUAAUGAAAUGAAUAGAAUCCCAAAGAUUCUCUGAAUUCCUUGUUUUAUCCUAAAAAAUCCUUGCAUUUCUUUCCCGCCACACAACCCAAAUUAAAGUUAUGCAUGCAGCUUGCCACAAAACUAUCCCUCUCUUAGAUAAACCAAAACCAUUGUAAUUGAUGGACAGCAUGUCGGAAAUGCUCCUCGGGGGAACCCAAUCUGUCUUGGCUAACUAAAAUAAUCUGUGCCAUAACCCUAUCGUUAAAGAACAAUGUAGGAAAAAAUGAUCUGUUGAUUCUCCAUGCCUCAUGCACAACUUACAAAUAUCAAGACUAAGAGCUUUGUAGGAUCUUCUCAAUUGUAGCAAGUCAUUAGUAUAUCUUCUUGUGUGCCACCAACCAGACAAAGGACUUGACUUUGAAAGGGACUUGAGAAUUCCAAAUGAACUUAGUAGGGAAAACUGGAGGAGAACCAGAACAUUGGGAUAAGGCUAGAAAGAAAGAUUUGACUGUAAAAAGCCCUGAAGAAGAUAAAGACCAGGAUCUCGCAUCUGAAACCAAAGAUGACAAAUGCAAACAAUCAAGUGACCGCAUGAGGCCUUCUAAAUCUUCUAUCUCAGAAUCGGAUAGGUUGCGGCAAAAAUUAAAGUUCCAAGAUAAGGGACGAGUAGAUAUGAGAAUUGAAGAAAUAGGAAUAUUUUUAUCCAUGAAUACUCUAAAUAGUCUUGGAUAUUGGGAUCCCAAAGGUUGGCCCCCCCACCACAAGUCUUCCUAGAACCGAAUUCUUUCCCCAUCUCCUACCACAAACCGAGUAAACUUGUAAAACUCCUGAAAGACUUGUGCAAUAGCCUUCCAAGGACAACGAUAUGAUCAUCUGACUAUAGUGUUGGCAUCCCAACCAUUAGAGUGUGAUCUUUAAUAUAUAAGCUUACAAUUAUAUACAAUAACAAAAAGAAAGAAUAAGGAAAGACUUGGAAACUACCAUAUUAAAGAUUCCUACAAAUUAGGGAUUAUAUACACAAAUAGACCCAAAUAUAUAUUACAACUGUGGAAGAUAUACGACUGUGUAUACAACUGUAAUAAUCUUCAAAUACAACUGUGUAUAUGACUGUAACAAGUUGUACUAAUCUUCAACAGAUAUUAUUCAUUCCCAACUUGAUAAUGAUUUCUUGAGACCGGACAUUAGCUAAUCCUUUUGUUAAGACAUCGACUAAUUGACUUCCAGUGGACACAUAUGGUGUGCAGGUUAAGCCACUGUCCAACUUUUCCUUAAUUAAAUGUCAGUCUACUUCCACAUGUUUGGUUAUGUGAUGUUGUACUAGGUUAUGUGCAAUGUUGAUGGCUGACUUAUUGUCGUAAUAAAGUCUCAUCGAUGUCUCCCACUUAAUCUUCAAGUCCUCCAGGAUAAUCUUGAGCUAGAGCAACUCAUAGAUUCCUUGAGCCAUUGCACAAAACUCUGCUUCUGCACUAGAUCUUGCAACAAUGUUCUGUUUCUUACUCCUCCAAGUUAUCAAGUUCCCUCCAAGAAAAGUAUAAUAUCUUGUAGUAGACCUUCAAUCAACAACUGAUCUUGCAUAAUCUGCAUUAGUAUAAGCCUCCAGUGAUAGCUCAGUGCUUUUCUUAAACGAAAUUCCUUUCCUUGGAGUUGCUUACAGGUACUGUAGGAUUCUAUAUACAACUUGGAGAUGAACUUUCUUUGGGUUAUGCAUAAAUUGACUCACAAGGCUGACUGCAUAGGCUAUGUUUGGUCACGUAUGUGAGAGGUAGAUUAGCUUGCCAAAAAAUCUUUGGUACAUACCUUUGUUUAUAGCUGCAUCCUUACUUGCUUCUCUAAGCUUGCGAUUCAGAUCAAUAGGUGUAUCGGUCGAUUUACUUCUUGUUUUUCCUAUCUCCUGCAAUAAGUCAAAAACAUACUUCUGUUGGGAGAAAAAUACCCUUUUUUGAGUAAGCCACUUCAAUUCCCAAGAAAUACUUUAGUCUUCCAAGCUCCUUUAUUUUGAACUCUUUUGCUAAACACCGGUUCAAUGCUUCUCUUUCUUCAAGAUCAUUUCCGGUCACUAUUAUAUCAUCCACGUAAACCAUUAUGACAGUUACUCCCCCUAAGGCCGAGUGUUUAACAAAUAAGGUGUGGUCAUUGUGGCUUUGUUUGUAGUCAACAAUUGUCAUGACUUAAGCAAAUCUUCCAAACCAAGCAUGUGGAGAUGGUUUUAGCCCAUACAAAGCUUUCUUCAAUUUAUAUACCUUUUUUCCUUUAAAGUGCAUAUUAAAACUAGGUGGAAGAUCCAUAAAAAUUUCCUUUUUGAGCUCUCCAUGUAAGAACACAUUUUUCACAUCAAACUGUUGUAAUUCAUAGUCAAAUUGGGCAAUUAAAGAGGGUAAAACUCUCAUAGUGUUCAUCUUGGCUACUGGUGCGAAAGUCUCAUGGUAAUCUAUUCCAUAUGUCUAAGUCCUCUUCACCCUCACACCAAUAACAUCUACUUGGAAGAUACCGACCCCUCCUUUUUAGUUAAUCUAGAGUUUGAAUUUUUUCCUAAUUUGCUUCCCAAGCAAAAAGGUUGACUCUCAUCAACACCAAUGGGUUCCACAGAAUGCUUGUGGGGAAUCCUUUUGGGAAGCAACAUGCUAAGGAGGCAUAGUAAGAUUUAACUGAAAAGGUGUCUCCCUUUGAUAACCGCCAAACCAUAACAUCCUCUACACCUUCUUUGACCACUUGCCCUUGCAACCUUUUAAGCAACUUUUCCACCUCUUUCAAUUCCCAAUCGUUUAUCUAUCUUGUGAACAUUGGAUUCCAACAACUUGCUUCCCCAAUCCAUUCACGCAUCUGAUCUACCUAGGUUUCUUUAUUAGUGGUUAUUGAGAACAACUUAUGAAAAGUCACACCCAAGGGUUCCUCCCCACACCACCUAUCCUUCCAAAACCUCACCCCCCUACCAUUUAAAAUAGAAAGUAUAAUUAAUGUUUAACUUAUUCAUGACCUGCAAAAGGAAGAAGAUAUCAUAGAUGUAAUUUAUUUAUUAUUGUGCAAGGAUAUGGUAUGGUUUGAGUGACAAUUUCUGAAACUUAUCCACUUUAUACCAUUUUUUUAUUCUUAUGAAUAAAUACAAUUCUUUCUUAACUAUUUUUAAUUUAUUAUUUAAGUUGUAAUGGGAAAAAAGGGGUAACAAUAUAACAUUAAUUUAACUAACAUGUAGUACUAGCCGGUGACUCAAAAUGUGACCCUAAGCUUGUAGUACCAUCUCUCCACGCGAUUAUGAGGUGCGUCAGAUGCAAACCAAUGAAAAGAAAAUAGUGUGCCUCGAGGGUUUGACACCUCCACCCACGAGACACACACGUGGAGCUCAGUCUUUUGCUUGUCUACAAAUGGAACCUCUUUCUCUCUCUUGAAAGAAAUAACAAAGUAGAACCGGUGAGAAAGUGAAGGAAAGUUUGAGAAAUAGAGAAAGAAAGAGAGAGAGAAGGGCCUUCGAUCUCUACAUCCCCGACCAUGUCGCUAUCCAUGAAUGCCCCCUUUGGAGGUUCAAGUUCUUCGGUGGUGAGCCCUACCGAAGCUCAGAUGAACAAGGAUCAGAAGAUGGCAUCUGCUGAGAGUUUGGUUCUUGAACUUAUCAACCCCGAUCUUCGUGAAAAUGCUUUGCUUGAACUCUCUAAGGUAGGAUCAUUCUCUAGAUUCUGAUUCAAAUGACAUCGUUCUGUUUUGGUUUGAUUUUCUUUAUUAUUUUUGUAUGUUAAGGUUUGUUUGGUUGCUGAGAAAUUGGGGGGCAUUGAAUGAUAAUUAAGAUUCUUAAUGGAAGGUGUGGUUGAAAUAGUUGUGGUGUGAUUCCAAUUUCUUUUCUUCUCAGCAGUGAAACUGGACAUUCAGCUUUGAAUCUCUAAUGGGGAUUUUGGUUUAGAAACUGUAUUAAUCAUGGAAAGAAAUUUUUUUUAAAUGUUAAUUUUGUUGUUUUUGUCUUUAAUUAUUAAAUAGCUAUGUUUAGUAGAUGAGAUACUUUGGGUGCAGAGAAAAACCAAGGCAAAGGUAAAAAAAGGAAUUUUGAGUCUUGUGUGCUUUGUUGUAUUAAUUUCCAAAGAAAAGGAAACAUAUGAAUGAAGCUAAAUAGUUGUUAGACUCGACUGAAUGGAGAUCUUUAGUCUUCCUAUUACCAGGCAAAAUUUUAAGAUUCCAAAUGCUAGUUUCUUUCUCUUUUCCCCAGUAAAAAUGUGAAGUAUUUGGUGAAGCAUUUUAAGCAUGCUUUUAUAUGUUUUAUGUUGGUGGAAAAAUGUGUUUGGAAGGGUUUUUUGUUUUUUUUUUUCCCCUUUUUUUUGGAGUUGAAUUAAAUUAUUCUUUUGUUUUUCCAGUUAGUCUUUUGGCUUUUCGGAAUCAGAGGAGCCUCCAAUGGGGCACCUAUUACCUUUGAUUUUGUAUUGUUUUGUUCUUAAGUUUUGGGAACUCGGAGCAGCAUAAAUGACAUGCAAACUGGUAAAAUAGGCACACAUUGUUGGUUGUGGCUUUUGAAGUUACAUGUGAUCUCUGCUAUUUGAUUUUUGAUGGUUUUACCUCGGUUAAAUGAAUUCAUGGGCACAAAAAAUUGUGAUGAUGCAUUGUUAAUGGGUUAUGGAUUAUGGUGCGGUUUUUGUCCAUUACUUUGAGAAUUCUAGCAAGGUUUCCUGUGAGCUUAUUGGACGAGAAUGGUAAAAUGAGCUGGUUGCUACUCUUGAAAUGGUAAGGAUAGGAUAUCUGGAUAGGAUAUCAAAAGGCAUUUAUUCUGAUGGGUGGCAGGGGGUUUCCUCCUUGUCCAAAAUUCUACACUAGAUGAAGGCCUUACCAGUGGGUUGCACCUCUACUUUCAUGUAUUAUUCAGUUUUGUGGCUGUAAUUGCCCAUGUUUUGUGCAGGUUCUAUGUACAUUUGCCAGUAGGCUUUGAGUAUCCAUUCCACAAGUCCUGUUUUCUUCCAUCGCUAUCAAUUGGAUUGUUUUGUGCAAUUAUUGUGCCAUUUUUUAACCUUUUAUCCCUCCCUGAUUUAGGGCUUUGAUUAACUCUUGCUUCUUCUUGCAUAGUGUCUCAAGUUCUCUCGUUGUGAUCGAUUUAGGCCAUUCAUUUUCCAAGUUUGUUCCACUGAUUUCCUUAUAUUGUUUGAAAAAAUUCUUUUGGUUGCACAGGUUUGGCUGCAUGGAUUGUUGUGGCCUUCUUGUUGCCUCGCAGAUUUUUCUUUUGCUCUUCAUUUUAGCAUUUUUUUGCAUAUUGUAUACACCAUUGUGCAUUUGUCACAUUCAGAAAACUGUUUCCUUGUCAGUGCCUUGCUACCUAGAUUUGGUUUAAUUGGAAUGCUUUUGGUACCUAACAAAAUAAUUGGUCUCCCCAUGUUAACAUGCCUUGCCCUAAUUGUACUGAUAGCAUCAGUUUUUCCCUUGUGAAUAAUGAAAGACAUUGAAAAUGGGUUACGUGGUGCAUAUGUAUAUAUAAACACCAAAAAGAGCACCAGUGAUGAUCACCAAAAAGGAAAAGACUUACAAAAUGUUGUAUUAGAGAUAAAGUUACAAUUUGAGGCUCAAGGGAGGCAAAGAGCAAAAAGGGUUAGCACAGAUGGCUGUUAACACCGAGUCCAUAUUUAUCUGCUUAUUUUACCUAUAAAAAAAAAAAACCCACUCCAUAUUCUUCAACCCCUCAAAACAUCUUCUAUUCUACUCUUUCCAAAUAGAUUACAUCAAGCAAGGAGGUGCCAUCCUCCCAAACCUCUGCAAAACUGCUUAUAUUUCCUUAACUGACAUAGGGAGCAUGCUCAAAACUCCAAACAAAGAAAACACCAAAUACCACAAUUGCAGGCUAGUCUGCAAUGAAUAAUAAUGUAAUUUGCUGGUUCCUUAUCCUGCUUAGAAAGGAAACAUCAACCAGCUAAAGGUCAUCCCUGUUCCUUAAGCUGGUUCAAUAUGAGGAUUUCAUCCCAAACUGGCCCUCAAGUCCGAGGAUGUUGAUGGAAUCCAAACCUUCUUCAUUUGAAAGGAGCCCUGCUGUACUGAAUUGAAGCAGAUAAAAAACUGAAUCAAUAAUUUGCCAUUCUUUGCUGACCACCAGCCUAUCUUGUCUGAGCAAUUACCCUCAAAGUUACAGCCUGAACACACUAAUAUUAUUAUGUUAGUGUGCGUGUUAAUGUGUAGCAUAUAUGUGUAUGUACUUGAGAUGUUCUCUUGAUAGUAGAGAAUGGAACACAUGUUUUUCAACGUUGUGCACUAUGGGAAUAGCCAAUACAGAGAAGUUCAAGCUAAGGCCUUGAACUCAUGCUGCUACUCCCAAGGGGUGUGGAUCAGGCAGCUAUUGCUGCAGGUCAGGUGUUUGAAUUUUCUGUAUAUAACUACAUUUACUUUAUCACAGUCAUCAUCCAAGAGUUACUUCACUCAAAUGUUCAACACUUCAGGACAUUUGGCUAAAUGUUGGCAUUCUUAUAUGCUUACUGAUGGGUGUAUAAGCUAUCAAUGGCUUAUUUGUUUAUGGUUGUGUAAUGUCUUCAUUGGCAUGUGAUGCAGCUGGCUCCAUGUACUUGCACAAAUAUAAUGAAAUUAAGUAGAAUUUGUUUGUUUCAACUGCAAACUAAUUAUGGAAACACUAUGGUAUCUUUCUGCUGUUUGUUGUUGUGAACUGUAUGACGUAAUUCCAAAGGAACAUGAAAUUGACUUGUUGGUCCCAAAAAUGACUUACAAACAAUUCUUCUGGACUUUUCCCAGAAAUAAAAACCUUAGAACUUUUAUGGAUCAGUAAAAGAAUGGAUUGAAAAAGUUUUGCAUGUAAGACUCAAGGUAUUGGUUUUGCAUGUAAAACCAUUAUAAUGAUUCAUAAUAUUUUUAUGCUGAAACAAGUGGAGCCCUCUUUUGCCAUGUAGACUUACAUGAAGUAAAGCUGAGUAGUUAAAUCUGCAAAUUUAUGUAUAGGCGUAGCCAUUAUAUUGAUUUUUUAUUUAAUAUGCAUAAGCUUAUUGAGCAUUUGAAGUACAAUAGAAUUUGCAAAUAAGUUUAGAUACAUGUCUAGCACUAUUCUCACAUCUAUAUUUGACCUACCUGACUUUAUAACUGCUUUAAAAUUUCAAAGAUUGUUCUAUUUUUUUUAUUUUUUUUAUUUUGACAUUCUUACGUGUUAGCCAAUUCAAGAUAUCUCCUGAUACCAUUGGGUACAUCCAACUUAAUUAUUUAGAAAUCAUUCUACAAGGAUGGUUAUCAUGCCUUGAAGCUUGUUCCUUGUAGUCCUUUUCUAAUUUUCUUUUUGGGCAAAAUCAAUACCGGAUAGUACUGUUUCUUAUUUUCAAAAUGAAUUUCUAGAGAUAAGCGAAUGCUUUUGUUUUUUACUGGAUAAAUUCAUAUAUUCUACUCUCUUUCUUUUCUUAAGUGGUUUUGGUAAUACCUUUGGUUCCGGAUUUUUGCACUACAAUUAUAAACUCGUGUCUGCCCUUGAUUUUAUUUUUAGAACAAGGAAUUAUUUCAAGAUUUGGCUCCUUUCGUGUGGAAUUCUUUUGGUACUAUUGCUGCACUCAUACAGGUAUGCCUAAUAAACUUGUUUUGGUUUUUUGUUCUUUCUUUAGAAGAGAGAAUUAUUUCAAGAUUUGGCUCCAUUAUUGUGGAAUUCUUUUGGUACUAUUGCUGCACUAUUGCAGGUAUGCUCUAUACAGUUCAUGACAGUACUUGAUUCAGUUUCCUUUUUGCUUGCUAUAUCAUUUAAUGUGCUAGCUUCCUUUAUUGUGCUUUUACUGUCAUAGAAUAUUUGCUAAGUAGUUGAUAUCUGGCGUGAUUCUGAAAUUGUAAUCUGAAAUAGGUAAGAAUGGAUAUGCAUCAGUGGGGAGGGCAGAUAUGGGAAAUAAAGUUAAAGCAUUUUUUUUAUCUGGUUUUAAAUUUCUUUGUACUCCUUUAAUGUCUCAAUAACUUAGAAAAUGGUAAAGCUGUGCCCUUGCUUAGGUAGCAUUAGGUUAAUUCACAUGUUUCAAUUUUAUUUUAUUAUUAUUAUUAUUAUUAUUAUUAUUAUUAUUAUUUGUAUUUAAGAUGCUCACUCUAUCAUUGUUUUUUUUUUUUUCCUUGAACUGGAAAGACUCAACUUUGUUUCUAAUUUGGAAGUUCUCUUGUUUGUAAGUCAGGUUGGCUAUCAAGUUUUCUCUUACUUCAUUGCCCUUGGAAUUCUUAUUAUGUGCAGGAGAUAGUUUCAAUUUAUCCUGUUCUAUCACCACCAAAUCUAACUCCAGCACAAUCAAAUCGGGUCUGCAAUGCACUUGCCCUUCUCCAGGUCAAAUAUUUUUUCUUAUUAAGUUCCCUGUUAUAGCAUUUUUGUCAAAAAAAAAUUUCCAUACAUUUUAUUUAUGUUGCACUUGUCAUUGUAAAGUCAGCUCCUUGAAAAAUUGCCCUUAAGACUGAAGUGCUGUUGGUUCAUUAUUGUUUCAAUAGAGUCAAAUCUGUCAAAAUGUUUAAUGAUUUUGGUCUUCACCUCAAACAUGGGGGAGUUAAUUGCUUAACAUAAUUAGUGUCCUAUUUGACAACUUUUGACAGUGUGUGUGCCUGUCUGAGUAAGAGAGAGCACUGAUCCUUGAUGUUGAGGUGAUUGGUGGUUCAAUUGUGGACAUUGGCUGGUGGCAAUUGGAGUUGCCAAGUAUAUCCAAAGUUAACAUAUAUGAGUUUGAUAGACUUCUUCUGUGUACGGUUGUUCUUUGGAUAUAUGAAAUCAAACUAAGAAUUUAGAACCCCUCCAUUCCCAGUGCAAUCCUUUGCCACCCGAGACAGACCUCUAGGGCUUGCUAUACUUCAUUUUGUAUUGAUAUUGGUUUAGCAAAUACAUCUGAGCCAGAAGCUUAAUUUUCUUUUAUCAGAGUAUACUUGGUUGUAAGCAAUGUUUUCAGAACCGGACCGGUCAUUGAACCGGAAAAGUUACCGGUUCACGGUUCACCGGUCGGACCGGCGGUCGAACCGCUAUCGAACCGGUGACGUCAUAAAUAUAUAUUUUAUUAUUUUAUAUAUUAUAAAAAAUUAAAAAAUUAAUAAAUUCUAUGUAAAUUUUGACAGCAUCUACUUUGUUUGUUGAGUUUUGUCACAAAUUUUUUUACCUAUAGAAGUCAUCAAUUAUCAUAUAUGAUAUCUAUAACACAAUAUAAGAUGUUAUACAUUCACAAUGUCAAUAAACUCAAUAUUUAUCAAAUAAUCAAACCAUUACUAUCCUAUAAUAACCAAAUUAUCAAAGAGUCGUUAACUUAACACAUUGUCCAUAAUAAAUAAUACAAAUGUCAACCAUAGGUCCACAACACUUAACUAAUUACUCAAAAUAAAAAUAUAACAUAUCAAUGUUUGAAUAUUCAUGAAGUUUUUUGCAUACUAAUAAAUAUAAAAUUCAUGUCUUCAUUCAUUUUGGAAAUUGGAAUAUGGAGAUUGAACAUAAGCAUUUGGAAAACCAAAGUUCUCCACAUCAAGCCCUUCUAUAGCCACGUCACCACCAUCCUCAUCAUCUACAAAAAUAUUGAAUAUAUAUCAACAAUAAAUCAUUUUUAAAGAAAAAAAAUAUAAUUAUUGAACUUUUAUAAGUUUAAAUAUUUUACUAACCAAUGUGAGAACUUGAACCUUUCACUUCAUUUAUUGGAAUUGACCCUUCUUCAUAUAGAAGAUUUUCCAAUUCUUCAACAUCUAACUCUGCUGGUUGAUCAUCAUCAAUUACCCAAAAAUCGGUCUCAUCAAUGCAUGCAUAGUCAAUUGGAUCAUAGAUUCUUUUCUUGUUAUAGAACCUAAAAAAAAAAAACAUAUAAUUAUUCAUAAUUGUGAAUAGAAGAAUUUAAAUUCAAAACAACUAAGAAAUCAUUUAUACCGAUUUUUUAGGCGCAAAUUAUAAUGAACGUAUACAAGAUCAUUAAGCCUUUGAUGUUCCAAUCUAUUCCUUCUUUUGGUAUGUAUACGUUCAAAGACACUCCAAUUCCUCUCACAUCCAGAAGACGAUGCGGUUUGGCUCAAUAUUAGAAUGGCUAACUUUUGCAAAUGUGGUGCACUGUAUCCAUGUAGCCUCCACCAUUCAUCUAAUUACCAUUUCACAUUAAAAAUAAGAAAAAAAUAAAACACAUUAGCAAGUUUAAAAUAUUAAAUAGUAAGUAGGUAACUAAUAAAGAAGAAUAAACAUACUAAUAAAUGAUAAUAAUAUUUUACCAGGUUGAAGUACUUCACGUGAAGAAUAAGCAAGUUCUCUUCCAAAACUUCCCAAUCGAUCACGAAAUAACUUCAUUUCAUUCAUUGUUUCAAGCUUGCCUUUCAGAACUUUCUGAUCAAUAACAUCCAUGACACCUCCAAUAACAUUUGGCUUAUUACAAAAGUUUUCCUGAUCAUAUUGGAAACAUGGAUUCAACCAAUAAGCUGCUGAAUGAAUGUUUUUCUUUAGUUGUUGAUCCCAACGUUGCUUUAUGAUCUCCGUAUAAGGCUUGUAUAGUCUUUUGUUGUAGUUAAACAAUUUCUUGAUGCCCAAACGAACCCUAUACAUGCCUUCAUACACAUAUCCCAUCGAAGGCCUCUCAUCACAAUCAACAAUACGCAAUAAGCGCAUUAGUGGAGACAUAAGAUUCACAACAAUCAAACAAUCAUUCCAAAAUCUAUUAUCCAAGAUGAUGGAAACUGCAACUUGGCUUUUAUAAUCCUUUGAAUAUCUAGAGUCCACAAAGAACUUACUAGUCACCAAAGCUUGCAAGUCAUGUUUAUGAUCAUGAAGACUCUUGAGUGCAAUGAAAGUAGUAGCAAAGCGAGUUGCACCAGGUCGCAGAAUCUCUGUCCAUCCUUCCCUUUUUCUCAACCAACUUAACAAAGCAACAUGAUUAUACACAAAAAUUGUCACCUUUGAUGCACGUCUUACAAGUUCAGCAACAUGGUCCAUCUUACCAAUAUCCUUAAAGAUCAAAUUAAGACAAUGAGCUGCACAAGGUGACCAAUUAAUGUGUUUAUGCUUCUGAGAAAUCAAUCUCCCCGCGGCCACAUAAUUUGCUGCAUUAUCAGUGACCAUAUGAACUACAUUGAGUGGACCAACCCAUUCAAUCACCUCAUCAAAUAACUGAAACAAAUUAGUUGCAUCCUUGACAAUGUCUGAAGCAUCAACGGAUUUCACAAAUGAUAUUCUUUCAGGACAAUACACAAGGAAGUUGAUGAGUGUUCUUUGUCUAUUAUCUGUCCAACCAUCACCCAUUAUUGUACACCCAACUUUUGCCCAAAUUGCACGAUAAGAGUCCACAAGUAACUGAACUUCCUUCUUGGCAUCCUUUAAAAGAUUAACCCGUAGUUGAUGGUAAUUUGGACCCUUAUAUCCAGGACCAAUUGCAGAUAUAGCAUCCAACAUUGGCUUGAAGUAGAAGGAAUUCAUUGCAUUAGUAGGAAUGCAUGCAUCAUAAAAGAAUCUCUCAACCGCCAUAUCCGCUCUCCAAAUAGCUUAUUUCCCAGCUAGUACACUCCUCAUGGAAGGUUGAGCUCCUUGAGUAUUUCUUGGUGCAAAAUACUUAUCCACUGUUGAUUUUUUCCUUUUUCCACUAUUAGCUGCCAUAGGACUUUGCAUUUGUUGAACCUCUUCUUCACCUUUUGCCCCAUCCCCUUCAAAUUGUGACACAUUAGGACCAUAAGGAUUUCUACAUUCAUAUGCUUCUUGGGCUGCUUUCUUAGAAUUCACAAACUCUUGCAAAGAAUUUUCCAUUCGAAAUUUUACAUCUGGAGGAACCGAUUUACAUGGACCAAUAUCUCCUUUCACUCCAGCAAGAUGUUGUUUCAUUCUAUGAAUACCCCCACCUUUUGUAAUCUUUUUACAAUACAAACAAAUAAGAGCUUUCCUUCCAUUUGCAUAUCUUUCUUCAGAAACAUGCUCCCAUGCAAGAUCGAUCUUACUUCUAGUUGAUUGAGAAUUGGUAGUUGAAUCUUGACCAGAGGAUGGAGUCAAGUUUGAUUCCAUUUUUUAUUUCUCUAUCAAAUUACUGAAAUUAGAAACAAAAAUCUCACAUUAACGUAGAGAAUGGAAGUCAUCAACCAUUUAAUGAUUUAUAAUCAAGUCAUCAACAAUUUAUAACAAUCAUAUAUCAAUUGGUAAAUUUAUCUAAAGGAACAACCGUCAUUAUAACAAGCAUGAGAUAUGUCACAUUCCAAGUGUGUCAAUUAUUGUGCAUCAAAACAACUAAAGCAUCAUGGGCAUAGACCCAAUAGAUUAAGGCCCAUAAUGCUUGCUUAAUUCAGAAGAUGCUCAAACCAUGUGGUUUGGAGAUUUCUUAAUGCAAAUUAAAGCUCCAGCCAGUAAAGCAUAUACAUCCUGGAAACCACCCAGAAGGAUUGAAUUUUUGAAUUUGAAUUUUCCACUUUAGAGAAAAAGAAUUGAGCUUCACUUGUUGCAUGUUGGUUUGUCACCGUUAAGGAUACCGCAAAAAAAAGAUCCGUUUUUAUAUUUUUUUAGGUUACUUCACAGUAGGAUUCCCACUACACCAAUUGGGAUAUUGAUUAAUUAAUUGCUACUUUAAAAUUAAUGAAGAUAGCAAGCAGAAGGAAGUGGGCACUUCCCACAAAUUAAAAACAACAACGGCUAGUAUGUAUGGUUGCCUUCUUUGCUAGACCCACUUGGAGGUUAGGCUCAAAAACGAUUCCUACUUCCACACAAAUUGAGAAUCAAUUCUCAAAUCCUGACAAAUCCAUGGAAAUGAGUUGGUAAUAAUGUGGAAUUAGAUUUUCCUCUCUCUAGCUGUUCAUGGUGUUGGUGGAACAUUGAACUUGAACACCAGUACAGCUCGGGCCAUGGCUGGUGGCUUAGGGGCAGGGCAGGGCAGCUUCACAAAACUGCCAUAAUGAUCUAUGAUGUCCNNNNNNNNNNNNNNNNNNNNNNNNNNNNNNNNNNNNNNNNNNNNNNNNNNNNNNNNNNNNNNNNNNNNNNNNNNNNNNNNNNNNNNNNNNNNNNNNNNNNGGCGGGACCUUGUGAGUGUCGCUGCUGUAGACCGUCGGCGAGAUCCCUUGGUGUCGCGGGCUGGAGCUGGAGCAAGAUCCCUUGCAGCGGAGCUCUCUUGGUGUCGUGGGCCGCCGGCGGGACCUUGUGAGUGUCGCUGAGUCGCUGCUGCAGGCCGUCGGCGAGAUCCCUUGGUGUCGCGGGCUGGAGCUAGAGCUGGAGCUGGAGCUGGAGUGGGAUCCCUUGCAGCGGCGCAGCCUGGAGAUGGAGAUCUCCUUUGCUUAAAAUAGGACUCCAAAACGGCGUCAUUUUGAUGCCAAAAGCAUCAAAACGACGUCGUUUUGAUGUUGUUUAAAAAAAAAAAAAAUUAAAAUCAAUUGAAUCGGCUGGUUCCCUUGGAACCGGCCGGUUCGUCCGGUUCACCGGUUGGACCGCCAGUUCGACCGGUCCGACCCCGGUUCGAUCCCCAUCCGAUCCAAAUGAACGGACCGGACCGGUCCAGUGACCGGCCGGUCUGGUCCGGUUUUUAAAUCAUUGGUUGUAAGCUUAGGAUCUUGAGCUGAGUAUGGUUAAACUAUCUGCCAAUCAAAAAAAAAAAAAAAAAACAAAGUACUAUGGUUAAACUAUUCCAUUCAAUGUGGGUGGUUAAUUUUAGGCCAUGUUUGGUUUCUAGAAAAUUCAAGAGUAAGAAAAUAGAGAGGAAAAAUAGAAUGAAAGGAAAAUAAUGAAAAAUAAAAAAAUAUAUGAAGUCAAUAAAUAUUUUAAUAUCCUAUUUCAAAUUCAUUUCACUUAUUUAACUCUUUUACAUAAAGAUUAAAUAAUUUGAAAAUGCACAAGCUCCUAACUAAUUUUAAUUCUUUUUCAUUUUCUUUCGUAUUUUUCAUAGUAAAAUAAAAAAUGAGAAAAUAAAUUUCUUUACUAUUUUUUUUUCUUUCCUUAGUACUUUCCUGGUACCAAACAAAACCUUAGUGUUUCCUUAACAUCUAGAGCAAAUAUGACUCUGGUACAUGUGUUGAGGUUCAUUAAUCAUGUGUGCAUUGGUAUUCUGCUGUUCUAGUAUGAUGCUACUUAAUACUUUUAUUUAUUUGCAGUGGAAUUACUUGCUUUGACUACAAUGAAUGAAGGUUACCGAAGUUUUUUACAGUUACCAUAUUCUUUUGUUCAUCAUUUUGGAGGCAUUACUGAUGCUUCUUAUAUUAAUUUUAUAUUUUUUUUAACAGUGUGUAGCUUCUCAUUCAGAAACAAGGAUGCUGUUCCUAAAUGGUAAUUUUCUUUAAUUCUGUGCUUCUUUAUUUUUUCUAUNNNNNNNNNNNNNNNNNNNNNNNNNNNNNNNNNNNNNNNNNNNNNNNNNNNNNNNNNNNNNNNNNNNNNNNNNNNNNNNNNNNNNNNNNNNNNNNNNNNNUCUUUAAUUCUGUGCUUCUUUAUUUUUUCUAUAUUUUUCCAAGUUUUUAAAAACAUUUUUUGAUGGGCAAGUUGUGCAAAUCUUUGUUGAAUAGUAGUUGAAAUCGACAAUACUUUUUUACUUCUUUAAAUAUUUUUCAGCUUCUUGAUGAUUUUAUUGUACUUUUGUUCAAACAGUGGAAUUGUUGUAUAGAGAAACAUUGGGACUGUUUAAAAUUUUGAAAUGACUUAGAAUUGAAAUGUAAUCAUUGCAUUUCAUCGAAGCUGGAAGCUUUGUUCCAAUUGUUGUAGAUAUUCCAAUCCUAGUAUAUUCUUGAAAGUUUAUUAUCUCUUAGCUAGUCAUAGUCUUUGUUUGACUUGGACAGAUAUUUUGAUAAGCAAACAAAAUAAAUAUAUUAAUAGGGCCUAACAAAAAGUGUAUCAAAAUACAUAGGUUGUAAAAGGACCCCUUCAUGAAGAUCCCAAUCAAUCACAUGGUUAGGGAACCUCCAUCUAUGUACAUCUUAACCUGCAAUAAAAGGUUACAAAGAAACAUGAAUUUUAGUGUUUGAUCAAACAUUUCUUUGCUUGGAAGCGAUCUUUGGUUCCUCUCUUUCCAUAAUGGCCAAAACACUCACAAUGAGAUAACCCUCUAGACCUUCCAUUUUUUUUCCCAUAAAAGAACCAUGCCACUGUAAAAGGGUUUCUCUCACCAAACUUGACAGUUACCCAUGCAACCUUGAAGAAGGAAAAUAUAAAAUUCCAUAAUUCAAACUCUAGCACAAAGUAGAAGGAUGCAAUCUAUUUACUCUUUGUCUUCCGUACAGAGGAAACACUCAUUCACCAAAGACCAUCCUCUCCUUUGCAGCUGAUGCGAAGUCAAAACCUUUCUCCAAGAAGCUUCCCAUGCAAAGAAACCUACUUUAGUUGGAGCCAUCAAAUUCCAAACAGCUCUCAUAGGGACCUACUUCUGCUCUUUCCUACCAUAAAAAAGUGUAGAAGGAUGUGACUGAAAAUUUACCCUUCUCUGCAUCCAUCCAUUUCAACCCAUCUUUCUCAUCCCUUCUCAUAGCCUUACCUUGAAGCCUUAAAAGGAAGACGUUAAACCUUUCUACCUCUGAAUCAUUUAAAUUCCUUGAAAAGUGAGGGUUCCAAUGCCCUCCCUCUCGUUGUUGAUCACAAAUGUCCACCAACCAAGGACUCUUUGUCAAAGCUAUGGGAUAUGAAGAGGGAAAAGACUCUUAAAAGUUGAAUCACCACACUAGUUAUCUUUCCAAAAUUUCACCCUUCUACCAUUUUUGAUGUUGAAUGAGAUUUUGUUGUUAAUAUUCCCCCAACCUCUCCUAAUGGUCUUCCACAACCUAACCCCAAAGAGGGGAAAGACUCUUUCAGAUGGAUUUGCUAAUUAUUUUUCUCUACUUUGAUCCAUCUGAGGUCAUAUAUGUUGUUUAAGUCAUAGCUCACUGUGUCUUUGUCUUGGCCAACAUUCUUUACUAUUCAUAAUUGUUUAGAUCCUUAAAUUUGUAUAAGACUUUAACCAAUGUAAUAUGCUGCUUAUGCCCCAUCAGGACUUCUGAUUUUAGUUAAAGAACUGUGUUAACGUUCCAAGUUAAGCUGUGAAUGUCAAUUUCACUUAUUCCUUCUUCUUUUUUCCAAUUGUUUCAUUAAUGGUAACUAACUAGGAUAUAUAUAUAUAUAUAUUUUUUAUCAGAACAAACUAGGAUAUUAAAUUUACGGUGGUUGUAGAAGCUCCUACUUCUACAGUUCCAUUGUCUUGAUGAAAAUUGCCUUGAUGAACUAUUGGUGUAUUAUAGAUGUAUGCAAAUUGACACAGAUAAUUCCAUUAUGGACACACACACACACAUAUAUAUAUAUAUAGAUAUUCAAUACACAUAUGCUAUACUUGUACAUGCUCAUUAUUUAUUCUUUGGGAUAUUGGUUAGAGACUUGUUCAAAUGUUGGAGCUUUUGGAAUUACAACAUUAAUUAGUGGACACAUUUUUGUUGACUUUAUGAUGAAUCUAUGCAUUACAAUACUGUAUUUUGUUAAGUUGAUUUCAUUCAAAACUCUAGUAUCCAAAAUUUUCCUAUAUGAUAUAUUGAAAUUAGUAAUGUAUUAUCUUCCUUGAAAUUGGUUGAUAGAGCUUUAUAUUUCACUCUUUUUGAAUAUAGAUGACACCCACAUUUAUUGAUAUCAUUUUAUCUAUUUGCAAAUAUGUGGAAAAAAAGAAAAAAACUUCUUAUAUAUGAUGUAUGAUUUACGAGCUGAUAUGUGAGUAGAAAAAUCAGCUUUUAGGAGUUAGUAGAGUUAGUAGAGUCAAAGUUCGAGUCCAACAAAGAGUUAGCUUUUUGCUUAGGGUAAAGAUAUAUGGGUUCCUUUCCAGCAUCUCCAAAGGCGAUUCAUGUCCAUGUGCAUGCGUAAGCAUGUGUAUGUGUGCCUUAUGAAAUUUAAUGAUUUGAUUCUACUAAUUUAUCUUCUUUUUGCUAACCAAACUUUUUCUCCUUUGCAGCCCACAUACCCUUGUACCUGUACCCUUUCCUCAAUACCAAUAGCAAAUCUAGGCCUUUUGAGUACUUGAGACUAACUAGCCUAGGUGUUAUUGGUGCUUUGGUGAAGGUACGUUGUCCUUGCUAAGUUAUAGUUUUUAAAUUAUGUUGUUGUUCUUUCCAUAUGACACUAAAAUAUUUUGAUUUUUAAAGUUGCAUUUACAUUUGUCAUAUAUGAUAUACCUUGUGAAAAAGGUUGAUAUACCCAAUGUUUUAAAAUGCUAAAGUUGGUCUUGAGGCAUUUUGCCUAAAUGAAGCGAGGCUUAAGCCUCAAGGUAGAAUGAGGCAUAAGCCUUAACUUAAACAAAUAAAAUAAUAAAAAAUUAUCAAAAAAAAAUUACUCAUAACAUUACAAUAAAAUUGAAUAAUACGAAAGACAAACUUUAUAAUGAUAAAAUUAAUUAAUUUUCAUUGUUAAUAGUUCCAAUUUAGUUCCUUUUUCUCUCAUAACAUUUAGCUCUCUCAUGGUUUUACCAAAUAAUUUUCAACAUUACUAUUACUAUCACUAGGAUCCUCCAGGGAAUGUAAUUAUAUUCAAUUGCUAUAUUAUCCUCCCCAUUGAUGUUAGUAUCCAUCCAUCCCUUUUCUUCUUCAUCCACCCAUAGUAGUGGUAUCCAUUUUUAUCUAUCAAUAAUCAAGUAAUCUAUGAGACAAACCACUAGGAGUGUCAACAAUUCUCUUAUUCUUCUCAAUCUCUUUUUCCCUUCCAUUUUAAAUGUUAAUUGUAAAUUAAGUAAAACCCUAUUUUGUAAAAGGUUGAACCAAGUGGGGACCUAAUACAAAAUUCAUGAAAUCUAUAUUAGAAGUCCACAAAAGCAUUGAUGAUAGAAUCCAUGAAAACUCAUUAAAUAUUGAGACUUAAGCCUUUUAUAAAAUAUAUACCAAAAGCCCAUAAAGGCCCAAAACUCUUUGGAUAUUCGAGGCUUAGGCCGCAACAGCCUUGAGGCUAUACCUCGAAGCUAUAAGCCUUAAUAGAGUGAGGCUUAAGCCUUAAUUACCUUAAUUAGAGGCUAUAGCCUCAAGGUCUAAUUUGUAGAGCCUCAAGGAGUGCCUCAAGGAAUAAGCCUUAAUAGCCUUUUAAAACUUGGGAUAUACCCAUAUUGUAGGGACCUCAUAAACAAGAUCCAUCAUGUGAUUUGGGAAUAAACUAAAAUUUAAAAAGAAAAAAAGGAAGCUAUAAUUUUAUUCUCUGGUAGAAUUUAUUUAUUUAUUUUUUAAAGGUCUCAUAAUUAUUAGAGUGUAACUUGGGUGGGUUAGGUUGGUUGACAAUCAACUUGACCUCACACCAAGCUUGAAGCUUAUUUUCUUGAAUCUCAACCUAACCAAGUUGUCCAAUCCUAACUUAAUUUGAGUCUAUUUUCUUGAACUUGAGUUAGGCUCAUGUUAGUAAAUAUAUAUUUUGGAAUUUGUUGAAUUAGUUGAAUGAGCUGGUCAUAAAAUACUUAUUUAAUUAUGAAUUGACUAUUUAAUAAGUUAUUAAAUUUUAUGUCUGUUUUGAAGACAUUUGAAAUCUUAGUAGAAGAGGUCAAAGGCAAGCUGUUAGGAAAGAUUUUGGAAAGGGGUAGAGGCUUUUCCAGUUGGAUUAGAUUUGGUGAGCUAAGUCUCUUCCAUCUUUUGGAUGGAGUGGAGUUAUGCAACUGAGGUGAUGGAGGGAAUCCUUUCACCAAGCAAUGGUUGGAAGGUAGAAGAGCUUAUAGGGUUGAAUGCUAUUGUAAUGUCGCUAGAAGGUUGAUACUUGUUCGAUGCCCUCCAUGGAGGUGAAGAGGUUUGUACUAGUUUUCCCAAAAAGGAAAAGUCUUCCAGGGGGUUAAAGUAUUUUGGUUGGGAAACCUCAAAACUUGUGAGUGGCCUCUUGCUCUCAAUUCAGUAGAAAUGUUCCGUUGGUUGUAGGCCAAUUAAAAGAGGGAAUCUUAACAAGGGUUUCCUCUAAUGAGUCUUUUGUAGACAAGGUGAAGAAAGGUUUAGAAGCCUUCAAAAAGGCAAAGUGGUUUCAAAUGGAGGAAAAGGAGGUUUGUCUUAAAGAGGAAUCUUUGAAGAGUUGUCUAAUGGGAUGAUGGGGAGAUUCUUCCGGUUUGGUGCUGGAGCUUUAGAAUUAUAAGAAAUUGGCAGUUCACAAUUGGUGCUUAAAAAAGGGAGUUGAUUUAUUUCUGUUAGGGGGAGUUCUCAUCCUUUUCAAAUUUGAUUCUUUUGAAGAUGCAAAAGAAGUGAUGCAUAGAGAUUUAAGGAGGUUUCUUAACAAAUUGUCCCUGCAAAGAUGGUCGUUGAAGAUGGUGUGCUCUCGAAGUGAUUUACAUGCAAAGGAGGUUUGGGUUACGUUGGUAAGGCUACCUUUGCAUUUGUGGGAGAUGACGUUAUUUAAAUAUCUAGGGGAUUGUUGUGAGAGCUUCGUUGCAGUGGAUGAAGACAUUGUAAGUCGUCAUAAUCUCCAAUGGACAAGAAUUCUUGUGAGAUUAGAUGGCAAGAAGGUUCUUGGUUCCCUUCAAGUGGUGGUGGGGCGUUUCUCUACCAUUCGAUUUAGCUGUGGUGGGAGGCCUCGCCUUGGUUAUCUCAGGUUGUAGCCAAGAAAAUUGAGAAGCAACAAUAGGUUAGGGUAGAAGAAGGUGGUGGUGAUCUACACACUAAAAAAAAAUGUUUGAGAGAAAGCUUGGUCUAGCUAUAAAAGCUCAGAAGAUGUGUCAAGCUUGGGAGCCUUUGGGGGGUUUGUAGUUGGGAAAGCAGUUGGUGGCCUUGAAAGUCAUUUUCUCUUGGUCUUUUUUAUGGUGGGUGUAGGCCUAGAGUUUUGGUUGGGGCUACUAAAGGAGGCCCAUUGCAAGACAGAUAAUGAAGCGAUUUUAGGUUGAGGUUGUAUUGAUCCAAGGAUGGAUGGUAUGGAUACUAGCCCUUUAGUCCAUGACGAUUGUGGAUUAGGCCUUGCCUAAAUUUCUAAUUGAAGGGAGUUAAAUAGCAGACCAAGGGAGGUAGGUUAGGCCUCAAUUGGUAUUAAGGGGCCUAAGGGUUGUUUUAGUCUCUCGCCCUCGAAAGGAGAUUGAGUUGAGGGCUAUGGGAAAGACUCUAACCUGAAGUCCAGGCGCCCUGUUAGAGAGAAGUCUCUCUCGAAGUUGUGCAAAACAGAAGCUCUAGUUUUGAAUCUAGAUCUGGUGUCAUCUCCAACUAUUUCUGAUGGUCCAAAGGUGGUUUGUGAUGACGAUUCCCAAUCUCUGAUGGCUUGCCUAUGCCCGAGGAGAGAGUGUCUUCUACUAAUGCUGCUCUUUUAUUUGAAGUGAAAGGUUUCUCUGGUACGUUUUCAUCUUCAGUUUGUCUGAUAGGGGAAAAGUCUUCUUCUUUAGCUUUUUCUAUGUCCAAAGACUAAGGAUGAAAAUAUCGGUAAAUACAAAUAUGUUGGUACUUGGAUUUUACGGAUAUAUCAUAAAUAUCGAUAAAAUAUUGGUGGAUAUUUUGACAAAAAUAUUAAUGAGGUGGAAAUUGUUCAAAAUUCAUGUAAAUGCUUGGAAAAACUUCAAAAAGUGAUAAAAUAUGCAAGAAUACACAUGUUAAAAUUAUUUUCCAAAUGUAAUUGGCAUAAGUAUGGUCAAGGAUAAAAAUAUUAGUAAACACGGAUAUGUCUAACUUGAAAAUAUGUUUAAUAUUAAAACUAUAAUCUAUUUAAUUCAAAUGUAUUCAAUGAUGUAAAAUAAAUUAUGAUACAUGCAUGAUUUUUUUUUAAUAUUUAUAUUCUUUGUAUUUAAUUAUCAUAUAAAUGAUAUAAAAAUGACUUGUAAAGAAAAUUAUAAUGGUGGUUUUCUAUUUUUGGCAAUGAAUUAAAUGAAAUUUAAAAUAAAAUAAUUAGAAUUAAUUUAUUUAUUUAAAUAUCCUUUUAAUAUUAAAACUAUAAUCUAUUUAAUUUAGUAAUGUUUGUCCAUAUGCAAUAAAGAGCAGAGUUGGCCUAGUGGUUGUCAAGUGUUCAAUUUGAACCUUUUAACCUGGGUUCAAAUCCCUUUCUUGUAAAUUUAAAUCAUUUUUAUGGUUUGACUGAGUUGACUAGGCAAGAAAGCAAAAGGAGCAGAGUGUGAUUUGACUGAGAGGAGUGGAGCGUGUUUUGACCAAGAGGAGUGGAGCCUAGUUUGACUAGGCAAUAAAGCAAAAGGAGUGCCAAAAAUUGACCGAAAAAUUAGGAAAUCCCUAGAAAAAUUGGCGAAAAAUCGGCAAAUACUGAAAUAUCUUUGAUAUAUUAGUGAUUUUUCCCAAUUUUUUGUGUAGUUGAGCUUUAGGUGUGGAAUUUUGUGUUGACCUCCCCCGAUAUUUGAAAUAUUGUCGAUAUUUCGGCGAUAUUUCCCGAAAUUUUAAACUUGCCAAAGACAAGGGCAUUUCUCUAGGAAGAACUAAAUGCUUGGUUCCAUGGAGGGAGCAGGAUGUUGGACUUUUAGCAGAGGGCAAGGGUGACGUUUACAGGCCUUUGUGUAUGAUUGUUGGUGAGGGUUUGGAUGUGAAAUUCCCAAAGAAUCAACCUAAAGAUGCUAAGACUGUGAACCUAGAAGUGUGUAGUGGGGAAGGGACUUCAGGUUUUAGGAGCUCUAAUAGGGGCCCGUUGGAAGUAGAGAGCCUCUCCGAUCUAUCUUUUCAGAAAUUUAUCUCUUUUAUGAAGUUUGUAGGACUGCCAAUGGAUGGGCAUGAGAAGGAAAUUGCUCCCCUACCGAGAAAGUUAGAAACUAGAAAGGGUCACAAAGUUUUGGUUGCAAAGAGGAGGCCCUGCCCUCUUUCAUGUCCUGCUUUGUUAAGGAGCUUCGAAAUUUGGAAUGUUCAGUUCAUUAAUACAAUUCAAACAAAAAAAAGAGUUGUAGGUUGUGUUUUUGGAGUUGCUAUUGGUUAGCUUAAAGGCUAGGUGUUCGGAUUUCCUCAUAAUUAGAAGGAUUAUAGAAGAGGAGAGGAUUGGAGUUCUCUUACCUAGUUUUAAGGUAAGGGUUUUAGGGUCAUGGGCUUUUUUUUGUAAUUGCUAGGGGGCAGAAGGUGGUGCUUUCAGGAAGGGUAAGGAAGAGUGGUUAUGGUGGUAGUAGGGUGAAUUAGUCUGGGGUUUCUAUGUCUUUCUAGGCCUUUAUGGUGAUGUCUUUUGUAUUAGGUGGUGGUUUGUUGUUUCUCUUCCCUUUUGCUUGUAUUCGGCAGCAACUCGUAUACUAUGUGUGUACUUUGUGUGCCUUUAUCAAAUAUUUUUAAUAUAUUUUCUUUGUUUACCCAUUAAAAAAAAUGAUGAGUUGGUUGUUAAAGUGAUUUUAAAUCAAUCUACUACCAACUUACGUUAGACAUAUGUCUAACAAGGAAGUGACAAUUAAAUAUUUAAACUAAAUAUGAGAAAAAAAUAAUCAAAAUGCCCCAUUUGAUAAGUUUAAAAAGUUUAAAAAUAUUAAAUAAUUUAUCAUUACUAUUUUAUAUUUUUUAAAGUUUAUAUAAUAUAAAAAUAGGUUUAAGUUGUCAAACCCCCAACUUAAUCCAACCCAAAUUUUAAUUUAGGAUGAUAUGUUUUGCCUAAGCCCAAUUAAUGAGGAUAAAUCUCUUAAGAUCUAUUGAAGAAAAGAUCUUUAACAUCUAGAACUCAUUUUUGUUAGAACUCUUAUUAUGAGAAGUUUGUAUGAAGUAAGUUUCUAAUUCUAAAAAAAUAGUUUCUAUUUUUUUCUUUUUAUUUUUUAUUUUGUAGAAGAUUUAAUUAUUUUAGGAAAGGAAUAAGAAUCUUAAUAAGUCACUACAAAGUUAAGUUCCUAUUUUCAUUGUUUUAUUCAGUUUUUAAAGUUUUUAAAGUCUAAUAAUAGGGCUAACUAAGGUAAAGCAAGAUAAUGAAUGUAUGAUGAAUAAUAUUAUGUUUUUUUAUUUUUUUUUUACAUGAUUGCCUAUAUUUAAAGUUCUUUUUACAUACCUUGCAACUUUUAAUUGUUAGACUCUAUCACUUGGUUUUCUUGUAAGUGAGACUCCUAAAAGGUCUUAGUAAGACUUUAGGGUUUCACAUCUCUCUUCUUUGUUUUUCUUUUCUUGUCCUUUUUUUUUGUCUUGUUGCUAUAAUUUUAUUAUCAUUCCUCACCCUAAAUGCUAAAAGAUUAAUAAUUUGGUGCAACUACCUGUCAAAUUUCUACAGUCGUCCUUCUUUCUUAGUCUUUCAUGAUAUAAUAAUAAUUAGAAUUUCCUUCUACUAGGAGAUUUAAGAGGUUCAAAGCUUUCUUCUGCAACAAACCUUCCAAAAUGGUUAGAAUCUCUAUAUCAAUGGCUAAACCUUAACCCAUAGGUUUAGAGAAUGCUUUUACUAUUAUGCCAAACUGAUCCUCCAAUCCCUUGCUACUUUGUGUUUACCCAAACAACACUCAUCAAAUUUUAGCUUAACAAAACCCAUUGGAGGUGGGCACCAUUCAAAAAGUCUUUCCUUAAUCAAUCGACUAAUUUUGCAAACAAGGUUCCAAUUUAAUAGAAUAAGGCUCAAAGGGAUGUCUGCAAAAGCUUCCCUAGCAAAUGGCUAAAGGGAAGAAGAGAAGUAAAACAAGUCCCAAAUUGCUUCUAGAGACAUGUAACCCACUUUGUUUGAUUAUAGACAAUUGCCCUUGAGUUGUCCUAUGUUACUGUCUAUUAGGAAACCCUGGAUUGCUCCUUUCCCAAGCCUUGGAUCAUUAGGGUGGAUGAACUCCUAUUCUAGGUUCUCUAGAUCUAAGCAUAGUGGAAACUUGGCAUUUAAAAACCAAUAUAGAUACCAUAGAUCAAGAGAAAAGUGUCAUACCUAUGAUUUGGAUGUUCCCAGAUCGAUUCUUAUUAGUAUUGAAUACUUUAAAUUUGUAAAUGAUCUCAUAAACUCAACAAUCAUUCACCUGAUGACUCCUUCUUGAGUCUAGGCAUUAAGAUGGUGGAGAUCUCAGGGCUGGAGGCUAGGACUCUCUCUGUGGACUGUAGAAAGAGAAUGAUAAGACUAGAAACCCUAAUCCUUAACAGGUAUUUAUAGGCUUCCUACUAAGCUUUAAUGACUUAAGUCCACAAUGGGCUUAGGUCACUUAAUCCACCUCAAAAAGGUUGUUGAUUGAUUAAUCAACCCAACAAGGCUCCAAUUAAUCAAUUAACCCAACCCAAAGAUACCGCUCACCUACCCUUGUUCAAUCUUGCAUAAUUACUAAAAUGCUCUUUUGCAUAUAAUUGAAUUAAAAACUCAUCCAACCCCCAUAAGUCGUGUCAUCAAAGAAUAUGAGCUUGAACAAGGACCACUGAGACCUAUAUGAUAGUAAUAGCUCCCUCAAAAUUCAAUUUUGAAGUUGACUUAACAUCCCACUACAAAAAGUUAAUUGCACUCUAGUACCCUAUCUAUAUUACCAUGAGACACCAAGUGUUCAGGUCCGUGACCUACUAUCCAUUAUAUAUAGUCUCCUUAUGAACUAGUCUUCUUUAAUCUAACAAGUUGAAAGCUAUUAGUCUUUUAAGGGUACCUGUACAAUCCUUGAGUUACAGAUUCUUAUAUUAUGUGAUCAAAUGACAUACUCUAGCUUACUAAAAGCAUAUGUCAAAUUCCAUUAAGGAAUUAUUGCAAACUCAUAAUCACACAUCCUUGGGAUCACUCGAAAGGAUACACUAUCUCAAAGUUUAUAAGAUAUCAUGGUACCUCUAUUGGAAAUACUUGUUACUACCAGCUUCCAUCAACAAUGACCCAAUCUAUAAGGAAUAUAUAAUCACUUUAGGAUUUUACCCAUAAGUCAAAGCUACUUAACUUUUGCACAUGCUCAACAGCUUGGUGAAGUCAAGGCUACCUAAUAGUUUUAUGUUAUGACUCACCAUAGACCCUAUUCAAUAUGUAACCAUAUACGCUAAUACACUCGCCAUGGGAAUCCCAUCCUGAUGAUCAAGACCAAUCAUUCCUUCAAUUAGGAGGAGGUGCACUACAACUUCAAAUAAAUUGUCUAAUUCCACGAACCGGCUAUGAUCAAAUCAUCUACUUGUAAGGAAUCCAUGAUUUGGAUUUUCCGUGCAACUUUUAAUGCACUCAAGUCAUGUAUAAUGCAAGAGAUGUUAUACCAGAAUGCUCAUAGAGUAUAAUGCAUGAAAUGAAGAUAUAUAAAAGUGAAAUUGAAAUAUCAUUAAAUGAAUAAUGAAUUUCAAAUCUGUUACAUCAUGUCAUGCUUUUAAGGGCUCUAUCUUAACACUAUCUUCAAAAUAUUAAUUACAUGUCAUAUGUAAUUGCAUACCCUGUGUGUGUGUGUGUGGGGCCCAUCAACACACAGAAACUAUGAAUGUUGUGAGGCUCUUACUUGCAUUAAUUGCUAUAUUGUUUGUAUUGUUUGUAAGGUUUGUUACUCUUGUGAUUCCAAGUAUUGCUGGUUAUUACCUUUUUUAUUUUUUCCCCUCUUUCCAGGUUGAUGAUACAGAAGUUAUUAGUUUCCUUCUCUCAACAGAAAUAAUUCCGCUGUGCCUACGCACCAUGGAGAUGGGGAGUGAAUUGUCAAAAACAGUAAGUGCCCAGAUUUUAUAAUUCUCUAACUUAUGAAGCUUGUACUAUUUUCUCUCACUACCUGUUGCAAAAACAUCAUUUUUUUAGGAAGAUAGAAAUGUAUUUUCUCUCAUAAGACUAUUUCUAAGUGUUGUUUGCUUUUAUUAAAACAUAAACACCCCUGCAGAGAUCAGUAGUUCCAUUGAGGUCAAUGAAUGGCUUAGCUGCCUAUGUCAGCAUUUGCUGUCAUUGGCUAAAAUAUACUAAGAGCAUGCUCAUCUUGUUGAUGGAUAUGUUAUUAGCAUGUUAGGACCAGCAUAUUUCAUGUUGAUAUUCUUUGCUAUCUCGUGGAUGUUGCGAUGAUAUUUGAGGAUAAGACUUCAUUUUUUUUUCUUAUCAAAGACAAUAUACAAUAAUGAUUAAAAAAAAAAAGGUACAAGAAAAGGAUGAGGGUUCAUCCCCACAAAAUACUAAUCAAAGUAAGACUAAACACUUCCACUAUACAAGGGGAACUGUACACAAAGGUAUAGGCUACUUAAGGAUAAAUAAAGGUAACAUCUCUGCAAAACUAGAUUCAGCUCCUCUCAUUAUUAUCCACCCCAUUUGAUUUACAAACUGAAAGCCAACUGAGUUGAAUAACAUUGAGUGGAACGCCUCUAAAGGUAACAACAAGAGGCCCACAGGGAGGAAUGAAAAUGAAGUAAAUCUCACAUCUCUUCCCUCCACUUUUUCUCAAAGACCCUAGCAUUUCUCUCUUGCUAUGCAAUCCAAAGCAUAAUGAGGCAAGCAAUUUGCCAAAGAGUUUUGCCUUUGAUGGAACUCCCCUCUAAAUGAGAUGUCAUCAUGUCAUGCAUUCUCCUUGGCAGAACCCAAUCUAUCUUUGAUUAGACUGAAUAGCUUGUACCAAAGCCCCAAUUUUAACUAGCAAUUUAAAAAGAGAUGGUCAAUCAAUUCUUCACUUCCCAUGCAUAAGAUGCACCAAGGACGACUAAGGAAUUUGUUAAGGUCUUUUCGAUUGUAGCUGUCAUUGGUGUUUACCUUCUUGUGUGUUACUAACCAAGCAAAGGCCUUGACCUUUGAUAGAGCUUUUUAUUUCCAUAAAAGUUUGGCUAGAAAGAAGGGGAUUGGAUUUGAUAAAUUGGACAAGGCUGUGAAGAGAGAGAGAAAAGGGAGAAUCCCUAAUUAUUGUUAUUGAAAAACUGUAAAGAAUACACAUUGGACUUGGGUAUAUAUAUACAUGCUAGUGGGACCCACAAUACAGUAAAGAAAGAAAAGGAAAAGGAAAAGUAAAUAACCUAAAUAACUAUGCAUUAUCUAACACUCCCCCUCAAGCUGGAGCAUAUAUCUUAUAUGCACCAAGCUUGUUACAAAUGUAUUUAAUUCUAGGACCUCUGAGAGAUUUAGUAAAAAUAUCUGCUAGUUGAUCAUUUGAAUUGGCAAAACUAGUCGUCACACAUCCUGAUGCGAUCUUCUCUCUAAUAAAGUGACAGUCAACUUCAAUGUGUUUGGUCUUUUCAUGGAAAACUGGAUUGGAUGCAAUAUGCAAAGCGGCUUGGUUGUCACAGAUGAGCUUCAUUUGUUCAUCCUUUCCAAAUCUCAACUCCCGAAGAAGAUGUUUCAGCCAUAUGAGUUCACAUGUUGCCAGAGCCAUAGCUCGAUACUCGGCUUCAACACUAGAUCUGGCCACUACAUCUUGUUUCUUACUCUUCCAAGAUAUUAGGUUACCUCCAAUAAAAACACAAUACCCGGAAGUGGAACGUCUAUCUGUGGGUGAGCCAGCCCAAUCUGCAUCUGUGUAACCAACAACUUGGGUAUGACCUCUGUUCUCGUACAACACACCUUGGCCUAGUGUGCUUUUGAUAUAUCGAAGAAUGCGGAUUACAGCAUCCCAAUGGCUAUCACAUGGGGACCGUAGGAAUUGACUAACAACACUUACAGGAAAAGAAAUGUCUGGACGAGUAAUGGUGAGGUAGUUCAGUUUACCUACAAGUCGCCGAUAUCUCCCAGGAUCUCCUAAAGGCUCUCCCUGUCCUGGUAUAAGUUUGACAUUUGGAUCCAUAGGAGUGUCUACCGGUUUACAAUCUAACAUACCGGUUUCUUCCAAGAUGUCUAAAGCAUACUUCCUUUGGGAAAGAACCACACCGGAACUGGAUUGAGCUAUCUCAAUCCCUAAGAAAUACUUGAGUUUCCCCAAGUCUUUAGUCUGAAAGUGGGUGAAAAGGUGUUGCUUUAGGUUUUGAAUACCAUUCUGAUCACUGCCUGUAAUGACGAUGUCGUCCACAUAAACUACCAGAUAAAUACACUGCCCCGAAGAGUUAUGAUGAUAGAAAACGGAAUGGUCUGCUGUACUGCGGAACAUGCCAAACUCCUAAACAACAGAACUAAAAUGGCUAAACCAUGCUCGAGGAGAUUGUUUCAAGCCAUAUAGAGAACGGCGUAACCUGCACACUAAACCAGACUCCCCCUGAGCAACAAAACCAGGUGGUUGCUCCAUAUAAACUUCCUCAGCAAGAUCCCCAUGAAGGAAAACAUUUUUAAUAUCUAACUGAUAAAGAGGCCAAGAACGCAUAGCAGCCAUGGAGAGUAAGAGACGAACAAAAGCUAUCUUGGCAACAGGAGAGAAAGUGUCACCAUAAUCAGAACCAUAAACCUGAGUAUAGCCUUUAGCAACUAAGCGGGCCUUAAGGCGAUCAACCUGACCAUCAGGGCCAACCUUAACUGUGUAGACCCAACGACAACCAACUGUCGAUUUACCAGAGGGUAAAACAACAAGAUCCCAAGUGUCAUUGGAGUGUAAAACAGCCAUUUCAUCUACCAUUGCCUGUCGCCAGCCUGGAUGGGAAAGAACAUCAAGGGUGCUCUUGGGAAGAGAAACAGAAGAUAUAGCAAAAACAAAUACAGAAUAAGGUGAAGAUAAUCGAUGGUAACUCAAAAAAUUGUAAAUGGGAUGAGGAUUACGAGUAGAUUGAUUACCUUUCCGAAGAGCAAUGGGUAAGUCGGCAGAAGGAGGCAGAGCCGGGGCAGGAGAAGCCGAAGGGAUAGGAGGUGAGUCAGCAGGUACCACGGCCAAAGAAGGAGGAAGAGCGACACGAUGACGGCGAUGAUAAACCUGAAGUGGGCGAGAAGGCACUGCAUCAGGUAGGGAGAUAAUGGGAAGGGGUAAGACUUCAGAAAUAAGAAGAGACUCAGAGGUGGAGAAAAACGGUGAGUCCUCAAAGAAAGUGACAUCAGCGGAGAGAAAGUAGCGAUGAGUCUCAGAGGAAUAACAACGAUAACCCUUUUGAAGUCUGGAAUAUCCCAAGAAGAUGCAUUUUGUGGCUCUGGUAGAAAGUUUGUCCUAUCCAGGAGUGAGAAUAUGAACAAGCAAGUACAACCAAAAACACGAGGAGGAAGGAAAUAAAGUGGUUGGUCAGGGAAAAGAAGGGAAUGAGGAAUCUGAUUGUGUAAUACAGAUGAGGGCAUACGAUUAAUCAAACAACAUGUUGUAAGAACAGCGUCCCCCCAAAAACGAAAAGGAACAUGACUAUGUAGAAGGAGAGUACGAGUUGUCUCAACAAAAUGUCGAUUCUUACGUUCAGCUACCCCAUUUUGUUGAGGAGUAUGAGUACAAGAAGACUGAUGAAUGAUCUCAUGUUGAGACAUAAAUGAAGUAAAUGGUGCAGAAAAAUAUUCCCUGGCAUUGUCACUGCGCAACACACGAAUAGAAAUAUUGAACUGGGUUUGGAUUUCAGCAUAAAAUUUCUGGAAAAUAGAGAAUAACUCAGCUCGAUUUUUCAUUAAAAAUAACCAAGUACAUCGAGAAUAGUCAUCAAUGAAAGUAACAAAAUACUGAAAUCCUAAAGUAGACGCGGUCCGACAAGGACCCCAAACAUCAGUGUGGACAAGUUCAAAAGGAGACUUUGCCCGAUUAUUCAAAUGCUUUGGGAACGAGACACGAGUAUGUUUCCCAAGCUGACAGGACUCACACGCAAGCGAUGACAAAGAUGAAAAACUAGGGACCAUUUUCUGGAACUUGGAUAGACUAGGGUGGCCCAGGCGACUGUGGAUGAGGAGGGGAGCAUCAGUGGAAAUGCAAACUGCAGGUGAAGGCGAGGUGAGGUGAUAGAGGCCUUGAGACUCACGUCCUAUGCCAAUCGUCUUCCCCGUACUCCGGUCCUGCAAGGUCACAAAUUUAUCAGAGAAAGUGAUAAAACAGUUAAGAGUGCGAGUUAUUUUGCUGAUGGAAAUAAGAUUGAAAGGACACUCAGGGGCAUAAAGGACAGAAUGGAGAGGUAGGGAAGGGAGAGGAUGAGCGAAACCAAAACCUUUAGCCAUAGUUUGGGAACCAUUAGCUAAAGUAACAGUAGGUAAGGCAGAGGUAGUAGUAAUAGAAGAGAAAAGAUCCUUAUUACCAGAUAUGUGAUCAGAAGCGCCAGAAUCUAGAAUCCAAGGUCCAAGAGAAGAUGUGUGGGUAAGACAAGUAGAAGCAUUACCAGUCUAGGCAACAGAAGUAACAGAAGCUGACUUGGUGGUCUGAUAGCGGAGAUAGUCGUCAUACUCACUGUCAAUGAGGAAAAUACCAUGAGAUGUGGAGGAACUGGGAGGCUGAGGCGACUGAGGAUCAGAUGACUAGGCCACGUGGGCAGUGCGGGGAGGCCGCCCAUGUAACUGAUAACACCGAUCACAAGUGUGGCCAAGCUUAUUGCAAUAGGUGCAAUGAGGACGUUGGCCUCUACCUCGGUUACCACUGUGUCCUCCUCGAGAGUUAGUUUGAGAGACUAACACAGAAGAAUUUGAAGUGUUAUCAGAUGGCAAAGUCUGAGUGGAGGAGAUACGGAGGAGGCGAGCAAACACAUCAUCCAAGGAUGGAACGGAGGAACUGCCAAGAAUUUGAUCGCGGACGGUCUCGAGAUCUGGACGGAGGCCAAUAAGCGUAAGAACCAUGAAGAACUUGUCAAUCUGUAUGCGUUGAUCCCCAAUAUCAGUAGUAAGAGGCAUCACGGUCAAGAAUUCCUCCUUAAGAGAGGCAAUCUAGCCAAUAUAAGUAGAUAAAUCCAUGUCUUGUUGUCUGACAUUGACAAUAGAAGAAGUCACCUUAUAAAGACGUUGGAUAUCAUUCGUGUAUAGCCCUUUCGCCUGAUUCCAAAAUUUAAAGCAUGUUUUGUAGGCCCGAAGAUGAUGCAGAAUCUUAGGAUCAACUGAUUGCCAUAACACACUAUAUAACUGUGCAUCUAUCUUCCUCCAUUGUACUUUGUCAACCUCAGGAAUAUCCACCUUCUGCGUAACAAGGUGAUCCUCAUAACCUUGACCCAUAAACCAAAGCUCCACAGAGGUAGGCCAGGACAAAUAAUUUUCACUGUCAACCAAUUUCUCCGAAGUAAUCAUAGGAGAUCCAGAUAUGACAGAGGAAAAAGCGGAACUUUUAGUAGCCAUAUCUACUUAUUUGGUGAAUGAAAUACGUUUGGAUCGAAGAGAGCCCUAAUACGGCUUAUCGCGGACUUCCUAAGACACGUGCAGGGCUCGGGGUGGAGAGGAAGUCACCGGAGGUCGCCGGAAAGGCGGUUUAGAGGGUCGGCAGAGACAAAAAACCCCCAAAAAAUGCACUUUUAGGGCUUAGAUGACACAAGCGCAGAUGGAGGGUGGCUAGACGGCGUCAGGCGAGGCUGGAGGUGGAAGCGCGUGGCCGGAAAGUUCCCCACGCUCCCUCACGCGCUGGCUCAUGAGAUUCAGGCCGCCGGAGAAGAGACGCGCGUGGCUGGGAUUCUUCCUCCGGUGCUUUGAGAAAAGUUGAAGAUCUCCUCCUUGCGCACCUGAUGGUAUGGUCGGUGUCGGAAAAGGACUUCGCCGGAAAGUCGCCGGCGAUGAGGGUUUUCCGACGGCGGUGAGGGUUGAUCGGAAGCUUUAGGAGAUGGGAAGGAUGACCGGAAUGAAACACGGUCACUGAAAGAUUUCCCAGAAUGGAUUCAUGGAUAAACCGGAAAUAAUUAGGGUUUUUUUUCUCCCUAGGCUCUGAUACCAUGUGAAGAGAGAGAGAAAAGGGAGAAUCCCUAAUUAUUGUUAUUGAAAAACUGUAAAGAAUACACAUUGGACUUGGGUAUAUAUAUACAUGCUAGUGGGACCCACAAUACAGUAAGGAAAGAAAAGGAAAAGGAAAAGUAAAUAACCUAAAUAACUAUACAUUAUCUAACAAAGGCCAACAAAAGUGAUUUUACUGACUAAUAUUAUGUUUUUUCCUGUUGUUCCAUGUGACAAAAUUGACUUGAUUGAGUUUGUUUUUUAGACAUUGUCUUGGAGUUGGCCCCUUGGAUCUGCUUGGAAAGAUUCCCACCUUAAGCCUUUUGUUUAAUUUCAAUUUUUUCUGUCUAUAUGGUGUCUGAAACAUACUACUUAAAUUAAGAACCUUUAAACAUAUUCAAGUGAUGGCUCUCACAUUUGGAUUUAGGCUAUGCUCCAUUAUAUAGGUUUCCACCUCCAUGCUUUUCUCUGUACCCAACUAUGUUGCUCCUCUUUUUUCAAGUGGGUGUGGCAGCUUCCUUUUUCUUUUUCCAUUUUGUUUUGUGUGUGUGUGGGAGCUAGCUUUCAGGUUUGUAAGAGAGUUUCAUUGCAGGUGUCCCCUCUCCCCAACCCGGUUAGCAGUAUAGCUUUGCAGAUUUAUAAGAGUGUUUCAUUGAAGGUGUCCCCUCUUUUGUUUAUUUUUAUGAGGGGGCCUGAAGGUUAGUGGUUUAGCUUUUCAGAUUUAUAGGAGAGUUUCACCAAAGAUGUUAUGCUUACAGUUUGCCACCUUUUCAGGAAAAGGUUUGUAGAAAUGUUUUGUUUUUUUACCUUCUCUUUCUUAUUUUGUUUCUUUUUUGGGCUUGGGAUCAUCAGCUUCCAGGUUUAUAAGAUUUUCACUCAAGGGUGUUAUGCUGGCAGGUUGCCACAUUUAUUGUUCAAAAAAUUCUGUUGGAUGAUGUGGGCUUGGAUUAUAUUUGUACUACGGCAGAGCGAUUUUUUGCAGUAGGUCGAGUUUUGGGGAAUAUGGUCGCAGCACUUGCUGAGCAACAAUCAACAAGGCUUCUUAAGCAUAUUAUUCGAUGUUAUCUUCGAUUAUCAGACAACCCAAGGUUGGUUGAAAUUUACAGUGAUGUUGGCUGAUCUCAUCCCAUUUUUCGUAUCUUAUUUGUAUUUCUAACAGCCAUGGUUUUGGUCUUCUAUCAUACAGGGCUUGUGAUGCAUUAAGAAAUUGCCUUCCGGACAUGUUAAAAGACGCCACUUUCAGUAGUUGUCUUCGUGUAAGUAUUGCUUGUGACUUUCAACUACUUUGAGUCUCAAGAAGAAAAUAGUUAUCUUUUAGCUCCACACAGUCCAUUACACAGGUAUAAAUUUGUACCCCUUCUUGGUACAACUACUCAAAAACUCUUAACAUUAUGUAGUUUUAGGUUACGUUUGGUUCCUGAAAAAUUUAAGAGAAAAUGUUGAGAUAACGAAAAUAAAGAGGAAAAAUAGAAUAAAAGAAAAUUAAAAAUAGAUUUAAAGUUAAUAAAUUAUUUCUAUACAUUACUUUAUACUCAUUUAUCUUAUUUUACCUCUUUUAUAUAAAAAUUAGAUAAUUUGAAAAUGCAUAAAUUUCUUAUUAAUUUUAAUUAUAUUUGAUUUUUUUUUCAUUUUUUUUUUUGCAUUUUCCAUGGUAAUUUUCCUUGACAUUUUUUUUUCUUUCUUUAAUACUUUCUUAGAACUGAAUAUAACCUUAGUGUUUCGUUAUAGUCAUUGUCAUAAUGUUUGUCUGAUAUAAUGUAGUUGUUAAUUGACAUAUAUAUAUAUAAAAGAUCGAUUUCUAUAUUUUGUACUUUUAGAUAGGAUCCUCGUUUUGGUAAUUCUUAGGCUGGAGAUUAUCACCAUGGGCACCCAUUGAAAUGAAAUUGCUGUGGAAUUUGAAUAUUCAAAGAAUCUGUGUCUUCUGUGUCCAGCAUAUUUGGUAAUGAUGCUUUCCUGUAUCAUACUCUAUAUUUUUGUUUGCAGGAAGAUCCAACAACGAGGAGGUGGUUGCAGCAGCUGCUUCACAAUGUUGGGGGAAGCCGGGUUGCUGCAUUUCAGGCGGGGGGAGGAUUUGACCAUAUGCUGGUGAACUGAACUGAAAGUAGAGAGUUUCUUUAAUUCGUUUUCUGUUGUUGGUCGUGGAGGGGGAGACUUGUUAUUUAUCUUAUUUCAUGUUUGUUUCUUAUGUGAGAAACCGUGUGUUAUUUAGAAUUAGGAAAUGUGUCUGAGACAAAGCCAGUUACUGCAUCUGGUUGACUUCUACCUAUUUUAAUUUCAGAGUUAUUGUAUGUAGUUAGCUCUUCAUCUGUAGGCAUGGGUUCAAAAGAAAAUAUUGGAAAAAUAUAACCAAUCUGUUAUAACUUUUAACUGGAUGUUUGACACCAAAUGUGAAGAGACUGGAGUGCUGAUAAAGAAGUUUUUAGAACAUACAUAAAUUUAUUAAAUAAGAAAAAUGGAGAACUGAAAAAAUGAGAAAUAAAUAACUAAGAAAAAUAAAACAAAUGAAUUCAGAAAAACGUAAAAAAAAAAUAGUAAAAAAAAUAAAUAAAUUUAUUAAAUUUUUUGAAAUAUAUUUUUCUCAAUUUUAUUUUAGAAAUUUUUUGAAAUAUGUUUUCCAUUUCUUCCUCUCCUCCAAGAAUCAUCAAGAAAUCUGGAAAUCUUUUUUUGAAAACCUAAAAUUAGAGUUUUUAUAAGGGGAAAAAAAACACAUGGCCUGUUCCUAUAGGCCACUUAUUCCUUAAAUAAUUACCUAAAAAUAUCUAUGAAAAAACCUAAAAUCUUGAUUUAUAAUCUUUUGGGACUGACUUCAGGUUGAUAAGAGUACAAAAGAUUCAAUUUUCGAUAUGAGGAGCAAAAUCUCAAAGUGGUGGGGCCUGAUUUUGAAAUUGAGAUAAUUUCGAAAUAGAUUUUAAAAUCAUAAAUUGAAUUUUUGAAAUCACCAUAUACGUUUGGAUUGAAGGAGUCGGAACCCGCAACAUUUUGCAUUUGAAAUGGUCCUUCAAUUCUGUCCGAUCAUCUUUAAAUGGUUAUAACUUCUUUUCGACUCUGAUUUAUGCAACGUUUGAAAAGUUGAGUUUAUGACUUCUUAAGAUUUAAAAACAUAUAUGGCUUACCCUAAAAAGAUCACGGGAAGUAUUUCAAAAAUCAUGUUAAAGUUAAGGUAUGUUCUACUACUAGGUUUGAGUUCCAAAUUUGAUUUUAAGUUUGAUUGCAUUUGUUUCAAACCUCCUUCCUUAUGGUUGUUUGUCCUUUACCUCUCAUUGUAACAUUAAUGUUUAAUGCUCAUAAUUUCCUUAUUUUGUCUAUGUAAAUGCUAAAUCUCUUUUUAAGCAUAUUGAACUCAUUACUCUACUUUAAUUGAAAAUGACUUCAGUAACUAGCAUCAUUUUCCUCUCUUAAACCUGAAAUUAAACUUAAAAUAUACGUUAGAUUCAUAACUGAGGUUUUAGCAUCAAUUUGAAUUAAGUUAGAUGAUUUGAGUUUUUAUAUUACAUAAAUCAUAUCAUAUAUAUAUCAUUGAAACACAUAUUUUGGCUCCAAUCAGAUCCCAAAUCUUGAUUAAUGGAAUUUAAAAUCAAUAAUUUUAGGUUUAUUUUGGGAAAUAUUAAAUUAGUUUUUUUUUUAACUUUAGUAAAUAAUUAAUAUUUCUAAUUUAAAAAUAAUUGAAUACAUUAAAGCUGAUCUCAAAGUCUGACAACCCAAAAUGCUUUGUGAUUUUUCGUGGCUAGGGUUAUAAUGUGCUGUUCAUGACAAGUAGGAAUACUCACGACUAUACUACAAUGACAAAAUAAUAAAAUAAUAAAAGUAAAAAAAAAUUGUUUUGUUUAUACCUUUCAUUUUUAGGAUUUGAAAGCUCAUUCUCGCUUGACUUUAUGUCGCUCUAGGUUACCUAUAUGGCCUUUUUAAUAUUUUUGGGACUAGGCCAAUCAGAUGACACGUGUCCUAGCCUACUACAAUUAAAGCAUUCUAUUUUUAUUUUUUUUAGAGAUGAUCUUAUCUUUUUCUUUGGAAGAAUUUUUAAUUUUCUUUCCCUUAUUUGGGUUUUGCUUUUUGGAGAGCUUUUUAUGAAAUUUUUGGAGAGCUUUUUAUGAAAUCUCAUGGUUUCUUUAAUUAUUUUUUAAAGUAAGGCAAGCUCUCCUUUUUCAUUUAUAUCAAUAUACUCAUACUCAAUUUCUUCAUUUUUGAAGACACCUCUAGGCAACGCCUUUAGAUUUCUUUGAAUUUGGAAGUAACAUCUCAUAUACUUUAAGGGACCCCACAAAUUUAUCAACUCUCAUAGAGUUAAUGUCCUUACUUUCUUCAAUAAUUGUGACCUUGGGCCUGAACCUCUCAGGGAGAGAUCUUAAAAUUUUUCUUGUUACUACGGACUCAAGAAUUUUCUCUCCUUGAGUUAAAGCUUGAGUUGACUAUGUCACUAAACUCUAGAUAAAAUACAAAGAAGGUCUUAUCUUCUUGUAUCAUAAUGUUUCAAACUUGGCGACAAGCAUUUGAAUUUUGGACAACUUCAUAGUCGAAAAGCCCUCAUGGGUUAUUAAGAUAAUGUCUCAGGCUUUCUUAUCACAUUUGCAUGUGGCUACCCUGCAAAAUUCAUUAGGACUAAUCCUAUUAAAAAUGCUAUAAAGAGCCUGAGCAUUCUCUUCAUUGCUCUCAUGGUUCAAUUAGUCUCAUUCUUUUUCAAACUUGAGUUCUCUAGUAGAUCUUCUAAGUUCCAUCUAUUCAGUGUUUCUUUGCAUUAGAUUCCAUUGAAUUCUAAAUUCCAUUGAAUUCUAGACCCAUUCUUUUGGCAUUUUCAAUAAAAACUCUAUACGAGUCUUCUAAUGAGGAUAGUUUUUGUCAUCAAACAAAAUUUUGGUUUUUAAAAGUUUUUCCUACUCUAAUUGUUUAGAUAAUAGAGCUCCUAAAAGCAUGACAUAAUAUAAUAGUAAUGGAUUUAUUAUUUAUUAAUAAGAUUCUUGUUUCCCAAUUUAUCCAUAAGUUUCAUGCAUUAUAUCUUUUAAGCAUUCUAGUCCAACAUCUAUUAUAUUGUACAUGAUUUGGGUGCAUUAGAAGUUGCAUGGAAGAUCUAAAUCAUAAGUUCCUUACAAGUAAAUUAUUAGUUCACAAUUGGUUCAUGGACUUAGGCAAUCCAUUUAAGGUUAUAAUACACUACCCCUUAAUUGAAAGAAUGAUUAGUCUUGGUCAUUGGGAUAGGGUUCCUAUGGUGAAUGCACUAACAUACAUGGUUACACAUUAGAUAUGACCUAUGGUGAGUCAUGACAUUAGUUAUUGGGUAGUAAUGAUCUCAUCAAAGCUAUUAUAUUGUAUGGUAUCUUAAAUGUAAAAUGAUACUAAGUUUGUGAUAAAGUUUGUAGUAACUUUGACUUAUGGGUGAGAUUUUAAGGUGGUCGUAUAGUCCUUAUGGGAGUGUAAUUGACUCUCUACAAUAGAUUUUGAGGUAACUUUAUAUUUGAAUUUUGAGAGAGUCAAUAUUUUCCUAUAGGUUUUAGUGGUCAGAUUAGAGUCGCAAAUUUUGUUUUAAUGACACAAUUAGAGAGUGAAUAUACCAUAAAAAGGCUUAACUCAUCCUAUUUAUCUCAAAUUAUUGUUAAGACCCUAGCCAUGAGUUUAACGUAUAUUUUGAGCUAAAAUCUGGGUUUAAGAUUUGAAAAUAAUUCAAGUUACAAGAACUUCUUACAUCCAUGAUAGUAAAAGAACUUAAUGUACAUACAAGGAGCUCCAAGAGUUCUCAAGCAUGAUGAGUGUUGCAACAAAUGCAAAUGGAACAAUGCAUAACAUGAAAUAUGAGAAAUGAAUAUUAUGAAGAGAUAUGGAGAGCAAGCAAAAGUGAGAAAGAAGAUUAGAGGUCAUGGCUCAAAGUUCAAUAUGGGAAUUGAAAUUCAAACAUGAUAACAACACAUACUUUGAAUUUGACGUGAGUUUUGAAGGACUUCAGGAGUUUAAUUUUGAGAAAUCAUAUAUCAUUUUGAAUUCGAGAAGUUAAUAGCCUAAAGCUUUAGACAACAUGAAAAUUGGAGUUCAAUCGAAGAAAUAUGACUAUUUGAAGACAACAAGGUAGAAUUGAAGAGUCAUUUUGUGCAUAAAGGUAGAAUUGAAGAGUCAUUUGAAGACAACAAGGUAGAAAUAUGAUGGUCAUUGUUCCCUCUCGAACUUAUGCUUCAUAGUGAUAUAGUUUGUGAGCGUUAGUUGUGUUAUUUGUUCACUUGUGUGCAUAAAGGCUUUUUGGUAAAUACAUAAAGUUGUACAAGAGCUUUUGAAUUAUCUAUUUGGAUUGAGCUAAAUAAUUAAUUAGAGUAAUCAAUUAUAAUCUAAGUGGACUAGUUUAAGUGACCUAAACUUAUGAUGGACUUGAGUCACUUAAACCUACAAGAAGACCAUAUAAAGCUUCCUUAGGGGUUAGGGUUUCAAACUUUUGUCACACUUAUCUUCUAAUCUCUAGAGAGAAAUAAACCUUAGCCACCAACCCUUUUAGAGGAUUCCACUUCUCUUGUGUUAAGAUUUGGAAAAAGCCAUUGAGUGAAAGGCUAUUGAGUUUACAAGAUCUACCAUGUAUUUGACACAUCUUCACUAAUGAGAAUGAUAUGGGAACAUGUAGAUUUGAGGUAAAACACAUCUAUCUAGAUCUAUAAAGUUUUUCAUGCUUAUAUGCUUAUGUUGCUUAAAUCUAGAAAGCCUUAGGGAGAUUUAGCAAUGGAGAUAUCCAAAUAUUCCCUAUGUUGAUACCAAUUGAAAGUUUAAAAAUCUAAAUUAGAGAACAUGUACAAGAGGUGUAUAGGCAUUAGGAAUAUUUUAGCCCCAGAUUAAUUAUUUCUAAUUCUCUAACUUUCUCUUUUAACAUAGAUAACAAAUUAAAUAAAAUCAAUGCAAGAGAUACAAAUUCUUUAUGUGAAAAAACCACCCAUACAGUCUCAUAAAGACUAUGUGGAUGUUAAAACCAUGAGGUUAGAGACCUCUAAUCACAAAUCCAUAAUUUGAAAGGAGAGUACACAAUUGUACCUAAUAAAAGCUAGCCCUAAGUCUUAGCACCUACAUGGAACUGCACAUCCAUGAUGUAGCACCACACAUGCUCCCAAUGAAUUCUACCUCAGCGCUUGAGGGGAUACAGAUCUUCUUCUCAACCCAACAAAUGUGAUGACAAACAUCUUAAAAGUUUCGGAACAAAGAAGUCUAAUUAGGUUUUUUUAAUAUUCGCAUAAAUAAAUAAAUAAAAAUUAACAUGGUAUUUAUAAUAUACAAGUACUUAGUAGGUUGAAACUCAAAUUUUCAAAGUCAAAUUGAUUAAAAUAUGAAAAUAAAUGUUAUGGAGAUUGGAAUCUUUGUUGUAACCACUCCAAGCUGUGCUUGAGUGCUUUAUGUGGUGCUUGGGCGCUCUAGGCAUUUUAAAAACAUUUUCUCUCAACUUAAAAAUCUUAAGUCCACUUCAAGCGUUAAUUAAUUAUAUAUAGCCAUUCUCAUACCUUUCUAUACUUAUCUAUGUGGUUGAUCAUAUAGUAACAUUGAAUUUUCAAUAGAAAGUAAGAUAAGAAAAGUCAAAAGAAAUGAAACAAAAUUUUCAACAUAAAAAUACCUAGUCUAGUACCAACAAAGCUAAGUUACUAAAAAUGAAUUAUGUUGUUUGAUACACAAAGAUAACAUUAACAUUAAAUAAAGUGAAUAAUCCAAUGUCCAUUAUAUUUACUAUUUUUAUUUUUAAAAUAAAAAUUUUCUAGUUAAAAAUAGAAAAAAAACUAUUUAAAAAUAGUAUAUCUUAUAAAAAAACUAUAAAUUUAUCUUAUAUCAUUAAACUCACUCUUUUUUAUUUUAAAAUUUUAGUAAAUGAAACUAGUUUUUUAAACAAUUACUUUUAUUUCAUAUAUUUUAUUUUUAAAAAUCAAAACUCUUUAUUAAAAUAUAAGAACUCUGUGAGCCUAUUUAUGGUAUUUUUACAAAACACUUUUAGUAUAAAAAGCAUUUAAAAAAAAGGUAUAUAUUUGUAGACCCCCAUUUUGGGGCACUUUCUUUCUCACCUUUCAUGCAGGUUAUUUGGCCAGGUGGCACGAUCCCGGGAGACCACGUGGCGUCUUUGGAGAGGCUGACAGAGAAUCAGGUUAGUGCUUUGAGGAGCUAUCAGAAUUCGACACCUGUAAAGGGGAUUUGGAAAGUUGCAGACUGUAGAGGUAGGAGACCCCCAGCUGAGAGUAGGAGGUCGUCUGCAUGAGGCGUGCAGCUGAAGGGGGUGGUUGGGAAAGCCAUGCUUGCUGACCGAUGAAUAGGAGGGCAAAAAGAGGAAAAAAAAAAUUGAAAAAGAGGAUAGAAGGAACAGAGGGGUUUUUCUAAGAGUUUUGAGGGAAAGAGUCUUGGUGGAACUUGAAGAGGAAGCUAAGAACAGAGGAACAUGGAGUUGCUGGGGAGUCCAGGACAUAGAGCUGAGAAGGGAAAUUUCCAGGUAUGACCAUUUGUCUUUUUGUAUAUUUUCCGUUUUUUUUUUCAGACUGCCUAGGUCUGAUUCUCAGUGAUUUUUCAUCUCUGCUUGUUGGGUUGUUCUGUUUUGGUGAUUACUGAUUAAAUAUUGGAAGAGUUUAUUGUGUUUCAUGCCCUAUUCUGACGAGUAUUUUUCCAUCUUAACUCACUAGAUGUUGGACCCAUGGAUGAAAUUGAUGAAAUGGGUCUGAUAUGCUGGUUAAAGUCUUCAUGUUCUUUUUCUUGUUGCUAUCCUGUUAUCUCCUUGUUUUCUUUUCCUCCCUGAGUGCAUACUCAAGGCUCCAAAGUCUCAGCUGCUUUCCGUGAAGCUUCAAGCCAUGGCCUCCUUGUGGCUAGAAUCUGGGUUUUCAGUGAUGAUGAGAACAUGCCUUUUCAGUUUUCUCCAAGCUUUCACAGUCAGCAAAUACCCAAGGUUGCAUACUACCAAGCAUAUUCGUCGGCUAGACGUGGAGGCACAUCUGUUGGUGGUCUGCCCAUUGUGUUUAUGUCCAUGCACAUGUCUUCACUCUGCAUGAUCCCUAUCUCUAUUCUCAUGCAAGCGUGUCGUCAUCUCAUCCCCAUGUUUUUUUUUUUUCUUAUCCACCAUACCCAUCGUUCAUCUAUCCACCUCUCUCUCUAGGUCGUCAUACCUAUUUCCUCACUCAAGCUUGCAGGAAUCAAGCAUCCUCCACCACACCCAUUUUCCUCUCAUUCAUUCUCCAUCUCACUCCCUCACUUACAUGGAGUCUCAUGGGUGCAUGUUAUCCUUCCCUCCUUCACAUACCCAUUAAAACCACUCACUCGAGCUUCCAUGUCCAUACCACCCAUACCUGUGGGAUCCUCCCUAAAAAAAUGUCACGUGGCUCUCUCUCCCUUGCACACGCAGACGGUCCCCCUUGCGACGCGCGACAUAGCUCAUUCCACCUGGGGAAGAAUUCUGUCCAGAAUUCUUCUCCGCCGACAUUCCACCCGGGUAUCUCACAUCCGGAAUUCUUGUCCGGUCGACGUCCUACCUUCUCCGGAUGCCUCACAUCCGGAAUUUCUGUCCCCUAACAUCCCACUUUCUCCGGAUGUCUCACAUCCGGAAUUCUGUCCGGCCGACGUUCAACCUUCUCCGGAUAUCUCACAUCCGGAAUUCUGUCCGCCAACAUCCCACCUUCUUCGGAUGUCUCACAUCCGGAAUUCUGUCUGCCAACAUCCCACUUUCUCCGGAUAUCUCACAUCCGGAAUUCUGUCCGCCAACAUCCCACCUUCUCCGGAUGUCUCACACCCGGAAUUUUGUCCGCCGACAUCCCACCUUCUCCGGAUGUAUCACAUCCGGAAUUCUGUCCAGCCGACAAUUCAGAUUCCCUGGACAGCUUGGCUCGUUAGACACUCGUGAUUCGCCGGAUCCAUUUCCGCCCGCAAUCUUCUGUUCCUCUUGAUGUUAAUAGGCAUGAAUGUUUUUUUUCAUAAUUCCAGAAUAAUGGAAUCUGUGAUACUAAUUCAUGCAAAAUAAAUGGGCUUUGGUGGGGGCCCGACAUAUAUGAUUCUAUGAUCGAUUAAUAGAUAGAUUGAUUUAGUUUCCAUGCACGAUUGUUUCUAUUCUGCCCUAUGACAUGCUUUAAAUUAUUCUUUAAUUGUGCACUAACCUCACCUCUUGAUAGCGCAUUGUCGCUCGUCACCCAGGUACGUAUCUAUUCCCAUUCUGGUAUUUCUAAAUGCAUGUUUUGAUUCUCAUAUGUGCAUGAUAGUUCCGGGUACUCACUGUUUUACUCGUUCAUUACCCUGAUUGCUUCAUUUUAUUAGUAAAGACCCGACUUUAGGGACUUAGAAGGGUGCUACGGUUUUUACCGUACCUUCCUGAUAAGUAACCUGACCCCCGAACCCGAAUCCGGUUUUUCGUAGAUCACCUUUUCCAAAUAAGGAGUCACACUUAGGGUUUUUCUUUCUUAUUUUGUUUACCCUUUUAAAAAUAAAACAAAAAUAAGUGGUGACUCCAAGUCAUUUUUCCUAAUCAAUAAAAUCAUUUUUUUCAAAUAAAAAUCGAGCUCGUCAUCGAGUGGGAAACACAUUGAGCCGAAAUGCGGGGUCCACAAUAUUAUACGAAAUAUAAAAAAACGCUUUCAAAAAAAUUAAAAAGUCAUUUAUAAUAUUUCUCAGAAAAAACAUUUGACUUCAUUAAUGAUUUUCUCAAAAACAUUUUUACAAAUAUUCUGAAUAAAAAUACCAUGAAACACGUUCUUAAUAUAAUAAUUUUUCAAAAAUUUUAAGGUUAGAGGAUUUUGCUUCUUCAAAUUUUAAAAUUUUGGAAAUAUAUUCACAAGAACAUAAGAUCAGCCCUAUUUUUCAUAUAAGAUUUCCUUGCUUUUAUGCAGAAGGUUCUAUUUUUGAAAACAAGAAGGAAGUACAUCCCAAAACUGCCUAAAUUAUUUCCUUUAAUUUAUUUACUUUCCUUUUUUGUUUUUUUUUAAAAUUAUUUACUUCAAUUUAUUUUCUCCCAGUGGUCUCCAAACCGUGUUCAUUCACAGCAGUGUCUACUUCCUACGGCCCCAAUACCCCACACCCCUUUUUGUUCUCCCUUACCAAAAGCACUCUUCCUUUUUUUUUUUUUCAUUUUUUCUUUUUUUCUUUUUUUUUUCUUUUUACCUUCCAAGCACAGUCUCCUGCUUCUUCUCGCCGACCAUCUGAAGAUUCUUUUGCAUUUUUCCCCCUCUAGAACGGUUUUCCUGGUAAGUUUAUAUCUUUGUUGGUCCUUCAAAGAUUAGUUGUUACAAUCUGCAUUGGUUAGUUGGUCCGUUUGGUCAAUGGGAAAACAAAGGAAAAAGAAAACAAAAGAAAAGAACUGGAGAUUUUACCCCCUUCUGUUUCUUUUGGUAUUUGAUCGGAGGAAUCAGUUUAUUGAGCUCAGUUGGAUGGAGAUUUGGUUGCUUAGAGUUUAAACUAUGACAGUUUUUUUUUUUGGUUCCUCUUUCUCACUUUUUCUGAGGUUGGUCUGUUUGGAUGUCUGAGAACACCAAGGAAAAGGACAAAAGCCAGAAGAUUAUGAUCCUUCCUCUGUUUCUUUUGGUUUCUCACGAUUGGAAAAUUUUGGGAAAUCAAUUAAAGUAAUUAGUUCCAUUGAGUUUUGUCAGGUAGGAGAUUUUAGUUUUUGAAGACCUUAAGUAUUAAUUUCCUCUCUUUUCUUGGAGUUUCUCAGCAACCAAAGUGCUUUGAUUCUGUAAAUUGAUUCCUUAUCGUUGAAAAAAGAUUCAGCUUUGUGUAUUAUUUGGUUCAAGGAAUCCUUAUCUAACACUCUAUUUGCUCUUUUUCAGUUGAGAUUCUGGGAUAAUUCAAAUUCAUUCUUCUCGCCUAUAUGAUAUUCUAUCAUGUAUACUCGAAAUGUUUCUUGAAAUGUUGGCACUACCCUUCAAUGUGAAGGAUAAAAUAGAACCAGAAUUUUUUUCUUAUCCAAGUAAAAGCAUGGAGGCCUCAGUUGAGGCUGUGGAGAGAAUUAUUAACUACAAAUUUAGGAACAAAAAGCUCUUAGAGGAGGCCUUGACUCAUUCAUCUUACACUGAUUCCGCAUCGUAUCAACGACUUGAGUUCAUUGGUGAUGCUGCAUUGGGCUGUGCUCUAAGCAAUUAUGUGUUCCUUGCAUACCCAUCACUUGAUCCCGGUCAACUCUCUCUGAUCCGGGCUGCCAAUAUCAGCACUGAGAAACUUGCUCGUGUGGCUGUUCGAGUUGGGCUUUAUCAGUAUGUCCGGCACAAUGCUGCUGCUCUUGAUGAUAAGGUAUUAGAUUUGAUUAUUUUAUACAAGGAACAAUUAAGUUUUAAAUAAUGAUAUGUUCUUGGCUGAUACCCUGUGAUUUUAGGUUAGAGAAUUUGCACUUGCAGUCCAAGAGGAGGGUGAUUCUGUUUUGUAUGGUGGAUCAGUAAAAGCCCCUAAAUUUCUCGCAGACAUUGUUGAAUCUGUGGCAGCAGCAAUUUAUGUAGAUUGUAAUUUUGAUCUGCAAGUUCUUUGGGUGGUGAGUAUUUUGUUGAUUUAAUUCUCUUUUAACAAUUAUUGUCUUUACUGUUGGUAUCUUGAUGUAGUUUUUUAUGUUUUGCUUUUAUAUUUUCAGAUCUUUAGGGGUCUCUUGGAGCCUAUUGUAACACAUGAAGCCUUGCAGCAACAACCCCAACCAGUGACAUUGCUCUAUGAACUGUGCCAGAAGGAUGGAAAGCAUGUCGAUAUCAAGCAUUGGAGGAAAGGGUCGAAGAAUAUUGCUAGUGUUUAUGUAGGUGGCAAGUUUAUUGCCUCAGGUUCUUCUGACGAGAAGGAAAUUGCAAAAUUGAAUGCUGCAAAGGAAGCCUUGCAGAAGCUGUCAUCUAAAUUAAAGGACACUGAGAUGACCCAGAAUAAUCUCGAGAUCAAUGGAUCAUGUGAGAUUGAUGGAGCAAAACAGAAGUUACAUGAGUUUUGUAGCAAGAAGAAGUGGCCCAAACCAAGUUACCGGUAUGAAAUUCUACACAUUGGAAGAUCAUAUAAAUUUCUUUAUUUUAAUCCUUAAUUGUUUCCUAAUUUGUUCGAUGCAUAUAAAUUUUUAAAUUUGUUUUGAUAGUUUGCAGAUCAUAGUUUUUAUUGGAUGACGAAUUCAGAGAGCAAAUUCUCAUGCUGUGUUGACAAAUAUUUUAGGAGUACCAUUAACAAUAUUUAGUGUGUGUGUGUGUGUGUGUGUGUGUGUGUGUGUGUUUUUGUAUUAAAGUGAAUUGAAUGAAACAUGUGCAGUAUGAAGGGCUUCUAUACAUUAGUUAACUUGUUAUGACAUUAGAGUACCUAGAUGAGGUGGAGGAAUAUUUUAGGGUGUUCCAUGGUCAGUGACGCCCCCAUGAUUGUUCCGUGGAAAGUUAGAGACUUCCCUACAGUGGGAUGGACAGUAUGUGAGCAAGAGGAGACAGCUUGCUCACAAUGCAGCCCAUCAUUGUAUUAUGCGGUUCAUCUACAGAGAACAAGAAUGACCUUUUAGGAAGAAUAGCGACUGACCCCCAGAUUAAAAUACUUGGUCUUAAAUUCUUUGUUUUUGUGGGCCAACUUGUUCUUUGGGUGUUUUGUUGUUGACACGUGUUUUAGGUUGCAUUCCCUCUUUUUUGAGUCAUGCUAAGAAUUAUCUUUGCACAAAAUGUAAGAAAACAUAGAAAUAGAAUAUCCAGAUUAGGUAAGAUAGAUCUUCUAUUAGGGUAGAAGAUUGUGGUUUUGGACAAGAGGUGAAGUAAGGUUUGGCAAAUGAACUCCCUUAUGCUUGUUUUGGUGCACAUGGUGAGCUUAAUAGAACAAUUUUCAAUGAGGAAGAGCUUCCCAGUCUAAGAGUGAAUAGGAUCUUUGUUAAGUCCCUUUAGCUCCUUUGGGAAUAGGGAAUUGAUUGUAUAUUGUGGGAUUUUUUGAUAUCCUUCACUGUAAACAAGUUGGUCCUUAUGAUGGCUCUCUUGUCCAGAAGGUUUUUUGUUCUUCCUUCUUACCUUGGUGCUUAUUGUAUGGCAUCUGUGUACAUAGGUUGCACCCUUUUUGUUAGGGACUGAUUGAUAUAUCUUCUAUUUUCCUAUCAAAAAAACAAAAAAAUGAAAGGAUGGUAUGCCAUGUGAAACCAAACCUAUUGAGUACAUCAGUGAUGUGACAUGAUUGUUCAUUUGAAGGUACUACUAGAACCAGGAAGGCCAAAAGUAAUGUGUCAAGGCUGAAUGACCAGAUUGUACUCUCAAAAGCAUUGGUGGGGUAACAGUUUGUUAAGCUGAGAUCUUACAAAGGAUAGUUUCAGAGGAAAACAAAGGGAGCACAUCUCCUUAGCCACAAGAGGAAAAGCAGGAGUGAAAGGGAUAUCAAACUUCCACCAUGCAACCAGAAAUUAAGAACAAAUGGAGGAAAAACCCACUAAUUGACUUUGUUAUGCAAUGUUGGAAGUUCUACAGUUUGGAUGAUCAAAGUGUUCGUAAAACUAGAAUUGUAUUUCUGGAUUAGAACCCACUAUAACCAAUACAUAUUCGGUAAUGUACCUCUAUGUUAUCUGAUUCUUAAACUAUGAAAGCAUCUAAACUCAUAGAGACAGAGGCUUACGCAUAUUCUUCUCACUCCACUGUGAUGAACUUACUUCGCAGCCAUCUGUGGCCCUUUUCUUUGUCUUUGAUUAUGACUAGAAAUAACUGUUUUUACAGUGCAAUGAGACUGGUGGUAAAGGGGAGCAAGUAGGAGACAAGGAGAGGAAUCUAUAACCUGUGUUUUAAUUUCAUGACUGACUUCUUUCCUUUAUUUAAUUCUUUCUUAAAAAUCAUAUGGAUUAUAGAAGUUAAAGCUUCUUCUGUGGUGGUGAUUUUGAAUAGGAUCAGGUAGUUCUGUUUUGUUUUUAUAUGAAAUGCACUAGUGGAGUGUUUGAAUGGAUUCUUAAAUUAUUUAAUUCAAUUUUUUUGUGAAUUUCCUCAUCUAUUUCUUGCUAGAGAAUUUUAGGAUAAUUACGUUACUUUUCAUCUUGCUUGGUUACCCUUGCUAGGAAAAGUUCAGGCUCUUUCUUAAGUAUGAGGCCAUUGAAGAGUAUCCAAAGUCCAGGAAUUUACGUUGGUUUUAGUUGUAUUGAAAACCUUAAGAACCAUAGUAGAGUGCCUACUCCAAGUGCUUUAUCUUUCUUAUGUGUAAUCAGGGUUUAUUGCGAUUAGUUACUGCAACGCUCACAUGGCUUCUAUGCUUACACUAGCCAACAUUGCUUCACUCAAUCUUAAAAGGAAGUGUUACAAUGGUUACUGAGUGGACACAUGGUUUUUAUGUUUACACUACCCAACAUUGCUGGGCUUAAAGUUAACAGAAACUACAAAUUCAGAAAGAAAUAUAUCUGAAUCGAGGAAAGUUAGAAGAAGUUAACAGAAAUUACAAGCUCAGGAAGAAAUAUAUCUGAACUGUGGAAAAUAAGAACUAUGAUAAUCUAGUGUGCUUGGGUUGUGCUCCUCUUUUUUGUAUGUGCCUCUUGAUAUGAUUGUCUUUGUCUAUUACAAAAAAAAAAAGGGAAUAAUCAGAAGUGUGAUGUAGUGGCAAGUCUUUAGAGUAAGCAAGCUCUAUGUGCCAACAUUACUAGUAAUAGCCAAAUUUUCCUGGAUUAGUCUUCAUAGAAGAUUUCACAUUCUUUCAAUAGCAAAAUAGUUAGGCAUUUUAGCUAUGACCGCUAGCAUUACAAUUUUUUAUUUUUUUUAUCAUAUUUGCAAAAGAUUGGUUUAUCCACAGAAUAAAGAAAUAAAUUAUAAAAGAGAAGGUAAAGAAAACAAUUAUUUCACUACUUUUUAUGUUCAUAUAUAUCAUGCAUGCAAUUAUUGUCCUCGUGACCCAGCUUUUGAAAGAAUUGUUUUCUAGUCUCCUCACUUCCCCAUCUUACAUUGCAAGUAUCCAUUCUUAAUUAUCUUUUGCUUCAAUGUGCAGAAUUGAAAAAGAAGUGGGCCCUGCUCAUGAAAAGGGAUUUUUGUGCUCUGUCCAUAUCGAAACUGUAGAUGGUGUGCUUGUGAUGCAGGGAGACACAAAACCAAGAGUAAAGGAUGCUGAAAACUCUGCUGCUUCCUUCAUGAUUUGCACCCUAUAUGAGUCUAGAUAUCCGUGAUGCCACUUCCUCUCAAACUGGCUCCUUCAUCCAUCCAAACCUACUUGUGUAUGAAAUGGAGGAAAAGCUCCUACCUACAGACAAAAAGCUCAACAGUCCUGUGAAUAAUAGAACCGGAAAAAAAUACAGUGAGUAGCUGCCUUUCAUGUACUUUACCACAUAGGAUCGUGUGCCAAAAUAAUUUUACUUCACUUUUAUUAGUUUUUGAGAUGAGCAUAACCUUUUGGAUGUUAACAACGUGAUGUUCAGUAGUGGCAACUGCCAUAUUGUGCUUAAAUUUUCCAUAGCUGGUUGUGUGCUGUCUCAAAUUUCUCAAUCUGUAGAAAGCUACAAUUUCCUAUCAAAUGUAUGUACAUUCUAAGGUUGUGUUCGUUGCAUUGUGUGUAUAUAGAAUCAGUUUUGAUUAUAUCGUAAAUCCAGAAUAUCUAGAUGAAACCUUUUGGUCAUAGUCAUUUUCAUUUUGAAUGAAUGAGGCCUUUGCAGUGUGUAAUUUUUUCAUUUGAAUGACGUGGGGUUUCCAAGAAGCUUUCUUGCUUGAACCAGAAUCUCCCUGAGCCUCACUAGGUUGAUCUUCAUAUCCUGCCCGUCCAGAUACACAGCUCUAGCAACAUCAUAGCCUUUCAAAUGUAUGGAUUGGGGAUCGGCAAUAAUCGGUUGAUCCCGACCAUAUAAAUCAAAGAGGGAACUCUCUUCUGCCUCAAUCUUGUACUCCAAAUACUGCACACCUAUCUUUCUAGCUGGGUCUCCAUAGUUGGCUGCCGAUGCCCUGUCCAGCCCCAGUGGCACCACCUGCACCGUCACUGCUCCGGCAGGCAGCAAUACUGAGUUUGCUAGGCCGGCACCAUGGGCUCCUACCAUCACACUACACGAGUUCACAACCUGGGCAAACUUGUCCAAGCUUGACAUGUUAUAAGGCGGUGUUAUGAUCACCUGAAACCCUAGGUCCUCCAUCAAACCCACCGUUUCAUCUUCAUUCAAGAACUUCCUAGUUGUACGACGAGAUAUUAGAAUCAGCACAGGCUUAGGGUGUUCUAUCUCAGACGCAGUUGUAAUCUUCAGGCUGUAUGAUUUUCUGAGAAAAUGCUUGAAGUCACUCAUGGAGUAGCCUCCAGGAAUGUCACUGGUAUUGAGGGCCAGAUUGUCGUGAUACUUGAGACCGAUAACAGCCCCUGGGAAGCAGUGCACGCUUCCAUCUUCUGCUGGGUUUAUAGCGUUGUAUGCAGACAACUGUUUCAGAAUCCUCUUGUACCUUUCGACCAUCCAAGGCUUAUCGUCAGUAAUGACAAACUGGAGGCGGGAUCAGAAAUGUCGGGAUGUGAUGAAUAAGGGGAUGAUCACCUCAUUGAAUUCAUGAAAGAGGUUUCCUGUGAACCCGCCGGAGGAGAAGACCAUGGCCGGGACAUCGUGGGUGAAAUGGCAAGCUGGUGGGUCAAUGUUUCCGUGAAGUAUAUAUCUGCACUGGGCUAACAGCCUUCAUGGCGAUUUCGUCAUCUUUCCUUGCAUAUGGCUGAACACUCUGUUUAAAUUCAUCUGAACUUUGAUCAGACAAUACGUAAACUGUAUGGUUGUUGAUCCUAACUGGUUUAUCGGUGACGCAGACUUCUGAAUGAAGAUCUGAGUAGCAAGAAAAUCCAGUGGCUUCAAGCUUGACUCGAUCUUCCCCUGGUUGAAUGUUUCAAAUUUGAGUUACAUAAACUAGGAGAAAAUAAUCAAGAGCUUAUAACGUGAGAUGACCAUUUUUUGUAGUCUUUUUCAAUGAAUCAUACAGUAGAGAGGAGGAAAGAACCUCUCACUAGCCUUCUCAGAAUGGACCUCAGUGGUUCUCUCUCUUCCAUGUCUCUAUCAAUCUUCUCUGCAGCAUGACUAGAGCUUCUACCCCAAUUCCAUAAAUGGUGCUUCCCUUCAUCUCCAAACAAACUCAAAUCAGCCAAACCUAGUGUGAGAAAACGAAAAAUCAAGAUCAAAAUUUGACUACAAGUUAGAAGAAUUACAUGAAUCUAAUGGACUGAAACUCCAUGUGAAGAAUGCAGCAUAAAGGAAAGCAAAAAUGAGUAAGCAGAAUAAUGAACUUCCAGCCAGAACAAAGCUCCUUGAUUCCUUCCCCAUCCUAUACAAAUCCGAUCAAAACCAGUAGAUGGGGGUUUCAUAUAUAUUCUAACAACGCAAUAUGAACAUCACAAGGACUAUUCCUGAAAGAGUAAAAGCUCUUCAGUUGGGGUGUCCAUUUUUCUCAUAAGACUCCAUUGCUGUGACUAUAAAACUUGAUCUGCCUUUGUGAAAAUAUUUACUUCCCCUGAAUGAGGUUCCUUCUUCUAUGUUGAUGAUGCUGUUCUAAAUUAACUCAUUGCCACCAUCCAAGUUUCACGACCUUUAAACCCUUGCAGGCUCCUGGACUCGAUGACACGCCUUGGCCAUGCAUUACCUACCUUGAUGAUAUAUACCUUACUGACUUAAUUAUGAUUAAAAUUGUCAAUUAGUGAUAAUUAUUUGUAAUUUCUAUACAAAGGGACGGCUGUGAUCGAGGUCAAUGGCUUACCAGAAGGCGAUCGAGAUCGAGGCCACGGCAAUCAAAUCUAUCAUUUUCUAAUGUUGGAAGUCUUUACUAAGCAUUUUUAUGGUUUGGGUAGGAGGUUAAGCAAAUAGAAGCUCAAUGUUUUAAAUCAUGAUGUCUUUAACUUGCAUUUUUAAUUGUUGGUAGUUAAGGUGUCAAAGACAUUUCUAAUGUAUACUUCUUAAAUUGAUAUUGGGGGUGUUGACAUGGUCCAUGCUGACAUUGGGCUGUUGGGCUUUUGAGCUAUUGGACUGGUUUAACCUAGUUCUCACUGUAGUCCUUUCAAAGCCCAAACUUUAUAUGGGCAUGGGCUCUUGGAACAAGAAUCAAUAGGUAAUUUCACUGGACAAACUUGGCCAAGUGUGAAGAGCUAGUUAUCACUUCCAUGGAAUUAGAUGGAGGGGGGUCAAUCGGUGAUGUUUCCCAAAUUUUAUAUUAUUGAAUUUUUAAUAGUUAGUCCACUUAAUUGACCAUAGAUCAAUACUCUCUACCUAGUGCCUAUCCUCAAUGUCAAUAGGUCUGUUUGGAAAGUAUUUUGAAAAAUAGUUUUAAAGAAUAGUUUUUGAAAACUACUUCUAAAAAAUUGAUUUGCAAUAUUUUACAAAGCAAAAGUUUAUUUAAAAAUUUGAAAGAUUUUUAACAUAUUUUUUUUAUAUUUUUUUUUAUAUUUUUAGAUAUUUUUUAACACUAACUUUUAUCCAUCAUACCUUAUUUUUAAUCAUUCUUCAUGUACAAUUCUUUUUUAAAACAAUUUUUAUAAAAUAAGUAAAAAUAUGUUCUCAAGAACUAAAUGAAAACUCUGUUCUGUUUUCUAAUUGUUAAAUAUGUUUUUUUUAACCCUUUUAUUCUUAAAAUUAAAAAGCCAUUUUUAAAAACAAUUAACAAACUAAUCCCUAGUCUCUCAAAUGACCAAUGAACUUAUAUAUCAUCCACAUCAAGGACAAAUGAACUUAUACCAUCUAUAGAUCAUCCAUUGAACCAUGAUUAGAAAUGUCUCGACUCUUUUAUGGUGAAGGGUUUAAUGAUUGAGAUAGUUGAAAAGCCAAAUAAAAGUUUUUUUGCAAAAAGUGAACAAUAUUUUCUCUAGAAGUUAACAAAAUCCUUACAAAAGUUGGUAAAUUUCCAAAAGAAAGAAAGCUAGAAGAUCUCCAAUGAGAAUCGAAAUAUUCUCUAUGAAAGAUAAAAUAUGACCUAUGAUAAUGUGGAAUAUUUUAUUCGAAACGUUUUUUAUUCAAUGGUUCAUUUUCCAAUCUAAGAUCCUCCUAACAUGAGAGCCAUUACUAGAAGUGUUCAACUCAUAUGUUUAGUUUUUGUUUUUAUUUUUAAAUUUAUAAUCCAAUUUAUAUUACACUUAUAGACUACAAGCUUCUUUAAUUUGUAAUCCAAUUUGGGUAAUUUGAGUGUCAUUUACAUUUUUUUCCUUGUAAGGACAAUUGUAUUAGAUAAUUAAAUUAUAAAUUAUCGAUUUAUAAAAAAGUUCUUAGGAGGUGAAACAUCAUAAUCCAAUAAGCCAUAAAAAAAAAUACUUAAUUGAGCCAAUAUCAAUGUUGAGUUUUAUCAAGUAAAUAUAUUUCCGAUCCAACUUUUGGAUUUUUUUUUCUGAGUCAUUGCACUCUAAUAGUUGAAGCACUUCAAUACUCGAGAAUGUCAUGAAUCCAUUCAAUUCAUAUUUUAAUAAAUAUAUUCUGAACUCUUUCAAAGGUGUGUGGAUUCACCCCCUUCAAUCUUUUGUAAAUCAUAAUACCAAAAUGAUUUAUUGUUAAAGCUUAAAGUUGGAGAGAUUUAGACUCAUCUAUAACAUUUCAUAAAACAAAAGUUUGUUUGAAAACUUUAAAAUAUUUAUAACUUGUUUUUCUAUAUUUUAAAAAUAAUUGUUAUAUGUAGUGUUUUAUUUUUAAUUAUUAUUUAUAUUUAUAUAAUUAUUUUUUAAAAUAAUUUUUCGAAAAUAAGUAAAAAAAAUUAAAACAAUUAAAAAAUAUUUUCUAUAAACAUCAUGUUUUCUAUAUUUAAAAAUAAAAAACUUUUUUUCAUUUUUUAUUAUUAAACACUUUUUCUUUUCUUUUUGGAAAAAAAAUAAACAAAACAAAACAAAAACUGUUUUUGAAAACCGUUGUCAAAACAAGGCUUUGGAUUUACUGUCUUCAAACAACUUGAAAAUAUAAACUCAAUAAUACAAAAUCAAAGUUACUCAAAACACAAACCUUAAAUCAGAUAGAAAAAUUUUACAAAUUUCAACUUUUCAAAGACGCCUUAAUUAACCAAAUCUUUCAACAAUUUUUUCUUCCUCAAUUCCAUUUCACUUUGUAGAUGUGAAGAAUUUCCUUUAAAAGAAUUUAUGAAACUAACUUAAUACACAUUAGUAAAAAUAUUUUCUUCAAAAAAUAUAAUUUACAAGAAUUUCAUUGAAAUAAAACUUUCUAAAAACUUAAUAACUUUCAAUCAACUAUUUGCAAAACUUUGCAUAUCUGCAACAAUUUUUUUCUUUUUUAAGAAAUCUUAAAAAAUUUCAAGAUGCAAUUAAGAAUGCAUGAAAAUUUUCAAAUCUCAUACUUUCAAGCCAUGUCUUAAAUUAGAAAUCUCUUCAAGCCUUUAACUUAAUAUAGUAAUUUCUCCACUGUAAUAAUUCUCAUAAUUGGAUGUGGAUUGGACAAAAAUAAACAACAUUGACUUAGACAUCUAUUUUUGACAGAAAUUGUCAAUUACAAAUUUAAAAAAAAAAAAUCUCUUAACAAUAUUUAUCAAACAAUAUAAUUAGGGGGAUCAAAUUUAUAAUUGUGAAACCAAAGUUUGGUUAAUCUCGGUUUUGAUGAUAACAAAAUAAGGUUUAGAACUAAUGAUUAUAUUUCAAGUGUGUUUAGGCAAGACGAUUUUCAAAGUGACAAUCACAAAAACAAAUCAAGUCAAAGAGAAAUCAUGAAGAAGAAAAAGAUUUCAAAGAAAAGUGUUUUUCAAAAUUUAUGCUUCAUAAGAUCUCUUUGUAAAGUUGUUAGUGCACUAUGAUUUUCACACAUUACAUUCUUUACUUAUGCACCAAAAUCAUAUAAAAGUUAUUUUGUUUUAAAUUUUUUAAAAUUGGAUGAUUUCAUGUUUUCAACUAAAACCUGGUGUCAAAUGUUUUCCAAACUUGUUUAAAGUAUUUUAAGUUGAAAAAGUUAGUUGUUGAACCAAAAACGGCUCAACUAGUUGAAUCGGAUGAGGAACUCGUCGACCCCCAGCUCAACCGGUCGAGGGAUGCAAAAAAAAAAAAACUCUCUCUUCCAGAACAAUUGUUCAACUGGUCAAGGUUGAACAAGAACCGGUCGACCCCCGCCUCAACUGGUUAAGGUCCAAUCAAGGGGUAGUGAAGGUCCAACUGUCACCUACCAAGAAUUAAAUGCUAACAGCUAGUCAACCGGUCGACCCCUAACUCAAUUUUUCAAACCCCCAAUGGCUAAUUUGACUUUUUUCUUCUAUAAAAAAGCUACAAUCUUCAUUGUUUCAUGAACUUAACUUUCCCAAACUUUUCUUGAAUAUAUUUGAGUUUUUGAAUAGUGUUUUUUAAUGCACCAUUAUUCUAAAACUUGCAUAUUAUUAGUACACCAUUCAAUCCUAGUUUACUUAUAUCAUUUGAGUCUAAAGUUUUGUACUAAGAGUUUGUGAAAUUAUUUGUAUAUCUUUGAAAGGAAGAAUAUAAGUGUGAGGUAUCCCCUUAAGGAUUCUCAAGUAUGGAGUAUCACUUGAGGGGUUAUUUAAGAGUGGGGUAUCUCUUAAAAAGUGUAAUGGGUGCUUGGAGCCAAAAGUUCAAGAGAGUGGAUUAGAACCAUAAUCCAAUUAUAUUGCUUGAAGACUUAGUUUGGAAGUCUUGAAUUAGUGGAACCUCAAGUUUAGGAUUGAAACUAGAGGAAAGUAGAUAUAGGUCGAGUUGUCUUAGCUUGGAAUUACCUUAGGUUAGAUUAACCUAAUUUUUCUAACAAUAAUAAAUCACCUCAUUUUAAUAGAGACCAAAAAAAGGUUAAUAGGUUGAUAAGGAGAACAAAUAAUUAAGAAUUUUAUACAAAAUUUAUAGACUAAGAAUUACUUUUAAAAAUUUUUUAAAUUCGAAUAUACCUUAAGUUUUUAAAUUUUUAAAAAUAAUUAUUUUUUCAAUAUAAAUCUUUAAAAGUUAUUAUAUUUUAUAUUAUUAUAAUUUUAUGUUUUUAAAAACAAAUAAAUAUUUAAUAAUUUAGAACUAUUUUCAAUUUAAACCUCUAAAAUUGUUUUUGAAAAUAAAAAAUAGAAAGUACAUCGAAUUAGACACUUAAUAAGUUAGAAGUACGCUUUGAUAAAUGUUGUGUUAAGAGUUAGUUCAAAGGUCAAUUAUCAGUCUUUAUUAUUUAUGGAGACACAACUAAUAAAUUUAAUUUAUUUAAUUGAACUUAAUAUUAUAUAGUUUAUUGUACUAUUUUGCUUGUUUAAAGGGGUGGAAUAUGCAAAGGUAAUAAGUAUGGAUUGUCCUGAAUAUUUGGCAUACUUUUCAUAGUGCUAUUAGCCUUGUAGGUAAGUGGUCCUAAUUCCGUGCUGUCUUAGUUUCUUUAACACCUUUCCUAAACCCCCUUUUUUCAAAUUGAUGAAUUGGCAAAUUCAUGCAUGUACCCAACCUCAAAUCAUUUCCAUCAUUGGCUAAUUGGCUUGAGCAUAUACCCUUUUCAAUAUGUUAUAAUGAGAAUAUUCGAAUUUAGAAUAAAAAUAAACAGAAUAAGGAUAGAUUUGGGAUUUUUUUUUAUAACUUGAGUCAGGUUUUAAUCUUAUCCCGUGUCAUCCCAAUUAUAUAUAUAUAUAUAUAUAUAUAUAUAUAUAUAUAUAUAUUAUUAAAAAUUAUAAUAUUUAUUUAUUCAUAAAAUAUAUUUAGUUUAGUGUAAUUAUCAAAUUUAUUGAUUCUUCUUUAUUUGAGACUAUAGAAUGUUUCAAGGGUUGGAUUAUUCGUCCAUUUAAACGGUAUAUGAGUUGGGUUCAGAACAUCAUGAGAUAGUUUAAUUCGAAUUAGUAGAUCCUAAUAAAGGGAGUAAUACUGCCAUAUGCAAAAAAAAAAAAAAGACUAGUAGAAUUGGCAAAGGUAAAAGCUCCUUAAAACCAAAAAGUAAGAUAGAAAAGGGGAGAAAGCUAUCCGUUCUUAGUCUCAUCUCAUUUAAUAUUCUUAUUAAGAUGGGGAGAAAAACUAAUUUAUAUAAAUAACAUAAAAUCGGGUGGAGUGACUCAUUCUAAACCCAAACCCAACAUAAAAUCGUUUUCACCUUUAAGAUGUUCAAUAAUUUCAUAGAAUCCCACAUAAUUUGGCCUCUUGGGCUAGCCUUUGAGAAAUUCCAAUGCCAUUAGGGCAGUGUGAUUCAGAUUUUGAACCAGAAGUCAUUUCACUGAAAAAAUCUGAUUAAAGGCACAAAUCCUUGAAACAUGCAUGAAUCUUUUGUGAAGAUUGCGGUGGUGUCCAUAUGUGAAAUGGGCAUCAUGAGAAUAUCAGGUGGAACCAUGAAAAAGUAAGAUAAGGACGGGACCAGGGCAAGAGCGUAAGCAGCCUCUUCAUGGACCCUGCAACUGACCAAUACACAAAUGGAAUUUUUUAUAUUUGGAAGAAGAAAAAAUGUCCACACUUCUAACUUACCACCACAAACAAAAAACAUAGAGAAAAAGGAGCCCAACUUUAGAGCCAAAAAGGAAAAAUAUUGAAAAAGAAGAAAUCUUGGCAAAGAUGUAUAGUAAGAACAUUCUAGGCAAUGGACCCCACUCACAUCACCCCCACAGCAUCAUCUCAAUCUUUCUCACGACAUUUUCAGUGAAAUGAUUCUUUUUUGACAUAUUCUUAAGUCGGUAUAAAAAUUCAACAACCCCUCUACAAAUGAUUCUCUAACCCUAACUACAUGAAGAGGGCUUUGAGACUCCAAAUUUUUUUGUUUAACAGCAAUGACUCACUCUUUUUCAUGUAAAUAUUAUCCAUUCAUUUUAAAGUUAAGAAAAACUCUUCACACAUACACUUCUUAUUUGAUGUGGAAUAUCGCAUCUAUCUCAUAGAAACACAUCUUUGUCAUGUCUUAUGGGAUUGUAGAUUACUCAAACAUAUGGAAAAUGAGUUCCAACAUCAUCCAUAACCAUCUGUUCUCGUCUACAUAAAAAUUAUCCAUUUUUAACAUAAUAAUGGAAGUGUAAGCUAAGAGACAGUUUUAGGUAGACAAUUUCUAUGGGACGUAGGCCUUCCAAGAGGCAACAGAGGCAUGCAGAGGUUUCCUUGGACCGAACGAAGAUUGGCUCUUAAGUGCAAAGGUAGAAGGAAGCUUGACUGCAAGACCCACCUAUCAAGCAGGGACGAAAUUCGGCCUUAGUGAUCCGAUGGUGCCAAGUGGAAGGGUUGUCACUCAACAGAUAAAAGUUACUUUAAGAAUAAUAAGUUGAUCUUCCCCAAAAGCUCACAUCAACAAGAAGGUUUGGCACUUCAAUGUCGACUCUUCGCUGCCUAAAAUUGUAGUAUGUUCCAAGGGUUAAUUGGAUUGUUCACCCAUUAAAACAAACUUUAAAAUGCAUAUUAGAAAAAUUUAGUAUUAUUAGAAACUUCUUCCUCUCUCCACCAUGGAAUAUCAUAAUGUACUGAAAGAUUGGUUUUUUCGUAGGAAAUCAGUAACUAAAAGAUCUUUACAGCAAUGUCUCAAGGUCAUUAAUCAAUCCUCAAGUCAAAGUAGUACUUUAGAGAAGAAAUAAUGAAAAAUGGCAAAUAAUAUAUCAAAGUUAUAUAGGUUAUGUCAUGUGAAGUCGGUAUUCAUUAAUUUCUCCUAUUGUCAAGUCCUUCUCUCGACCGGCUUUUUGUAGGCACUGGUGAAUAAUAGAGAGUAGAGGUUGAAGUUUUCGCACAUAUGUUGGUGAUGAGACUGAUAGCGGUACUUAAUCUUGUUGAAUGUUGGCCCGUCUGCAUACUGAAAAGGAAAGCAAGUAGCUCUGGAUUUUGAUUUUGUUGGUGCCUUUCUGGUUUUCAUUUAUUUCAAUUCAAAUACGAAAAUGAAGACACUUGGUGCCUGUCUGCCAUUUAGCAAAGACUUUUGGUACACUCAAAAGUCAUCACCAUCAAAUUAACCUUUAAUUAGAACCAAAUUACUUGGCAUGGGGAUCAUUCUUAUGACAAUUAUGAGCUCUAAGACCCCAAUUAUUCGGGUUCAUGGAAGGAAUUUUGUUUUGCUAACUGUAUUAGACUGCGUCGUAUUUUUAGUUAAAGUUUUUUAUCCGAAAAUGUUUUGAGGAGAAUUAUGGAUCAAGUAUUUCUCCAACAAACAUCAUAAAUGAUUUUUUAAUAUAAUAAAUUAUUUUUCAAAAUUUUAAAAAUAUUUUUUAAAAUUUAUCAAACACUUAAUUUUUUCUAAAACCAUUUUUUCAAGUUAAAAACACUUCUUAAAAUCAUUAUCAAAUGGGCUCUUAAACUACUAAAAAAAAAUGAUCUUUUGUUAUGCUUUUAAUUUUGUGUCAUUUACUUAAUUUAUAUAUUAUAAACUAAAAAACAUAAUAUAUAUUAUAAACUAAAAUCCUACAAACUUAAAAUUUUAAGAAACCAGUAGUUUAACAUAUGUCAAAGUUUCGUUUGCUAAAAGGUUAUGCAUUCCACCCUUACCACAUAUUUGUUUCCUCUAUUUACACAUAUGUUUGAUUAGUCAAAAAAGGGUUAUUUCUAUUGUUUGCCCACGGACCCGUGUUAGACUUAAACUUUCCACACGACGUAAGAUAUUAAAUUUAAAUUUAUAGAAAAAUUGGCAAGUAGGAUACAUAUGGCAUCAUCUUAGACCUCCAUUUCCAUUUUAUCUCAUACUUUUUAGCACUAUCACUAGGCAUUAAUUAGCUUAAUCUUUUCAUCAACUAGCUGGCCUUUUUUCUAUGGUGACACCAUUUUCAUCAGAAAACACCACUGGCAGUAUUUGUUGUACUAUUACACCUACUCCAAUAUGUAAUUAACCACAGCCACAUGCAUUAAGUUUUGUCAUUCAUCGGAUAUUUUCAACUAUCUCUUCUGACCAGGGGAAUCAACUAUAAGGAUCAAAGCAAUGGCCGCCUUUUGAAAGAACCACAAGAAAUUUUAUGAAUAGAAGAAAAUUCUCUUCAAAAAAAUUCAGCAAGAAAAUGGACAAUCUUGUGAGAAUCAAACACAUGGUAGAGAUUCUGCAUCUUUUUUCAGAAAGUAUUCAACUCAUGGAAACAAUCAACUGAUGGGUGAAUUACAGGUAAUUGAUGAUUGCAGUGACUUUGAAGCCAUGGAAAGUAGAGUGAAAAUCUCCAGCAUGAAACUUCGAAUAGUACUUCAUCAACUAUGCUUUGUGCUUAGGAUGGUAACUUGAAUAUGCCAAAAAGAAAUUGAAUGAAAAAUAUACUAAAGAAAGGGUGACGAGAGAGGGAAUAUAAGCCACAUAAACAUUAUCUAUGAUCAUUCAUACUGGAACUAAGUACAAAUGAAGACAUGUAUGCCUUGAUUCACCACACCCCUAUGUUUGAAUUUUGUAUGAAAUGUCUAGAAUUAGAGUACCAAUCACCUCUUACAUUUUGAGGUCAAGAAGGGAAAAAUCAAACUAAAACAAUUUGUGAAAGGAAAAAAAAAAAAAAAACCAUGGCCUUAGAAACUAAAUAUGUGCAGACUCAAUGAAAGGGAAGAAGAACCACGAAUAGAAUGAUGUAGUUCCUCUCUAUGUGGAUACCCAUGAUUGAUCCCCAGAACCAAUGAUCCUAGACUGAUAGAAGUUUGGUGAUUUAUUAGGAGAUUGAAGGAAGACCAAGCUCAAAAGGCCUUCUGGUAAAACUCAUGAAGCCUCUUCCAUGACUCUUCUCUCUGCAUCUUCAACUGGUUAUAGAAGUUCCCGAUAAAUGUCUCCGCUUUGGUAAACAGCUCUUGCCCACUAAGCCCAUCAACCUCCUCCUGAUCUUCCUCCUCAAUGUCCCCCACCGCCUCUUCUGCUUCAGCCUCCCCACCACCGAUAAAGAAGAGGCUUGGAGUGGAGGGACACUUCCUGACUUUACUCAGCUUUGCAGCACCAACGAUCUUCUCUGAUGCAGAUUUCUCGGCCACCUUCGCCUUUUUCUCGGUACGCUCAGGGGUAGUGAGCAAUAGUCCAGUAUCAGUUGAAUUGGAGGAAGCUUCCUUAUCAGGAGCAGCUUGAUCGGGAGGAGUACUUAAUGGCUUUGCUGAAACAGGAACAGCAUAUUUCUUGUCCUGGGGAGGCUUAGAGAAGGAGAGAAGGCCAGCUUCUGCUCCAAGGGCAAUAAUGAGGAGAUUGAUGAUGAUGAAGUAGAGAUAGGUGGUCCUGAGGGAAGAGGAUAGAAGAGGGGUGAUGAAGAGAACUGCAGCUAUGAGAAAGAGCUUUAGCAUUUGAGAUUUCUUGGCCUUGUCCAUGGCUUUUGUGUGAGUGGAGGGUGAUAAGGGAGGUGAUGGAAACCAUGUGAGAGUAUGCGGACAUAUAUAUAGAAGAGAGAGAGGGUAUUGGUAUUCUCCAGUCAACAAAAGCUGAAAACAUGAGAAGACAAAAGCCACUAGGGUAUAUGCUAUAUUGGAGCAGUUCAGGUUAACGGGGAAAACUUGGUUUUGAUUUGCUAAUUUAAAAAAAUAUAUAUAUAUAAAAAAAUAACUUUAACUUUCAUAAAUCAUAUUUAUUUUAAAAUAUUUUAAAUUAUAUGUACUUUUUCUUAACUCAAAUAAUUAUUUCCUAAAAUAUUAUUUUAUUUGAUAAUAUUAAAUAAAAUUAUCCAAAAUUAAUUUAUUAUUUUAAUUUGACAAAAGUGUUUUAUAAAUCAAUAUAUUAUAAAUUUUUUAUUAUAUAAUAUGAGAUACAAAUUAUUGUAAAAAAAAAAAAUCUUUAAUAAUGAUUUUACAUUGUGUAUUAUGUAAAUCCACUCAUUUAAUCUCGUUUUAUUUAAUAAAAUUGAAUAAAAAUUUUGUUAGUGCACAUCAACAAUAAAAUAAGAUUAAAAUACAUAAAAAUUAAAUACAUUAAAAAACUUAAAAAUUAAAAAAUAAAAUAUUUACUAUUACUAUAUUUUUAACUCUUUCUCGAUAUUAUAUUUUCUAGCGGAGUGCUUUAAUUAAGUAAAAGUUAAUAUUUUAUUUUUAUAUUUUAAAUUUUAAAGUUUUUUUAGUUUUAAUUAUAUUUUUAAUUUUUAAAAUUUCUUAUUUUAUUAAUUUCGAAUCAAUUAUCAAGUUAAAAAAUUGUUAAUUUGUAUUAUUAACAUGUAAAAUGGUCAUUUUAGGAAAUAAUUAUUUGAGUUAUAAAAAAGUGCAUGUAUUUUAAAAUAUUUUUAAACGGGUGAAGAUAAAUAUGAUUUAUAAAAGUUUGGAUUCUUUUUUUAUAUUUUUCUCAAAUCAGCGAGUUAAAACCCACUUUUCCUAAAUUAAUGCCCCUUAAUUACAAUGUUUUCUUUCAAGUGGCAUAUAGAUAAAAUAGUAAAUGAGAAUAAAAUAUAAAUAAAAAAUUUAUUUGUAUAGAAACUAAACAGGUGUUUUGUAAACCAAUUUAAUGAUUUAAAAUGACUAAAUAAUUUAAUUUAAGUUAUUAAAUAAAUUAAGUGCUGGUAGAUCAGAGGGUUGGUCGCAUCCAUCAACUUCCCUUGUAUUUGAAUGUCAUGAGUGCUUGGGUGAAUACACUAGAAGAGUAAGGUAUGCGUAUUUUCUAACAACAAUUAUUUUUAAAAGAGUUAGGAGUGUCUAAGAUCCUAUAAGUGGUAUUAGAGCCGAGGUCACUGGUUCAAACCCCAAGGGUACCGUUGGGAGGGAGAUUGUUAGUAGAUCGGAGGGUUUGCCGCAUCCAUCAACUCUCUUUGUAUUCGAAUACUAUGGGCACUUGGGUAAAUGCAUUGUAAGACUAGGGUAUACAUAUGAAGUCCUACAUUAAGCAUGUUUAGUCAAAUAACUUAAUGGCAUGACUUAAAAUAAAAAACAACUUUAAGUACAAACAAUUAAUUUAUUUUUAAAUUCACAUCUUUAUUUUAUUUUUUUUAACCCUCAUUUACUCUAGUUACCUUCACAAUCUCUUUUACUACUUCACGACCUCAACUAUUACCUCGCCUUCUUUCCCAUAUUUAUAAUUUAUGAGGAUAAAUAUGUUAAUUUAAUUAUUUAAAAUAAGUUAUAAGUUAAUUUUAUUAAACAACCUUAAUACUUAAAGUAAAAAUUAAAUAAUAAGUUUUAAAUAUAAUUUAACUUAAAAUCAACUUAAGUCAUUUAAGUGUUAAGUAUUAAGUUUCACUAAACACCCCUAAAUUUUAUUCUCAUUAGAAUUUUAAUUACCCUCUUCUGUGUAGUAGUAAUAUGAUUCACUUUUAUUCUUAUCUUAUUUUUUUUCUUAUUCUCGAAAGUAAAACUGCUUAACUCCAUGUAAAAAGAGUAAAAAUAAUGUUAUAUAUAAAAAUUGAUUUUUCAUUCUAACCCCUUGUCAGCCAACAAUAUCUAUCAAACUAUUUUAAGAAAAGAAAAACAAAAAAUUAUUAUUAUUUCACUUGACGGUUAAAAUUUACUCAAUUAUACACACUAAGAAGAUAUUUGGUAAAUUAAUGUAAUGACUUAAUAUAACAUACUAGCUUAAUUUAAUCAUUAAAUUGAUUAAGCAUGUUUGACAAAAUAACUUAAUAUUACAAUUUAAAGUUAUUUUUAAUUUUAAGUAUUAAAGCAAAAUAAUUAACGUAUUUUUAAUCUUAAUAUUGACAAUAAUUUAAACACAAAUGUUUUAUAAAUAAAUUUAUGGUUUAAAAAUUAAUAAAAAUAAAUGUGAGUUAAAAUUAAUGAGGAUCAAUACUAGUUAAAAUUAAUAAGAAUAAAUUUGUUAAAUUGAUGGUUUGAAAUAAAUUUUAAUUAUUUCAUCAAAUAACUUUAAUACUUAAAAUAAAAAAUAAGUAAUUAAUUUUAAAUUUAUACAUUGAAAACAAUUUAACUUAAAGUCAUUGAGUAAUAAAUAUAAAGUUUUAAUACACCUUCACCAAAUAGGUGUUUGGUAAACCAACUUAAUAACUUAAAGUUUAAUUUAAGUUAUUAAGUAAAUUUAGUAAGUUAUUAAGUAAAUUAAGUAUGUUUAGUAAAAUAACUUAAUGAUACGACUUAAAAUAAAAAACAACUUUAAGUAAUAAGUAAAAACAAAUAACUUAUUUUUAGGUUCGAAUUUUUAUUUUACCUUUUUAUCCCUAUUUGUCCUAAUUACCUCCAUAAUCUCUUUUACUAUUCCACAACAUUCACAAUCAUUCAACUUUCUUUAUCCUAAUUAUAAUUUAUGAGAAUAAAUACAUGAAUUUAAUAUUUUAGAAUUAAUUUUAAGUUAAUUUUAUUAAACAACAUUAAUACUUAAAAUAAAAAUUAAAUAAUAACUUUGAAAUAGCAACUUAAAUAUAAUUUAAUUUAAAAUAAACUUAAACUAUUAAGUAAUAACUAUUAAGUUUUAUCAAACAACCUGAUCCUAAACCUUAUUAAUAGAACAUUCUUAACGAAUAAUAACAAACAAAACAAAUAAACUUCAGCUUAUAUUUCACUUUAAUUAUAAGUGUAUUAUUAUGAACAUAAAAAAUUGUUAAUAUCACAUGGAAUAAAUAAAAUAAAAUAAGGACGUCAUCUCGUGUAAAAUCAAAAACCCUCAUGAAAAUGCAUCUUCUUGAAUUUAUAAGAUCAAAUAUUAUUUUAAUAACAAAGUUUGGAUAUGGCAGCCCCACUUGACAACAUUCAAAAACGACUCCUUUUGUACACCGCAAAAGAGGAGCAUAGCAAGAAGAGUGGAGACAACAGAACAUGCAAGAAGGAGAAGAUUUGAAUAUAAUUGGGCCAGGCCAGAUAAGGUCGGUGGAGGUGGCAUAUUCCCAACUUUUUUAUUUGGUCCGAAGAAGCCUUGUGAUCGUGCUCGAUUGUGACCGCUGGUUUUCUAGGAUCUCUGUUUGUUUAGGCCCACUUCAGGGACUGGAUAAAAACAAUUAGAAAAGAAUAAAAAGGAGAAAAGCUUAAAAACGAAUCUGUGCCGCCAACUCUCAACUUGUGUUAGUGCGCACGUCGUAAGUGGGCCCCAUACUUCACUUUUCACGGCCCACUUACUCACGUGGGCUGGACUUUACAAGAGCUGGGAAAGACCCAACACUGCUAACCCUAGACGUCAGAGGGUUGAAUGGAAACUACACUGAGCUGGAAAAGGACCAACAGUACGAACCCUGUCUAUCCAGAGGGUUGAUUGGAACUGUUUCCUGGGUUGGAACAGGUCCAACCACCCCGUUUGAACUAUAAUGGGCUUUAACUAAAUGGCUCAUAAGACUGGCCCAGCCCAUCUCACCCGCAUAUUUCAGUGAAUAACUUCGAGAUUCUUCACUCCAAAAAGUGCAUCAACAAAGAGAAUACAGCCAUGAGUGUUGUAUUUGGACUUUUCCAAUUGCCCAUUUGUGGCCAACAAUACAAGAUAUACCAAAACCCUAGCCAUGUUCUCACGUUGGGUUUGUCCAAAUUCUGCCCAAAAAGCAUUAUCCACCUUUUUCUCAGACCUCCCAACUCCCACCUAGUAUGAACAGAUAACUAUAAGUUUGACACUCAUACUAUUACUAAUCCAAUCUUAAAAUGACCUACAAAACCUGACCCCACAUUGGUGAUCAAGACAGUUCGAUCCAAUCCAGUUUUCAUAUUAUUUUGGCUUUCACCGGCUGCAGAUUCCUAUACACUUUUCUCCUAAGCACAUACAAUUCGUACUUUACAAGUAAUCCUUCACUGGAUACAUAGAAAAAGCAAGAAAUCUUCACCUUGGCACCAUGCGCUGCACUUACGAAACACCUUUGGCUAAAACUAGAGAUUCCCUUAUCCGUUUGACACGACCAAUGGGAAUUUAUAGUGAAAAUUCCCUCACGUUAUCCACAUAAUUGGAAGUUCUAUUGUGGCAGUACUAGUACCUUUGCUACAAGUCAGCCAAGCCAGUUUGCUGGCAGGAUAGUUCCAUUCCAAUGUGGCCUUAUGAGAUUACAAUGAAAAGCUGAGCCUGAGAGUUGAAUCCAAGCCCUUCACCAAAAUACUAAUGCAGUUCUUGUAUCAGAACACGGAUUCAGGUAUCUGCAUAAAAUCUAUUGUUUUUAAGUUCAGUAUGAUGAUCUAAAUCAGAAUAUAUCACAUACCAUACAGGUAGCUGUCAUAGAUGUCAUUUUCUUGUGGUUGUGGUGAUAUAUUUAUAGGAUGAUACCUAAGCCAAAAGCCACAGUUAUCUUCCAAGUUCAUCCCACAUGUUUGCCUGCCAUUCUUUUAACUUUUCUAGCACCAGGUCUAUGUCUGAAAUAGGAAUGCCUUUACCACUGUAACAUAGGCUGGGAUGAAUGCUUCUCCUGUUGAGCAGGCCUUUAAAUAUGAUGAUUCUACUUUGCAUCCAGACCACUCCACACUUCAUUGAUCUUUUUACUCAGUAAGACGAAUAUCUAGCCAGGGUUGAUCUGGAUUGCAGCUCCCUAUGAUAAAAGUAUGCAAUGGUAUUAUAUUUCUUUUUUUGCCUUUACAAUCUCAGCAUCAACUGUGGAGUUUUUAUUUUUUAUUUUUUCAGACGAACACUAAAGAAGGUCAAGAUUCUCCCUCACAUCACACCAACUAAGGGGCAAAAAAAUGCAUGAGGCUAUGACUAAAAAGCACAAACGCAGUAAAUACACUGCCCAUAUAUGCUUCAGCGGACACAGUAGCCAUUUACAUAUCAUUUAGACAUGAUUUAGACAGUAUUAUGAAACAAAAUGACCAAAAAGAGGCAAUCAAGCUACACUAUGCUUACAGUUUGUUGUGCGUUUGAAAGGCCUCCCACAUAAGCAUGGAAUAAGGGAACCAUGCCACCUCCCAGAAAUGUCUGUGUCUUCAACUUAAACAGCCCCAUGACUAUGAUGAUGACAGUAUCACAUCACCUGUGUUUUGAGAUGACAGGGGAAAUUGCAUGAUAAGAUCAUCCAAAUUGGGGCAGCCAUGCAUGUUCAAACAAUGCUCAUUGACUAGAUGCAAGAGGCAAAUGAAACACAAAUGUGGAGAUAUAUCCUGUAAUUUAGCAGCUGGGCAGUCAUCUGGAAAGGUACUCAAUAUAUGCUUCAAAGAUAUGGCAUUGUUGUACACCUUAUGACCAGAAGAAAUUAUCCGCAAUUAGAAAUAUAUUUCCAUGAUACAUGAAAAGAAUUAAGAGACUCUCAAUCACAUUUUAUUGCCAGAAACAGGUGCUUAUUGGGGAUAUGGCAAAGAGGAAAAUAUGCAAUCUUCAGAAUCCUAUCAGAUGUCAUGGAAAUUCCCUUAUUCAUAAGAAACAAAGCGUGGAACAUAUAAAAUGGUAUGCAUAUUUCUCCAUGUAAUUAUGUGGUUAGGAGACUUAGGUUGCAAACCAAAUAACAGAACUAGGAAAAAAACACAAUGCCUUCAUUUAUUAAAUUCAACAGAAACCUGAAAUGCUCUUUAAAGUUCUAGUUUCCUGCUUCAUUAACUCCAAACUUACGUAACAAGCAAACUGAUAGAGGCGUCUUUACACAAUAUGGAUAGAUGUUUUCCAAUAGGAACAUCCCAAGGACCUAUGGCCAAGACAAUACACAUCUAAUGCUGAAACAGGAUGGGACAGCAGAAAGCUAAAACACCAUCUGUAUGCUCCAUCUCUCCAUAGACUUCAUAUGCUUGGGUCAACCCAAAACAAUUUGUAACAUGUUUACUAAUUUCUUUUAUAAAAAAAUAAAAAAAAUAAAAAAUAGAAUAAAAUUGAUGCUCCAUGUGCCUGAAAAUUGGUCCAGUCCAUUGACUGAAUUAAGUCUUCCAUGGUUGUGUAAAAAACAACUUAUUCUGUUGAAGUGACCUUUGAAUGCUUGAAUUAUUAUUUUCAGAAUUGUCAUGGCUCAACUUUACCACAAGGGUCGAAAAUUUUCAGAAGUAUAUAAACUCUCAGAUUGGCAAUCUAGGUCCAGGUGAAUAAGUACUCCUGUUUCUUUGUUUCUCAUUCACAGUCUCAAGAUUUGCAGUUCUUCAAUACCGCCUUAGUAGUCAACAAUGCCUUCUACUAAUAGCUAAACUCAAUUGCUAGUCAGUUCAUUUUAAUGUUUCUUAAUGGUAUGUUUGCGUUCAUUACAUGAGUGGUAGUUCUGUUACACCAAAUAAAAUCUAUGUUGCAUGGUUCAGAUGCCAGUGAGGAUAGUGUCUGAUCUUUCAUACAUCCAAAUUUUAAGAUGUGGGGACUUAGCUAAAUAGAUCUCAAUAACAAGUCCAGGUACUUAGAUACUGCAUAGUAAAAUGAAAUAAAAAUCAAUUAGAAAUUAAAAAAAAAAAAAAAAAAGCAAAGAUAUUCUUAAUGAAAACUCCUCGAUCUUUUUUCUUUGAUCCCUGUUUUUUUCUUAUGCCUGAAUAUUCUUUUCAAAGUGCACUUUCCAACAACUCUUUCUUUCUGUAAUAUAACUACAUGCUAGGAAGCUGAAAAUUAAAAAAUAAUAUAAUAAUCAAUUAAAAAUAAAGAAAGUCAAUAUCUGACAAGAAUUCCAAAUUUACACCCCUGUUGUGCUGUGUCAACACAAGUACCCUGGAUGAAAUUGAAGAGUCUAAGUAUCAAAGCAUGCAAUGAAAAUGUAAUAUUGUAUUACUCAAAAUUUUGGAUUUUGUUGGCUCACAUCUGAUGGCUUCAAAAAAACUUCCUCAACUGUCCAAAAAUCUCAACAAAAAAGUAGAAUCAAAUUCACUAAAUUGAUCAAAACAAACAGCUGUUUCCUAGUUAGCAGUACUGAUAGGUUAAAUACUACUUUUAGGCUCAUUGGAUUGAUGGAAGAAUUAAGCAACUCAAACUCCCAGAAUGUUUAGAUAAUUUGAUUGUGAUGUAUUUAACACUCAGUACUAACAAAUAUAAGAAGGAAGAAAAAAAAAGAUGCAAGCUGAUACAUGAUAGAGUUUGGAGAAUGGAUGAUAAUGUAAAAAUGAUAUUAAGUCACAAAAUGACUAUUGAACAAGUUAAAGGAAUAGCCUCACCGCCUCAGACAUUUGAAUGGAUUCCUGCAUGAGAUCCUGAAGUGUUUUCUUCAAAAUGUGUACAUCAAUUUGUUUAGAAGUUUUAUCAUACUGAACUUCAAUUUUUUUGACCUGAAAUAUUAAGACUAAGAAGAUAACUAGUAAAACUCGAUAUAUUCCACGCACAACUACAAAACCUCCCUAACCAUUAAUGUCCAGUUCAUAGUAGAAGUUAGAAAAAAAGAUGCAUGAGGAUAUUUAUCAUAUAUAUGCAUGUAUGUGUAUAUAUUUCAAUUUCUGGGAAAUGAGGAGAUUUCCUUAUGGACAAGAACAACUUUGCACUUCCCCUUAAAAAUAUCAAAGGACUGAGAGUGAGUGAGUGAGUGAGAGAGAGAGAGAGAGAGAGAGAGCAAUAAGACAUUUAUCGUAUAUAUUUCAAGUUCUGGAAAAUGAGGAGCUUUCCUUAUGGACAAGAACACUUUAAGGUUCCCUUCAAAAAGAUCAUAGGACACAACACACACACAAACAGGGAGACACAGAGAUUGCUAGAUUGCACCAUCCACCAAGUUUAGAGGCAAAUCACUACACUAUUAAGAUGGCAGCUACAGACCUAAACCUAUUGAAAAAAGUAGACAAACCACAAGCAAACCUGACGAGGCUGAGACACCAGAAUGUCCAAGUUUUCCACAUCACUAUCAGCAUAUCCAUCAUCAUACUGGCAAUUAAACACACUUCCAUUAUCCCAUGAUGGCAACCGAUCAUCAUCAUUGUGUUCUUGAGCAUCUGAAAAAACAAAUUGAACAAAAUAACCAUCAACACAUAACCAAUGAAUCCUCCCAGGAUAUUUUUCAAGGCACUUCCCAAGUAUCACAAGAAGAUAAAUUUAUUUCAUAAACAAAAUGGAAAAUUCCUUAAACAGUAGCUAUUACUCUGCUUAAAUUCAAACAAACAACAAGAAGACCAUGUUACACCUACAUGGAGUACAUAAACAACUGAGGAAGAGAUUAUUUUUUUUGUUAUAGAUAAUAUUUUCCCUUUCAUGUUACAUGGAAUAUAACGUGGAGCCUCCCCAUCCCCACCCCUAAUGCUUGCUACUUCAGCCAGGCCUUCAAUGGUGGGAAAGGGCAUAAAGUUCAAAACAACUACUAAUGAUGCACAAAACAAAAAGCCACCUUACGGUCAGUACUAGAGUUUCCCAAGCACCUGUACAGCACUUUGCAAAGAGCAUGGCUUGAUGGUUUUCAGUACUAACUUGAGAUUGAGAAGAACAAAAACUCAUGAAAUAUAGAGAUCAACUUCUAAAAUUAAAAUUUUUACAAUGUUCUGAACAUUUCAACUUUGCACGCUUACAGUAUUUCUAGGAACCUCAAAUUUCCACAGAUAUGAUUUCAAUUGUGACUAGGAUAAAGACUUAUGUCAAAACCAUGGAAAGAUAUGCAAAACUCCUAGUAGAUACACCUAUUUUUAAGUCAACUGAGAUAAUUGGGUGCAGAGCCCACAUAUGAAGUUUAGCCUUUCAAGCUAGGUAAAUGCAUGUCAUGUUAUAAAUGUGAUUAUUGGUGAUGCUGCAACUUUCUUAUUUCUUAAUGCAUAACUCUUGGCUUAAAAAACCAAAUUCAGAGUUUCUUGAAGUAGACUUUCUUUUUUACCAACUAAUCAUAAUAUAAUCAUGGAAAAAAAAAACAAAUUCCAAUUUUUUAAUCAUGAAACUUUGUGACCUUGUUAGUUUAGUUAUUUAUUUACUUUUCCUUUUGUUUUUGCGAUUUGUUUAUAUGAAUAGCACACAAAGAUGCUAGUAUCAUCUCAACUAGUAAAAGAAUGGGAAUGAUAUAAAUAAGCAUAGCAACCCAAAAGACGAAGGAGCACCAAGGUUAAACUGAAUUGCCUUAGCCUUGGAAAUUAGUCUAUGCUAUUGCUUCCUAAUAAGAAAUAAAAACAAAAUAAAAAGGGAAGCAUCAAGAGAAAGUCCAUACCCGGAAGUUGUCUUCUUCUCUUCCCAAGGCACUACAAUCAACAUGCAUUUCAUCACCAACCAUAAUAAAAAUUUCAACAGUUCAUGUACAAAAUGAAAUGACCAGAAUAGAGCUGUAACUCAAGCAUGAACCACUUGAAGCCCAAUCAUUCAGUCAAAAGUAUGCCCACUGUGCCAGAACUUGUUUGGAAUCUUUUAACUAGUGUGUGCUUAGGCUUUGAUUUCAAAGCCCAAAAAGUUCGAUGUCAACUCAGGAAGACAAAUAUAUACACUACUCUAUAUUAUAUAUUUAUAUGCAUGUGUGUGUGUGCAUACUACUCUAUAUUACAUAUUAAUAUGCUAUGUUAUGUCAUAAUAUCAAUAUUUAUAUUAUACAUUAGAAAUAUUAUUGCACAUAAAGUUAUGUACCUAUAUAUUUAUAUUUAGUUUUAUGGAGUCAACAUCAUACUAUUUCAUAUUGGACAAUUGAACCAUUAAGUGUUGUCCAGCCUAAACACAGUCCAUCAAAUGUUUUCUUAUGCUGAGUUAGGCAGUCCAUCAAACAUAACAUGACAGCUCUGUGUCAUGGACUGUUUGUUUGGUGUCCGUGACCAUAGCGAUGGUGCUGAUCAAGACUAGUAUGUUGAUUAGUUUGAGCUGAAUGUAAUGGGAAUUGCUUUAGGGAAAGGGCAUGUAUGUGAUGUUGGAUGUUUCUUCAGAGUUCAAGCAGACCGACCAGGUUAAGUCUAGGGAGCUUGUCACUAGUUGGGGACUUGACGAUGAAGAGGAGCUAGGCCAUCUCCUACACAAACUGGUUGGGAGCUGGAGCUGUUCCCCUGAUGAGUCCAUGGCAGAACGAAACCAGUCAGUAUAGUGACAUUGAAAUGCAUGGCAUGCAGGCCGAGCCCCUUUGAUCCUUGCCCAUGGGGUUGCCGCAUAGGUUGUGCCGCUGCGUUGGAACUCUAGGCCCAUGACAUCUGGCUCUGAUAUCAACCAAUUUAAUUGUUCUAAUGCUAGCAAUUUAUACGAUUAUUUUAUACUUUCAUGAGUGAGCUUAUAUUACCAUAACUUUAGGAAGAAGAAACAGCUUCACAAGAUCCUCAGGUUGAUAAUGGCAAUCUUCAGGAAGUGUGUUACGACAAGGUUCUCUACUUGCAGGUAGCAGCAGCAAUUUUGGAUUUUUGAGAGGGACAAAGACAUCAGGCGCUUCUUUGACCAAAUAUUUUGUGAAACUAAUAUCUAAUUCUGUAAUUUUUUUGUUCUUUGGUCUCUUCUUUGUGAAAGAUGACUCACUUUCAGUAGGAACAUCCUCUGAACCUACAAAAUAGAUAUCAGACUAGAUAGCCAAACUGAUGGAUCCUCACAACAGAAGUAAUAUAAUUUCAUCCUAAUACCAACCCUUGCACUUCUGAAACUUCCAAUGAUCUGUACCUGCCCAGACAUUUUUCUUUGAGGUAAAUCCCAACCCUUGAAACAAAAAUGUAGCAACAUUCUCAAGCCUGUCAUCUACAUCAGGUUCAUAAGAUGUAUAGGAAUCAUUCCCCUACAGGAAUAAAACAAAAUUAUUAUAGUCCUUUACUUUCUUCUCUCUGUUUAAGUAGGGCAUUGGGGAGAAAAACUGGGAGUGGAGUGAACUAACAGAAGGACAUGUUAUUAUAAAGAAUCGAAAGAACACAACCAGAACAGCUCCAGCAUUUAGCAUGUGCCAAAUACCUCAUAAUGACUAUGAAUGGUUGGAUCUCCAAAAGUGAAGCCAUCAUCAGUUACAGCUGUCCCAUUGUCAUGAUUAAAGGUCCAUGCCUCAUAGCUACCAAACAGAUUGCCAUUGAACUCAACAUAUCAACUGAUCCUGUACUUCCUUCUGAUUUCUGACCUUCAUUAAAUGUAUGAGAUGGCUGUUGAUUUUCUUCAUUGAACAGACACAUGAUAUCCCUAAGAGUGGGGGAAAUUUCAUUUUUUUCAAGCAUGUUCAUCACCAUCUGCUCAAUAUAUUCUGUGAUAAAGAAAAGAAAAGAAAAUGGCUUCAAAAAAAAGAGAGAAAUCAAGUUGCCCAUGAUAGCAAUAUCACAUAUACCUUUGGCAAAAGAUAUAGCAACCAUAUCUGAACUAUUAUUUUCACUUGAACAUAAUAUGCACUUUCCUGGUACUUCCAAAGAAUCAAAAAGCACCCGACAUCCUCCAUAUACAGCAAGAUUAUUCAGUAGGAGACCCUUCACUCCAUCAAACUGGGCUGAUGUCUGAUGAUAAAGAGGAUCCACUGUAAAAGCAACUGGACAGUCACAAGAAAAAAAAAUUAGAAAUACCAAAAGAAAAAUAAUCCAUAUUUGCCUGACUCACUUCUUAAAAGGGUUAUUGUAGCACAUGAAAUUACCGUCAAACCUCUUUACAUUAAGAGCUUCAAAUGAUGAUACCAAUGUGGACAAAGGUGAUAUCUGCAAAAAAAAAAAAAAAUACUUCCACGAGUUUGCAGUUUAAUGCAUUAAGGGAUUCAAUAAGCCAGAGACCUAACAACCUUCCUAUCUGGCUCUUUUUUAGAAUGACCCUCAUCAUCUCUGUUGUUGUUGUCACCCUCCACCAAUGUUUCCGGUACCAAAUCAGAACAUCAGGGAAAUGAACAAUGUAGUGAACUAUGAUUCUCAUGGCAACAAGACGGUGUAAAUGGUGAAGCAUGGUCCUCAUAGCCCAAUGAAAUGAAAUUUAUAAUCUUUAGUAAUUGACAAUAGAACUUGAGCUUCACCAUCAUGUCCAUCCCUUGCCUCAGCUUUGAACUAGAUUUUCCAAAGAGACCCUAAAUGUUGUUUAUUAAUUUAUCCAUAAACAAUUGAUAGAUUAUGCCAUAUUUUUAGUACAAUUACACUCAUCAAACUUAAUUUACUUAGGUUAUAAUUGGUUACUGAAAAGACUAAGGAAAAAAUUUGUUAAGGAAAAUGAUUUUCUCAUGUUUAGUUGUAAUAUGGAAAACACUAAAGAAAAUCUAAUUUAAUUAAAAUUACUUAGAAACUUAUGCAUUUUCAAAUUAUUUAAUCUUUAUAUCAAAAAGUUAAAAUAAGUGAAAAAUGAAUUUGAAGUAGUGCAUAUAAAUGGAAAACAUCAAAGAAAAUCAAAUGUAAUUAAAAUUACUUAGAAACUUAUGCAUUUUCAAAUUAUUUAAUCUUUAUAUCGAAAAGCUAAAAUAUGUGAAAAUUGAAUUUGAAAUAGCAUAUAAAAAUAAUUUCUUGACUUAAAUCUAUUCUUUAUUUUCUUUCACUUUUUCUUUCCUCUCUAUUUUCUUUCCCUCAUAGUUUCCCUCAAAUUUUCCACGAACCAAAUGUAGCAUUUAUGUUUUGAGGAACAUCACUUGUUCCCAUUACGUGGAAUAACUGAAAUGAACUACACUACACUUUCCAUACCUAAUGAGUGAACUCUUUCACAAAAAUCAAAAUUUGAAAGUAGACUUAAAGUUUUAUCAAAUCUACCACAAUAGACAGAAAUGCUUUUCAAAAAUGAAAAUAUGGAAUCAAUCAAAUUAACUUUACUCUUGAAAGUAACAUCUUAAAUGCUAAAUUAGAAUAUGUCACCACAAUAGAAAACAAGUCAGAUCCUCCCAGGGAAAAAAAUCAUAAUUAAAUAACCAAUCAUGAAAAAUUUACACCAAAAAGGUUAGUCAUUAACAACCUUUUGUGAAGCCAUGAAAGAAACCUAUGUUUUCAUGCAAGAAGACAUAUAACCAUUAGAAUUAAAUCACUAUCUAAAAAUUAAAACCCCACCUUGUUCAUUUACUAGACUAGCACUAUUGAUCCCACCAAGGAUCUUGUAUGUCUCUGAAUUAUCAUAGGAUGCUUCAAAUGAGCCUCCUCAUGGGUUUAUAUAGAGCCCAGGAAGCUUCUAGAGACUCCUGGAGCUAUCUACACUAAGCCAUUGGAGGGAAGAGUGUGGAAGGUUCUAGAGAUGCCUAGAGAUGUCCACACAUCUCUACACUAUGGUAGAAAGCAUGAGAGGAGUCCUCUAGAGAAUUCUAGAGAUCUCUUGUACAUAGGGUUGUACAUAGAAUUGUGUAGGGUAUUCUAGAAUCUUCUUGAUUUGUAAGGAACCCUCCAAGGUUCCAAAGGGUUCCAUUGGUGCCUAUAAAUAGGUGAGGGUCUCAUUUGGCCAAGGCACCACCCAAAUCACUUCCUAACCAAGCAAGUGAGCUUCUAAGCAUUGUAUAGUUUCCUUUGAAAGCAAUAAAGCUUCCAUUCUUCAAGAGCGGCCUACUACGCCUUCUAAAGCUUUCGAGUUGUGAGCAUCUUAGCCUAACAAGCUAAGCAUUAAGAGUAAGGUUGACUUAACAAGAUCAAGGGUCUUGGCUUGUCUAAGUGUCGCACGAGCUUAGCAAAAGACUAAGUCCGUGACAAGUGAUAUCAAAGCGUGGCUAUGAAGUGGGCAUAGUAAAUGAAGCAUGUCGGGCUCUAACGUGGAGGAGACUAGUGAGCAAACACGUGGGAGGGAGACUAAGCCUACUGAACGAGGCAGGGGCAAGAAGGAUAAAUCUCGUGAUGUCGUUGCCAACAUGGAAGCAAGGUUAGUCAAGGUGGAGCUAGCCAUGGCGGACACUCGGGAGGGGUUAGACUUGAUCGAGCAAGGCAUGGAAAAGGGCUUAGAGGAUCUAAGGGAGCAAAUCCAAGACCUUUGUGAGAGGGUGCUAGUCUCACAGGUUCAACCAGUGUCACACAAGGAGUUUGUGUCCUUUCAAGGAAAGGUCUUAAGCAUGCUUGCUAGCAUGGAAUCAAGGAUAGAGGUUUUGGCCACUCGAAUGGAGUCCCGAGACCACGAGGUUAAGCAAGAGUUGGCCAUCUACAAGGCUGCUGUGUCGACAUGGGUCAUGGCCACACAGGAGGCAUCUAGGGUGGAGGUGCCGAAGCCACAUGGGUUUAGUGGCAAGCGGGAUGCCAAGGAGUUGGAUAACUUCUUAUGGCAUAUGGAGCAAUACUUCGAGGCUAUCGCAUUGACUGAUGAGGCAACUAAGGUAAGAACUGCAACCCUCUACCUUACUGACACAGUUACUCUAUGGUAGUAUCGGAGGUUUGUCGAUAUGAAGAAAGGCAUUUGCACUAUAGAGACGUGAAAGGACUUCAAGAAGGAGAUCAAGAAGCAGUUCUACCCCGAGGACGUGGCUUACCUGGCUAGGAAAAACAUGAGGCGUCUCAAGCACACAGGCUCGAUAUGCGACUAUGUCAAGGAAUUCUCUUCACUCAUGCUUGAGAUUCCUAACAUGACUGAGGAGGAGUUGCUAUUCAACUUCAUGGAUAACCUGCAAGGGUGGAACGAGCAGGAAUUAAGGUGCCGAGACAUUUAAGACUUAGCCAUUGCUAUGGCAGUAGUAGAGUCUUUAACGGAUUACAAGAGGGAAGACUCAUCCAAGGUUGAGUCUUUGGAAAAUAGCCACGCCACGAGUGGGGGAGACGAGGUCUCAAGGGACCACAAUGCUCCUAAAAUGGGAUCAGGCAAGACGCCUAACGUCCGAGAAGGAAGGAGUUUACGCCUAAAAUCAAAUGUUUCCUAUGUGACGGUCCACAUUAGGCACGGGAUUGUCCAAAGAGGAAGGCGCUCAAUGCCAUGAUCGAGGAGAGGGAACAGGAGGACGAAGCACAUAUGGGCUCGAUGCAGCUACUAGGUGCCCUCUAAUUCAACCCAAAGCCUAGUACGCCUAAGACCUCCUUACUAUCAGGGGUGCAAGUAAAGGAGGCAAAAGGGGAGCGAGCUGAGGUAACCCACACAUACAUCAACAAGGUCACCAAGGGAAAGGUGAACUUGAUGGGUAAGAGGAAGCAGCACUCCAAGCAUCGAAAGUGCAGGGAUCUGCAUCCAUCCGAGGCCUCACGAGAAAAGGAGGUGAAAAAUAUCCUGGCUGAACGGGUCACCAAGAGACAAAGGGUUCCUCCUGUGAUAGAGUAUCUAGUCCGAUGGAAAGGACUACCUAGGAGGCAGGAAAGCUGGGAACAUGCAGAUGCCUUGAGAAGGUUCUGGAAACACAUCGAGAGGUUUCAGAAAGAGGCAACAACGAGGACAUCGACUGCAUAGGUGGGUGAGAGUGUCACAGGAUACUUCAAAUGAGCCUCCUCAUGGGUUUAUAUAGAGACCAGGAAGCUUUUGGAGACUCUUGGAGCCAUCUACACUAAGCCAUUGGAGGGAAGAGUGAGGAAGGUUCUAGAGAUGCCUAGAGAUGUUCACACAUCUCUACACUAUGGUGGAAGACAUGAGAGGAGUCCAAGGCUUUCUAGAGAAUUCUAGAGAUCUCUUGUACAUAGGGUUGUACAUAAAAUUGUGUAGGGUAUUCUAGAAUCUUCUUGAUUUGUAAGGAACCCUCCAAGGUUCCAGAGAGUUCCAUUGGUGCCUAUAAAUAAGUGAGGGUCUCAUUUGGCCAAGACACCACUCAAAUCACUUCCUAACCAAGCAAGUGAGCUUCUAAGCAUUGUAUAACUUCCUUUGAAAGUAAUAAAGCUUCCAUUCUUUAAGAGUGGCUUAUUAUGCCUUCUAAAGCUUCCAAGCAAGAUCAAGGGUCUUGGCUUGUGCCGCACGAGCUUAGGAAAAGACUAAGGUGGUGUUUGUUUUUUUACUUAAUUCUAAAUAGAACCUUAAUACUUAAUAGUGUUAAAUAUUAGGUUGUUUGUUUUUGUAGUAUUUUAUUUUUAUUAAGUAUUAAAAAGUAAAGAAAAACCAAUAUGUUAUUUUUUCUAUUUAGAAAAAGCUACAUAUUUUGGCUUUUUCUAUUUAGUAAAAAGUUUAUAAUAAAUCAUGAAAAAGUAGAAAAACAAACAACCUAAAUUUUGAAAACAAAUUACUUUCAGCAAAAAGUCAAAAAAACAAACACCACCUAAGUCCGUGACAGAAAGCACUGAAUCCACCCUCAAGGAGUAAAUCUUUACCCCAGCUUCCAAUGUGCAACUUGCCUGUAAACAAAAACAAAUUAAUCAACCAAUUAAUUAACACUCAAGUAGAAUUCCAGCAAAUAUUUUAUAUACCCCAAUUGUUAAAAGAUGUGCCUAUCGGCAAUGGAUCUUGUUUGUGCCUAACCAAAGCAUGGGAUUCUCACUGAGUGCUUAGAACCUUUUGAAAAUUAGUCUCUGUAUCUUCCUCUGCAUCAACCCUUAUAAUCUCGCUGAGAUGGUCUAUGAGUUUUAGACCCCAAGUGUUCUUCUGAUUUAUUAUCUACAUCGUGACCAAGAAAAAAAAAAAAAAAACACACACACACAUUGUUAAAGAGAUUUCAGUCAAAAUACGAUCACAAUGAAACAAAAGUUAACACAUUAUUGACAUUUUCUCUUGCAAGCUUUAUGCAAUUCUGGAACAACUCGAUGAUCUGUUCUUUUUCGAGAAAAGGAUCGGGAGGGUCAGAAGGCUGAGUAGCAGCGGCGUUUCUGCGGCGGAUAGCGGCGGCUCGCGCAGCACGUGCCUGGACGCGUUCGAGUUGGUCGUGGUUAGAUUCCAAGAAAAAAGAAGCGGUGGGAAUUGGAGGCGGUCAUCGCCGUCGAGGGGUUAGGAUCAGGGUUACGGUUUGGUAAUUCCGGUAUGGGCGCGAGAGAGAGAAGCAGUUCGUUUUGGGCGUACAGUUCAUUGUGCGCGAGAAGCAUGAAACAACAUCUUAGUCUUGACUCUUGGGUGUUAAAAACCACGUCGUUUUAAUGACUAUUUCCCUCGCUUUAUUUGAAUUGGAGAGUUCAGGAGAAUGGUGACGACCUGGCGCAAUUGCAAUAUACAAAUUUACAAUCCUAUAAUAGUAAUUAAAAAUUAAAAAUUAAAAAUUAAAAAUUAAAAAUAAAUUUGAAAUUAACAAGUUAUUUUUACACAUUAUUUAAUCUUAUUUCACUUAUUUUAUCACAAUACAAAAAAUUAAAUAAUUUAAAAAUACAAGUGUUUAUUUGGAUAUAGAUGUGCAAAUAUUUUCCCAUUGAAUUUGACUGAAGUAGCAGUUAAAAAAGCUUCGGAAAUUUGCAGGUUCCUCUAAAAUCCAUUUGUUACUGAAUGAAUGGAAUUGUUCUGGAAUUUUAUGUCUCCUCAUAGUUAAUAAAUCUUAAUUACAAAUUAAACUUACGAUCAUCCACGACAUCACAAAUACAAACGAGUACGAAGAAGGGGGUAAUCUCUGUUGUGCUCUACAGUUUAGAAUGCUGGAUGCAGCUGACACUAAGGAAAAAUAUAAGCUAUUUCUAAAACCUUGAAGACUAAUUACACAUGAUUUGAACAGCGGCUUCCCGAACCCCAGACAGCAGGACAAGCUAAAUACUUAACUAGAACCUCACGGGGCAGAAAGUGUUCCUUCUGUUUCACUGUCUCCUCUUCACAGGAUGAUGAUUCGUAAUGCAGCAGCUGAUCAAAUCAAGAGCCUGUUAACUUUGCACCGAAAAAAGGCCAAACAAAUGUCGCAACUGUUAACUUUUCAUGAGGUAUGCUACUACACAACCCAGCACACUGCCAGCAACAACCUGCACAACAUCCAUUGGAACCGUUACAGACUAUUGUUGAGGAUCAAUUCACCGCUCAAAACAGAUUAUGGGGAGCACAAAACAAAGUUUCAGCAUUGUAACCUUUCAUUUCCAUUUUUCUGGAAGUUAUUUUGUGUCUGCACAUUGGGGGGUGUACGGGAUCAACUUCAAGGAUAAAUUGUCAAAUUAGCUUUAAUACUAGAGUUAUAAAAGGACCUUGAACAAGUUUUUAUGGUUUGAACAAAAAAGAGGAGCAAUUUUACUCUGCAUAGUAAGAGCAGGUAUCAUGAUGUUGUAAUAUUACUUUUCUUUGUGUUGCAUUAGGAUGAUUUCCGUGCAGACCAUUGAAGAUUAAUCCAUUGUCCCUAAAAAGACAAACUCUUCAUAAACUAAUAGCAGCUAAGAUAUGUGUCAACAGCCAGUUGAAGUGAAUGGUGAAUAGAACAGAUUCCUUGCUUCUUUUGGCUUCCAUCAUGAAUUGUGGGUUUUCUGUCUAGCUAAUCAAAUAUUGUUUCAUUUCCAUUCUCAGGAAAUAGAACACUUUGUAGCAAGAAUAUAAUUUUUUUACCGGAUGAAGUCAUAAUAAGAAUUACUAUAUUAAGAAAAUGUAAUGACCACUCUCCUUGAAAAAUGAUCAACUUUAACAAAGAAUGCACAUGUCUACAAGGAGGAAUAAAAUGAUAUGCUGACAUAUUUCCUAAGAGUCCAUUCCCACAAGAAUGGUAAGCGGGCAAAGAAAAUACAAUCAGUUACUAACAAGAUAAAGGAUUACUGAAUGUAUGAAUAUACGCAAAAUACAUAUGAACAAACCAAACCUGAAGUGGAGUAUGACCAAGUGAAUCUCGUAGCGGUCUAACAUUAGAGACAGGGUGGUCGGGAGGUAGUUCACACACAAUUUGAUUCAACAACUGCAAUCAACAUCAAACACAAGUAUAUCAUCAAAGAAGAGAUAACAAAAACAAACCUGGUUAGAUACACAAACAAUCUCAUUUUAGAAUCCACAGACCACCACGGGAUUCAGGAAACAUUGACUGGACAUGUUUUAACCCCAGAAUUGCAAAACAGACAAAGGAAAAGGGUAAUUUAGUUCCUUCAAGGACAUAUGAUAAAGAAAAAGAUAACAAUGGUGUAAACCACACAAAACUGCUAUAUUAAUCCAACAAUAACCAUGAUGGAUAUUUGAAAUCUUUGAAGCCAAUUCACACUUCAACACUUUCAGUGAUGAUAAAAUUUUAUGACACAAUACAGCAAGGAAGUAUGCUAAGAUAUUCCAUAUGUUCAAAUCAUCUUCAACCUAGCCUUCAAUAUUGGAGCUCCAAGCAAUCAUCAUAACUCAAAUGAAGACAAUUCUAUGUUUAUUUCUCAGGACAAUCAAAGAACAUAAGUUCAUGUCAUAAAGCUGCAGGCACUAGUUUAUUACCCUAUUAAGAAACCGGACACAAUUUACUAGAACACACAAGCAACUAGAAUUGCAGGAAACUGUCAAUUCUUGUUUAGUUCUUCUCUGCAGGAUAAACAAUGCAUGAAUAACGAGCAAGAGAAAUCAAAUUCAAUUACAAAUAUGACAAAAUAUAAUUUUUAGAAAAUAAAUAUGCACCAACAGUACAGCAGAAGAAGAGAUGGCCUAUAAUUAAACAUAAAACAUGGCCAUAGAUACUAGAAAGUAAUGGAGAAACACGAUUCAAUUGUUAGAAUAUGCAGAGAUGAGAUGAGCUGAGCUGAGUAUUACUCUAAACCAAAUGAAGUAUUUCCAAAGGGUCAUAGCAAAAUCUUUAGAAAAACCCACUUUAUCUGAACAAACUUUCUCUAAUCCUCAAUAUAUCUAUAUUUACCAGAAUUCUUACCUCAGCUUGUCGACCAGCAUGAAGUCUCACACCGGAAGCAUCAUACAUAACCUGUAAAGGAGCAAAAUUAAUACUCCAAGCAGCCUAACUCCAAAUUAAUAAUGAACAGUUGAUUAUAGUUCUGAUAAGUGAAAAUAACAGGGAAAAGUAUUAAAAGAGAUAAAAUAACUACCAGCAGUUCCAUAAACCAGACAAACAUAGGUCAGAACAGUAUGAUUCAGGAAGGGUACAUAAUCAUAGGGGCCAUGACACAUACGAUGAGCAUGCGCAUACUAUAUCCAGAUUUCUACUAUAUCUUACCUCAUCCCCUUGCUCUCUAUGAGAAUUCUAGGAUCUGUUAAGGUAACUGUUUUUGAAAAGAUUUUUCUGUUCUUAAAAAUAAAAAACAAUUUUCUAACUUAAAAAACACAUUUGGCAUAAUUUGGACAGAAAACAGUUUCUUCAGAAUUUGUUCUGAAAACAGGUCGUUUUUUGGAACAAUUUCAAGGUGUCCUCGGUUGUUUUUUGUAGAGUGUUCUAAGCAACAAUUAAAAAAAAUGGAGAAUACUUUGAAAACUUUUGCAUCAUAUAUAAGUGUACAACUUCAUGCAGGAUAAACCAAGAAAACUGUUUUACAUAUUUUAGUUCCCAACAAAAUUUUAUUCCUGAAAAACAACUGAGAACAUUUUUUAAGAACUGCUCUCAAAAAAAAAAAAAUGAGAAUUGUCUCCAAAAACAUUACCAAAUAGGCCUCUAAUCUUUGGGUUUACUCUCUCUAAGAUAUUCAUCGUAGUAGAAUUCGUCCUUCUAUAAAAGCAUUUACCCCUUUACCCCUAAUGCAGGAUUCAUGGUAAUAUUUGUACUAAGAAUUCUCUUAACAUAAUAGAAAAUGUACACUUAAUGCAGGAUAAACCAAGAAAACUGUUUUUCAUACUUUAGUUCCCAACAAAAUUUUAUUCCUGAAAAACAACUGAGAACAUCUUUUAAAAACUGUUCUCAAAAAAAAAAAAAAAAAUGAGAAUUGUCUCCAAAAACAUUACCAAAUAGGCCUCUAAUCUUUGGGUUUACUCUCUCUAAGAUAUUCAUAGUAGUAGAAUUCGUCCUUCUAUAAAAGCAUUUACCCCUUGACCCCUAAUGCAGGAUUCAUGGUAAUAUUUGUACUAAGAAUUCUCUUAACAUAAUAGAAAAUAUAAUGAUACUAGAAAUUUUAAAAAUUUACACUUGGUAACACUAAAAUCAUUGUCAUAAACACAGUUCAUAAAACAUUAACCAUACCUUGCUUUAUAGGUAAUGCCAAAGUGUCACUCCAAGACAGGCUAUUUCAUAUUACAAAUUUGCAUAUCUUGCUUUAUAGGUAAUGCCAAAGUGUCACUUCAAGACAGACUAUUUCAUAAUACCAAUUUGCCUAUACUUUAUCUUUAUUGAUACUUGAUUAAUAAGCCAUGCCUGAUACUCAUGAUAAUUGAUCAGCACUGAUUAAGGACAUAUUUAAGACAAAACUACAUAGGGCUUGUGGAUGCUUUUCAUCAAUUAUUCUCUUCAAAAUGGGCUUUUGGUUUCAAAAUGGACAGCCUAACCAGCAAAUUCAGACCACUUGCUCCAAGUGGCAGCUGAUUGAGGUCUUAACAAGAGCGAUGAUUGACCACUGAAUUUUUAGGAGUGCAAUUAUGACAGCAAAUAACUGAUGUCACAAAAAAACAAAACCUUCUUAUGAACAAGUAGAACCAGUGUCCAUAGUUAUGGUCCUAGGUCAAUUAUAAUGCCUGAUUACCUAAACACCAAAACAAGCAGGAAAAAAAAUCAUAAUUGAGAAAUCUAUUAAACUCAAUACAAAGCCAACAAAGGGAAACUGCAAGAUUAAUUUGUUAUGAUCCUGCUUGCACUUCAGAUAUCUGGACAAAGGUUGAACAUAGGCAAGCAUGCCAAUACAAAAGAAUGAAUAAGACCUGGUUAAAAAGUACAUACAACACACGCCAAAACCACUGCAAUGGCAAAUGCUGAUCCUCCAGUUCCUUCUUGAAAACCAAUAGCAACUGCAAGGGCUGUCACAGUUGCUGAAUGUGAUGAAGGCAUUCCACCCGACCCAAGCAUCCUUCUAGAAUCCCAUCUCUUCUCCUUAUACCUGCACGUCUAGGAGGAUAUUCAAAGACUAAGCAAGAAAUUACAAAGAAGAAAAAGGAGAACUACAAGCAACCAAUCGAUAUUAGCUGCAUAUAAAAGUUAUAGCAAGGAACAAUAUGAAAAUAUCAACAAAGAUGAAACAAAGUUUCUUCCUCGGUUAAACAUUGCUUUUACUCUAACCAUAUAAACAUGAGGUGAAGCCUUCAAGAUAAAGGAAAAGAAACAAUAUUUAGCCUGUCAACCUUUAUUAGCAAUUCUCAAACAUUAGCUAUUGCAAUGGAAUAUGUUCUGACAUGAAGGGUAUUCUGUACAAGUAUGGUGAGAUGGCAAGAGCAUAUUGGCUCAAGGGGAGAAUGAAGCAUCUUGGUAGGAAAGAGGACCAAGGAAGGGGCAAUGCUUGGUGUUUUCAGGCUCAUUUCGACCCAUUUACAGAGAUUGAAACCAUGUUUUGUUAGCUAACCCAAAAGGCCUAGCUAAAUAUAGCAAACUUAGCACAUAGAACACAACUGUCACCACAUGAAAGGCCACUCACUUACACCUAAGAAGUCUGAGCAGAUGGCACUACCACUUGAUUAUGUCCAAAAAUAACUACUAUACUCACAUCUCACUUGGAUCUCCCACUCAACACUCAUCAAAAUCUAGCUUAAAGUCUCCAGGAGGAAAAUGUUUUCACGAGCUAAUUGGCACUGCACUCCUAAUGAGAGUUGCUAGCUCAUUCCCAGUCAGCAUUGUUGAGAAAGAAAAAUGCUGAUGCACAGCCGACAGACCCGCUAGCAAGUGAUGUAAUGUUUAAAUAAGGAUUAUUGCCUUCUCAACAACAAACCAGCAAGUUUGGCCAGCUUGAAUAACAUUAUUGGUUGAGAAAUAGCCUCAACCUAAAUGCAUCUCUAACUUCCCUUUAACAUACAUGUUUUCGGCACCUUUUUCAUUUUUAUAGAUAUAUAAAGCCAAGAUCCCUAAUUCAGAAUUCAAUGCAAUAGCCCAAUAGCCGGCAUACCCAACUACAUUGCUGGUUAAACUACCUAACUGUGUUCAAAUAUGCAAUACAUGUUAUGCAUUUUUUAGACUUAUGUUGCAUGUAAUCCAUAAAUCUCGGCUUAGAUAUUUUGACAAAGAAAGUGCCUGUUGCCGCUUUUGUAAGUAAGCAAGCUUGCUUUUUAUCUCCUCUUUCCAUAAUAGGUACUCAACAAUUAAAUCUAUAGGAAGGCAUAUUAAGCCAUGAAAACGAUUUUCACUCAAACCCUAGAAUGCUCUGGCAAAAUCCAAAUGGCCAAUUGAAAUCAACCUAAACCAAAAGAAAAGUAGAAACAUAAACCCUUGGUUUGGUUUUUGGGACAAAAAUAUUGGUUCAUUUUCCUGUCCCACCUUUUCUCAGCAACCAAACAGAACAAAAUUGGGGAAAAAACAAAACAAAACAAAAACCCUAAAUUCGGAGCUCCUUCUAUUACAGAAAAUUUCAACCAAACUACCACGAUAUAUAGAGAAAAAACAGAGAGAAAUAGAGAAAGAGUACCAAGUGGUGAAGAGCUUGAGAAAUUGAGCGAGAGCGAAGGAAAGGAAGGCAGAGAGGAGAGGGAGGUUGUUGGGGAUGAUUGACGACCCAGAUGAUGUCGAUCCAGCGAUGGAUGAAGCAUCAGCGGCUGUGAUCACUUCAUCCAUUGAAGCAAAUCUGAGAAAGGAGGGGGACGUUUCAGGUCAAGAGGACGACCCCAAUGGUUGAGAAAUUUGGAAAAUAUUAGCCCGAUGAUUGGUAGGGGAAAACAUUUUCGGAAUUCCUUAAUUAUUGUAUCCACGUCACUGCUUCGUCAACUAGAUGUAGUGGGGCCCGGAACGUCUGGCGUGGAGGCCCCACAAACAACAACUUGCCCUGCCACGCUGUCAGCAAACCUCCUGUUGGUGACUUGAUUCAUGGGCCUAAAGGCAAGGACAGACCAGGUCCAUCAGAUAUAUGGAUUUGGGCCGUUUUAAAGUGGUCGGGCUAGCUCAAAGGUCUGUGCGUUUGGCUCAUAUGGACCUAAGACCAGAGAAGCCCUCUAUGACCUAUGCUAAUUGCUAUCCAACCCACAAGGAAGAGAUCGAGGAUUUUGAAAAAAGAAAAAAAAAACAAUUUAAAAAAAUAUUUAUUAAAAUAUAGCACUUUUGAAACUAUUUCCAAAUUUCCUAUAUUUUUAAGGAAUCCAAUUGGAAAAGUAUCAUAUUUUAAUAAUUUAAAAAAAAAUGGUAUUUUCGUCAAAAAGCCAUAGAGACUAAGCCGCUUCAAAGUAUUGUGAUGUAAUUUUCACCUUCUAUUUUAUCAAGAUCAUGUUUGUUUCAUAAAAAUUUUGAAAGAAAAUAGAACUAAAAGUAGAAUAAAAAAAGAAAAUAGAUUUAAAAUAAAAAAAUCAUAUUUAUGUCUCACUUCACAUUAUUUUAAGUUACAUUAUAAGUUCAAAUGUUUUUAUCCUAAAAAUUGUUUUUUAAAAUAAAUUUGGUGUUUGGCAAAAUUUAAGAAAUGCUUUUAAAAAUAUGAAUUCAUAUUAGAAAAAUUAAUUUGUCUUAACAUUUUUUAGACUUUUUAAUUGAACGAACAAAAAAUUUUGAAUCUUCAAUAAAGAGUAUUUACUCAACAUUGUUUAGACUUAUCUAUGACUUUUGGGAUGAGCAAACAAAAACCUUAAAAAUAUUGUCAAAUAAUGUAGAUUCAUUAUCGUGUUUCAUGUACGUUAAUAUAUAUGAAGAGAAAUGGUUAUUUGUCCGCAUUGGAGAAACUAAUGAUAAACUUUUCUUAGAAUCCUAUGGAAUUUGAAAUCGAAAACACACAAAAAAUAAAAAACAAAAAUGUACACGAAACCUAAAACAACAACCAAUCCUUGUGAAUUAUGACUAGUAACAGAAAAAAAUUUUGCAUUGGGUCUUUUGGGUUGUUGAGAAAACGAUAGGAUUGGAAGAAAAAAUCCCAACUGUGACUCAUCCUUAAUCCAAUUUUCCCUUUAUUGAAGUGUGUUUGAUUAGUGAAAAAAAAUAAUUAAGGAAAAUAAAAGUUCAUGGUAGGCAAAUCUAGUCCCCCCCCCCCCUUUUUUUUCCUACCCGUUUUCGGAAACCAAAAUUAAAACACAUCUACUUUGCAAAGACACCAAAGAAACAACCAUGAUCCUCCAAAAACGCAGCUACAUCUCAAAGACACCAAAGCAUAAAAGCAAAGAAGUAAUCAUGAUCCUUGAAAAAAUAUGCCUCAAUGAAAACCAUGAAAUAAUAUAUCACCAAAUCAUUAAGAUUUCAUUACAGAGUUAUUGUAAAAAACAUUUAUAAUCUUUUUACGUGAUAUCCCACAUCAGAUAAGGGAUGAAAUUACUAGAGUUAUAUAGGUCUGUGUUUCUUUUAAUUAUGUAAAUGUAUUUUAAAGUCGUGAAAAUUUGUUAGCUCUAUAGAGUCGUAAAGGUCUGUUAGAUUUAGAGCGAACAAUAUCUACACGAUUGAUUAUGAGUUAUUACAAAUGAUAUUAAAAUCGAUUAUUGACCCAAGUUAGGAAUUUGUUUGAUCUCCUAAAUGGUAUUUGUUUGUUUGGUCUCUCAAUCCCAUGAGACAUAAUCAAGAUAGUUUCAUAAUAUCAUCGAAUAAGUGAAUUAUAUAUGUAUGAACUCUUCUUAAUCAUAUAGACACAUUUUAAAAAUAUGAGAGUCCUUUUAAAUUCAGAACGAACAAUAUCUACACGAUUAAAUAUGACUCGUUAUAUUUUAACAUUUUAAAUUAUUUAUGAAAAAACUAUUUUCAAAUACAGAAUAAACUCUCCAAGUCUAACUAUGCGAGAAAAUAACAAACAAGGGGGCCUAGUGGGAUCUCUACGUGGGGGGAGAAUGGAGUCGAUGAAAUCAAAGAUGUCAAAUUUGUAUUAUCAGUAAAUAAAAACAUUUAAAUUUGUAGAUUUAUGAUGUUGGGCCCAUAUUCGAAAUGAGUCAUUCUCCUUUGCCCACAUGGCUCUGAUUCACAACUGUGGGCCCAGAUUAAAGAAUCAUUUCAAACCCCUCACUUUUUCCUAACUUUGAAGCCCACCAAUUCAAUCAAGCCAGUCCAGACCCCACUUGGGUUCAGUCCAAAACUCCAAUUAGUUGACCCCUAAGCAGAAUGGCAAGUCAAUUGCGUUUGUUGUAAAACUAUAUAAAAAAAUGUUUUUUUAUUUUUAAAUUUAACUUAUUACUUUAUUUUAUUAAACUUUAAAUAAUAUAAUCAGUAACUUUUUUAGGAUAAUGUUUGAUUUUUAUAUUUAUGGAAGAAGUACACAAAUUUAGUGGUCAAGUACAAGAAACAAAGAUAAGUAUUAUCGAUGUAUAAUUGGAUUUUAUAUUUGAGAAUUGUAUUUUAAAAUGCUUUUAUUAAAGAUAAGAUUAAUUUUAAUUUUUUUAAUCGUGAUCAAUUAGCUAUUUGAUUUACAAAAUAAAUAUUUAAAACCCUAAAAUAUUAAAUAAUAAGUGGAUUUAAAGUAAACCCUAAAGUAUACUUUUUCAUCAAAUUUAAUUUUAAAUAGGAAUGGAAUUUAAGCAAAUUAAUCCGACCUAACCUAACUUUUGGAUGGAUUUGGACAAUCAUUUUUAAUACUAGAUUUGGAUUUGAGUUAAGUUUUUUUAAUUCAAACUUAAUUCCAAUUCGACUUAAGUAAAAAUUUCAAAUAACUUAAAUAUAAGCUUAACUCGAUUUAAUCUUUUUAUAAUAUUUAUAAUAUAUAUUAUCUUAGAUAAUAAUACUUAUUUAUUUGAUUUUUUUUUUAUCAAAUUAUAAUCAUAUCUUAUAUUUUUGUUUUGUCAAAAGGAUAGAUAAAUUUAUUAUUAUUAUUAUUAUUAUUAUCUUAUUUAAUAUUUAAAGACAGAUAAACUGGACCCUUAAGAGUACCAAUCACUUGGCUUGGGGAAAAUGCAAAUGGGGACUUCAAUUGGUUGCAUACAAGUUGGGGGAGUCUUAAUCGGUCAAGUUCCACCUUAACUAGAUGAGUUGGAGGUUAUGAUGCAAGUUAGCAAUGACUAAUAAGGGGUUUGACCCUAAUUAGCACGCAUCGGUACUGAUUGGUCCUAAGCCGAUUAAGCUCUUUGCAAUCAUUUUUCCCUAAUGACUAAUAACUUGGCCAAUCCCAAAGUCAAUUUGAAAUUGUACCUAACAACAAAUUUCUCCAAAAAUCUCCUAUUUAAGCUAUUAUUACUCUUUUAUGUUCUAGAUUAUUGAAAUCAUUGUCACAAUCAUUUAUUAAACUAAAGAGUGUUUGGGGCACCUUUUUAUAUAACUUGUUAAUCCAUACUUAGGGCUCGUUUCACAAUAAUUCUAAAAAGUGUUUUUAAUAUUUUUAAUAUUUGAAAUUUUUUAUCAUUCAAAGUGUUAAAAAUGUUAAAAACGCUUUUUAGAAUCACUCUCAAACGUACUUUUAUUAUACUUUAAUCAUAGUUUUUUUUAGUAACUAAUUUUUAAUCUUAAUUUUUCUUGUGUACUUAAUCUUCAAUUUGUAAACCAGGGUGGCUUAUUUUUUAGGUUCAUUCUUGUAAACUUCCGAGGGUUAAUUUCAAGUGUAAUAAAUUAUUUGAGAAAGAUUGUGAGAGUUGAUUAGAACCAUAAAUCAAAGUGUAAAGGUUGAAGAUUUUGAUUAGGAAAAACGUUGAUUUUAAUGGAGAAUUCUAGAGUCCGAAUUGAAUUAAGAAGUAGGGUGUGUAAGUAAUUGUCAAAUCACUAUAAAAUAUUUGUCUAUAUCUUUUUAUCCUAUUCUCUUUUCAUCAUACUUAUAAUUAGUUUAAUUAUUAUCAUUUGCAUCAUGUUUUGCUAAAAAUUAGUUUAAUUAUUAUCAUUUGCAUCAUGUUUUGCUAAAAAUCAUAAAAAAAACACCGACACUCGAUUCGACCUCUCUUUUUAGUAUAUAUUAUAAGGUUGUCAAUUUAUUUUCACAAUAUUAAUCCUAGAUUUCAUAAUAAAUUCCGACCUUCUUCGACUUUAUUCACACCAUCAUGAGGUGUAAUUGAAAUUUAAUAAGAAUUGCACCUCCUAAUGGAUCUACUAGGCGUUAAAUCUUUGGAUUUAAUCCAUGGAUCAUCAUCUAACAAAUCAAAUGGAACUGGUCCUUCAAAAUCAUCAUUCGUAGUUAGUAUUAACGACAUACUUGAUAGUGACUCUAUUCUAUUUAUUUUUAUAAUAUACAGUUUGAAGUAAACAAUUGACUAAAUAAUUAAAAUUGAUGUAAUGGAACUAAAAAUUUAAGUAUUGUUCUUUACAACAUCAUCUAUAGAAAGACUAUAUAGUCUUUUUAUUUAAUCAUAUUGUUUUGGUUUUAAUUUCAUAAAUUUGUUUAACAAUAUUGCUUCAUUUUUGUUCAUAAAUUAUAUUUUUAAAAUUCUUACAAACAAUUAAAAUUAAAUUUAGACAAAAAUAAUCUUAUGAACUAAAAGUCCAAAUGCCUUGCACAUGGACCACACAAUAUGUAACGACCCACACUUAACCAUGUAGAUAUUGUCCGCUUUGGGCCCAAGGGGACCCUCACGGCUUUAAAACGCGUCUACUUAGUUAAGAGGAGUCCGAUGUGAGACAUCACAAACACCACCCCCCCCCCCCCCCCCCCCCAUGCAGACACAACGUCCUCGUUGUGUCCCAUGGGAUUGCGGGGCCAAACAGACAAAGCCAAACAAACCCCCACAUCGGGGUCGGGGAUCGGCUCUGAUACCAUUUGUAAUGACCCGCACCCAACCAUGUAAAUAUUGUCUGCUUUGGGCCCAAGGGGACCCUCACGGCUUUAAAACGCGUCUACUUGGUUAAGAGGAGUCUCUACAUAUAUAGCGUUAGGAACAUUCUCUCCUAUCCGAUGUGGAACAUCACACAAUACUUUAAAAAGUAGAGAAUAUUAUAAAACUAAACUCCAAAACUAGGAAAUUAAACCUGUUUCAUGAUUGGUGGCAUUCUUUCUUUUCAUUUUUUCCAUAAUUGUAAGGUUAUGUUUGUUCUCAAAAAGUUUGAAGGAAAAUAUGAGGAAAAGUAGAAAAAAAUAAAAAAAUAGAUUUAAAAUUAAUAAAUUAUUUUUAUAUACUAUUUCAAAAAAAAAUUCACUUAUUUAACUUUUUUAUAUAAAUAUUGGAUAAUUUAAAAUUUUACCAAUUUCUUAAUAAUUUUAAUUAUAUUUUACUUUCUUUGGUAUUUUUUUUGUAUUUUUCAUAGUAAAAUCAAAUAUAAGAAAAUUAUUUUUUUAACAUUUUUUUCCUAAUAUUUUUCAGGAAUGAAACAUAAUAUAAAGCUUUUUUUGAAACAACUUCUCAAAUGCUUAAAGUAUGAACUCUUACACAAAAUGUAUAGAUUUACAUUAUCGUCUCAAAAUUAGUUUAAAUAUUUUUAAAUUUUAAUAUAAUAAUUUUUUUAAUACCUCUAUUUUUAAUUAAUUUUACAAAAUCAUUAUAUUUUCAACAUAAAUUUUUAAAUAUUAUCAUAUUUCAUGCAUAAAUUGCUAUUAAUUUUUAUUUUUGAAAACAAAAUGGUAUCUAAACGGAUAUUAAGUUAAGACAAUAAUUUUUUUUAAUACCUCAGAUUUUUUAAUCAAUUUUUAGAUGGAUAAGAGUUUGACAUAGUAUAUAAAAAUAAAUUUUUAAAAAAAUCAUUUUACAUUUCAAUCAUAAUUCAUAGCCCUUUAGAAAAAAAACGUAUCCAAAUCAUAACAUCGACGUCUCAAUAAAGAACAUUAAAUGUAAAAGUAAAAAGCCAUGCAAGUGGUCCAAAACCCCCACAACCAUAUACAAUUCCAUCUCAGACAAUAUAUAUGUCUAUGGCCCAUAAUGUCGUAACAAAAACCCCACACACUUAGACCCCUCGUGAAUGGCCAACCUCGCUGGCUUGAUGGUUGGUGCCCCACCCAUGUGAAAUCUCUUCCGAUCAACCACUCUCCUUCACUGCAUAGUGUCCUCCCCAGAAAGGAUAAUGCUUUUUUGUUUUCUAUUCAGAUAAUAGACCAGAUUCCCCAUCUGAAGUUUCCUCCCCUUGUCUUCUAUUCUAUGAUGCCAUCUCAUCCCCAUCCCCAUCCCCUCACCUUCAAAAUUAAUGGAACCAACUUUUCAAUUUUCAAUUUUCAACCCCCUUGAUGAUCACCUUUUGUAGUUUUCCCUUUACAACAUCCCCCACCUAACUUGAUUUAAUUUAUUCCAUUAUUUGCUUCCUAAAUAUGAAAAAUUAUUGGUAAAGGAACUAUAUAUUAGUAUAUUACCAAAUCUUUUGAUGGAAUAUGGUUGCAUUAACAUCAUACCUUUUCUUGUAGUGUGGGUCUCAUGGGAAGGUGCCCCAAAAAGUUGUCAGGAUUCAGGAAGGAUAAUGUUCAAAUAUUGUAUGAUUGGAAUAUGUUGAUUUUUCUUGACUAUGAUGUAAAUACUUGGCAUUAAUAGUAUAAGACGACUCAAAGUAUUGACCGGCAAGUGGGCUAAAAUGUGAAUUUUUUAUGGCCCAAAAUUUUGAUUAUCUAUGUCUUGAGUUUGUCUUGGUGCUUAAAUUUAAAUCAUACGAUACCCAUUUGAUGUCAUAUCAAAAUUUUAAAGCCUUGUUUGUGACGUAUUUAGAUGAAUUGAGUAGGUGCCCACAAAUGUAUAGAAAAAUUAAGAGUUAGUUGUAAGUAAAUUGUAUAAGGUAACGAGAAGAUAAGAUAGAAAUAUAAAAAGAUACAAGUUAGUAAUAAAAAAAAAUGGAGAUUAUUAUCGAGAGGAAUCCAUUGUAGUAUAAAAAUAUGUGAUGAGUCAGAUCGAAAUAUAUGUGUGUUUUGGUUUUAUUAUUUUAUACAAAGUUCGAUUUCAUUGUUUUAUACUCUAAUUUCAUUCUUUUGUGUUUGAUCGUGUUCAAUUAUCUAAAUUUAAUAAUACACUAUUAAUAGUAGAUAUGUAAUUUUCCAUAUGUACCUCUUUUUUACGUUAAAAACUUUCCUAUCAAAGUGUGGUGCUCAAGCACUCAAAGUGUGGUGCCCAAGCACUAAGGUGGUCGAGUGGAUCCUUUUGAAUAGUAUGGUGCUAAAAAAAAAGUAAGUCACCAUAAGCAAUAUCACUUAUUCAAUCAUAUUUGUCCAAACAAUUAAUUGUCAUAAAGUAAGUCCAUUAUGCACCAUCAACAAAUUAACCUAACAAUUGUUAUGUAUUGAUAGUAGGACAUAUUACAGGAUUAAGAAUAUAUUUGGUAGUAGUUUUAGGAAAUAUUUUUAACAUUUUUAAUACAUAAAAUACAAAAAGUUUCAAGUAUUAUAAAUACUAAAAACGCUUUUAACAAUCAUUGUCAAAUACAAUCUAAAUGUUAAAAUAAAAAGAUGUUAUAAUAACCUAGGGGAACUUACAAAGUUCAUUUUAUAUAAGGGUUGACAAAUAAGAAUCAAAGAUAUGCACAAACUCUUCCAUGAAAUCAAUUCUCAAAAACUUGAGAGCUAACCUAAGUGUCCAAUGUCAAAAUCCAAAACCAACACAAAGUAUAAAGAAAUAGUAUUUUUUAAUUUUUUCCUAAAUGACAAAUAUUGAAAAUUUUGUGGGAUUAAAAGAAUCGACUAUAAUAAAGAAAAAUCCAUAAGAAUGAUCUAGAAGUCGAGUUUUCCUUAAGGGUGUGAUUUUACUUUUAUUUUCUAAAAGCAAUGCAGUACUUUAUAAAGUGAAUAAAGUAACCAAGAAGUUUUUGAAUUGAAAACAAAAAAGUCUUGAUUAUUAAUGUUUUAAGGCAAAAUGACAACUUCAAGUAAUUUUACUUGCAAAACACUCCUAAGCAAAAUGACAAUUUGUUGAUGUAAUAUGCACUUAUAAAUAACUUAAUGUUAGUUAUUAUUUAUUACAAUAGCAAUAGAUUUCCUAUAUAUGAAACCAUUUGGUGUUUAAUAAAAUUUUAAUAAAAUUUUAAAAAAUAUUUGAAUAUUAUUUUUAGCAAUAUAUAUAGUAAAAAUAUUUUUUUAAUAAAAAAAGUCAUGCUUUUCGCUAAAAGUUAAAUUCAUCAUACCAUCUUAUUUACUUAUCCACCUAUUUUAUAUUUUUUAAAAAAUAAAAAGUUUCAAAUAAAAUGAUAGAAUUUUUUUUUCAAUAUGACACCCCUAACUUUAUUUCUUAUUUAUUUAUUUAGUUUACUUUCUUCAUUAUCUUUAUCUUUAUUUUAUUUAAAAUAAAAAUGAAAAAAGAGGUGAAGAUGACGAAAAUGAGUGGAAAAGAAAAAAAGAUAAUAUAUUAGAAAUAUGAUUAGAGUUUUUAAUUGUGGAUAUGGGAUGUCCGAAGAAAAUGUAUUUCAAUAAUUUUAUAAAAAAUUUAUGAUAAAAAAAACCCGAAUAUGUAAAAAGAUUGGAUGAAUGGAUGGAAGAUUUCUCCAUCAUCCAACUAAAUCCAAAUGCAAAGACAAAAAUUAUUCCAAACGAGCAAGAGGGAAAAGAAAUUCGAAAAAUAUGAAUUUUCAAUUUUGUCGGGAAAAAGCAUCAUUUUAUUUCUUGACGUGGUCCAAACAAUGGACGGCAGAGAUGAACCUUAGAGGUCAGAUGAGAGUCAUGAGACUCAGUCCACAUGAGGGGAUGACCAGAAUAUCCACAAUCUACCGCAGCAACAUGGAAUAAUCCCCUCAAAGAUUCCGAAUCUGGCAGCUUUUGUCUGAAUCUGAAAUGUUUCUCGAGGGAGCCACAAAAUAAUAGAUCGCUGCCGUCCAAUUACAACGGGCAAACACACAGACCACGUGUUCAUUUUCAGGACAAGACAUUUCAGUGGCUCCCACGUGGCUACCCCUAUUCUAGUUCACAUAUCACAGGGAAAGUUCCCAUCGGCAUGGGAGCCGAUUCUUGCUAGCCAAACACUCCUCUUCUAAAAAAGAGAUUUUUUUUGGCAUUAUAAUAAGGAAAUUUCCUAAUAAUGUCCGGAUUCUUUCCUCCGUCUUUGUAUGAAUCAUCAAAGCCUUGGGCCCCACAAUCGUAUUAUUUUCGUGGAGACACCAUCGUCUCACAACAUCCUCCUUUAUUACACAAUAAAAUAAUAAUAUUUUAUUUCUGUCAGGUCUUUUUUUGCAAAUUUUUAAGAAAUUUAAUUAUUUUCUCACUGAAAGAUAUUGGGAUGCCAUCUUUAAAUAAUUGGUAGGUCUAUUAAUUAAUAUGAACGUGACAAUAUUAAAUAAAUAAAUAAUUAAAUAAAUAUAAAAUAAGAAAUACCCAUGAGAUACUGCCACCUGUAUAAGCAAUCCAUUAUUUUCUUAAGUCAUUGGAAGUUGUGCACACAUGUUUCCGAGUCUUGCACUUUCUCCAAAUUUAAUUAAUUUUGUCGCCAUUUCUAAGCUCCCAUGUGAACCCCGCAGGGUUUUAAAUUAGCAAAUAAGUAAAAGACAAAAUUUAGUUUGUAUUUUUAAAUUUAAUUUAUUAUUUGAUAUAAUUUAAUUGGAUGAUUAUUGAGGAUGUUUAAGUAAUGGAUUAGCCCAACAUACGUGCCCAAAUGAAAUUUUUGGACAUUUUAACACUCGAUCAAGGUAGAUCACCCGAAAUACCAACCAACUAGAUGCCAUGAAUAAAUCAAUCAUAUAUUUCUCGUAAAAUAAUCAAGCAGUUGUUACAUGUAAUAAAUAAUUGAUUAUUAUUAAUCAUCAAUGAUUGAGUAUUACGUGUUAAAAUCAUGAUAAACGGGUGAUCAUGACAUAUCGAUCAAUCUACAUUUUAAAAUAAAUUUUGAUAUUAAAGCUAACUUAGUCAUUAAAGUGCUCUGUUCAAACAAUAAUUUAAACACAUCUUUUUACAGGUUCGAAUCCAUCUAACAUGGAAAGAGUGAAAAGGCUGCCCUAAAGAGAAUUGUUGACAAUGGUCAACCAAUUAUAGUAAAAUUUGUUGUUCUAAUUUCAUAUUGGAAUAAUUUUUUUUCUUAAACUUGAAUAAAAAAAUAAUUAGGUGCUAAAAUUAAUUUAAUUUAUUACUUUAAAUAUAUUUUUUUUUUUUGGCCUUUUUCAAUACUUUCCACCGACCAAACACGACCUAACGCAUUAUGGGUAGAUUUGAAAAUGAGAUUUAACCAUGGCCCGAAAGAUUCCAACUUGGGAAGAGAAUAUACACGUAUAAAAAAUGGGAGAAAUGAUAAGAGGGGUUAGUAGGAGGUCAGCCUCAAUAUAACAGAAUGCAGGUCCUGUCUUAAUCAGGGUCCAUUUUCUUUACUAAAAAAAGUUAAAAAGCUUAAGUGUUCACUAUACGUGUCAGCAUGUUAGGGUUAUUAUGGAUAAGUGUGAUAUAAGUCACAUGUACAAUUUGAUGUCAUACGUCUUACUUGCCUUAAUUUCAUUUACAUUCCCAAUUUCAUAUUAUUACCCUAUUAAAUAUAAAUAUAUUUUGAGUAUCAAAUUUUUCCAUUAAAAGGAACGUCUACCUAAUUACCUAAUUUUUUUUAUUUAAAACCAUUUUAAAAAAAUAAAUUUUAUAAAUAAAAUACAUUUAUAAGAAUACUAACGAAUGAAAAUAAUUAGUAUCGAUGAAAUUAAUUAUAUUUUAAUUAUAUUUAUUUAUUUAUUUAUUUAUGAUUUGUCUCAUUUAUUUGUAUCCGAACCCGACGUUAUACAUUUAUACAUAUAUUAAAUGGUUUAUUUUCAAUGUAUACGUUCAGUGAUCCAAAUUAUGGUUUAUCAAAUUGAAUUAAGAUCCGAUCAGAGCAUUAUUUUCUUGACCGGGAAUAAAGUUCACACACCUUCCAUGAUAAGCGCGUGGAAUAAGUUAUUUUCCAUAUAUAUAUAUAUAUAAAUGACAAUGAAAAUAAUGUAGUGGGUGUUGGCAUUUUCUUAGCCCCGGACCGGGAGCCAUACGCCAUAUGGUGGUCCCCGGAGGGACCAGUAGACAAAUUGGUGGUACGGGCUAAAAGAAUUAUUCAGAGACACCCAUCCACCUACAUCCAAACACACCCCUUUCUCUUUUUCUCUCUCUAUCAAUAAUUGUAUUUGAUAUUCAGGAGCACCAAGGCCACUCAACCAAACAGGAGUGGAGGAGGCUCAACCACAAGUUCACAACCACACCCCUAAAACCCACAUAUCUCCUCAACACGCCCCCCAUCUAUAUAAGUCACCUACCUGCUCUUCAAAUCCCCGCACACACAAAAGCCUCUCAAGUCCAACAGAUAGGCCGCCUUCUUCCUCAUUUCACUGCAGCUAGCUUCCUAUUUUUCUUCUUCCAAAAUCCAGGGAUUUCAAGAGAAGAGAAAGAGAAAUAAGGGUUCUGCGGGUUGUGGGUCGGUGUGUUUUGUGGUUUUCUAUAUAGGGUUUCUAAGGAGGGAGGGAUUUUGAUUUGGGUUGUGACGGUGGUGGGGUAAAACCCUUGUUCGACGAGUUGUAGACAUCACGGCUAUACAAAGAAUUCCGCCGCCUCUCAUACAUGUCCGGGCGGUACGACGCAAGGGUUGUGUAAUUGAGAGCAACCCUUCGCCGCACGGCGGGCGUGGCGCUUUGCCUUCAGAAGGCGGUAGUCCCUCUGAUCUGCUCUUCCUCGCCGGCGGUGGUUCCAACGCUUUCCUCUGCUAGUUUAGGCUUAUAUUCUGCAUAAUAUAGCUACUGUCUUUAGGAUUAGAUCAACCAAUCCGUAUCGAACACUCGAUCUCUCGCUUUAGCCAUUUCUUUAGAUCAAUCAAUCCGUAUCGAACAAUCGAUCUCUCGCUUUAGCCAUUUCUUUAGGUUGGUGUUUGAGUUCUUGAAAAAAUGAAUACGCUGAGGAUUAAGAGGGUACCCACCGUGGUUUCGAAUUACCAGAAGGAGGAUUCAGACGAUGGUGCUCGUCAGGUUGGUGGUUGCGGCCGCAAUUGCCUCAAGCAGUGCUGCAUUCAAGGUAUUUGUUGAAUUUCUUUUCUGGUUUUUUUUUUUUUUUUUUGGUGAUCUAUGUUAUUUCUUGACGUGGGCUUGAAUUUGCUUAAUUGGGGUUUAAACAGGAGCAAAACUCCCUCUUUAUGCCUACAAGAAGGUGAAGGACGUUGUUAACGAGAAAGCUUCGAGCGGUGAUGAAAACAAAGAGCAGCCUGUGCCCUUCCUUGACUCUCUCGUUCUUGGAGAGGUAAGAGAAAAAGGGGAAUUGAAGAAAAAAUCUAUGUUUUCCUUUCUUUUCCCUUCUUUUCUUUCUGGAAUUCGAUCAAUUAUGGACUGAAAUUGUUUUGCUCAUGUCUCAGUGGGAGGAUCGUAUGCAGAAAGGGCUCUUUCGAUAUGAUGUCACUGCUUGCGAAACCAAGGUCAGAUAUUGAUUCUGUUCAUCUUUAGUUUCUUUCCUAGUUCGUUGACAAAUUGGGUUUUGGGUUUUUCAUUGUGGCUGCCAACUGGGGUUGUGGGUUUCUCUCAAUUUGUUUGUUAAUUCCUGACCAGGUGAUUCCGGGUGAGUAUGGGUUCAUUGCCCAGCUGAAUGAGGGCCGCCACCUGAAGAAGAGGCCCACUGAGUUCCGUGUGGAUAAAGUCCUCCAGCCCUUUGAUGGGAACAAAUUCAACUUCACUAAAGUUGGGCAAGAGGAGGUGCUCUUCCAGUUUGAACCAAGCAAUGAUGAGGAACCUGAGUUCAUCCCCAAUGCUCCCAUUGAUGUCGAAAAUUCUACAAGCGUUGUUGCCAUCAAUGUAUGCAUCCACUUCUGUUCUUCAUGUUCUUGGAGAGUAAUGAGUAUCAGGUCUUAAUAACACUGUUUCUGUUGUCAAUGAUUAACAGGUUAGUCCUAUUGAAUAUGGGCAUGUGCUUCUAAUCCCAAGGAUUUUCGAGUGCUUGCCGCAGAGGAUCGACCGCGAAAGCUUUUUGCUUGCCCUUGACAUGGCUGUGGAAGCAGGAAAUCCAUAUUUCCGGUUGGGUUACAACAGCUUGGGUGCAUUUGCUACCAUCAACCACCUUCACUUUCAGGUUUCUUUCCACCUCACCUUUGAACUGCAAUCAUUGUACUAUAAAAUUGGCUCCAUUGGUUAAUGAAAUAUGAAUUCCAUAACUUUCAUGGUAACAGGCUUAUUACUUGGCCACACCCUUUCCCAUUGAGAAGGCUCCAACUAGGAAAAUAACCACUGCAGGCAAUGGGGUGAAGAUCUUUGAGCUGUUAAAAUAUCCUGUUAGAGGUCUUGUCUUUGAGGGUGGAGACACUCUGCAAGAUUUAGCGAACACUGUGGCCGAUUCCUGCAUUUGCCUUCAGGAUAACAACAUACCUUUCAAUGUUCUCAUUGCUGAUGCUGGGAAACGUAUCUUUCUCUUUGCACAGGUAAAAUUUCAGAUCGUAGGCUACACUGGUAUGGCCAACUUUGCUGCAUUUGGGUUUCUAAUUUUAGAUUUAACUCAUCUCCUUUUCUUAUUGAAUAAACAGUGUUAUGCUGAGAAACAAGCUCUUGGGGAAGUGAAUCAGGAGCUUCUGGACACCCAAGUGAACCCAGCUGUCUGGGAGGUUAGUGGACAUAUUGUGCUGAAAAGGAAGGAGGACUAUGAGGGGGCAUCUGAGCAGAAUGCUUGGAGGCUUCUUGCUGAGGUCUCUCUCUCUGAAGAGAGGUUCCAAGAAGUGAAUGCUCUUAUCUUUGAAGCCAUUGCCUGUGGAGAUGAUGAAAAAGGAAAUCUCACCGAGGACAUGAUUGAGGAGCCAGAUGUCACACCUCCAUCUCAUGAAGAUGCAGGUGCCAUCAACAAUAGCUCCUACCCUGCUGCCAUGGUGGCUGGAAAGCAAGAAUGCCUAGUUCAGCAGUAAGAGUUGGGCUUUUGAAGAACAGAUGAAUGGUGUUUGUGUUUCUGAGUCAGGUAUCGGUGGUUUGGCAUGGAUGUUUCCGUGUGUCUGUGGUUUCUAGUAAUUGCUUAAAUAAAGCAGACUGGGUUUUGCACUGUUGUUGAAGUUGUGCCUGGUUUCUCUGCGUAUUUGCUUUAUGACCUAUUGUUUAUACGUGUCUCAUGGGUCUGUAAAAUUCUAUGCUGUACUUUCUGUGAUGAUUGAAUAAAUUUCUGUUCUUCGGUUUCUAAAUGCUUGCGACUUAUUUCUUCUAAGGGUAAAAGAACUAUGGUUCUGAUGUUGUGUCACUGAUGAGUUCUAUCAGAGAUUUUAUUCUUUGCUCUCUGAUGCUCAUUUAUUUGGAGGAUAAUGCCUUGGUUCAGUUUCUGCCAUUGUUUGAAGAUUGCCAUCUGCUAUCUCGCAACAAAUGGCAGAAGUUCAAGCUGAUGUGAGCCUGUGGAUGAUAUAUUAGAGGUAUGUUUGGUUUCUUGGAAAAUUUGGGGGAAAAUAUAAAGAAAAUUGAGGGAAGACUUCAAGUUAAUAAAUUAUUUUAAUAUAUUAUUUCAAACUUAUUUUACUUAUUUAAAAUUUUUAUAUAAAUUUUAAAUAAUAAAAAAUACAUAAAUUUAUAAGUAAUUUUAAUUUUAUUUGAUUCUCUUUACUAUAUUUUAUAUUAGGAUCACUAGAAAAUUAUUUUUUUAUUUUUUAUUUUUAAUAUUUUUUGGGAACCAAAUAUAGUCUUUUGUGGAAGAUUAGUUACUGACCAUUGAUUGAUCAGCACCCAACUUCUUUGAACUCUAAUAAUGUAUGCUAUUCGAGAUGAUGGUUCCCUUGAUCUUAAGAAAUGUAGCCCUACAAAAGAUGACCCACCAUCUGGCUUCUGGGUUUAGAGGUUCACCUCUAAGAUCCAUUUCAUGAUGACUCCAGAUCACCAAGAGAGGGCACUUUAAUUAACCUUCAAAGUUAGAUAUAUAAUGCAGAAAAUAGUUUCCUCACACCGUUACACUUGCUUUCAUCAUGCGUGUGUUAAAGCGAAAGGCCCCUCCCAAACACAAAGCAAAGAAAGCUCCCUCAUCACGUAAAUAGUAAUUACCCCCCCACACCAUGCCCACCACCCACCAUGUAAGAAAAACAUGAACACACCUUAAGCUUCUCCUGAGAUUAAGUCCUCCACAUAACCCACCCCUUUAUGCAUAUCUAUAUAUAUAAUUGCAAGCAGCUCUGCCAAUGCUGCUAAUGCAUCUUGAAACGAUGCGACUACUUGACACCCGAUUCGCCAUUUCAAUCCUACAAUUACUUCUACUACUGGUUGUGAUUGUGGGAGCGGACCCAACACCAAAAGUUGUUCAAAAAAAUGGCACUAAGAGGUCAUUGUCGUCGCCAUGGCUGAGGAGGGUGAUCAACCCAAGAGCCGCAGGGUGCUGGAACAGGCCAUGGAUAUGCAAUGAAGGGCAGUUCCCACCAAGAAUCAAGAAGCUGUGCUGUAGAAACCAGUGUGUGGAUGUCACCUCCGAUGUUUACAAUUGUGGCUUGUGUGGGAUCAGGUGUCCAUUUACUUGGCAAUGCUGCCGAGGCAUCUGCAUUAAUACUAAUAUAAAUCCAUUUCAUUGUGGCAAGUGUGAGCACAAAUGCCCCUUUGGGAGCUUCUGUGUAUAUGGAAUGUGUGGAUAUGCUCAGCCACUGCCCCCAUUUCCUUUUCCUCCUAAACCACCAAAGCCCCCGUUCCCCCCCAAGCCAUUCCCACCAAAGCCCCCGUUCCCCCCUAAGCCAUUCCCACCUAAGCCAUUCCCACCUCAUCCUCCGAAGGGUGUGCAGGCGCCUACAAUGGCUUGAAGUUAAUUUUCUGUCUCAUUUUGUGCCAUGUGAACGUCUCUGUGCGUGUGCAUGGGCAUGCAUGGAUGAUGGGUGAAGGGUUGGUGUUGAUUUUCUGUUGUUUGGCAAAAGUAUGGUGCAAGGGGAGACUCGUAUGGUUGAUAUAGUUUCAUAUUUGUAACCAUCUUCUUAUGAGUUUAUGGCAUGCAAUUUUAUUUGAUGACCGACUCUUCAUAAAUGAUAAUAUUUCCUCUGUUUUAUAUCCAGUUUUUGUUGGACAACGUAAUUUCUUUGGCUUAGAAAAUGAGUCAGUUGUCUCAAAGAAUUAAACAUGAAUGCUUCAUAUCACUGUAUAACGCAUUCAACAUCGAAUAUGCAAAUUCUUAUACUCUUGGGCACGUUCCUCUUUGGAGUUGGGAUGAGAUCCACAUUAGGAGUUCUAGCAGGCCUGAGACCAGACUCAAAAUUUUAUUCUCAGCCCAGGCCCCAUCUGAGGAGUGGGCCAAGAUGGCCUUAGCAAGGAAUUUUUUAUAAGAGUACGACAGUUUAAAAAAACAAUUCCUAAACUCCUAUUGUGGAAAUAAUAAUUUCAAAUCUAUCAUAAUUUUUGUCAACUAGGAAAGAUAAGGUCAUUUCCUUUUAAAAUUGUCUAUUUGAAAAAUUAUUUGAGUAUAAAAAAUCGUAUUUUGAAAAUAUGAUUUCUAAAAUUCAUUCUUAAAAAAAAUUACACACUAAAAUUAUCUUUUGAAGAGACGAGUUCUUCAGAAGAAAAAAAAAAAAAAACUAAAUUAUUUGGGAGAAAUAGUCUUUUCACAAUUUUCUCCCAAAAAAUAAAAUAAAAUUUAAUUAAUGAUAUAUUUUUUUAAUAAUAUAAUUAUUAUAAAUAUAUUUAUAAAAUUAAUUAAUUUUAGUUACUAAAUUUAAUAUAUAAAAAAUUAUAAUUAUUGAGAUAUUUAUCAACAAUAAUAUUUAUAAAAAUUAUAAAUUAUGUUUAAUAUUUAGAUAUUGAUUUUUGUGAUUAUUUAUUUGUUGAUGGUUCAAUGAACAAGGUUAUUGGUUUUUUGCAUUCACACUAAUAAUUGAUUUUUUUAUCAUGAUUGAAACUUUAUUAAUUGUUAGAAUAUUUGUUGGUUUUUUAGUAUUUGUAUGAACAAUAUUAUUAGUUUUCUUAUAAUCAUGAUAGUAGGUAACUUAGAUUCUUUAAUAUUAAAAACAUUUAAUAAUUAAGGAUUGACUUGGUGUUUAUAUUUAUGACAUCAUGUAUUUGAAUUUUAAGUCUUUUAUUUGAAUAUAUAGUUUUUGAAAAGAUGAUUUCUUAAUUUUUAUUUAUUCUUUUUUAUUUGAUCAAUUUUCUUGAAACCUAUAACAUUAAAAAUUGAAAAUAGAUAAAAAAAUUUAUAUAACAAAAUAUUUCCUCAAUUUUUUCUUAAUAAAAAAUAGUUAAUCAUUUCUAAUUUUAAGUGUAUUAAAUUAUUUUUAAAGAAAUGUUUUAUUAUUUUUUCAAAUUACUUUAGUUGUUUAUCAUUUAUAAUUACUAAAUAAAAUAUUUUAAUAUACAAAUGAUUAUUAUUUCUUUUUGAAUUGAUUAAUACUUAAAAAAUUAUAUCUCUUAAUGUUGAAAAUUUUAUUGAAAAUUAAUUUUUUGAAUAAUAAAUUAAUUUAUUUUUUUAUAUUUAAUUCUUUUUAUAGUUAAAUUUUAAAUUAAAGAUUAAUAUUUUUAAUUUUAAAAUUUAUAUAAUAAAAUUAAUUUAAAAAUUAAAAUAAAACAAAAUUAUUUAUUUUAUAAAUAAUUAUUUAAUAAAUUAAUAACAAAUUUGUUUUUUAUAAAUACAUUUUUCACAUAAAAUUGAUAAUAAUUGUUUUUAAUUACAAAGCAAAAGAAACAAAAAAAUAUUAGAUAAAUAUUAUUUAUCUUAUAAAUAAAAAACAAUAUCAAAAGUAAAUUAAUUUUAUUAGUUAUAAUUAAUUGAAUUAAUUUAAAGAAAAAAUUAAAAAUUAAAAAAAAAAAGUAGAUUUAAGAAUAAAUUAAUUAUUUUUAUUUAUAACUUAAAAUUAUUUUGGACUUUAAAUUAUAUUAUUAAAUACCUAAUUUAUUUAACAACUUAAAUUAAGUUAUUAAAUCAAAUUUAAUCUUGGUUAACCAACCCCCCACAGAAUCAUACCGUGAUGUGUUUCUAAACCAUACGCGGCCACACCCAUUGGCCAAAUAAACCUUAACGAUUCUCAGUUCUCACUCUAGGGUUUUCUGCUCACUCUUUUCAAACUGAAAACCAGAUGGAGUCAAAUGGAGAAGACGCUUCUCGAAUUCUCAGGGAGAUCGAGACCUUGAAGGCCGCUAAGGCCGACAUAGAGCAUCGAAUAUCGGUUCUCGAAGCUCGGCUUCGCGAUAUUCCUCUGCCUAACGACGCCAUUUCUGGUGUCUCCUGUUCUUCCAUGUCAAUAGCUGAUUCGGCUGCCGGACACGGACUCUCCCCGGAUAUGAUCUACCGGUAUAGUCGCCACCUUUUGCUUCCUUCCUUCGGAGUUCAAGGUUUGUACUUUGUACUGGACUGGUCGGAUCGAAUGCUUCAUUCAAAGUAUGAAAUUCAACUGUUUUCUUGCUUUUGAAAGCUGAAUGUAAUGCAAUUUUUCUUAUCAAAGUGUGAGAAAGGUGUUCGGAAAUGCUAACCUUUGUAUAGUUAGAAUUUUCGUAGUGCGUUUCUUGCUUUUGUGGAGAAAAAAAAAUUGCUUUACUUGCUGGUAUCAAAUGCGAGAAAAAAGAAAAGAAAAAAAAACAGUUUCUAGCUGAAAUAUGUUUCUGGAAUUUUAGAAAUACAGAGCAUUUUGAAAGGAAUUUUCUUCCUUUUAUGGGCUAGAAUCCAUUUAAUUUUGCUUUCAAAUAAUAAAAAAGUACUCUUAAAUUGUCCUACUGAAUCUUAACUGGAUUUUCCCGUUUUAAUGAAUGCCAUUCUCUUUGUUGAAAUGAGUUGUCAGAGUUAGACCUUGAGUUAGUGCUUUUGAAUGCUCCUUUUUGUGUAGCAUUUUGGAAGUACUUUUCUUGCUUUUGAAAGCUAAAAUCAAUGUAAUUUUUGCUUCCAAAAGUAGGAAAAGUACUUGCAAAGUGCUGUCAAAAUAAGGUCACUGUAAUUUCAUUCCACGCUGGGCUAUAUUAUUCUGACAAAUUCCUCAUCAAUAUGACCUUGCUUGCUUGAAAAUUUUAAUAACAAAAACAAUAACAAUUACUUUAGAUAAAUCCAAACAGAAGUCAAGUAUUGGACCACAUGAAAGGCAUUUUGUUUUAGUGGAAAUUUUGUGUCUUUCCUGCAAUAUUUUCUUUCACAAGUUCUAAUAUGUUCAAGUAGCGCAGAGUUUGGACACAUGUUGCUGUGAGAUACAACGAUACAACUGAAUUUGACCAAGAUUUCUGUUUGGUUUGUUUCCAGAACAAUACUCUUUCAUGGUAUAAACUGAGCAGUUUGGUGCUCUUAAGUCCUUUUUAAUGCCGACUACAAUAACCUUUAUGUGUUGAAAAAAAUGAGAACAAAAAAAAACAUGAAAAUCUCUUUUGCAAGACAUUUUUCUAAAAAUAAUUAAUGCAAAUAGAUUGUUGGAAACAUUCAAAAAGUAAUUUUGCACAUUUUGAAUAUCAAUGGCAUUUUAACUACUGACAAUGACUGGAAAAUGGUAAGUUUCUGGACAUGUUCACCAUUUCAUUUCUGAAAUGGGAACAUUAAUCAGAAAGCCAUCUUACAUUUGCAACAUAACAGCCCGUUUAUUUUUCAUAUUUCAGUGAAAUUCACAUUGAAUGUCAUAUAGUUUAAUGCAGAGCUUUGGUCAUUGAGCAAUCAAUAAUCUACUUUAUUCUAUAUAAUUAGUUGUCAUUUGUUUAUUCUGAUUGGUAUCUCUUUACUUUCCAAUUGGUAUUUGUGGUUGGCUGUAGGGCAGUCGAGUCUCUUGAAGUCUUCAAUUUUAGUUGUUGGAGCUGGAGGAUUGGGCGCACCAGCUCUUUUAUAUCUUGCGGCAUGUGGAGUUGGUGAGAUGUUUGCUCUUAAGAAGGCUCAAAAUACAUGUUCAUUAGAAACUUCUUGUCUGAAUUCUUUUCUGGACCAUUACCCGAGUCAAUGCUACUUAUUGGGCUAUCAGGCUUGAAAAUAUAAGUUUAUGUCACUUCAUGCAAAAAUGCUGAACUUGGAUUUUUUUACAAAUCUUACCCAAACAAAGUUCAAAACAGAGCCUAUGCUAGGUAAUGGUCCUUUUUUGGCAUACCUAGCAUUUUGAUGCCAUUGAUUCAUGUGUGUGAUAUUUUGAUGCCAUUGAUUUAUCCAUUUUAAAUGAAUGGGUGCUUUAAAGGGAGCACUUAAAUCAUUGUCUUAUAUUGCAAUUGGACCUUUUUGUUUUGAAACUCUGACCUUUCAUUUUAAAGCUCUUUCAUUUGGAUAUUCUUCCCAGGGUGCAUAGGUACUGUUGAUCAUGAUGUUGUAGAGCUGAAUAAUCUGCACCGACAGGUACAAAUUUAAAAUAUGCACUCUGGUUCUCUAGUCGUCAUGAUGAUGUUGGUGGUACUAAUAAGAAAUAUUCGGCCUAAUUUUAUUCUUGGUGCCCCAUGCUUUCUCUUGGUAUGGUUAUGAAUGAUAAGCUUGAACUACAAAAAUGUUUUUAAAUCCACUAUGAUUUGAAAAAUGCCAAUCAUGUUGGUGCACUAAAUAAGCUCUUGAGGCAUGGCUCAAGUGGUAAAAGGUUGGGAGGGUUUGUAGGAGUUUCCAGGUUCAAGUCCCAAUGAGGAAAAAAAUGUACAUACCAAAAAAAAAAAAAAAAAGUUGCACUAAAUAAUAAUGGAAAUAUGCAAUGAUGGGGCUACUACAUUAAACACAUGCGAUUUCUCCCAUGAUCUUUCUGCUUUGUUUCAUAUGGCACCACAAAAUGUUUUCAUAUUAAUAAAUUUAUACCCAUCAGCUUCUCCCCGAUCCUCGAUGUAUAAACAAAAAACAUGGAGAAAGUGAAUACAAUUGCAAAAGGCACAUAUGGAGUGCUAGAUACUCACCUGAGUGAAGGAGGUGCUAAUUCUUUAAAAGGUAUCACCAAUUAAAUGAAAAAAAUGAAAGAAACAUGUAAAUCUUUCUUUAGGGCAUCAAGGCAUCAUAAUGAUCAAAUAAUGAAGUUAUAACCACACAUUGUUUUACCUUAAUGCAAUUUGCAAAUCUGCAUUUCUCUUUGUAACUGUUAGGAAUCUCAUAGAGGUAUUGUAAUGUGCAAAUGAACUUCUUUUGAUCUAGUGAACUCAUGAUCUCAGAGCCUGCUUCCUAUUAUUAUAUUGCAGAUUAUCCACACUGAAGCAUAUGUUGGUCAACCAAAAGUACAAUCUGCUGCUGCUGCUUGUCGUUCGUAAGUAGCACUUUUGGCAUUAUCUGUCUUAACUCUGAAAAAUACCUGAUCUGAAGUUGCUGCAUCUGCUGUCUGCUUUGUGAAGUUUGCUUUUCACUGAAAGUAUCCUGGAAUUUUCUUUCAUGUUGUUAUGCUUAAUAUAGAUUUGUAUGCCAGGAUUAACUCCACAAUUCAGAUUGUGGAACACAAAGAAGCUUUAUGCACAUCCAACGCUUUGGAGAUUUUGAGCAAGUAUCCUUUAUAAAACAAAUUUCAAAGAUCAUUAAAUUUGUCUUUUUGCUUUCCUUUUCUUUUUUCUUUAUUUAAUCCUUUCUGUGAAUACUGAUGAAAUAUUUUGAUUUCCCUGACUACUGACAUUUCUUAGAUAUGAUCUAGUUAUCGAUGCAACAGAUAAUGUCCCUAGCCGGUACAUGAUAAGUGAUUGCUGCGUUGUAUUAGGGAAGGUAAAUUGGUCAUUGUGCUGCUUUCUCUUGUAGAUAAUUGUACAGAAGUCACUAUUAGUAAACUUACUAAAACUGGAUUUUAGCAUUAUGUAACAUAGAACCAACCAUUCAUAUGUCUGGAUUUGGCUAAUGCUGUUCUAGGCUUUUAUUUUCAGUACCUCUCUUAAUGCACUCCACCCUGUAUUCACAUUAACUGAUAUUCCCUUGUGACAGUAAAAUCCAAGGUACUAAGAGGGCUCUAUAUUAUGGUCAAUAAUCAAGACAGGAUUCUACAAGCACCUAUGUCUGAACAAAAAAAGAAAAAUCACUAAAACCAGCAUGAGGCUUAUUGGUUCACUAUGCAUGUGUGUCUAGUGUGCGAUUUUUCAUCCUUGCAUUGACCCUUUACAUGUUAUUUGUGCAGCCUCUUGUUUCAGGUGCUGCUUUGGGAUUGGAAGGGCAGGUAUGUUAUGCAUCUGCUUUCAUAUUCUGUUAUUCUUGUGUUACACCUAUAGAAUUUCUUAUGUGAAUAAGGGAAUGGGAAGUGUAAUCUUCAUCAUUUUUUGUUGUGGAAACUCAUAGCAUAACUGCAUCAUGAAAUUUUUUGUAUAGCUCACUGUUUACAAUUACAAAGGAGGUCCAUGCUAUCGGUGCCUUUUUCCUACUCCACCACCAACAACAGCAUGUCAAAGAUGUUCAGAUAGUGGAGUUUUAGGAGUAGGUAAGCUGCAGUUUUGCUAACAUGUCCAAUAUUAAAUUACUAGUCUGCUAACUUGCCUACCAAACCUUGUAAAAUAUGAUCUUGAGAGGGAUCUUUUCCUUUUUCUAUCUUCUAUCUUAAAUGGAGAAGAAGUCUUAGAUUUUGUCCUGGAUGCAGGUAAGAAUUGAAUUGGGCAUAAGUCUGUUUCUUGCUUUACGUAUAGACUCCAGUAAAUUUGCAUAUUUUAAUUUGUCUGCAUUGAGUAUUGAUUUCACACGAAAGAAAGGAUAUAGUGUUAGUCAUGAACCUCGACAAAACUCCACUCAAUAAACUGGUGUCCUAAUUGUGUGCAUGGAAUUGGUAUCAUAGAAACAUAAAGGAUACAAAUGUUGGUCAUGAACCUUGACCAGGCUCUAUAAAUGUUGGUCAUGAGCCUUGACUAGGUUCUACUCAAAAGGAAAACUUUAUCCUGAUUAUGUGGGGUGGCUAUGAAUCCUACUUCAUGAUUCCACUCAUUUCAGGAUUCAUUUUUAUAACAAUUUUGCUAAAGGUUUCAUGUUGGGCAUUGGCUAUCCAACACAAGCCGCCUCAUUCCUCCUCGCCUGAGAUGAGAUGUCUGAAGAGAGAAGUUCAUGUUGGUGUACUGGUUCAACAUUAGGAAAUUGUGCAAUGUUUCUUGGUGUUUCAAAUCUAACAUUUAUUCUUUUAUUUUUGUGUUAUUUGUUUAUUUUUUUUGUUUAUAUGCUGUAUUCUUUCCUGCUAUUUUAUUAGUUUAGAGUUUUGAAUUGCUGUUGGUUUCCUUUUUCAUUUUCACAAAAGCAUUUUUAGAUACUUGGGACAAAAUUGUAAUGCCUUUCCCACUUUUGUUUUAUAGUUCCUGGUAUCAUUGGCUGUCUCCAAGCCCUAGAGGCUAUAAAGAUUGCAAGUGCUGUUGGAGAACCACUGUCAGGAAGGAUGCUUCUCUUUGAUGCAUUGUCAGCACGAAUUCGAAUUGUAUGUUUCAUUUUCCAUAUCUUUGAAAGUUUCUUGAAUUCUAAAUCAAGUGCAUACUUUUCUGUUAUUUUUCUUUGAAGUAUUAUCUUCUCGUGAUCUCUUUAUCAGUAAUGCUUAUAGGUGAAGCUUUAAUAGAUCAGAUUCAGGUAACUGAAUGUACUAGACGUUUGCGGUGAUUGUUGACUAUGGGAAUUGAGUUUGCUCAAAGAGGUUAUGGUGAAAUUUGUAAUAGAAAAUAAAACAUUUUAAUGAUGGUAAUAGAUUUGCAAUGUUAAAACAAUAAGUAUCAAUGUGGAGAGUCUGGAUUCUGAAUAAGGUGAUUACUCAGGAGAGAUUAGUUUUCCAGGAUUGGUUUUGUGAACAGAAAGCAGGAAGACCUAGCUUGGGCCUAUUGGGGGUCCUUACACUCUCCUCUCUUCCAUGGUUUCACUGUGACAUCAAAUGAAAUUAAAUAUGAUUUUAUCUUUUACAGUUAGACCAACUGAAAACAAAAUGCCAUUGGACUUGUCUAGAAAAUACAUUGAUUCUCUUUUCUGGGAACUUGGUGGAUGUUAUCUUAUAUCUCUACCGAAUAGGGUAGAGAUCGGUAGUGGUUCACUUGUUGCAUGCAAUAUAUAUAUUUAUAUAUUAAAUGUCAUCAAGUUUUUCUCAACAGUCAUUCUGGUUUUGUAAGUGAUUAGCAUUAAAGCCAGAAUGUAUUCAGUUAUUCUUUUUCCCAUCACUACAAGGUAUCCCUAGGCAUACUCCCACCAGGAUUCGGAAUACAAGAUUAAUCCUCUUGACGUGGUCUAGUAGUGUUAAAGAAAUUGACAAUCUUUCAUUUCUAGACUUCAAAGAUGGUUUGGGCUAUAAUAGUUAAGAGUUUCUUGUCAUUUUAGUUUUUCCCUCUGUACUUUUGUGUUUUGCUGAAGAAGUAUAUUUCCUGUGAACUUAAGUUGUCCCUUUUUCUGUUUGGCACCUCUUUAAGGAAAUCCUUAUUUGCCUAUCAAAAGGAGGUCAUAAUGGGAUGUUCUUUGGAUUGCCUCCUUCUAACUAGCCUUGAUUUUGUCUCAAAUCAUUUUUUGUUUCUGGAGAUUGUAGAUAGCUUGUUCUUAUGGAAAUUAAUCUUUAAAGCAUUGCAUUGCUUAGGUCAAGAUUAGAGGGAGGUUGUCCCAAUGUGAAGUUUGUGGAGAAAAUGCAACAUUCACCCAACAGAAAUUUCAAGAUUUUGACUAUGAGAAGUUCACUCGGUCUCCACUAUCCACGGUAUCAUCUGCUCCCUUACCUCUCUUUUAUUGUCAACUGCUUGUAUUUUGAUUUGAUUGCUUAAGAUUCUUUCAUCGAUAAAAGAAUCUCUUGUACCACGGUUGCAGUUUUCAAAAUUCAUAAUCUCUCUGAGAUUCAUACAAACACAUGAAUUAGUACCUUGGAUGCCCUCGGAAUUUAAUAUUUUUGACCUUCCAAUUGAUUGCAGACUCCAUUGAAGUUAAACCUGCUUCCAGCAGAUUCCAGAAUAACCAGCAAAGAGUACAAUGACAGACUUGUUAAUGGGGAGGCACACGUAUUGGUGGAUGUACGACCAUCACACCACUUCAACAUUGUUUCUCUCCCGAAGUCAUUGAACAUCCCACUCUCAAGCUUGGAGACUAGGAUGUCGGAAAUCAGUUCAGCCUUGAAGGAAGAAGAGGAGCAGAAGGGUAGUAACCAUUCUGGUACAAGUAUCUACGUAGUGUGUAGAAGAGGUAAUGAUUCACAGAGAGCUGUUGAAUACCUCCACAAAAUAGGUUUCACUUCAGCCAAGGACAUCAUAGGGGGACUGGAGUCAUGGGCCCAUGAUGUGGAUCCAAACUUUCCUACGUACUAGUCAAAAUGCUCGCCUGUCGCCUAUGUAGACCGGUAGAAUCAAAUUUUCCAUGUCUUUUGAGUUAUAUGACUGAUUCUUGAAAACAAGGGAGGCCGUUCCAGAUAAUUUAUGAUUCAGGCACAUAUAGUUUUGCUUAUUUCUGAUAAUCGAGGUUGUUUAUCAGUAUAAUGAUGAAGAAAAUUCAUGAUGUCCCCAAGCAUUAGAUCAGUCAUAUAUUUGGUGCAACUAUCAUUUUACAUGCGCUUGGAUUUAGGGAAUGGAACGAGCAAAAUGGUCAUUUCACUAGGCAAAUAAAAAAUGGGCAUGCGUUAAACUCGUUUAAUAAAACUAGAUUUUAUCACAAUAAUUUUCAAUUAAGAGCUAGUUUAAUAAAACUUAAAUUAACUUUAAGUUAAAUUAUUCUUAAUUUCUUGACCUAAAAUCUAUCACUUAAUUUUUCCUUUUAAGUAUUAAGGUUGUGUAGUAAAGUUAAUUUAAGAUUUAUUAUACAUCAUCAAAUUAAUAUGUUAUUCUUAUUCAUUUUAAUAUUUAUACUUUCAUUAAUCUUAAGUAAUAAAUUAUUUGUUAUAUAUUCAUAUUUAAAGUAUUAUAAAUAUAUAGGAUAACUACAAAAGUAUAAAAGAUGAGUUGUGAGUAUAACUUAUUUUUAUAAAAUAUAAUUUUACUAAAUAUGGACAAAUGAAAAAAAAUAUUCAUAUUUAAUUUAUUAUACCAAAUAUACUUAAUCUACUUAAACUAUAUUUGAUUGACCGAAUAUGAUAAAAUAUGCAAAAAUCCUAGGUUAUUAUAUCUCAUUGAAUAAGAUAGACAUAUUUUAGGAUAUCAUUUUUAAUAUCUAAUAGGCAUGAUGCCUCAAGAUAUUAUAUGUUAUAUGUUAUGUCAUGUUUAUAUUUAGUUUGUAAAAUGAAUAAAAAAAUGAAAUUAAAUAUAUAUUAUUUUUCAAAUAUAAAAUAUUUAUUUAAAAUAAAAAUUAUAUUGCAUUCUAAUAUUUGUUAUUAAAAAAAAAUAUGAACUUCUUUUAUAUUCAGUAUUAUUUAGAAAUGAUUCAAUAAUCCAAAAUUUAGUGAAUAAUUUUUUUUAUUUAUUAAUAAUAUUGAUGAUUAAAAUAUUAAAAAAUUAUGAAUAAAAAAUUUAUAUUAUGUUAUUCAAUAUAUAUAUAUAUUUUUAAUUACAUAUUUAAUUUUUUACUUUUGAAAAAUAAAUACAUAUAUAAAGUGAGAAUUAACAUAUUUAGGAUAUAAGAAAAAAGGUGAAUAGUAUAUCUUAUUACUUAUCUUAUCUCAUUACCAAAUAAACAUGGGAUAAAAUAUGUGUCUCGUAUUGUAUCUAAUUAAUCAAACAAUGCUAUAAUAAUUUAAAUUAAAUUAUCAAAUCAAAUUAAUUCAUUAAACUAGUUUAAUAAACUCCUUUUGAGUAGAACCCAAAGGACACUCGCUCAAGUUGAGCUAAGUGGUACAUUAACAAUCAAGAAUUGCUUUAGCCAAAUCCAUCAAUCAUGAGAAAUACGUUGUCCAAACCACUGCAUUAAAAAAUUUUGGAAUAUAUUUUUAAUAAAUAAGGAUUUUAAUUCACAUAUAUUUUAAUAAUCCUAAAGUAAACAAAAAAAAAAAAUGAUAUAUGUACAUCGACCAUUUGUAUUAUUAGUUAGAAUGCAUUAACUAUAUAUAAAUUUUUAUAUUCAAUAACUAUCUACUUAGGUAAAAAUAAUGGUUGAAAAAUAAUUGUAGUUUUAAGUAAUUAUAAAUUUUUUUAUGAAAUGAUUAUAAUUUAUAAAAAAUAGAAUUUACGAAUGUAUUAAUACAAUUUUAAUAUUAUCUUUUUAUUAAUAAAAUAUUUGGAGAUAACAAUGAGAGUUGUUAAGAGAUAAUAAUUUUUUACCGAUAAAAAGCACACAACCACUUGUCACUGACUGACUCAAAAUGAGCCCUGAGCUUAUAUAAAAGAGCAAGAAGCUUAUGGAACUAAGAGUCAUCUAUUAACAGAGUGUGGAAGAUUUUUGAGAAUCGUAGACAUAUCCACACAAGGGAAAUGUGUGGAGAAUUUUAAAGUGUUUCAGAUAUCUUGUGCAUUCCUUGUAAGUGAAUUUGUAUAGGUCAUUCUAGAAUAGUGGGAUACCUUUUAGGGUUUUGGAGUCUGCCACCUUGGAUGCCUAUAAAUAGAAGAUGGUCUUAUUUGGACAAGAUACCAAAUAAGGCCUAAGUCCACUAUUCUUGUGCAAAAAGGCCUAAGUCCAUCACUCACUCCAUUAGAUUGGGCAUUAUUUUAAAACCCAAUCUAUAUAAAGUUUUUUUUAAAAAAAAAUAAUAAUAUUAUUUUCGUCCAAAAGUGGAAGACAAAAGGAAAGGGAAAAGACAAAGAUAAUCUUAUUGAUUCAACUAUUCUUGUGCAAAAAGGCCUAAGUCCAUCACUCACUCCAUUAGAUUGGGCAUUAUUUUAAAACCCAAUCUAUAUAAAGUUUUUUUUUUUAAAAAAAUAAUAUUAUUUUCGUCCAAAAGUGGAAGACAAAAGGAAAGGGAAAAGACAGAUAAUCUUAUUGAUUCAUAACUCGAUCAUCCUUCAAGCCAAGCAAUUCUGGCAGUUUAGGUAUCGUAAUCUUAUCCCAUGAAACGAGCAUAAAUAAAGUUGAGUGAUUAAGAUGUCAAAAAUUGAAGGAAAGGAAAAAACUACUCUCACCUCUCACCAACCAACAAGUAGGAGCUUCAACAAAGCCAUCCGAAUAUAGAGACCAUUCUUUGCUUGUCUGAAAUAGGCAGCCCUUUGAUCCUCAUCAACAUCCACAGUUAUCUGCAUAACAUAAUGAAAACAAACAAUCAUCCUCAUCGUUCAUCGGCAAAAUAUUUUACUCAUACACAUCAAAUCCAGAAUCAUAAAAGCCAAGAUGGCAUUGCUACCUCGUCAAGCCUUGGGAGGGGAUGCAUGACUACAGCAUGCUUCUGCAUCACACCUAACACAUCUCGAUCCACAAUGUACUUGCCUCGAGCUUCUUCAUAGAGAUCGGCCCUUUCUCCAAAUCUUUCUCGCUGAAUGCGAGUUUGAUACACCACAUCACACUUUGAAGCUACUUCCAUUAAGUCAGCACUUUCUUCCCAUUCAACUCCCUUUGAUGUGAGAUAGUCUUUUAUAUCAUCCUGGGAAACAAAAAAGUUACCCCAUAAAACCUAAAAUUUUUAAGCAAAUUCUCUUCAUUAGUUAAUGGAUGUUCUAAUUGACAAACACUAAAGGUUCUUUUACUGAUGGUAAAGUUCUUUCUUUCUCACCUUCAUUUUGACCACUUCAGGAGAAACAAAGUAGAUCUUCACAUCUUGAUACUUGGCAAGCAAAUAUGCAAGUGACCGGACUGUUCUUCCAUUUGCAAGAUCUCCAACAAGCCCGACUUUGAUUCUAUCCAGUCUUCCUAUCUCUCUUUCAAUAGUAUAUACAUCCAAAAGAGCCUAUCUUGUUAUAAAAAGAGGAGUGAAUGUUAGAGGUUAAAAGAUUUGUAAAAUUCAUUACCACCAAAUGGAAAUUACAAAACAUGCACAAAUCUUCACACUGGCAAACAAUUAUAAUUACAAAUAACCCUAAUAAGAAUUGAAGAUUCGCUCUUAAAUAUAUCUUGUCCCAAUACACAUGAAUAACCUUGGCUGAUACACUCAAUAUCCCACAUCUAUGCUUGGAGUAGGUCAUGAAUAUCAUAUGAGAUCAUAAUGCUGCCAGUUUCCUAAUUCCCAGCAGCAAAAGUAUAUAAUUAACAAAAAAACAAGGACAACUUUCCCUUUUCAGGGUCUUUAGAUCAAAUUCUUUAUCAUUACGUCAUCAGGAUAUAGUGCCCUAAGAAGGUUUUGCCAUAGUUACAUAAAUUCCCAUUCUGAGGCCAAAUAAAUUGGAGAGCCUGCGGCAUAAUGGUCAUGAAUCAUGUCAUACCAGCAACAUGACCAAAUUACUCACUUGGAAAACUCCAACACAACAACCUACAGAUUCUUAGGCAUCUAACAUUAACUUCAUGAAUUAAGCUCUGUAAAUCAAAGAAAAAGAUAAUUACAAGGUUCUUUGAACAAGCAUAUAUCCCUAGUUUGUGGACCUAAACAAAGUCAAAGGCUCAAGUAACUUCUUAAAUCAGUCAACUAAAAUAGCAAAACAUAAUCUAGUUAGAAACUAGUUUACUGGACUUGUACAAGUUAUGACAAGAAACACUUCGAAAAUUUCCAUAUUAUCACAUUAAUGAAUUAUGCACACACCUGGGUUGGAUGCUGUCCAGGACCAUCCCCUGCAUUAAUGAUAGGAAUCUCAGCUGUGACUGCGGCUCUUCUGGCAGCACCACUUUCAAAGUGCCUCAUUACAAUUAUGUCUGAGUAUCCUUCAACAGUUCUUAUAGUAUCUGCACAUCAACUUCCAAUGAAAACCAUAUUGCAGGAUUACCACCUUGUAAAACCCAGAAAUAAAUGAAAAGAAGUACCUUCAAGUGUCUCUCCUUUUGCUGCUGAUGAGAAUUCCCGUGCAUUUUCUGUUGUUAAAACUUCCCCACCCAACCUUUUCAUGGCAGACUCAAAAGAGAGCCUAGUUCUAGUAGAUGGCUCAUAGAAAAGUGUAGCCAUUAGAUAACCCUUAAGAAUUUGGCUCCCAGGUGAUUUCUUCUCAACCUUCUCCAUCUCACGUGCCACUUCAAAUAUGGCACUGAGAGUCUCUCUAUCAAAUUGUUGAGCUUCAAUAACAUCAUCCAGUUGGAACUUAUUGCCCACUGAAAAAGGUGUAUUUUCAAUGUCCAAUGCACAGGAUAAGACUCUAUUCCUUUGUGGAAGUCUUGCAGUUUGUUCCCAUUGUAAUGGUUUCUCAUUAGUGAAAAACCUUGAAUGCUUUAGGUCAGUGGAUAAAGGCAUCAAUUUAGAAUGAAGAGGUUGUUUAGAGUACAAACUUGAAUGAUUGUCCACGAACUCUUUAGGGCAAUUUGGCACCCUAGGAGUGCAUGUGCUAUGCAAAGCAGACAUACUAAAAGAUGGUGAAGAAGCCAUUGCAAUGGAGAGUGAUUUAGACCCCCUGCAAGAUAAUAUUAAUAUUUAAAAAAACUUUGAAUGCAUGAUUAUACAAAGCCUCAAUUCAAUAUUAAGGAACUACAACUCAAUAUAUUAAAUCAGUCCUGUUAAGCACAAAUUCAAGGUCCUACUUUAAAUACCCACAAUUUUGAUAAUAAUCAAAGUAAGGAUGGUAAAAUCCCAGUCAGCAAAUUGAUUCUAAAUUUAAGUAGUUACUCAAAACGCACCAAUCUUCCAAAUUACUAGUUCCUGACAACAUGCAAAAUCAGCAAUUAUCUCUACCACAGAUAUCCAAUGAAAGUGUUAACACAUUUACUUUAUAAUUCUAAAGCUGGUGGUACAUAGAAAUAUCAGUUGUGAGAAACAAGGUAAGUUAACUAAAGGCAUAAACCUAAUCAAUCUGGAGAAUAUGCCAAAAUCUCGCAAUAUAUUACUUGAUUUCUACAAGAAAACAACCUAUGGACGGAAAAAGAAUGACUUGUUUUAAAAAACUAGCUACUGAAGAACCACCAAAUGCAACCACAAUAACCACAUUUCACAGAGACAAUGUUCAUUCACGGCCCAAAAUUCAGGCAAAUUCAAAAGCAGCACCAGAACCAGCUGCUUCUGAAAUUCCAUCGCCGUUCAUUAUUAAAUGAAUCCGAAGGGAACUCUGCAACCUCCACAUCCUCAUCAGUGGCUUUUCCAGUGUUCGAUUUCUGACAUUAUUUGAAAACUCAAUCAUUCAAAUUUCAGCGCCAAACACAUUCAAAUUCGAUUCGUUACGUUCAAUAGCAGAAUCUCAAAUCGAUCAAAAAGGAAAACUACUCCUCUACAAUCUCAUGAAACCCUAGAAACAUAAAGUUCAACACAGAGCUUCAGAAGGAAGAGAGGACCGAAUCUAACAAAACCGAACCUUUAAAAAGAGAAAAAAAAAAGAAUGCUUGUGAUGGAAUCAAAAUAGAAGAAAGAGGGAUGAACGACGAACCAGAGAGAGAUGCGUAAGAGCAAAGCAGAAGAUUACAGAGCGCAGCGCCGUUAACCAGAGAGAAGAACCGAGAUUCCGAGAAAGCUGUGCUGUGCUUCGGUUUGUGUGAAUCGUGAAUCCCGGGAUUUUGAAACGGUGUCGUUUGUUUGUGGGUGCCCGUGGAAUAAAUAUAUUGUGACACUUCAAGGAUAAUGAUGACCAAUUGGUGGGGAAAAUUGAAAUAGAAUCUUAAUGAUGGUCGUUGGCUCAGUGGCCGUUUUAAAGUAUGGGGCAUCGUCCCCACAACAUAAAAAUAAAAACUAAUAUGCCAAAAGGAUAUUUUUAUUUGAUAGGAUUUUUAUAUUUAAUUUUUUUAUUAAAAAAAAAAAAACUUGAGUGAAUCCGGAGACAUGCACUAAUAUUUUUUGAAAAAAAUAAAGAUAAAAAUAAAAUGAUAGAAAAUAAGGAUUUUAUGCUCAAAAUUAAGAUAUAUAAUUAAAAUAAAAAUAGAAAAACAAAAUCAUAAAAAUAAAUUAAAUUGAUAAAAAUUAUUGGUUCCUAGUAACAACCAUGAGUGCCUCUAUAUAUAUAUAUAUAUAUAUAUAUAUAUAUAUAUAUAUAUAUUAUUUCCUCUUAUUAUAUUUUUAGCAUAAAUAUAUAGCUUUAUUUUCCUUCACUAUUUUUUCUUUUAGGCUAUGUUUGGUUACCAAAAAAUUUUAAAAAAAAUAUGAAAAAAAAUAUAGAAGAAAAGUAGAAGGAAAAAAAUAGUUUAAAUUUAAUAAAUUUUUAUACGUUUACUUAUUUCUCUCUGCUAUUGUAAGAUUAAAUAAUUUAAAUAUAUAUAAAAAUUUUAAUUAAUUUUAAUUAUAUUUUUUAUAAUGAAACCAAAUAUGAAAAACCAAUUUUCCUUAACAUUUUAUUUCUUUCUUUAAUAUUUUCCAAAGCCAAACAUAACUUUAAAUGCAAUUGAAAAUUGUAUUUUUUUUAAUUGCUUUUAUAACUUCUAAAUCUUUUCCAUUCAUAUGUAUAUAUAUAUAUAUAUAUAUAUAUAUAUAUAUAUAUAUAUAUAUAUAUAUAUAUAUAUAUAUAUUUCAAGAUAUUAUAGGCUAUAUUAUCUCAUUCUGUUUAUAUCACUUAUACAUGAGAUAUGUUAAUCAUAAUUUAAAAUAUAGGAUAUACAUAUCUCAUAUAUAAAAAAUUUAUUUAUUUUUUAAUCAAUAUUUUUUAUAUAAAUUAUUUUGUAAAAUAGUUUUUUUAUGAUAUAAUUAAAUGAAUGGUUAAAAAAAAAAAANNNNNNNNNNNNNNNNNNNNNNNNNNNNNNNNNNNNNNNNNNNNNNNNNNNNNNNNNNNNNNNNNNNNNNNNNNNNNNNNNNNNNNNNNNNNNNNNNNNNUAAAUGUAUGGUUAAAAAGAAGAACUAAAAAAUUUAUAAAAUAUAUUAUAAAAUAAUAUGAAUAUAUGUAUUAUUUAAUAUAUAAAUUAUUUUUAUAUAUUGAAUAACAUAAUAUAAAAAAUAUUUAUAAAGUUUAAAUAUUUUAAUCAUGAAUAUUGUUAAAUGUAAGAGAAAUUUUAUAUUUUUAAAAAAUAGAAAAUAUUGAAAUGCAAUAUAAUUUUUAUUUUAAAAUUUGAAAAAUAAUAUAUAUUUGUGGACCCCGCAUUUCACUCGUUCAACUUGAUUUUUAUUAUUUAUUUGAUAAAAAAAAUAUGAUUUUUAGAAAAGACUAAGAGUUGCCAUUUAUUUUUGUUUUAUUUUUUAAGGGAAAAUAAAAUAAGAAAGGAAACACUAAGUGUGACUCUUUAUUUGGAAAAGACGGUCCGCGAAAAACCAAAUUUGGAUUCAGGAGUUUACUUAUUAGGAAGGUACGGUUAACAACUCUCUAAGCCCCAAAAAAAUGAAUAUUUACUAAGUAAAGUGAAACAAAUAUGACAAUGGAUGAGGAAAUCAAUAGAUACCAAUGAAAUAGUUGAAUAAUAAAGUGAAUCAGCAUCAAAAUAAAUAAAGUGGAAACAAGGUCAUACCUUAACAACAAAUAAUAAUGCGCUAUCAUGGAAACAAUACAAAAUAUAUCACAUGUGUAUCAAGGAUCAGGACAAAAAUCAAACAAUAUUCUUUAAGCAUAGCAAUUGACAAUCAGAAGAGAAAACUCAUAUGUGGGACCCCCACCAAAAACCCAAUUUAUCCUGCAUGAAUUAGUCUCACAAAUUCAAUUAUUUUGGAAUUAUCAAAAAUUCAUUUUUACUUAUUUAAAAUCAAGAGAAACAGAAAAAUCAUUUUAAAAUCAAAGAAAAAUAUAUGAAGAUGUUUGCCUGAAAGAAAAAGGCAACAAGUUUAUUCAAAACAGGAUUUUUAGUGACCCUGAAUCUUAAAGAAAGAUGAAAAGUGGUAGAAUUAAAGAAAUAUUUGAAAGCUGAAGUGAAAUUAAAAUUAUUUGAAAGAAAACUAAAGUUUUAAAAUUUAUUCAAAAAUUGAAAGCUCGAAAAUUAAUUGAAAAUUGACAUUUUGAAAAUUAAAUUCAAGAAUUGAAAUUUUGGGAAUUAAAUUUGAAAGAAAUUGGAAUUUUGAAAAUUAAUUGAGAGUUAGAGUUUUGAAAAUUAAAUUAUGAAAAUUGGAAUCUUAGAAAUUAUUUGAAGAUGAAAUUUUAAAAAUAAAUAAUAAUAAUAAUAAUAAUAAUAAUAAACAAAUGUGAAAAUUGGAAUUUUGGAAAUUGGAAAUUAAAUUUGGAAAUCGGAAUUUUGAAAAUCAUUUGAGAAUUGGAGUUUUGAAAAUUAAAUUAUGAAUUGGAGUUUUGGAAAUUAAAUUUGAAAGAAAUUGGAGUUUUGAAAAUUAAUUGAGAAUUGGAGUUUUGAAGAUUGAAUUAUGAAAAUUAGAAUCAUGAAAAUUAUUUGAAGAUGAAAUUUAAAAUAAUAAUAAUAAUAAUAACAAUAACAAUAAUAAUAAACAAAUAUAAAAAUUGGAAUUUUGGAAAUUGGAAAUUAAAUUUGGAUAUUAGAAAUUUGAAGAAUUAUUUAAAGAUAAAAUUUUAAAAAUAAAUAAAUAAAUGAAAUAAUAAUGAAAAUAAUAAUGAUUAAAUAAAUAAAUAUGAAAAUUGGAAAUUAAAUUUGGAAAUUGGAAUUUUUGAAGAAUUAUUUAAAGAUGUAAUUUUUAAAAAUAAAUAAAUAAAUAGAAUAAUAAUAAUAACGAAAAUAAUAAUAAUUAAAUAAAUAAAUGUGAAAAUUGGAAUUUUGGAAAUUGAGAAUUAAAUUUGGAAAUCGGAAAUUUGAAAAAUUAUUUAAAAAUGGAAUUUUAAAAAUAAAAAAAUAAAAAGUAAAAAUAAUAAUAACGAAAAUAAUAAUGAUUAAAUAAAUAAAUGUGAAAAUUAGAAUUUUGGAAAUUGGAAAUUAAAUUUGGAAAUAGGAAUUUAAAAAAAUAAAUAAAUAGAAUAAUAAUAAUAAAGAAAAUAAUAAUUAUUAAAUAAAUAAAUGUGAAAAUUGGAAAUUAAAUUUGGAAAUCGAAUUUUGAAGAAUUAUUUAAAGAUGGAAUUUUAAAGAUUAAAUUUGGAAAUUGGAAUUUUUGAAAAAUUUAUUGGAAGAUGACAUUUUAAAAAUUAAAUUUGGAAAUUAAAAUUUUUUGAGAAUUUUUGGAAAAUUUAUUAGAAGAUGGCAUUUUAAAAAUUAAAUUUGGAAAUUUGGAAUUUUUGGAAAAUUUAUUUGAAGAUGACAUUUUAAAGAUUAAAUUUGAACUUUUGGAAUUUUAGAAAAUUUAUUUGAAGAAGGCAUUUUAAAGAUUAAAUUUGAACUUUUGGAACUUAGAAAAUUUUGGAAAUUUUUGAGAAUGGUAGUUUUGGAAAAUUAUUCGAAAAAUGGAAUUUUAAAAAAUUAAAUUUAAAAAUUAGAAUUUUGAAAAAUUGUUUCGAGAAUGAAAUUUUGGAAAUUUUAAAAAUUGGAGCUUUGGAAAAUUAUUUGAAAAUUGAGGUGAAAAUAAGAUUAUUUGAAAACCUGAAAUUUUGAAAAUUAUUUUUAGAAAAUAAUUUGUCAAAAUGUGUGAGCAUAAAGGAUAAAAAAAGAAUAUGGGCAUGUUUGAGAUUGCAUGGCAAAAGUGGCCAUGCAUGAGUGGGGCCCGAGGUGCAAGCAAAUCGGGUAUGGCUGAUUGGAUUGAUGGUAGGUUGGCUGCUGCUGAUGCACCUAUGGUUGAUUUGGCACUAUUGGAAUUGCAGAAUUCCAAGUUUCCUCCUAACCACUAAUUCCCACUUUUUACGAGAUGAAAGACAAACACAUACCACAUACCAUCUAAAUGCUCCUUCCACCUCAUCACCCACAAAAUCAUCACUCAACACAAAAUAGCCUUGAUCCCACCAUGUUUCAUCUCAUUCUUCUCAAAAAAAAAAAAAAAAAAAAAAAACUGGGUGCUUUUUUUUUUUAAAAAAAAAAAAAAAAACCAAAACUCACUCUAUUGGAAAAGAAACCAAGCCUUCAUUUGAUUUGAAGCCUGAACUCCCCCUCCGUCUUGUCCAAUAGAGUCACAAAGAUUGGCAGGUUCGUGAGCCGGGUCGGGAUCACAAACUGUUGAUAGUCCGCACAUACAUGGACGUCCGAGAACUGGGAGGGGGGUGCGUCGGAUCGACCUGGUGGUGCAGUCGAAAUCGGAGUCGGAGAAGGAUUGUGUGGACCGCGGUCUUGAGACUCACACUCAUGGUCUUCAGUCGCUGCAUUACCUGUUUCAGACGUAUGGUUUGGCGGAUCUUUUCGACUCCCUUAACGGUAGAAGCCAUUAGAGAAGUUGCAAGUAGAGCUCUUUGGAAGGCGAAAAAACCCACAAGGGAGGGGUGAUUCUGAUUUUGAACUUUCAGAGUGCUUGGAGAAUAUUGUUAAUAUGACCAGAUUCGAAUAAGAGUUGGUCAUGCAUAUGGAUUAGCAACAAAACGAACUAGUGAUCACAAGGAUCAAGGCUAAAGCUGCAUUAUUUCUACCAUGAAUGCUUAUAUACAGAUCUAGGAAACCUUUUUCUCACCACCCAAGCAAAAAACAAAAAAUAGAGACAUGAUUUUCAAGCAUCCAACAACAAACACAACUCUACAUCCACAUUCAUUCUCAAAUUUUUGCUUAAAGGAAUUAGAUGAGCAAGGCAAUAUCAAGUUCAAUGAUAUAACAAAAUGAAAUGCAACCUCUAAUGCCCCGUUAAAGCAUCAAAUAAACCUUGAAAUUAGCAGGAAAGAAGUAAGGACAGUAGGGAGUGAAUACCCAUACCUGUAAAACCUCCCCUUCAAGGACUGAUAUGCUUGGCUCUUUGCUCUCUUAUCAUUGCUAAUCUAAUAAAUCCCUUUUUCCUCUCUGCUCGUUCCUAGCUAGGUUUUCUUACUCUAAAACGUUCUCUCUUUUUCAAGUUGUCUCCAAUUUUUUCUCCAAAGCCCUCUUCAACCUCUCUUGCUCUCUUUUAAGUUUUUCGCUCAUUCCCUGUUUCUUCCUUCUCUCGCAAGCCGCUUCCCACUCCACUGCUCCAGCCGUCAUCCUCUGAAACUUCAACUACCACCAUGGCGAGGUGGUCACGUCCAAGGUUACACGUCUCAUGCAUGAAGCUUCAUGGAAGUCGGUCCCCCACUCGUCCAAGGUGCUCCUAGCUCCUUCUGGUGGUAAGAAAAUAUCCCUCUAAUACUAUUCAUAAAAGCUGAGAAAACAAAGGCUAUGUUUAGUUAAGAAAAACACCCAAAAGGGGAGGGGGGGAUGAAUUGAGUUUUUAAAAUCUUUUCAAUCACAACAAAAUUAAACAAAAUAUAAGCAAAGUAAAUAGAUAGAGUUGAGAGAAUUCAAACUCGGGUUUAUAGUGGUUCGACACUUCCUUGCCUACGUCCACUCUCCUCAACCUCCUAACCGAGUGAGGGUUCCACUAACUUGAAAUUUCAACCAAGCUUCCAAUCUUCUUACACUUGGAUUCCGGCUUCAAUGGGCUUUUACACAACUUCUUCAAGAUUCAACCCUCUUAAAGGCUUUAACACUCAGAUUGUUACAAAAUAUACUCACUCAACCUAGCUUAAAGAUGGCUCAAAUACAAGGCAAAGCUAGGAUGACAACAAGAGUGCACUAAAGGAUAUGCAAGUGGUGAUUUAAUGCACUUAUGAAAGAAAUGAGAGCUUUUUGAUCAAGAACAGGUAAGUGGGCUUUGAAUGCAAGUGUUCUCUUAUCAAUAAAUGAAGUGGAGCUCUCAAUUUAUAGGUUUCUAAGCUCGGGAGUCAAAAUCAGCAAAAAGAAACCUCGUCCGGUCAAGCUAAGGGUCGACCGGUUCACUAGCCGUUGGAACAUUUAAUGCAUAACAGGUUAUCGUUGCCUCAACCGGACCUCGACCGGUCCUCGAAUGGGAAGAGAAGGCUAGUGGGAAAGAGAGAAGGUUUUUAACCUUCCUCGACCGGACGACCUCAACCGGUCGAUUGGUUCCUCAGCCGGUUGAUCGGUUCCUCAAUCGGUCGAGCCUUUUUGGCCCCGAAAAACCUAUUUUUUUUUAUUCCUUUCUUUUCUAACACUUAGGCAAGGUCUUUAGGUAAAUUAUUAAGCCAAUUUUGAAACAUUUUGCCUAAGGUAAAUUAGUUAAAAACUCGAGUUUUAAUGAAGUUGACAUUUUAAAGAAUAAACCGAGUUUUCUAAGAUACAUGAAAACAUAUGAAAAUCCUAAGUGCACUCAUGCAUUCAUCUUACAUUAGUUUCCUAUGAUCUCAAGUCUUUCAAGCGUCUCGAUCUUAUAUCCAUUUGGUCAUUUGAUGAAUUUUCGAGUUUAUUCCUGAGAUUCUUAAACAUUAAACCAAUUAGUUACUUAACCAUGGUUUGUUAUCAUCAAAACCUGAUUAGGAGAACCCUUGAGCUAACAAAAGCAAUAAAAAAACUAAUAGCACUUGGUUUGCAAAAGGGGUCUACAAUAUUAUGUUGUAUUCUUUUUACAAACUAAAUAUAAAUAUAAUAUAAUAUAUCUUAUUGAAUAUUUUAUUUUAAGAUAUUAUGCCUAUUGAAUAUAUCAAAUGAUAUCAUUUCCCACCGAAUAUCAUGUUCUAGGAUAUACAUUUCUCAUCUAAUUAGAUAUAAUAUUUUAGGUUAUACAUAUCCCAUCCUACUAACUAAAUGUAGGCUAAGGUUUAUAUAUAUCCAUUAACAGAUAUUUCUAAAUAUUUUACUGUCUUUCCUUAUAUUUCAUUGAUAUUUCACCAAUUUUUCAAAAAAUUUUAUAUAUUUUUUAUUAUUAAAUAAAUGAUUUAUUACACUUUACCCUAUAACUUAUUGCGUGUUUUGCACAUUGCUCAUUCGCCUUUAAAAUUGAGCAAUGUACCCUUCAUGCUUUAUAAUUGCAUGCAAUGUUCCUUUUUGGAGUGAUGGUGUUACCUUAAUUAGACAAAAGGUGCAUGUGCUAUUCAUGUGACCUAUUUAAAUGAUGACCAAAUGCUGUUCAGGUAAAACAACUUGCUUGGUUACGUUUUUUUUUUUUUUUUUGUGAAUUUGUCUAUUUUUUAGACACUGCAAAUGUGUUUGGUUGCCGAGAAAAUGUGAUUUCUGGAAAAUGAAUGAAGGAAAAAGAAUGAGGGUUGUUAGGGUUUUGGGGUUUUAGGUAAAACAACUUGUUUGAUUAUUAUUAUUAUUACUAUUAUUUGUAAAUUUGUCUAUUUUUUUAGACAUUGCAAAUGUGUUUGAUUGUUAUAGUUUCUGGAAAAUGAACGUAGGAAGAAGGAGGGUUGUUAGGGUUUUGGGGUUUUAAAAUGAAAUGACUUUUUUUCCCUCACUUAUUAAAAAUGACCAUUUUGCCCUCAAUCACUUUGAAAGCACAUGUCAUUCUGUCAAAAAAUUUAACGUCGUAAUUCGGAAAAUGCACAUUGUAUGCAAUUAUAAAGCUUGGAAGACACAUUGCUCUAUUUUGAACUCAAGGGAGCAAUGUGCAAAACACGAUAUAGGUUGAGGGGUAAAGUGUAAUAAAUCCUUAAAUAAAUUAAUUUUAAUUUUUUUUUACAUAUGAUUUAAUUUAUUACUAAAAAUAUAAAAAACAUCAUUUUCUUAACAUAUGUUUUUUUUAUAUAAUCUAUAUAUUUAUUAAACAUAAAAAAUAUAAAUAUUAAAAAAAUUAUACAUAUAUUAUUAAUUAUUUGAUAUCAUUGAAUACAUUUAAAUUAAAAUUGAUCAUAAUUUUUAAUAUUAAAUAUAUUUUAAAAUUAGACAUGUUAUCAUGAUAUUAAUAUUUUAGUAAAAUAAUAUAUAUGUAACUUAAUAAUAAAUAUAUAUUUAUAAAAUUUAUAUUUUUUUUAUCAAUGUAGAAGAUACUAUUAUCAAAUAUGGCAAAUUAUAUAUAUAUAUAUAUAUAUAUAUAUAUAUAUAUAUAUAUAUCAAUUUUUUUUUUAAAAAAAUAACUUUAAAAUACAUAUUUUUACUUCUUAUAUAAUUUAUAGAGUUUUUUCUUAAUAUUUUUAAAAUUUUUAUUAAUUUUUAAUAUUUUAUAUCAAAAUAUCAGCUAAUAUAUCUUAUAUUUUCAUAAAAUCCAAGUAUAGAUAUAUCCUUGAUUAUCGAUAUUUUCAUCCUCAAAAUUACAUAUUUCAAAUAAAAAAUAUUAAAAUAAAAAAAUAAGUAUACAUUCGUUUAAUUUAAUUUGAUUUAAUUUAUAUUUGAAAAUAGUGAACACAAACAUAAAAGAAUUCAAUAAUUUUAAUUUUAAAUGUUAUGAUUAGAUGCAUAAAAAAUAAUUCUUAUUCGGGUCUAAUUACAUAUUUAAAAGACAUCUAUCAAAAAAUGUGCUUAAUUAUAUAUUUAGGUUUUAUUAUUAUUUUUUAAUUUAUUUUGUAAUUAGUCCCCAUCUUUAUACUUAUACAUGACUCUUUAGAUUUUUUCUUAUUCUUUUGGACAGAGGAGAUUGGGAAUCCAUGGCAACCAUCGGGUGGCUUAACUUUUUUCUUUUUAUUUUGAUAAUGAUCAUUAAAAUGAUAAAUAUAUAUCCAUGGCUGAGGUGGAAUUAAAUGUUGACAGGGGAAGGCUGCGGAAGUGGUGCAAUGUGCUAGUCAAGGGGGAAAAAAAAAAAGAAUGGAUAAAUGAAGCUACACAAGAAUAUUUGCAUGGAUAGGAUGAGGUGGCAAGUUAUUCGAGCUCCACUGAGGCAGAGUGAAAUGCUGUUAUGCUGGCAUGAUCAAACACCUGUACUGCACAAUCACUACCCUCUUUGCCUUUCCACCCUGUCGUUGUUAUCAUUUGACACCCUGUCUUUAAUCUUAUGACCUUUUCUUCUCUGGAUCUCUAUCCAUUCUCUGCCAUGGGUGCCCCUCUUCUCCUUCUCCUCAGCACCUCCUCAAGGCAGUCACUCAUCAAGCCUUUAUCAGCAUAUCUCCACAUACCCAUCAAGGUUCCUCAUAUAAAACCUCUGUUUUGUUUUUUUUUUUUUUUUUUUCAUUUUUUAUUUGAAUUUGUAUUUUUUUAAUUAUUUUUUAUAUAGAGUUAUUGGUAAUAUUGUAAUAAUUCUAGCAGAGACCAAGUUUUGGCUGCUCUCUAUUAUUGUACUGACAAUGCAUGGCUUGUUGUUGGGUUUAGUUGAGGCCUUUCUUUUAAGUACUGAUCAGGAAUUAACAGUACAGCAAGCAAAAGCUCCCAAGUAGUGGGUGAUAAUUCAUUGGGAUUUUGUGAAGAGUUCAAAUAUUAGAAAGAGGCAUUAUUAAGAUGGGUGGUAAAAUCUUUGAUUUAUUGUUCAUCUAGUAGAUGAUUGAACGGGUCUUUCUCAGUUUUGAAAUUUUGAAGUCAUGGGUCAUUAGCUAAAAAUCUGACAAAAUUCCCAACUUUUUCUGCUUAAGUUGAGGAAGAGGAAGUUGUUAUUCAGUCAUGUGUUGAGUUUAUGUUGUUUCAGAGAUAUAGCCGAUCAAGCAGUAGUGAGCAUGGAUUAGGGGAGAGAGCACCUUCAACAGCUGAAGAGUUCCAAAGAGUGGCUGCAGAAAAGAGGGAGCUUCAGAGAUUGGUGGAGGAAAAGGCCCGCAAAGGGGUUGUCAGCCAGAUAUCGGACAAAGCGCUGGAGGCUGCACAAGUGGCGGUUUUGGAGGACUCUAACCUUGAAACUGUGAAGGAGAAUGACCCUUCAGGUGGACAGGACCCCAAAAGGAAGGGUGAUUAGAAGGCCUUAAUGCCAAUGUACUCUUAAUAUAUGCCUUGGUUUUUUCAAGAGCUUGUGCCUAAAACCCAGAGUGUUGUGAUGAUAAAUAAGAACAGAGUUUUAUAUGUACAUUUGGGGACUAACAAAUUCUCCAGAACAGCUGAAAUGGUGAAGACUUUUCAUUAUGUUUGUUUUUUAUUUUUAUAUUUUCCCACCUCACUUUCUUGGGAAAGUAGUAAGACCCUAAAGUCUUACAUGGGUAUGAUGCUCUUGGAGGCAGGCAAGACAAAGGCCGGAGUCAGCUGAAGGAAGAAGACGUGAUGCCCCCUUCAUGUCCGCAUAAACAAGACAAAAGUAUUGUGACAAAUUAACCCAUUUUAAUAAAAGAGGCAGGCAGUAUGGAAAUAGGAGGAUUUGAAGCGUGGGUGUGAUGAUGGUACAUGCACGCGCAGGGCACCUGCGAGUGACAAAGCAAAUGAAAUAAAGGCCAUGUCUCUCGAUACCAACAGUGUGGGAUAUGUAUGAGCGUAUUAAAGCCAAAUCUUGAAUUUUUUUAUGCGCAAUGGAGAAAAAAGAGCAUUAAAUCCUGCACAAUUGUCGUUAGGAAAUGUGAUAGAUGAGGCAGAACUGUAGCCGUUGACAGGUCAAGUAAAUGGGCGGGAGAACGUGGAUGAUGCAUUGGGGAGGCUUGGCAGUUUGCGUGGGAUGCCUCCGCAAUUAAAGCAAAUCUGUAACUACCACUACCACUGCCACUGUAAGCUCCACACUCUCCUUCAUUCCGGGCAUCUCUCCUCAACUUUUUGUUGGUUUGUCUUCCAACUUUGUGUAAGUUCGUUAAGUUUAAUGUAAAAACUUUGACUUGCAAAUGUUUUAAACGUCUAACUUGUGACCCUCAAAAUCAUUCCCACUUAUAGUAAAUUAUAGAUCGAGAAACAUAUCAAACAUGUGAAAACAAAGUUUACAGAUAAACCCUAAUUUGAUUAGGGUUUUGAUCAAUGGGCUUCCACUAUAACCAAUCCAUUGAGAUCAAAAAAAAUUUCCCUAUCACUUCCUACCUACCACGAAGAGAUUAAAGAUGGAUUAGAAGAGAAUUCAGUACUUUCUAAUCCAAAUAACUUAGCGAAUACCCCGACAAGUGGCGCCGUAUUAUACGUGCAAGCCUCGGUUUGCACGUAAUUUCCCCUGUCGUCCCUAAACCGAUCGUUGACAUCGGGCCCACCUACAAGGGCUCCGACUAGUACAUGUGGGUUAGGAUGGGGUCGGGCGUACCAGCCAUCGUACCCCUGGGUGCACCCGAUAAAACCCUUGUCGUGCUUGUAUGAUUCGGUAGAUGAACCUCUGUGGUGCACCUUUGUCGGGUACUUUGGGCCAUAGCCCACCAGGUAGCUCAUGGCCAUAGGAUUGGCGCCCAAAAUGUAGUCGACUUGAGAUUUAGCGAAGGAGAGGAUCUCCUCUGGGCCCACCAAUUCUCCGUGGCAGUUGAGUUGUUGAUUUGCUUCCCGGAGAUGAUCGGAGUAGACUGUGAGCAAAAAUGCAGCAUUUGAUACGUAUUGCAUGUUGUUCCAUUGGCGGGUGUAGAGCAGGCCUCCUGGGGUGCGAUCCACGUUGCUCCCAUUGUUCUUGUGGAGGCAGGCGCAGAGAUAGUGCUGUGCCUUGGAGAGGUACUGCUCUAGCGUGGGCUUGUGCACCUUGUUUUUCUCCUCCCUCAGCAGCUACACAACCAAACAAUAAGUAAUUCAACGUUUCCAUCUCAACCGUUGUGAUAGAGAGCUCAUUUCACAAUGAAUUUUACAAACAUUUCUAAUUUUUUUGCACAGCCAAACAGACUCUUAAUUGAUUAUUUAAGUUAAGGUUAACUAUCAUCACUUAGGUAACGAAGAUUUACCAUGGAAGCAAUGAUUUGAAGCCCAGCAUAUUUAACAUCCCAGCUGAAUUCAGAAAUGGCCCAGGUGAUCCCACCAAAAGAGAGGGCAUUUUGAAGCACAUAAUUUAAGUAAGACUGAUUGUCGGUGGCUCUGUAUAGCCACAAAGCGGCCCACAGCAAUUCAUCCUGGUACCCACUCACCGAUGGAUAGUAGCUACUCACCACUCCUACGCUUUUGUCAUAUUUUCCUCUGUACUUGUCUCCAAACUCAAACAACUGCAUACAAAAUUCCCAAAAAAAUUCAAAAAAAAAAAGAAGAAAAAGAAUCACUCCAUAUAGGAACAAAGAGAUACAUCACACAAUAUUCCAUUUUUAAAACAAGUUAAUUAAAAUAAUAUCAUUAGAAAAUCAAAUUUUAGGGGGAAUAAUAAAGCUAAAUAAUACAACCAAUUAUGCUGAUCACAAGAAUAGACACAUAUCUUGGCUUUAUAUAUGUCGUCUAGCAUUUACUAAAAAAAAAAAAUCUCAUUUUUCACUUGCCAUACGAUCAUUGAAGACUGAAGGCUAAUUCAGUUAGAUACCUGCUGAGCAUGGUGUAGUAGGAGUUGAGAGUAGUGUGGGUUUGUUUUUCUGAACACAAUAGAAGCAGCCGCCAUAGCUGCUGCCGUCUCUCCGGCCACCUCCGAACCCGGGUUUGUCUCGUCGAUCUUGUAAGCUUGCCGCGAUGUAGUCAUGUCCUCCGGCCGUUGCCAGCAAUAGUGAUCGGUGUCGCCGUCCCCCACCUGAAAUUUGUCACCAAAAAGUCAUAAUUGCAGUUUUUUUGAAUGGUAAGCACAUUUUCAAAUUCAAAUUAAUUUCCAAAAGAACUCUCGAAAUCGCAGGAAGUAAUUUUUUUUUGAAGUAAAAAAUAAAAGUCAUCCGCAUGUUGAAAGGUGUUCAAUAGAAUGUUACUUUUGUGAAUUAGAAAAGUAACCGCACGCGCUAGAACCGCGUCAGACACCUAUUAUAGUGGACCCACAAGGAAAUCAAAACUGAAUCCAACUGCAAUUAAAGCCAGUUUUCCGGCGAAAUUGGAGACAUUUCCCCAGUCGCAUGAAAGUGAUUGGCGAUAGGGAAACGCCGGCAUUACCUGUACCCACAAGACAUUGGGUUGAGUAUGAGCUUUGAUAAAGUAAUCCGUCCCCCAUUUGAUGGCCUCAAGCGCGUGACCAUACUCGCCGGCGCUGGCCAUAUACUGGCCGUACUCUAUAACACCCCACGACAGCAUCGUGACUGUGAAGGCCAUCGGUAGACCAAACUUAACAUUGUCGCCGGCGUCGUAGUAGCCUCCCACCAAGUCUACCUGCAUUUGCAGAGGAAGAAGACGACGAAACAAUCCCACUUUUUAAACUCAAUACUCUACUCAUAUAUUUCAAAAGAAAAGCCAAUUUAUACGAAUAAAGAUGUGGAAAAUAUGAAGAAAUGGACUAACGCCUUGUUCUAAGCCGUCGGUGAGGCCGGAGUGAUCACGCCAAGUGACUCUCUGGUUGUGGGGUAAGCGACCGGAACGCUGCGUUUCGAAGUAGAGGAGAGAGUUGGAGAGAGCUUGGUGGUAGUCGAAAGAACUAGAGAAGGGGAUGAUGGCGAAGAAGAUUGAGAGCAGAGGAAAGCAAUGUUGGGGAGGGGCGUGUUUCUUCAUCGUCUCCCCAGGGCUUAUUUUUCCCCCGGUUCAUGAGUCUUUAAAUAAGCGUGCAUUGCACGUGAGUGGAAGUAUGACAGUAGGGCCUCGUGUCAUUUCCCUUACGAUUUUAAACCCCGAUGAAUGCAACCGACUAAUUUUUAACUUUGAAUAGCAGCGUAUCCCCGUCAUAAAAUCGGCUACAAUUUUUAUUUAUUUAUUAUGGAAAUCAAAUCUGAUUCAUUUUUUAUAUGGUAUGAUGGCAUCAUGACUUACCUUAAUUCCCAAUUUAUUUUCAUUCCAAUUUUUAAAAUAAAAUUUAAAAUUUAUUAUUAUAAAAAUCAAAUCCUAUUGAGUUAUAUUUUCUUUUAUAGUGGUAUCAUAAUUUACCUUAAUUCCUUAAAUAUUUCUAUUCCAAUUCCCCGCUAGUUCCCAUAAUAUACGAUAAAAAAUGCAAUGAAAAAAACAGAAAAAAAUAAAAAUUAUAUUUAAAAUUUAAAAUUUACUUUUUUAAUUUUUUUUUAUUUUCUUAUUAUUUUCUGAAAAUCAAGACGUAGUAGAAAAUAUCGACAUUUAAACAACACUCUUCCACCAACGGAACAUGAAACUCUAAAUGCGGGCACACAACAUUCAGAUUGCAUAGGCUGGCAGCAUGGAGUGGUAUUUUGAGGAUGUCGGUGGAAAUAUUUGUGGCUACCAUUUUGAGUAAUCUAUGUGCUUGGACUUUUGAGCAUGUAUGGAGAAGAAAAGGAGAGAAAAGGUAAAUCCAUCUACCUGAAUCCAGCAGAGAAACCCAUGCCUCAUUGUGUGUAACAAGUAACAACAGACAAUGGUACAACCAAAUGGGCAAUCACUCCAUGGGAGCCCAUCAGCAACAUACAACACCCACACCAUGCAUGAUAGCAACUAACAAGUUUGAGUUUCAAUUUUUUUAUGCAAUCAUUGGUGGACAUACUGAGGGCAAAUGAAGUGGAAGAUUGGGGACGUAUGAGCAUCUUUCGAACACAUGUUGCUUACCAAGGGAGAUUAUACACUAUGAUUAUUGAUAGAAGUAGUAGUUUCAACUUAUAGCUUAAAAAGAACUUGUUGAGAAGCUUAAUCUAAAGAUGAAGAAACAUUCAAAUUCCUAUCAAAUAGUAUAAGUAAAUGACACAAUUAUUUUUGGUGAGUUAUUAUUGUUCGGUACUAAUUAAUUUUUGUAAUAAUUUUGAGUUAUCAGUAUGAUGUAAUGUUCUGUUAAUGAAAGUUGCCCACAUUGUACUUGGAAGACCAUGACCUUUUGAUGAAAUGAUCCAAUAUGAUGUUUAUGAGAACAUUCAUACACUUGUGCACAAUGGGCAUAAGAAAAGUCUUUAGCCAAAGAAGGAAAUUCCACCACCUAAGCAACUAGUGGAAAAAUUAAGAUUCUUGGAAUCAAAAGAACCAUAAUAUAAUCUCAUUAAGAAGCAAUCCAAAAUUGUUAGGAAGAAGGAAAAAAAAUCAUAAAUGAUGAAUCUAGAAUGCAAACUCAGGUGGAACUAAUCCUAGGACUGCCUAUAAAGGGCGCAAAGAAGUGCGGAAAAGGCCAAUUGAUUCUAGUAACUUAUUUCCUAUGAUGCUAAAAAAGGAAUCAUUGACUAUGAAAUUUAAAGCAUAAUAUUGAUCUAACUCCAAAUUCUUCUUUCCUAAGUUUACCUUGCUACCAUAUACAUUACAAGAAGCACAUGAACUCCAAAAGACAAGUUAAUAAAUUUUGUCUACCCAUGCGAAGUUUAAAGCAUGAUAUUAAUUGAACUCCAAAUUCUUCUUUCCUAAGUUAACUUACCUACCAUAUGCAUUACAAGAAGCCCAUGAACUCUAAAAGACAAGUUAAUAAGUUGUUUACUAAAAACUCUAUUCAAUUAGCUUUUGGGAAGGAUGAAUUACAUAAAAGGUUAGUCAUGACAUUUGAAUUAACCAAUGUACUACUUAAGUAGAUUUAUGCAAGUAUCAACAUGGGUUUUGGUUGUGAAGUUAAGUUUCAUUUGAAGAGACUUUGAAAUCAUCUAUUACAUUAAUGAAAAAGAAACAUAAGUAACACUCGAAAGAUCUCAAUUGAUGGUUGCAUCUAGCAACAAAUUUACAAGGUUAUAUAAAGAGUUCUCAAUACUCCAUUAUCAAUUCACUCCUACAAGUCUUCGAAGGAAGAAACGAAGGAAGACGUUAUUCGGGAUAACACUUAUAUGAUCACUAUAAGCCUAUUAGUUUUUUGAUGGGUUUACCUAGUCUUGCUUCUUUUAGAUUAAGCUUAUAAACCAAAUUGAGGUCACUUAUUUUUUCUACCCAAGGUCAUGUUAUUUCCCUUUUAGAUACAAUAGCAAAAUAUUGUAAAAAGAAAAAAAAAUACAAGCAAAUAUUGGUGAUGGAAUAAAGUUAUUAUUUAUCAUUUUGAUUAAAUGAUAAAUCAAUUUGAUUGACCAUGUUAAUCAAAAUUCAUUGUUAUUGAUAAGAGCAUCUCUAAGUGGAUGUAGCUACUAGGGGGCUCUCUUACUUAUUACUUAAAAAGUUACUGCACUAGCUAAUUUGGUUUCUUUGUGUUUGUGAGGAAGAUCUAUUUAAAGAAAAAAAAAAGGCAUAGGGAAAUUUAUUGCCUAUGGUUGCUAUGUCAAAAUUUAUAAUUAUUUGAUAUGAUACAAUUAACAAAUUGAAGCAUGCACCUACCCUGUUAACAUGGAUCAUGUGCAAGGGGCUAAAUGUUGCUUUAUGAAUUUUGCACUACUAAUUGGGCUUAUAAUAAUAUGUCAUAUCCCAUUAUGAUGUAUGAUGGUAAAAUGUAAAGGGAUCCCUUAAAGUUAAUGGCACUAGUAGGUUUUAGUGUCAGAGAGAGAGAGAGCCCUUAGGAGUAAUUUUUAUUGUUUUGCUUUUAGAUGAGUUUCUUGAAAUUAUGCUUUUUAUUUCCUUGUUAUGUUAUAUAUAUAGUGAAUGUUGAGAGAAGUCUCCUUUCCACCAUAAGGUGGAAGGAUCCAAUUGAUACCGUGGGUGAAAAGAGGGGUCAUCCUCAACAUGCUAAGGUGGGUGAGAAGAGGUCACAUCCUCAUCUUUGUUUAUAAAUUUCAAAACUUUAGUUUUCUUUCAAAUAAUUUUAAUUUCAUUCCAAUUUUCAAAUAUUUCUUUAAUUCCACCACUUUUCAUCUUUCCUUAUGGUUCAAGGUCACCAAAGAUCCUGUUUUUAAUAAACUUGUUGCCUUUUUCUUUAUGGCAAGAACCUUUAUACAUUUUUCUUUGAUUUUAAAAUAUUUUUUUUGUUUCUCUUUAUUUUAAAUAAGCAAGAAUGAAUUUUUCAUAAUUCCAAAAUAAUAGAAUUUGUGAGACUAAUUCAUGCAAGAUAAAUUGGGUUUUGGUCAGGGCCCUACAUAUGAGUUUCCUCUUCUGAUUGUCAAUUGUUAUACUUAAUGAAUAUUACUUGAUCUUCGUCUUGCUUCUUGAUAUGCAAGUGAUAAUUUUAUACUUGAGCUAACCUUGUUUCCAUGAUAACGCACUAUUACUUGCUGCUAAGGUACGAUUUCAAUCCCACUUUGCUUAUUUUUAUGCAUGAUUCGUUUUAUUAUUUGAUCAUUCUAUUGGUAUCCAUUACUUUCCUUAUCAAUUGUCACAUAUGCUUCACCUUAUUUAGUAGAGACCUUAUUAUAGGGCUUAGAAGGGUGUUAUGGUCUUUCACCGUACUUUCCCAAUAAGUAACCUGACCUCAAACUCAAACUCGGUUUUUCACAAACUUGUUUUUCGAGUCACACUUAGGGGGUGUUUGGUACACGGGAAUAGGGAGUGAGAAUAGACAUCUCAUUCCUUUUCUCUCUUAUUCCUAUGUUUGGAUAAAUGUUAAGAAAGCGGAAAUGAAAUAAAAAAUUAUUCCGACAAAAAUCAAAUCCAACUUAUGAGUCGGAUUUGCAUUCAUUAAAAGUAGGUGGUAUUCUGAUUCAUUAAACCUAUUUGAUAAUAUAAAAUAACCUAAAUUACUAUUUUUACCCUCUUAUCUUGUUCUUCAAACCCGAUGUUUAUCUUCUUUGUAAAGGUAGAGAUCCAUUCAUCAUCCACUUCUUAUCUUCUUUGCAAAGCUAGAGACUCACUCAUCAUCCAAUUCUCCGCAACAAGUGAUUCUUCCAAAUUGAAUCAAUUAAACCUUCCACGAUAUUUAAAAAAAAAAUCAAUUUCUAAUUUAUAGGGUUUUGGAUGUUCAUUUUGAUUGUUGGAUCUAGGAUUCGUCAUUGUUUGCUGCAACUAGGUUCUGAAAACUCCCUUCUACAUCUUCGAUCGGGUUUACCUUAUUUUCUCUUUCUUCUUCUACUUCUUUAUAUGUGUUUCUUCUUCUUUAUAAAUCGAUUAAUUUUUUUUUUAUUAAUUUAUGUUUGGAAUCUUUGAUGUUUCUUUAUCUUGUAUUAAUGGAAACUAGAGAGAAAAAUUGAAAUGGUUGGAAAAAGAUUUUUCGAUUUCACGUGUUUACAAUAUUGAAAAUUUUUAAUGGUUAGGAAAAAAAAUAAAAAGAAAAAAACAAACAAAAACAAAACUUUUGGUUUUUUUUCCCCUUUGUUUAUUAUUAUCGGCGUCUUCCUUUCCUAGUUAAAGCUAUGGAUUCUGCCGUCUCGCAGAAAAUCUGCUGCGUUUCCGGCUCAUUUUGGAACUUUAGCAUGGGCCACAAUGAAGAUCUCUUCAUAUCAUUGCUAUUUAACAGUAAACAAACCAUUAAAAUAAUAAUUGAAUAUUUGUGCAUUAGGGUUAUACGAUUUUUUAUGGUUAAUUUUUUAUUUAUUGAGUAUAUAUAUAUUUUUUAGUCUUAUUAUUUAAUAACAAAAAACCUCUCAAAUUUUAUUUAUUUUUUAAAAUAAAAGUAAAAAUAAAAAAAUAUUUUAAAUUAUAUGUAAGGAUGUUAUUGUAAAUUUAUUUCUUUUUCAUUUCCAUUCCUAUUAUUAUCAAACAUUGGAAUGGAAACAAAUAAUCAUUCCAAUCUUGCAUUCCUAAGUUCAUCCAAAUGCUAGAAAUGGAAUUAUCAAAUUCAUUCCAUUUCACUAAAAAAUAGGAAAGGAAACAAAAUAUUAUUUUCAUUCCCUAUUCCGACGUACCAAACACCCCCUUAGGGUUUUUCUUUCUUAUUUUUUUUCCCUUAAAAAAAUAAAACAAAAAUAAGUGGCGACUCCAAUUAUUUUUCAAAAAAUCAAAAUUUUCACUAAACAAAUAAAAAAGCGAGUUUCGCUAUCAAGUGGGAACGCAUCGUGUUAAAAUAUGGGGUCCACACAAUCCAAUCAAGAUUUUAUGCUUGGGUUAUGUGUCCAUUUAAAACCAUACUCUCUCAAAGCUAGAUCAUGCCACAGGCUUUAAGAAAAAUAUUAAUCUUGAUUAAUAAAAAAAUAAUUAAUUAAUUUAUUUUGUUCACAAUAAUUUAAGUAGGGAAAAGGGCAUUUGUUUUUAUAACUUUUUACUGAAAAUAAUUUACUUUCAGAUUUUUAAUUUUUUGUUUUCCUAUUUUUUCAUGAUUUAUUAUAAAUUUUUUACUAAAUAGAAAAAAUCAAAAUAUUUGACUUUUUCGGAAAAAAAAAAGUAAUAUUUCAAUUUUUUUUUUUUUUUACUUUUUAAUGUUUAAUAUAAAUAAAAUAUUAAAAAAACAAAUAAUUUAAUACUUAACACUAUUAAGCAUUAAAGUUCUAUUUAAAAUUAAGUAAAAAAAAACAAACACCACCUUUGUUCUCUUUUCCAAUUCCUUGACUAAAAUGCUUUUGCAGCACACAUGGGAAGUAGAAGUAUUUUAUACAAUGUCUCUCUGAAUAUUUUCCUAAUUCUUUUUGUUGAAUUCCCCUUUUCUUCCCAGGAUGAUUCUCAGUCAGCCCAAUUGACUCAUAACUAAAGCCCUUAAUUCUCAAGCCCAGUUGGAUCACCUUGGGCCAGCCCAACCAAUUAAUUUCUGUCGCCCAACUCCAUUGUGAGUCUGUGACGUAACAAUUCACAUCAAAUGAGUGGAAUAAUAUCUUUGAUCAUAUUAAAUCAGUCCUCAAUGUGACUAAUAUGAAAUCUACGGCUGAAAUUGGGCCCUUUUUUUUCUAUUUUUUAAUCGAAUGGUUGAAAAAAUAGAGGGAUCAUACCAUCCUAGUACUAUAAUUUGACCCAAGAAAAAUGUCUAGACUUUUACAUCAAUUUAAAGAAGCAUGCAAAAUAAGAUUACAAAUUUUUUUUUAUAUAAUCAUUUAAGGACUUAAAGUGGUUUAAUGACUUAAUUUAUAUCCAUUUCAAUUUUUAAGUUAUUAAUUUGAUGUUGAAAUAAAUUAAAUCAUCAAGUCGUUAACUCAUUUUAAGUUAUUAAUUUGAUAUUCUUGAAUCUUAAAUAAGUUACUUAAAUCUUAAUGAAAAAAUAAUAAUAAUUUUCCAUCAAAAAAAAAAUCUUAAAAGAAAAUGAUAAGUUAAAAAACAAAAAAACUGAAAACUCGAAACAACUUGCUUUAAAAUGGUUCCAAAAAAUUAUCAAAGAUAUAAUAAAAAUUAUAGAAAAAUAAACAUAAAAAAUUCAAAAUCAUAAGGAAAAUGGUUUUCUUUAAUUUUAACAAGGAAAUUAAACAUAAUUAAAAUCAGUUAGAUAAUGGCCUAUUUUUAGAUUAUUUAAUCUUUAUAUAAAAAAUUAAAAUAAAUUAAAUAAGUUUAAAAUAAUGUAUAAAAAUGAUUUAUUAACAUUUAAAUUUAUGUUUUAUUUUUCUUUUUUUCCCUUUCUCUUAGGCUAUGUUUGGUUCCCGGAAAAUUUGAGGGAAAAUGCGAAGAAAAGAAAAUACAAAGAAAAAGUAGAAAGAAAGAAAAAGUGAAGAAAAAUAAAAAAAUAGAUUAAAAGUUGAUAAAUUAUUUUUUUUGUUAUUUCAAACUCAUUUUAUUUAUUUUAACUCAUCAAUAUAAAGAUUAAAUAAUUUAAAAAUACAUAAGUUUUUAAUUAGUUUUAAUUAUAUUUGAUUUUUUUUUAUAUUUUUUAUAUGACAACCAAACAUGAGAAAAUCAUUUUCCUUAGCAUUUUUUUUCUUUCCUUUAUACUUUUCGGGACCAAACAUAGCCUUAAUUUUUUUUUAUUAGAAAUCAAAUAUAGCUUAAAAAAAAAUUAAAAAUAACAACUUAAUGCUAACACUAUUAAAUACUGUUUAAACUUAGCUUACAUUGAAUUUUAUUUAGAUUUAAAAAAAAAAAAAAACACACGUCAGACUACAAGAUGUACCGAUGAAAAUUUUGACUUGCAGAAAUUGAGUUUUGUGCACGUGUUACUCUUUUAGCACAUGGGGUGACCUUUUUAGGGGCUAUGUUUGGAUUAUGCAACUAUCAAGAAAAGAAAAGAAAAUAUUUAAAAAAAAAAGAAAAAAAAAAAAAGAAAGAUUUUGUAUAUUUGAAUUUAUUAUGAAAAAUAUAAAAAUAAAUAAAUAUUAAUUUAAAAUUUAUACAGAAAAAAUUAAAUUAAAUAAAUUUAAAAUAAUAUAUAAAAAUAAUUUAUUAAUUUUAAAAUUUUCUUUUUUUAUUAUUUUUUUCCUUAUACAUAUCCAGAUAACCAACCACACACGACCUAAAUUUGGGAGAAAGUUGUUAGACAUUCCCCAACAAAAGCAUAGUUGGGGUAAGAUCGAAGCCAAACCCACGAAAGUUUUUGACAAACAUUAGGUGAAAAAGCAAAAGCAAAAGCAAACUAAACCUCAUCGUGGUCUCCACCCACCACCACCAUGCCUCAUCUUCUAACUGUACACAUUUCAUAUUUCAAUACUCGGAAGUUUUGGUGAGCAAAUUCUGCCGACCUCUGGUGGGUGUCGAUAUUCAAUCUUCAUAAAGUCUUGAUUGAAAAGUGGUGUGUGAGAGAGACAAAAUUGAAGACCAAUACAUCAAGUUUGUUUAAUAUUUUGGGUCUGCAUAAAUGUCGAAGUGAUAAGGUCACAAGGGUCUAUCUUCAAAGGGCUAUAAAAAUAAGUCAAUAUGGAGUUGGGCUACUCGUCAUUCAACAAAUUUGAGAGCUUUCCCACUGCCCCAACUUGCCUACUUCUUCUCUUGGUGAUUAGGAAGAAACGUUUGGGAAACAAUCAGCUUUACUAAAUUAAUAUAAAGUUUGGUACUCAAAUUAAGAUAUGGAUUCCGUGGAUUUGGGUGUUCUUCUCCCAUGAAUUUUCCUUUUUGUAUAAAAAUUAGAAGAAGUUGUUUUAUAUGGGAGGAGAAGCUUUCAACGAUUAUGGGUUGGGUUUGGUUCAUAAAAAGUAUUAAAGAACCAUUCAUUAUCAGAAAAUAAGAUAAAUAAAUAAUUAAAUAUGAUUAAAAUUAAUUAAAAUUUAUAUAAAUAUAUAAAAAUAAAUUAUUAUUUACACCAAUGAAAACCAUAAUUUCAUAUCAUGUAUAACAAAUAGCAGAGGUAUAUAAUAGAUUUUUUAUUUUUUAUUUCUCAUUUAGAUAGUGAAUGUUCAUUUGUACUUAUACUAGAAAUGUUGUUUUUUGUUUCAAUUCAUGAUCUAGCACAUACACCCUAAUACAUGUUCCUCGGCAUUGAGGAUACCCUGAAGAGUAGAGGAUUUUGUGACAUUUUUUAUUGGUUUUUGUUUCAUCCAAAGUGAUGUACUGAAACUUACUCGGUAAAAAGAUAAUUCUUGAUAAGUAAAAUUACACUGAUAUAAAUUAUGAAAGGAUUUUUCAUAGGUAGCCUGGAAUUCCUCCUUCGAGAAGGAAGUUUUUUUGAAUUGAGAUUUGAGGCUACCAUAGCUAUUACCCUAAUGGAGUUUUUUAUUUUUCUUUAUUUACUUAUUUAUAUUUCCUUGCAUUUUGUCCCUAGUUUUCCAAAAAAACAAACAUAAAUAAAAUGUAGUUUAAAGUCCUAAGAGUCAAAAGAAUAUUCACACAAGUUAUUGAAAAAUAAAAAAGAAAUGAAAUGAAAAACGUUAGGCACGAAAAGCAUAAGUUUAAUAGUCCAAGAAUUUCCACAAAUUUCCAAGUGAUUUAUUUUGUGAGAGGACCAUAGGCCCAAUAAUUUGAUUAUUUAAAAGCAAACAAGUGGGUAAGUCCUGAAAAUUUUCCUUGGCCUAUGAAAAUGAAAUCAUAUCAACUAGGACAGGGGUGACUCAUCUGCAUUAUAAAUUCAAAAUUGACACAGACUACCAAAAACCAUUCAAAUAUAAGGGUUGAUAAUAUUUUUCUAUUUUUCAGAAGAAAAAGAAAAAAGAAAAUGUAUUUGAUAACUAUGAACUGAUUCACAACUGUUUUCAACAAUAUGUUUUGAUUCUCUAGAGAGAAAAAAAAACAUUUGACACUGUUUUUUAAAACAAUUUUUUCUUUUUGAAAAAAAACAAUUUAGAAAAUACAUUUAACAAUCAAAAAUCUAAUUUUUGUUUUUUCUUAUCAAUAAUAAAAAAUAAGAUGUUUAAAAAUAUAUAUUUUAAUUGUUUUCACUUGUGUUUUUUAAAAUUGUUUUAAAAAAUAAUUAUACAAAUAUGUAUAAUAAUUAAAAAAUAUUUGAUUAUCUGGAAACAAGUUUUGAUUAUACAAACAAUAUGUUUUGAUUCUCUACAAAAAAAAAAAAAACAAAAACAAAAACAAAAACAAAAAAUAUAUUUGACAAUUAAAAAUUAUUUUCUAUUUUUUAUUUUUAAGAAUAUAAAAUAGAAUGUUUUAAGACAAUAUUUUUUUUAGAAUUUGUUUGGCACCUGUUUUUUAAAAUAAAUUUAUAUUUUUCAGAAAAAAAAAUUGAAAAACACAUUUGGCAAUUAGAAAUCUAUUUUCUGUUUUUUGUUAUCAAGAAUAAAAAAUAAGAUGUUUUCAAAAAAUAUAUUUUAGUUAUUUUCAUUUGUUUUUUAAAAACUGUUUUAAAAAAUAAUUAUACAAAUAUAUAUAAUAACGAAUAACAAAGUUCUAGACAUAAACCUUUUUUUUUAAAACAUGUUCAAAAAUAUUAAAAAUAGGUUAAAAACAUUUCAAGUUCUCAAUAAGAUUUUUAUUCUAUAAAACAUUGAAAAUUGUUCUAAAAAACCAUAACUCCUAAAAAAAACUGUUUUUUAUUUUUUAUUUAUAAAAACAGAAAACAUCAUAUUUUCAAUUGUUUUCAAAUAUUUUGAUUAUUUUAUAAAAUAAUUAUAUAAAUAUGAAGAAUAAUUAAAAAUCAAGCUUAGACAUAAAAAUUAUUUUUAAAACAUAUUUAAGAAUAUUAAAAAUAGGUUUAAAAAUAUUUCAUCUUACCUCAUAGAUUUUUGUUCUCCAUAAUAUUAAAAAAUAAUUCUAAAAAAUUAUUUUUUAAAACUAUUUUAAAAAACAGUUAGAAAGCGGGAGUUAAAUAUUUGUAAAAAUAAAUUUAAUAAUCGGAUAGAGUCGUGAUUAAUAAAAUCAAGGUACAUAAAUGAAGAUAUAAAAUAAUAAAAUUUAAAUAGCGAUAUAACACGACAUCUGAACCGCAAACUAAAUAUGAACUGGACGUAUAAACUCUCCGUUCGACUGAUUUAUAGAACUCAGCCCAAAAAGUUGAAAUUCUAAGGAUGCAUGAAGCAUAAAAAUUGUUUCAUUUUGAUUUCUUAGUACUUAAGCAUAUUUUUCCACACAACACUACAAAUGAGAUACUGACAGAAUCCAAAAACUUAUCAGGAUCGAGAAAUAGGGGAUGGUCACUUAGUCGCGCUACCCAUGCAUUUGCUUCAUGUUUACAUGCAUUUGAUGCAAAACGACACCAUUUCGAUGCUUAGUGGGUAAGGCUUAAGGCUCUACUACACACCUGUGACGUAGACAUUUUGUUCUAAUUAUUAAAUUUGAAUUUUUUUUUUAUAAUAUCCUUUUGAUGGUUUAUUUUAAUUUGAUGGACGAUGUGAUAUUUUUGUUUUUUUUGUUUUUUAUUUUAUUUUAAUAGAGCAUUAACAAGUAAAGCAGUAAAAAAAAUUAAAGAUUUUAAUAAUUUCGAGGGUUAAUUUCAUUUGCCGUAAAUAUAAUUUCUUGUUUAAACAAUUAAUUGUUGGAGUUGAUUAACCUCAUAAAUCGAUUCUUAUGGACAUAAAAAACUUUAUAUUAAAUUAUUAUGGUGCUGAAAAAAUAAUUUCAGGAAUUCAACGGAAAGAUGAUUCCUUUUGGUGACAACUAUUAUUAAUAAUAAUGUGUGAAGACAAAAAACAAAGGGAAGAAAUGAAAUUAACCACCAUAGGUUAAAGCUGAGGAUGCAAUUACCCUUAUUAUUAUUAGUAGUACAAACUGAAAAUAGCACAGCUGGGACUUCCAACGGUCCAAUUUAUUACGCAUCUCGAUGCUUUCUCCAAGGUACCAUCGUCAUGCAUAAUUAGAAAUGGAUUUUAUCAAAUACACCUGAGUUCCAUCACUUACGAUGGACCUCAUCUGAUCCAACUCCUUGAGGACUCAAUUCUGGCAAUGUGUAAGCCGUGGAACACGUGGACGGAUGGUAGGGAGGGAGAACCGGCAUGCGUGAUGAGGUUGGGGAGUACGGUGGAAUUUUGGGGGACGGGGAGGACAGUCGUGAAAACGGUCGAGUUUGUGGGUCCGCAAGUCGCGCUGUUGAAGAAAGACUAGGAAUAGGAGCCGUUAGAUUUGGAUAUGUCCACUCCAAAGUAGUCACGUUGAUGCGUGGGACCCAUCAGUUUCCGGCGCCUACAACUCCGAUCGUGACCUUCUUUCCUUUUCCCACUCGUUUUUCCACUAUCUCCACUCUCUCGUGUCUCUCUCAAUCCAGUAUUUAUAUCUAUAGACGAAUACAGAGAUCAUCCCCCGGGUCGCUCUCUCCUUCUCUGUCUCAUUUUCAUGCUCUGUUUUUCUAGAACUAGAGCAUGGCAAUCCUCAUCUUCGCAUUUCUCUUUCUACUAUCAUUCUCUUCACCUUCAGGUUUAGUUUCGACCUUCAACUCUCUCUCUGUUUCUUUCUGUUUUUUUUUGUUUGUAUUUAAUGAUUUGCCUUUUGCAGAGGGAGGUGGUUCAGUUGCAGUCAACUAUGGGCGCAUUGCGAAUGAUCUCCCACAACCAGCCCAAGUGGUGGAGCUUCUCAAGGCACAAGGGAUCAAUAAAGUGAAACUUUUCGACGCCGACUCUACGGUCCUCACUGCUCUCGCUAACUCCGGCGUAAGCGUCGUCGUUGCACUUCCUAAUGAACUCCUCUCCUCAGCCGCGGCCACAGAUGGAUCCUUCUCCGAAAAAUGGGUCCAAACUAACAUCGCCCAGUAUCACCCCAGCACUCAAAUCGAAGCCAUUGCCGUUGGCAACGAAGUCUUCGUCGACCCCAAUAACACAACUCAGUUCUUGGUGCCUGCCAUGAACAAUGUUUACAAAUCACUCGUGAAACACAACCUCUCAUCCAUCAAAAUCUCUUCUCCUGUAGCGCUCAGUGCUCUGAAUUCUUCUUACCCACCCUCAGCUGGGGUGUUCAAGCCUGAGUUAAUUGAAACGGUGAUGAAGCCCAUGUUGGAAUUUCUCCGCAAGACCUCAUCGUAUCUCAUGGUUAAUGCGUACCCGUUCUUCGCUUACUCUGCCAACUCCGACGUUAUUUCCCUCGACUACGCUCUCUUCAGGGCCGUGAACGCCAACGUGACCGAUCCUGGUAACGGGUUGAGCUACUCCAGCCUCUUCGAAGCCCAACUCGACGCCGUUUAUGCAGCCAUGUCCAAUAUCCAAUACAACGACGUUCCGGUGGUGGUGACCGAGACUGGCUGGCCUUCCAAGGGCGACGAGAACGAAAUCGGAGCCAGCACAGACAACGCCGCCGCCUACAACGGCAAUCUCAUCAAACGAGUGCUCACCGGCGGUGGCACUCCGUUGCGGCCAAACGAACCACUCAACGUUUACCUGUUUGCGCUGUUCAACGAGAACCAAAAAACAGGUCCCACAUCGGAGAGAAACUAUGGCUUGUUCUAUCCGAACAAAGAGAAGGUUUAUAAUAUUCCAUUAACCAUGGAGGCUUUGAAGGCUACUGGGUCAACGCCGAUUAACGGUAGCAAGGUUCAGGUGACUUCACCUCCAACGGCUUCCGAAGAAGUAACCACUGCAGCGGUGGGGCAAACGUGGUGCGUGGCGAACGGCGAGGCUGGGGCAGAGAAGUUGCAGGCGGGGCUUGACUACGCUUGCGGAGAGGGCGGGGCUGACUGCCGUCCAAUUCAGGAAGGCUCCACGUGUUAUAAUCCUAACACCCUCGAGGCACACGCUUCGUAUGCCUUCAACAGCUACUAUCAGAAGAACACACGUGGCGCUGGGACGUGUAAUUUUGGUGGUGCGGCACACGUGGUCACGCAAACUCCAAGUACGUAUACUAUCAUUCCUCCUAAUUUUCUCCACAUUUUAAAAUCCGAAAUUAGUUAAUAACUUGAAUUUUAAUUGUUUUGUUUUGCAGAAUUUGGGAAUUGUGAGUUCCCAACAGGGUACUGAGUUUGGCGAAAUUGAGUUUGGAGGGGAGGCUUUAGGCCUUUUUUUUAUUUUUUAUUUUUAUUUUUUUAAUUACUAGUAUAUUUUAUUGGAGCAGCAUUAGGAUAAUAUUUUUUUAUAUGUAUUUAUGAUUAAUUCUAUUGUGGGUAGAUACGGUGGAUUGUCAGCUAGUUGACUGUUGCGUCUUGUAAUUAAAGGUCUGAUGGGUAUUUCUUUAUAUCAUAUUAUAUUAUAUGGUUCUCCUAACUUAGCCUUUUGUUUGUUUUCUUUGUUUGGGUUCUUUUCUCCACAAACAAGCCUUUACUUGGAUGGUUGUUAGUAGUGGGCAAUUAGGUUACCUAAAAGUUAGAAGAGAAUUCUCCAAUUGUAAAUUCUUUAUUGUUACGUCAAAUUCAACUUCGUCAAACGGGGCCUUGAAUAACAAAUCGAAAUAAAAUAGGCUACCAUACUCGAAAAGUAAUAAUAAUAAAUAAAAAAACAUAUACUAAAAAAAGAUAAAAAAUAAUUUUUUUUUCACGUUUUAUUUCAUCAUUAAAAAAAUACAAUUUUAUUUAUAUAUUUUAUUUAUAUAAUAAAAAAAGUAAAUUGAAUUUAAAUAAAUAUAUAAAAAUAAAUUAUUGAUUUUAAAUAUGUUUUUUCUUUCUUUCACAUUUUCCCUCAAAUUUUUUGACUAAACAAUAACUAUAGCUUUAGAGUUGGAGAGGGAAAAAAUUCAAUUGUAUUUAGAGUCCGUCAAACAGUGACUUUAGAAAACACUUUCAAUAGUUUAAAGACUUAAAAAUUUUAUCAUUAAUAGUUUUAGCACUUGAAAAUUUUAUCAUUAAAUGACGCAGACUCUUAGUAUAACAACGUUAAGACAUAAAAAAUAUUCUCUUAGUAUAACAACGUUAAAAUUUUUUUUUAAUGAAAAUGACGAGUUGGAUUGUAAUUCAAGGCGUGUUUGAACGGGAUAGUUUAAAAAAAAAAAAAAAGAGACGUGAGAGUUUAAUUUGGAUGGGCUUAUACGGAAUUUUGAUCCAGCUCGAUUUUGUCGCGGGCCUGGGCUUGGACGUGGCUUGAGAGUAACAGGUGGUUCCAUCAACCAUCCAACUCUUAAAUUAACAAUAAUAUCAUAAUUUGGCUCAACAAUAUAGUUAAGGAACGUAACUUGUUGCAUACAACCUCCCACCUUUCGGGUGGGUAUCCUAGCCAUGAGUGUGCUAUAAUCUUUUGCCUUUCUAUUUACUUCGCUUUCUCGGGUUAUUGUCAAUGUUUUCAAAAUCGGCCAUGAUUCAUUAAUUGAACAAUGGAUAUAAAAUCGUAUAGGAUCAUAGAUUUAUUUUAUCAGGUAUGGUUGAAUAUGAAAAGUUAUCAAAUCAUGAUUCACUGAUUAAAUUAUGGAGAAUCACAAUUGUCAAAACUAUGAUAUUAUAGUAUGAAUUCAUAUAAAUAUAUUAAUAUUUUUAAUUUUAUUAAAUAUACUUAAGACUAUUUAAGCAUGAAUAUAUAUUCUAAAGAAUUUUUUUUAUUUAAUUUUACCUACAUUAUAUGUACUAUUGUUUUAUAAUUUUAAAAAUUAUAACAUUAUUUAAUGUAUAUUAUUUUCAUAUUUAUUAUUAUAAAAAUAAAUACGGAAUUGGAUAUUUUAGGUUUAUCUAAAAAAAUUUAAAUAAUAAUUAAAAAAACUAGUAUUAGUUAAUUAAAAUUUUGUAGAGUAAAUUAAUAAAAGACUGUGUGGCAUAUUGACAACUUUUUUUUUAUUUGCAUGUCCAAAUUCCAAUUUUCAUGGCUCAAUUCCUCACCAUACAAUACCAGUUUUUUCAGCCAUUAACGGAUAUCCCACAUCGGGCAAUUGAUGAACCCAAUGAAGUCUUUAAAUACAUUGUCUCCUACUUAUCCAUGGUUGGAAUGGUCAUGGGUUUGGAUCGGUCUCCAAUGGUUUUUUUUAUAUAUUACAGAUAAAAAUAUUGAUAAAUACGAAUAUAUCGAUACUUAGAUUUUAUAAAAAUAUCUUUAAAAAAUCUCGAUUAUUUUGAUGAGGUAUAUAUAGACGCAUCAUUAUAAAACCAUUAUCAUCUUUUUAUAUGCAAGUAUUAGUAGUCGAUAAUCACUCCAAGAUGCAAUUUCAAUCACUAAUAGCUAUGUGUUUCUUAUGAAACCACCAUCCACGUUUCAUUGCCAAAAAAAAAGACACCAAAGAAUCCAAGCCUGCAUUUCUAGCUUUGAGAGAAGUACAUGGUACUUUCUCAAGCCUCCACAAAAGGAAAGAAAGAAAGACAUGCCUUUUGUAGGCAAACAUGACUAGGAACCUUAUACACACAAAAGCUACCUGACAAUUGAUCCAUUAAGGCCCAUAAUGUUAUAUAUAUCCUUUGUCACCCAAAAUAGAAACUUGAUAAAUAGAAAAAUAUGCUUUCUUUUCAGAUUGGGAACAAAUCUGAGUCCAUUUGUCCGAUGUUGAAUAAGAUAUGAAUCUUCUAAGGCUAUAGAGAGGAAACCAUCCUUUCUAUAAUUCUUCUGACGAUGGGAAACGGGAGAGAGAACGCGCUUUGUCUAUUCAAAAGAUUCUUCAAAAAACGAACAGACACCAGCCUUAUACUUUAUGCCUUAAGGACCAUUCCCUUUAAAUAUUGGGUCAUAUGUGUCUUAAGCCCAUCAUCUGAGACACAUAUGGAAACGGGCUCUACACAUGAGUGGCCCAUAUUUUAAAACAAAUUGAAAAUAAAUACGUGAAUGCGAAUAGCUUAAUCAUAGACUAUGCUCCAUAUGUGAGUCUAUAGUUAUUUUAACACAAUUCUUAACCCCACUAUAAGAAAUCACCAUUUCAAUGGUCUAUAUAUCUUCUUCAUUCUGGAAAAAUGGAUUUUUGACCAUUUUAUAUAUGACUAUUUAGGCAGCAGAAUGGAUAGCUCUUGAAAAAUAUUGUGUUGCCCUCACUUAAAGAAAGUGAUUUUAAAAACUAAAAUUUCUUCCCAGAAUUAAAUAAAAAUAUAUAUUUUUAAAAUUUUAAAAUUAAAUUAUCUAAAUACCAUUUGUACCUAGUGAAUCCAUCUUUAGUUGAACCAGAAAGAUAUAGAUAAAUAAUAAUAAUGAUAACAGUAGAAUCUUAGACUCUGUUGGGUAAUUAUAUUUGAAAAUAAUUCUUAAAAACUAUUUUAGAGAAUAAUUUUUGAAAACUAUUAUAUAAUGUUUUGUAAAACAAAAGUUUGUUUGGGAAUGUAAAUUAUUUUUGACAUGUUUUUUAAUAUUUUAAAAAUAAUUUUUAUAUAUAGUAUUUUAUUUUUAAUCAUUCUACAUGUUUAUAUAAUUAUUUUUAAUACACAUUUAAAAAAAUAUGUAAAAAUAAUUUUAAAAAAUCAACCUUCAUUGAUAAUUAUUUUCAAAAAAUAUUCUCAAAAAUAGUUUUUAAAAAUAAUUUUAAAAAAUUGUUCUAUAAUAUUUUAUAGAAUAAAAGUCUAUUUAAGAAUUUGAAAUGUUUUUAAUCUAUUUUUUAUAUUUUAAAUAUGUUUUAAAAAUAGUUUUUAUAUCUAAUACUUUAUUUUUAAUCAUUUUAUAUGUUUAUAUAAUUAUUUUAUCAAACAAUUCUUAUAAAAAAAAAGUGAAAAUAAUAGAAAAUAACUAAAAAAUAUUUUUUUCAUAAAAUAAAACAGUUUUUUAGUGUUAAAUAUGUUUUUUUUUCUCAAGAAUAAAAAGCUAUUAUGAAAAACAAUUGGUCAAACAAACUUUUAAUUUAUGUUCUUAAAAAUAGAAAUAAGAAAACAAUUUUUUUUUUAUUGUCAAACUAUGUUUUUCCAUUUUUUUUCUUUUUUUUUAAAAGCAAGAUUAAAUAAUAAAAAAUUUGUUCGAAUUAUAUUUUAUCUAUAAUUGACAAGAGGACAUUUUAAAAGCUUUUUUAUAAAUAUAUAUAUAUAUAUAUAUAAAAAAACUAAAGAAUACUUAGGUUAUGUUUGGUUCCCGGAAAAUACUAAGGAAAGAAAAAAAAUGUAAAGGAAAAUGAUUUUUUUAUGUUUGGUUGUCCUAUGAAAAAUAUCAAAGAAAAUCAAAUAUGAUUAAAACUAAUUAAAAAUUUAUGUAUUUUUAAAUUAUUUAAUCUUUAUAUUGAUGAGUUAAAAUAAAUAAAAUGAGUUUAAAGUAACAAAAAUAAUAAUUUAUCAACUUUUAAUCUAUUUUUUUAUUUUCCUUCACUUUUUCUUUUCCUCUGCUUUUCCUUUGUAUUUUCUUUCCCUUUCAUUUUCCUUCAAAUUUUAUGGAACCAAACAUAUUCUUAGUUGAUGAAAAAUAUAAAUCUCUUACCGUCUUACGUCACUAUACAUCAAUUGAUGACAUCAGCAAACGUAUGAAUUGACACUUUUGACCCUUCCUUUGAAAGGGCAAAGGUGGGUCACUGUCCCAAUUCUAACUUCAAGCCCAAGACCAAGCCCAAGCCCAACCACCCGCCCAUGGAUUGGGUCCCUUUCUGGGCUGGUGGAAUUGUAACACUCAUAAUCAGGGGGAAAAAAGUGGCUUAGGAUAGCGUAUAUUGCGGAGAAAAAUAUAGGCAGCGCACUUUGCGUAAACAGGGUGGUUGUAGCCUCCCGCCAUCACUUUCCCGCGCAAUAACCAACAAAAGGAAGAGGCACGGCUCCGAUUCCCGGAGCUAGCGUGCGCACUUCGUAAUAAAGUGCGCCUUACGCAUCAAUGCGUGCCUACGAAGAAACUAAUCCAAAAUCCCACGGCUAUUAAUUUUUUUUUUUUAAAAAAAAAAAACCAUUUCAAUAAUAAUUUAAUUUUAAUUCAUAUUAUAAUAUUUGAUUUACCAAAAACAUGAUUAGAAUGCGGUUAAUAUGUUAAAUACAUGAAAAAUAACCGUUCACUUAAAAUUCUAAUUGUUUAAUAAUUACUUAAAAAUUAGGUCACGAUUAAAAAAAUUACAAAUUUUAAUUAUUUUUAAGCAAAAUUCAUUCUUUCAUGAAAAAUAAAUUAACCCUCCUAAAAUAUUUUUCACUCGUUAGGCCUUCAUAAGAAAGAUAUUUUUCACUUAUUAGGCUUUUAUAAGGAUACUCUAAGCUUCAAUUCCUAGUUCCUACUCCCACAAUUUUAAUGGGGAAGCAGAAAUCUCUGACCUAGGAUUCGUUCAUAGAAAAAAAAAUUAAAAUAAUUGAUUAAAAAGUAUCAAAUAAUUUUUAAAUUGUGAAUUUAACCAUUUUCAUUUUAUUUUUUGAAAAAUAAUUUAUUUUUGACAUAAAUGUUUUUUAUCAUUUCACUCAUAUGUAAGUUUUAAUAGAGAAUGUUAUUUUUAUAAUAAAAUAACAAUGAUAUUUUUAUCCAAAUGAAAUAAAAAAAAGGUGAAAUGUCAAAUUUAAAAAAUUGAGUUUUUAAAAACUUUUUUAAUCAAAUAACCCAAAAAAAUAUUUUUGUAUUUGCUCGAAGGUUUGCUGACAUUUCUUAUAUCACUUCCUGAAAUUGUUCUUUUAAAAAAGUUGAAGACAAAGUCUUCAAAAGGAAAUUAGGCAUAAUUUUAAAAUAAUAUAUAUAUAUAUAUAUAUAUAUAUAUAUAUAUAUAUAUAUAUAUAUAUAUAUAAAGAUUUUAUGGGUGGACAAGAAAUGACAAAAAAAUGAAUAUUAUUGUGGGCCUUGGUUAAACAAAGAGUACAAGAAAUUAUUAUGAUAAUAAUUAUUUAAAUUUAAUUUUUGUUCUCAAUAUGCCAUGAAGAAUGAAAUUAAUUUUAAAUCAAUCAAAUGAGUACCAAUAGCUUGAUUUGACAUUUACUAACAAAAAUUUUCAAUUGAGAGCUGCACAAUAAUUUUCAUUUUGCCUUGCAAUUCCCACUAUCACUUGAUUUGAUGGGAACAAAUUUUGGGGUGUUAUAUAUAUAUAUAUAUAUAUAUAUAUAUUAUUUAAUUGAUAGAAUCCUAUGGCUUUGAGUAGAACUAUCAUUUCAAUAUAAAGUUUAUAAUACCUAUAAGAAAGGAGAGAGAGAAACAAAACUUAGUAACCAUGAAACAAUUAAGGGGCAGAAUUGGUAUUUUGGGUAAGUUAAAAGGAUUCAUUUUAAUACAUAUAAGUGAAUAUAAAUUAAUCUAAAUGUCAUUUUCACUUAAAAGCAUAAUUUCCUUUUUUAUCUCAUUUAAUUGAUGGUAUACCAAAAUAGGGUUUAGGGAGGGAAAUGAGAGCUAAGAAGCAACAUUUGGCUUAUUGGUUUGUUUGUUUCUCUUUAAAUCUCAAAACCUCAUAUUGAAUGAUAAUUUUUUUAGUUUUCAAGAGGGGCAUGUGCCUUCUCUAAGCCCUAGCUAAAUCCGCCGGGGUGGCCGUAUACAACAAAUAAUUACUAUACAAUCAUAUUAAAAAUAAAAUAAAAUAAAAUAAAUAUCCUUAUUUCAUACCAUAUAAAUUAUUCUUCCAUGUAAACAACACUUGCUUUUAUUUUAGGAUCAUAUGAAUAAUAAUAUGUAACUUUUUUUUUUUAAGAGCUAUUUUUUAUUUUUUAUUUUUGGUUCAUUGUUACUGGAUUUGGGUAAAGACUUCUCCCUUAUAAAAUUCACUUCUUUUAAGGAGUCUUCAAAGUUAUGGAAAGAGAGACUUUUCUUUUUCCUUUUUUCUUUUUCUUUUUUUCUUUUUUUUUAAAAAGUAAUUAUUCUUAAAAAUGAAAAAAAAAAGUUUGACCCAUAUGGUCACACUCUUAAGUGAGUCACCUUGUGGGCCUAGAUUCAUCUUUCCUAUUGUGUUGUGGGGUCAAACAUAGUAAAAAUAAAAUAAAAUUAUGUCUCAUGCAAAGUUGUUUUAAGAGAAGAUUAAAGGAAAGAAGAGAUAUUCAAGGGUAUAUUCUUGUGCUUGUGUUCCUUGAAGUGGAUUUGAGUUAGUUUAAUAAGUUUGAGUUUGAGUGGAAAAGAGAUUAUCCUUGCAACAAGGAAGUUCUAGAGAGAUAUUUUAGGUAUGGUCUUUUUUAUUGCAAAUUUGGAGGUCUUAGUAUGGAGGAAAAAAAAAACUUAUGGAUUCACUUGUUUUACAUUGUGUAAAUGAUAGGUCUAAUGUAUUAUGAGUAUUAGAAUCCUAGAUUGAAGUCCAAUUAGAGAGAAAGGCCAUACCUAUGGGAUGGAGAGCUUGCUUUAACUCUAAAAAUGGUUACCCUAAUUUGGGCAAAACUUGAUCAUAUGGAGGCAUUCAAUAAAGAAAAAAGUAAGACCUCAAACACAAGUGUUUUUACCUAUUUUGAUCUAUUGGAGACCUUUCCUUGUGAGUAUAGAGAUAGAAAGGUUGUUAGCAAUUAAAGAUAACUGUUGCCAUCUAUCAAACUAAACAUAUUUAUAUUUAACAAUCUUUUAUUGUCUUUCUAUUAGUACAAAAACCACAUUGUAAAUGAAAGAUUGAAGUUUACAAAUUGAAACACUAUAGAACCUAGAUUCUCUAGUGAUAUAACUCAUUCCUUUCAUCUUUCUCUCUCUAGAUUUCUCCUUGUUUUUCAACUUGAUAUCAUAGCUUCAAGCAAUGUUGUUGUCAAUAAUGGCCAAAACACCCUCAAUGGUAGAAAUACUUCUACUACUAUGAUCAUUAAUAUCAACAAUUGCAUUUCACAAUCUGUCUUCUCACUUUUGUAGAUUUCUUCACAAAUCUCCAUCACAUUUGUUCUAAUCCCUAUGGCGACAAAAUAAAUGUGACAAACAGUUACUUUUAUCAAGUAAAUCACUCAAAAGGGUGAGUGAAUUAGAUGUUAAAAAACUUUUUCAAAAAAUAAUUGAUUAAUAAAAAAAAAUAAAAACAAGAACUAAUAAACAAAACAACAAUUAAGUCAAGGAUGAAGAGAAGAAAUGUGUAAACUCUUUUAUAGUGGUUUGACAAUCUCCUUACAUCCACUUUCCUCAAGUCCUUUAUCAAGUGGGAGUUCAGUUAUCAAGGCUUCCAACCCAAGCCUUCAAGCUUUACAAUUUGAUGCAAGGGCUCCAAUGGGCACUUACAACCCCUUUUAAGUACUUCACUUGAAGUCUCUUAUCUCGAAAUGAGUAGAUAAAAAAGGUUUUAAUGCUUCCAAUCCUAGAUAUAAGUAUAGCAAGUUAGAAAUCAAUGCACUUUGAAAAAGAGCUAUGAAUGUGAGAAAACACAUUUUUCUAAUUGAAUGCAAUUGUUCUCUUAUAAAUAAAUGCUCUAAAAUUGUUCAAUUUAUAGGUUUCUAACUCGGGAGCCUAAAAUGCCACAAAAUAUUUUGAUGGGUUGAGCAUCGAUUCGACUAAUUGAUUAGUCAUUGGGUAUUAAAUGCUUUGUAGAUAACUAUUGAGGUUUUUAAGCCAACUGAAAAUGCAACCACCCCUCGACUAGUUGAGACUAUAUCUAAACCGACUACAUCCCAACUAUUGGAAAAGAAAGAAAAUAAUGGGAUACUCUUAUUUCCGUAUAUCCUCUAUCUUGUAAUGAAGUGCAAGGGAAUGAUAUAUCAAAUUACUUACUUUGUAUGUAGUAAAAGGCUUGAGAUCAAAAUAGAUACCCUUGAUCGAUCGAGCCUAACUAGUUGAAUUGGUUCCUAACGGUUAGAACUGAUUCCUGACCUUCUUAAUAAAUUGCAUUGAAAAGUGUCUAAAUUGAUCUAGUUUAAGGUCUAGAGCUUCCAAUAACUUGUGUAAACCUUUUCAAAACCUUUUGGAGUAUGUUUUGAAAGAAUUUGACCCAAAAUUUUUAAUUAAAACAAAGAUUCGUCCGUUUUAAGUUUUAGUAAUGAUGAAAAACAACUUUUAAGUGCAUAAAAAAAUAUUUUUAAUUGGUGUGACUUAAGAAAUAAAGUGAAAAAAAAAUUAUGUUAAGAAUAAAAUUAUGCUUGAAGCAUGGAAAUAUUUUCGAUUAACAUAUUUAAUUGUGAUUUUAUUUGUGGUCUAACCUGCCCAAAUUACUAUUUUAAGAGGGGAAAAUAUGACUGAUCUUUUUUUUUUUUUCUCAAAUAACUAUUUUUCUUUUGCCCCAAGUGACUAUUUUCAUGAAAUCAAAUGAAUUUCCAUUGAUGAAAAACAAUUUAAUAUUUUUAUUUUGUGUUUAUAGGAGUAUAUUUUUACCUUGGAGUACAACUUCUCCUUACAAAUUGAUGAAAAAUAUUUAGGUUUAUUACACUUUACCCCUAACCUAUACCGUGUUCUGCACAUUGACUUUUUGAAUUUAAAAUCGAGCAAUGUAUCAUUCAUGCUUUAUAAUUAUAUGCAAUGUUCUAUUUUUUAGUAACGGUGUUACAUUUUUUUUAUGGAAGGGCGCAUGUGCUCUCACACCCAAAACCAACCUUCUUUUUCCUCAUUUGAUAAAUUUUCCUAGAAUUCCGGCUAAUAGGAUUACAAAUCUUAUAGUGAUUGGAAUCAAACUAAAAAAAAUUUACAAAAAAAAAUAACAAUAUUAUUAAAAAAUCACUUCAAUUAAUUCAAAUAGUCUUAGAUUCAAAAUUGAUAAAGGAAAAAAAAAUUGAUUUAUUUUCUCGCCAACCAAACAAAGUGAAAACACCCACAAAAACAACAACAAUUAAACAAACCUAACACAAUAUCCCGAUCACACAACACAUGUAUACAAUACAGAGUUAAGGUUAGGGUUGGGUUUCAUUUUUAUGUUAUGCAUCCAUUUUAAGGUUAGGGUUUCGUUUUGAUGUUUUAAAAAAUUGGAUAAAGUUUGGGGGGAAAAAUCAAGCUUUUUGAAAAAAAAAACCCAAAGCAUUGACCCAUGCCUUUAUAAUGUGGAAUUUUCAAUAGAAAGGAGAAAAGAGAGAAACAGUUAAGAGAAAAGAAGAAGAAGAAGAAGAAGAGGAAAAGAAAAGUUUAGAAAAAUGUUGCAUCAUCACAAUUUUCUUGCAAUUUUCACUCUCCAAUAUGCUUCGAUCACAAUUUGGGGAGGACGAAAAAAGGAAGAGGAGGAGAACCAAGAAAUAGGAGGAGAAUGAAGGAAUGAGAGGGCUUGAUUAGGGUUUUAAAAUGAAAUGACACUUUUACCCUCAUUUAAAUAAGUAGAGCGCGUGUGUCGUCAGGAAACACCGUCAAUCAAAAAAUUGCACAUUAUAUGCAAUUAUAAAACAUGGAGGGUACAUUACUCUAUUUUAAAAACGAUAAGGUAAUAUGUAAAACACGCUUUAGAUUAAGGGAGUAAAGUGUAAUAAAUCCAAAAUAUUUUGAACAUUUAUACUUUAACUUGUUAUUAAUGUAUAAUUUUUAAAAAUUAACAUUAAAAUAAAUAAAUAACAUAAGUUUAACAAAUUUUAUAUUAUAAUUCAAAUUUUGUGAUAGUUAGAAGAUGUUUGGAAAUUACUUAAUGUGAUUUAAUAAUUUAUCAACUUAAUAUAAGUCAUUAAAUAGAUUAAAUAUGUUUAUUAAAAUAACUUAAUAUGACAAGUUAAAAUAAAAUAAUAAUUUUAAGUAUAAGUUAAAAUAGCUAACUUAUUAUUAAUCUCAAAUUUCUUUUACAUAAUUUGUCUAUAUUUAAUAAAAACAUAUUUUACAAGCAUGACUUUAUAUUUGCAAUUGAUUUUUUACCAUAAAUAUUUUUAUAAUUAUUUUAUGUAUUGAUAUUUUAAAUAUAAAUUUUAGAUUAACUUUACUAAAUUAUCUUAAUACCAAGUCUGUUAAUUACACUUGUCUUUAGAUAAAAAAAAAUAAGAUUUAUACAGCUACCAAAUUGGAUUUGACACAAUCAAGUAAAAUCUAAGAUGGAUUUUGCUUAUGCCAAAAUAAUUUUGAUUUUAUAUGAUCAUACUACAAAUAAAUAAAUAAAUAAAUAAACCUAACGCGACAACCCAAUAUGGAAAUUCAAAAAAACCUGUCCAAUCAAAAUUCAUGGACGCCACGUGUCAUAUGCCGAUUCACCAACGCCGCCUAAAAGACCUCACAGCUGCCGGUCGGAUGACAGCCGUAGCGGAUCACGAGAAUGGUCAGAUAAAAGCCUAAAACGCUCUGUGUGUUCGGCUUUGUCCCAAAGGCGACCGGGAGAACCUGGUAUGGCCGGUGAAACCAUGGCCCACGGAUGACAAGUGGGUAGAGGGUCCCGCGCACGUCUUAAAAAUUGAUUUUGAAACUGUGGAUGGGUUGGGUUGGUUGGUUGGUUGCUUGGGUCAGAGGUCAGAAGACUGGUCUGAGGCAGUGGCUGGCGGGUCAGUCAAAGUGGGCCCACCAAUCCCCCCACCAGAGAAAGGUCAAUGUUCUUUGAAACCGGUUUUUAGGGGUACUCAAACUAGGUCUAAUGACAUUUGUGUCCUUUUAAGGAUAUUUUAGUAAUUGUUACAAUUCCUAAACGAUACACUUCUUAUUUUGCAAUUAUCAAAAUUUGAAGAUUUCUUUAAGUGUUGGGUAAACCAACUGAAUAACUUAAAGUUAAUUAAUAAUUUAAUUUAAAUUAUUAAAUAAAUUAAAUAUAUAUAUAUAUAUAUAUGAUUAAUAACUUAAUAAUAUAUACGUCCAAAUAUGAAGAAAAAUGAGAUGUAGGGUGGGGGCAAUGUCCAGUAAAUAGUGUUGACAUUACUUCACAUUUCAAUAUGUAGUGUGGGAAGUGGCAACAACCAGCCCAUACCACUUGCCCAAUUCUAACUUCCAAUUUAUUCAACAUGCACAAUUUGUGUUACAUGUUUCAAAGUGCAUUUUUUAAAAGGGUAUGUUUGAUUUUAAAAUUUUAUAUAAGAGAUCAAAUCAAUAAGUUGUUUUUAUAUAUCAUUUUGAAUUUAUUUUAAUUCUUUUAUGUAAAAAUUAAAUCAUUUGAAAGUAUAUAAAAUUUUAAUUAAUUUAUUUAUUUUUUAUAUUUUUAUAUAAAAAUUAAAUAUGAGAAAAUUAUUUUCUUUAAUAUUAUUUUUUUAUUAUUUUGUUCAAAUUAAACAUAAUAUAAAAAUGUUCCCUCUAAAAUUAAGAAUGUGUUUGAUAGUGCUUUAAAGGAAAAUCUAUAUAUAUAUAUAGUUAAUAAAUUAUUUUUAUAUGUUAAUUUAAAUUUGUUCUUUUAUUCACUUAACACAAAAAUUAAAUAAUAAAAAUAUAUAAACUUUUGAUAAAUUUUAAUUAUGUUUAAUUUUUUUCAUAUUUUUUUUAUAAUAAAACAAAAUAUAAGAAAAUAAUUUUUUAUUUUUUCUCUUUCUUACGAAAUAUAAUCUAAUAGUUCUUAAAAUUAAUAUAAAAAUUACUAAUAUUUUUCAUUUUUUAAAACAUAAACUAGAAGCAUCUUCGGUAGAAAGUAUGUAAAUAAUGUUUAUUUUAUUUUAUUCUACUAGUCUUAUAUUUUUUUGGAAGAGUCUUAUUGGGAUUAUGUUAGUAAAGUAUUAGUAGAAACAAGUCACCUCUCAUUCUCUAAACACAAAUACCAAAAAACUCGAGUUCUACAUAUCUCGAAAAUCUGGUUGUUGAAUCGUAGAGGUAAACAACACGAGUGCUCGAUACAUCUUUAAAGAAGGUGGAUACAUGAACCCCUUUAGUUAUGUUUUUUGAAACUCAUUUUUAAGUUAAAGAAUACAAAAUGAUUUUUAAAAACAAUUUUAAGAAAACAUGAUCAAACCAACCUUAUAUUUUUAUUUUUAAAAUUAAAAAAAAUAAAAAUAAAAAUAAAACCAAUACCCAUACUUGGAUUUCCAUAAAUAAGCUAUCAUCAUUGCCAUGCUUUAACUAUUGCUUAUAAAGUGUAGUAAUAAUCUAAGGGUGCUUUGAUAUUUGGCACGUAGUUCACAUGUGUAAUAAUUGGAAUAAUUGAAUAAAGGCCAAGUCCAAGUCUUUCAAAAUUCAUCCUUUUAUCAUAUGGUUAACAAAAAAACAAAAAAACAAAAAUCAACUACAAUAAUAAUAAUCAUUGCUCUACAAGCAAUCUUUAAUCCCUUUGAGAAGCGUAAGAUAGCUGUAAAGUGCCUUGCGCCAACCUACCUUUCUUUCAAUUUAACCCAAAAUUAUGGACUCUGUUGAAUACUCCCAUUGACGUAUUAUUCAUCAUGAUUUCCCAAGGCUCAUACGCUGACACGUGGCUAAAUUUUUAAAUACUUUUGUGUUUUUUUAAGUGGGUUAGUCAAAUUUAUAAAUGGGUCGAUGGGGAUUAAUUAUUAUAAUAUAUGGUUUUGGAGGCACAUUCAUGUGUGUUUGGCUGCAAAUUCAACUUAUCCGGUGGAGGGUUCACAAAGGCCACAAAAAUUUCAAGCUGGCAUGGCUUUUGUUUGGGUCUACCUCACUCUAUUGUACUUGAAAAAAUAUUAUUAUUAUUAUUUGCCACGUCACUAAGGAGUUGGUGGAUCUCCGUGAUUCACAUUCAAGGCUUUAUUUUUAUUAUAAUAAAGGCAAAUAAUUUACUCGAUAAUAACUCUUUUAUAAAAUGUGUGAAUUUAUUUUAUAUUAUUAAAAAAUAUUUAAAAUGUUUAAAAUUUGAGAUGGUAAAUUUUUUCAAUUCCUUUAAUUAUUAAAAACCAUUAUAUUAUUAAAUUUAAUUUCAAAUAAUUCUUGCAUUUUAUAAAAGUGUUACCAUAAUUUUCUAUUUUUUAAACAUAAAGACUAUGUUUGGCUCUUCGAAAGUUUGAGGGAAAUUGCAAGAAAAAAAUAGUGAAAAAAAAAUAUUUGAAAUUAACAAACUAUUUUUAUAUAUUAUCCUAAGCUAAUUUAAUUUAUUUAACUCUAUUAUAUAAAUAUUAAAUAAUUUAAAACUAUAUAAAUUUCUUACUAAUUUUGAUCAUAUUUAACUCUCUCUUUUUUUAUGGUAAAAUCUAACAUGAGAAAAUAUUUUUUUUUAGUAUUUUUUAUUUCCUUAGCACUUUUCGGGAAUCAAAUUUACCUAAAGUGUAUAUAAACAAUUUCUAUUUAUUUUUUAAUGUAUGUUAUGCUGGAGGACAAUAAUAACAAGAUUAAAUGUACCAAUUGUCUAAAUAUUAUCUACUUUGGACUUAAAAGAACCCCUCAUGCAAAUAUCACAUCCUUAUUAUGUUUCAUGUAAUGCCAUGGGACUCACUUUGGACCAAAAUGAGUCAUCGCAAUUUUAAAACGUGUUUACACGAUUAAAAAAACUCAUACUUAUAUAGUGUCAAAAGCUUUAUUAUAUAUUUGAUGUGAAAUAUUAUAUACAUUCUUUAUAUAGAUGUAACGUUCUCAUUGUAUCCUAUGAGAUCCCGACUCCGGUGUGAGAAUUUGUUUGACCUCUUAGGAGGUGUUGAAUUUGAUACAUUUAAUCUAGAUAUGCUAUGAUGAUAAUCACAAAUGGAGGGAUAAUCAAAUUAUAACUCCAAAUGGAGUGGUAAUUAGAUGGUUAGGCUUAGCCUGCUUGCCCGCUAAUCCCUUAUUGAAUUCCAACUUUCCUUUUUUAAUCCAUCAAGAUUUUUGCAUUUAGAAUUGAUUCACAUCAUCCCAUUGAUCAAUACAAAUAUGAUUUUAGUUCUUUUUUUGGUAAGGCUUUUUCACACGUGUAAUUGGCAAGCUAGUGGGAAACAAAAUUUGCAUUUUCCAUUUUAGUUGAAUAUAUCCUUCUUAAUUCAAAAUUGAGGUAAACGUGUUCAUGCAUGUAAGUUGUAGGUAACCUCUAGUUUUGGAAAUCAACUUUUUGGAGUUUUUCCUAAUUUCUCUUUAAAUUUUUUUCUAUUUAUAUUUUUGCACAUUUUCCACCAUCUCUUAAGUACCUAAGAAUCAGAAGCUUGAAUUCAUGUACGAAUUUUUGGGCAUGUAGACGUUGGCUUGUUACUAUUAUGUCCACAUAUAGACAUUCUAUUAGAUAAAUCAAUUUUUUUAUGUCUUCAAAUUUAUUCAACUUAUUUUUUAGCUUCUAUAUUGAAAGCAAAUAAUUUAAAAUACAUAAAUUUUAAAUUAAUUUUAAUUGUGUUUGAUUUUCUUCAUACACUUCAUAGUAAACUAAAUAUAUAUAUAUAAAAAAUUAUUAAUAAUUUUUUUAGUACUUCUCCAAGAUAGUAUAAAGUUGUGUUUAGUGAUUAUAAAUUUUGAAGGAAAACAAAAAUAAAAGGAAAAAAAGUAAAAAAUAAAAAUAAAAAUAAAUAUUUUUACAUACUUCUUUAAACUCAAUUUAUUUUUUUAUAUAAAGAUUAAAUAAUUUUAAAAUAUAAAUUUUUUAAUUAAUUUUAAUUACAUUUAAUUUUUAUGUAUAUUUUUCAUGAUAAACUAAGAGUACGUUUGAUAUUAAUUUAAAAAAAUAUUUUUAAUCUUUAUAGCAUUUGAAAAUUUUUAUUUUUAGGAUAUUUAAAAUUAUAGAAAUAUUUCCUAUAAUUACUGUCAAAUGCACUCUAAAUAUAAGAAAAUUAAUUUUUGAAUCAUAUUUUUAUCUUUUCUUAAAUAUGGUUUUAGAGUCACAUCGGUACAAAAGUUCUAAGAACUCAUCUAAUCACCAUUAUUAAGUUUGGCAUAUCAAAUAGUAUAAAAGCCAUAAAGACCAUGGUUAGGCUUUUUUUCACUAUUUUCAACUAUGAUUUAACCAAACAACUACAACAACAUAUUCUAAUAAAUAUCUAAAUUAAGUUGGCCCAUUCAACAAAAGCUUUAAGUGAAUAAUUUGCGAACAUGAAAUUAUAGAUGUCUUAUACACAAAAUACAAAUCAACUUACAUCAAUAUCAGAACUCGAAAAUGUAAAACGAUAGGACAUAUCUUUAUAAAGAUCCAAAUUUGGCUUAGUGAUUACACUUUUUUGCCCUUGACUCUGAUAAAUUAGUUUCAAUAUAUAUAUAUAUAUAUAUAUAUAUAUAUGCAAUGUAUGACCAAAUUGAUGCGUAACAAAUGAUAAAAUUGGUACAUUAAAUUAUUUUCUUUUGUAAUAAUGCUCAAUUUUGCCAUGGCUAAAAAUAGUGAGAAUAUAAGAUUUGGACCAAAUAGUUUGUAUCAUGUAUGAAUCAACUUCCUAACAUGGAUUUGAUACAUGCCCUUUACAAGAAAAGGCAUAUUUCGCUUUUAGAUUGUGAAACUUUAUCUCUAGAUAUGAAAGCACUUAUGGUUGAAGUUGAAAGUUAUAAGCACCAAUGCUAAUUUAGGCACAUAAAAAACAUAUGUGGGUUAUAACUAUGUUUAUUUUUGCUAUUUUUCAAAUUUUAAUGAUGAAAAUGAGCCAAAAAACUAUAAUUAUAUAGGGAAGAAAAAAAAUCUAAAUUUUCCCUAAAGAUAGAAAUAAGUAAGUUGAUUCAUGGACCACAAAUCUUAAAGUGAAUAAUUCAAGAAAAUAAUUCAAAAAAAAAAAAGACCCAAAUCAAAAUAUUGAAUUUGUCCAUUGGAAGUGAUAAUUAAUGGAUUUGAAUUUAUUAUUUACAGUGAAAUUUAGUAAUCAAUGCAUUCAGGAGUUAUGGAAGGGGUCCUAUUGAAUAAGGUCAUGCAGAACGAGGGAAGGAAUAAAAAUGACUUAACUCUAGCUUCUAGUUUGUCUUUUUCAAUUAUUAUUAUUUUGCAAAAUUGUCUUAUUUUUCUGAAAAUUACAUAUUCAAUAAUUUUUAAAAAUCCAAACUUUUCUAAUUGCAUUAUCAAAAACCAAUGUGGAUAUUUCCUGUUAAUAUAAUUUCUACAUUUUAUUUUUUACAAAAAUUUGUAAAUAUUAUCGAUCAAAAAAGAAAUGAAGUUAAAAAAGUCUAUUUGAGAAUAGUUUUAUGUUAUUCGGAACAAAAAAUACAAAAAACAUAUUUGAUAACAAAAAAUUAUUUUAUUUUAUUUUUAGUUAUUUUUUUUAAGUUUAUUUAAAAAAUAAUUAUAUAAACAUGUAAAAUAAUUAAAAAUAAAAUAUUAAAUAUAAAUUUAUUUUUAAAAUAUAAAAAUUAUUUUUAAAAUAUAAAACAUAGGUUUAAAAAGAAAAUUUUAUUUUAGAAAACACCACACAAAAUAUUCUUAAAAGCUGUUUUUUUAGAAUUAUUUUCCAAAAAAGUUAUCACUCAAACCCUAACUUUUUUUUUUUUUUUUUGUUAAGCUUUAAUUGCACUUUUAAUUACUUUCCUCGUUUUUUUUAUAUCAUUAAAUAAUAUUAAAUUAUUAUUAUUUUUUCAUUAUCUUCAAAAUUCAAACCGAACGUUACUUUUUAUAAUUUGUAUGAUAUUAUUAUAUUUAAAGCCACAACUCACAAGUAGGAAAAUGAAGGAAAAAUCAAACCUCAUUGCAAAAUCAAAGGAAAAUUUGAGAAUUGGACGCUCCCAUGCAAUUAAAGCCCUGAAGAGGAUGAGCGGGAUAAGGCACGAGAAAAUUCACUCUUUUGGUAUUAUGAGAAAAGUGAAGGACUUUUCUGUCAUUUAACAUCCUUGAAUGUAAAAGCAAAAGAAAAGGAAAACACCGGUUGAGUCGAGUCCGAGUCAGACUCGGUAUGUGGGGUCGGGGCGAGGAGAGAAAUCCAGAGACCAAGAAAUAAAUAUAUGAGAAAAAAAUAAAUAAAUGAAAAAAAAGAGGAAAAAACAUAAAAAAAUUUGUGAAGAAGAUGAGAGGAGAGAGGGAGGGGUGUUGUGCUGGUGGUGCUUGUGCUCGCCAGUUUUCAAAGCACCUUUCUCUCUCUAAAUCCAGGUUUUCUCCCUCAAAAUAACCCAGUUUCUCUCUCUAAAUCCGGGUUUCUCUUUCUAAAACCCAGUUUUCUUCGCUCCAAAAACCUGUUGGCGUGCUUAGUUUUGUUACGUUAUAAGUUCCAAACCCUCGAGCCCUCUCUCUUUUCUCCAUCACAGAACAAGCAAUAUGCGGAGAGGGAGGGCGGCUCCGACGGCUACACUGGCAACGUCGGCGGCAGGGGGGGCCGGUGGAUCUGGGUUCGUCAAAGAUAUGAGGUAUCGGGGUGUGAGGAAGAGGCCAUGGGGGAGGUUUGCGGCAGAGAUAAGAGACCCGUGGAAGAAGACAAGGGUUUGGUUGGGGACGUUCGACUCGCCGGAGGAGGCGGCAAGGGCGUACGACGCGGCUGCGAGGACUCUCCGGGGGCCCAAGGCAAAAACAAACUUUCCGGCGGUGUCGGGGGCGGCGGUGGCGGUGCCGGCGUUCGAUCGGAACCUUAACGGUCAGUUCGGUGACGGCCACCACAACCGGGUGUACCGAGCGGAUCAGUUUCAGGAGCAGCAGAUUCACGCCCAGAGGCCGACGUCGAGUGGCAUGAGCAGCACCGUGGAGUCCUUUAGCGGCCCUCGCCCAGCUCCGGCAAAUCUACCUCCGGCGACGUUGCGCCGGCACCCACGUAGCCCUCCGCUUCUACCCGACGAUUGCCACAGUGACUGCGACUCGUCGUCCUCGGUGAUCGACAACGGAGACAUCGCUGCUGCAACUUCAGUUCGAAAACCCCUCCCUUUCGAUCUCAAUGUUAUGCCGUCCGACGAUGACGAGCUCAUCAUGGGUGAUCUCCACAGCACGGCUUUGCGUCUCUGAUGAUGAUCCAUGUUUUUUUUAUAUAAAAAAAAUCCUUUUUCCUUCCCCCCUUUUCCUCUCUGUGCUGUUCUCUCGUCUGUUCUCAUGCUUAAAAAAGCAGAAAAAGAAAGGAUAUCAGAAAAUAUUUAGAUAAAAUGGUUUUACUUCUGUGAAUCUGGGCUUUGUGUUGGAAGAGAAUCAAUCUUUUUCUCAUCUUUUUGUUAGCAUAUGUGUGGAUUAGCGUGUGUUCAGAUUAUGAGAUCUGGUUUCUUCAACUUUGUGGGCUUUGAACUUUGAUCAUAUCCGAGUUAGGGUUUUACAAAUCUUGAUCUUUGAUACUUCUUACCCAUGUACAAAAAUAAGCUUCAGUGUUCAUUCUACUGAAAGGGAAUUAAAAUCUCUAGUUUUUGCCAUGUUUCCUUUUCUACAGUAUGAUUCAUUGACGAAUAUAAACAUUACAAUGUGGGGUUUGUAUAAAAUUUAUUUGUUUUUCAUUCAUGUUUGUACUCUAUUCUUGGGAGUAUUGAUGUGAAUGGGAUCUUAAGAGAGGUCUGAUUUUGUUUUGGGUGAUCUAGAAUCAUACAAUGUAUGAUGUGUGUCUACUUAUUCUAGAAUCGUUUACAAAAACAGCAUGGUAGAUCAAGGAGGUGGUUGUCAGGCCUUGCAUCCAUCUUGAUAAGGUUUUUGAUAAGAACAAAAUUUAUUGCACAUGUAAUGCUUGUUAUGUACACUACAGGUGUAACUUUGUUUUAUUUUUGUUUUUAUUUUUUUAUUUUUUUAUUUUUCGUUUUCUUUCUGGAUGUGAGUUGUUGAUCUUUUACAUUGCUUAAGACAUCAUAAGCUCAUUGUUUUGAAUAGAAUUACUUUGAGGGGUAUGCUUAGAUGUUCUGCAUGGUUACGGUUAUUCGGUAACCAGUGCCAUAGUUUUGGAAAUUUGGAUUCUUAAUUAUGUGGGUUUAUCCUUGUUAGGUGUUCUGGACAAAGUGGUAGCCAUGGUUAAUUGUUGCUCGUUGUUCAUAUGCCAUGAUUUUGGUAAUUUGGAUGCUUAGCUUUGAAGGGUUACCGUUAUUCGUUAGUCGUUAUUAGUUAAUCGUUGGCCGUAUUUUUGGUAGUAUAGAUGCUUUUAAUGGGUUUAACCUUUGUGCAGAAACUUUUAUUUUAGAAGUUGCAGAGGUCGUUUACAACGGUUACAAAUCUAGCAGAUUCUAUGCUUUUAGAUCCUUCUCUUGUUUGUCUUCACAAUAUAUCUUGGAGAAGCAUUAACGAUAUUUUGUCGUCUACUGUGAUAUUAGUGAGUUUCCUUUCAUGGCUCUUAGUCUGUCUAUAAUUUCUGUUUCAAUGAUUGUGGGUAAUUAUUAAGUUCCAGGAUCAAGGCAUUAAAAUAGGAUCUGCAAUGCCUUUGGGUCUGUCAAUUUUUGUUAUGGAUGGAUUUGGAUAUGGAGGAUGUGGAUAUCUAAUAUGAGUUUCAUAUGGUGAUCGUGAUCGUUGAGUAGUAACUUAGAAUUCGGCACUUUUGGAAUGAAGCUUGAGUUUAGAAACUAGAGGGGAGAAUGCGACAUUGUCUACAGCAUGCAUGUGAAUGAAAUUGGAUCAGUUCUUAAAGCAGCAUUUAUUGGAUUCUGUGCUCUUGAAAGAAGCUUGAAUUCAGAAACUAGAAUGUAGAUUAUGCCAUUGUUACUCAUAGGAGGAGGGAUAUAUUAUUCAGGUGGCUUGUUAUCAAAUCUAAUGGAGGGAUUCUCGAAAGGGAAACAAAUGUUGUAGUCUUGUAGAUUUGAUCAGUUGAUAUCUAACAUGCUUGUCAUUAAAAUAACCUUCAGUUACUAAGGUAGGAGGCAGCAGGUAGGAUUUUUUUUACUUGUAGAAUGAAGCCUGUAUUCAGAAACUAGAACAUGGAAUAUGAUGUUUUCAACAUGUGUGUGGAAUGUAGAUUAGCAUUGCUAGUUAUACAACAGUGACAUAUAUUCAUACAGCUUUUCCCUGAAACUGAAUGAAUGUUUAUUGGGUAUACGGGAUAAACAUGCCUGUCAUUGAACUAGUGAUGAAUUCUUAAAGCAGAAACCAGUAAGAUAGGGUUUCUAUACUCUCAGAAUGAAAGCUUGAAUCAGAAACUAGAAUGUAGGUUAUGAUAUUGUGUCACAUGUUAUUGAUGCCCAUGAUAUAUUCUUAAAGCAGCAGUAUAGGAUUCUGUACACUUGGAUUGAAGCUUGACUUCAGGUACUUAGAAACUAGGUUGCAACCUUGUGUAUCAUAUAAUGAGGUGUAUUAUUUAGGUGGCUUAUUUUUUAAAAUAAUGGAGGGCUUCUUGAUAGGAAAACAAAAGUUACAUGUGUCAUUGAAGUAGUGAUCAAUUCUUAAAACAGUAGGGUAGGAGUCUGUAUUAUUUAGAAGGAGCUUGCAUUCAGAGACUAGAAUGUUGCUUAUGGCAUUAUUACUCAUCCCUAUGAGAUGGCUUGUUUAGGUAACUAACACUAUAGGGAAACAAGAUUUCAUUAGGUAACCCUUUGGAUGCUGUAUAAAUACACUGAUGAAUUGUGAAAUAUAGUCCUGGAAUGUCCGGAGAACUGAAACUUGCAGUGUUUGUGUGAGAUUUUUCUGUAUGGACAAUCUCUUGGGUCUUUGAUGUUUGUUGCACAUUCUUUCUCCUCAGAUUUCACUGCUAUCCUCUAAAAUAUGUUGUGUUAUCUUUCAUAUUUCCUUUUAAGAUUAAUCCUGCUUUCUUUAAUCUUUUAAGGUUAUUCAUCUGACAGUGGUUGCUCUCUACAAUAAUAUUAUGGAGUAUUGCAGACUUGAAGCAGGGUUUAGAUAGGAGGGCAAGUUUUUGGAAUGGAUGCGGCUCUCAGACUCGAUAUAGGUCAGACAUUUAGAUUUUCCUGAGUUACUUUCCAUUUUUAUCUGUGUACUCGUUUCCCAUGGUGGACAGUGACUGAAACUUGUUCUCCAAUGUUACACUAUAGGUUCGUUUCUUCUUCAAACUUGCUGAAGUUUGACCAAUGAAACCAUUCUGGUGCUACCUUGCCCAUAUCUCUGUGACGUUUCACCACAUUCCUUGACGUAGAUGAUUGCAGGCAUUUAUAGUAAAACUAGUUUCAAUUUUAAAUUCAGGUCCAAGCGUAUUGAAAUAGGUGCUUGAUUUUGUGCUCUUUGAUUCUUCCUAAUUGUGAGGCCCGUUUUGAGUGUGUGCUACUAACCAACCAUACGCUGACUGGCUUGUGAGAAAUGAGAACUUUAUGUGUUCACUGACAUUAUUUAUUUUGUAGUUAAUCACUUGGUUCUCCACAGUGAUAUCAACCUGAACGUAAUUCCCCCAUGAAUUAUUGCUUUUAAUGUUUUGAUUUGGUUUCCUGAGGUCGACCAUCCGAGGCCAUAUGGAUGCCAGUGCACGUUGCUGUUAAGCCACAGAAUGAGAACAUUGGCAGGCACCCUGAAACUGACUUUUGGGACCCAAAGUGCCUUUCAUGGCAUUUUCCUUCUGUCCUGUCCUCAGUGUUCCUCCAAAGUAUGGUGAUGCUUCUUCGAGAGCCCUUGUCAUGGCGUUUUCUUGCCGGUCUGUGCUGAGAGUUGCUUCCAAGCCAUGGUGAUGGUUAUGGGAGAGUCCCUUAGAACUCUGCACAAAGGUGAGCAUAUUCUCUCUCCUUUUUUAUUUUUAUUUUUUUUGCCCUUUUCCUUUAUGCAGGACAUGUGAUGGACUGCACCCUCCAAUUUGACUCUUUUGUUGGAUUGUAUUGGGGUUGUGUGGUCCAUGUAUCCCAUUUACUCGUACUACUCUCCAUUAUAGGUCUUGUUCAUGGGUGGUCUAUUAAUCUACUGGGAGGUGGGUCAAGCUUUGCCCGCCAACAAGGCUUCUUUCUUAACCUAGGGAGAUGGUUGUGGUCAUGAGGUUAGGGCCCACAACACCAUCGAUGUUCUAUGAAGUUGUAUGUGUAAGUAUUACAAAAGCUUCUUUACAAUGCUAAAAUUUGAACUAAUUGUUGUAACUUGAAAAAGCUAAGGUGAUUCAAAAAACUAAAAAAGUAAAGGCGGCUAAUCCUGGUUUCUUUGAUCCUGAAUCUGGUUUGCAUUCUUCUUGAAGGGGAAAAGCUUCAGCAUCAUCUGUAACUUUAAGAAAGAAAUUUUGACUCUCAAGUACAAUGGGUUUUGUAACAGAAACUUUGUUGACCCAAAGAGGCCUAUGGGUUUGGCUAAGAGGUGAUGAAAGGUAAGUUUCAUUACAAUAACGGACCAAAGGAGGCCAACACCACCUCUCACAAGAUCUCCCUGUUCUCCUUGUUUCCAAAGACAUAACAAAUGCAAGGCGAGAGGCGCAUGCACAACACUUUCAUAAUUGUUUUCUAAUAAUUGUCACCGACAUGCUAGGGUUCAUAAAGUGGUAACAAAGUAAUCACAGGCUUGAUGGUUGUAUAUUCAAAAUUUUCCUUGUUUUUUUUUCCUUCAGUGCAUGUUCUUGGAAAGGGGUUGGUGGAAGGGGUUAGCUUUAAGAAGAGAGUAAUUACACCGGAAAAGCCUUUAUCAUCAUGUAUUUCGUUGUCAUCUUUCCGUAUGUUACUAAAACAAGGUUAAAUCAUGAACAUUUUAUUGGAGCUCGUUAGGGUAUGACCGAGUGGUAUGAGUGAAUACUUGGACGUGUGGAAGAGGUGUACGAUUUUGGUUUUGAUUCCUGCUGGCUAUUUCGAUUGUGAUCAGUCACGUCGAGGUUUGCUAGCCAUGGGUGGGCCUGGUGAUGAUGCCAAAAUCAAGGGUAAUAAACUUUGUUUAGUGGUAAGAAAAAUAGGCUUAUCAUAUUGAUAGAAAGGUAUGACUUCCUUCGUCGCACCUUGCCUUAUGAAGUAGCCCUAUUUACUUUAGUAAAUCACAUUAGAUGUGAGUGAAAGGUUGGUAGGGGUAGUCAUUAUCCUUUCCAUUAUGAGGGCGAUACUAUAGAGAUUGGAAUUAAUGUUGAGAUAAUUAUUAGACACAUGUUACUUGUUUAACCUUCAUCCUAAGUUGUCUUGGGUAAUUUUUCCCCUUCUCAUGUCUUGAUUGUCAUCUUAGGAUCCACCCAUGCCUUCCUUAAUAUUAGUGGCUCAGAGGUUUAACUUUCACAUCAUCCUGACCUUUUCUUGUUCAAACCUUACUUAGAGCAAGGAAAUUGAAAAGAUAAUCCAUGUUUUCCCAAGAUUUGUUGAUUAAGGCUUUGAUUUUAGAUUUAAAGUGUUCCAUUUUCCAUAAGACAUUGAGUCUCUUUAAGGCCUUUAUUGUGGUUUCAUUUUGUCUAUAUAAGCUUGAUCAUUUGGGGUGCAUGUAACUAUCUUCCUUGAGAUAUUAGAUUUCAACAACGAAAGUAUUAAAAACAAUAUUACUCUAUAUUAGAUGCUUAGAAACAUUAUCUAUGAUUUGAAUGUUCCUAGAUUAGUUGUAGUUAUAGAUAAAAAUAUUGAGAUAUAUCAAUGAUAUAUCGUGUAUUAGAGGAAGUCGAAGCGAUAUAUAAGUAAUAUAUAUUAACAAACGAAAAUAUAGGUUUUUAUUAUGAAAAAUCAUUGAUAUAUCAAUGAUAAUCGAUAAAUUGGCGAUAAAUUUUAAAAAUCGGCGCUGGUUGCAAAAAUUAUUGAAAUUUUGGUGAUAUAGCGACAAAAAAUUGUCGAUUAUUUGAUGAAUAUUUUUGCUUCAAUAUGUGCUUGAUUCGAUGACCCAUAUCACACCUGUAUUAAUCCAAUGCCCUAAAUCACACCCGUAUUGAUCCAACAACCUAGAUCAUGUUUGCAUUUUUUAAAGUUGAUGCAAUGGUCAAAUGAGUUAUCCAAGGGCCCAGAUUAAAUCUAGGAGAUGAUCCAAUGGUUGGGAAGUAAUAUCAACAGCUAUUUGAUGCUCUAACGGUUAGAUGUUGUCCAAAUUUUGAUCAAAUGGACAUAUAUGAUUUCUAACUUUCAAAUCACUUUCCAACAACUAUUUUGGCUCAAAUCUUUUCUAUAAAUAGCUAAUUCUCAAUCAAUUUCAUUCACAAUUCAUUCCAAAAGUGUAUUGAUCUCUUUUUUUUUUUUUUUUGUGAUUAUUCUCAAAAUCUAAUAAAUUUGGGAAUUUAGUGCUCAAGUUUGUGGAUUAACUUCAAACCAAGGUUGCUCAAUUAUUGUAAAAUAUGUUUGUUUUAAAUCUCAAUUAUUUUUAUAUUAAAUUUAAAUUAUUUAUUUAAUUUUAAUAAUAGUUUAAUGUUAAUUUUCAAUACAUUAGUACAUUUUUAAUAGAUGUAAGUAAAUUAAUUUAGCAUAGUUAUACAUUUGAAUCACAUGAUUAAUACAUUUGUAAUAAGUUAGUUUUAAAUUAAUGAUUUAAUUUUAUUUUGAUAUUCAAGUGUAAUAAUAGCCUAUUGAGAACAAAUUGACUGAGUACAUAAUUAAAUUAGUAUAAUAUUGAAUUUAAAUUAGUCCAUUUUUUUAAUUAAUUAGUAUAUUUUCAAUAGAUUUAAGUAAACUAACUUAGCAUAUCUUUGUCAAAGGACAACUUUUGUUAAAUGCUGUCCACACUAGGACAGCUUUGCUGGUCAAAGGACAGCUGUCACACUUCCUUCCUUAUUUUAGCCCACACUUGCUGUCCACACUUCCUUCCUUAAUUUAGCCCACCAUUCUUUCCUUAUUUUAGCCCACAAUUGUUUCCUUAUUUCUUCAUUUAUUAUUUUGUACAAUUAGCAUAUAUUAUUUGACAGAUUAUAGUUUACAUGUAUAGGGCUAGAAUCAUGCUGGAAUUUAUUUCCUUUUAUUUUCUUUCCAUGUAAAGCAUCCUUGUAAAGUCUAUAUAUAAUAUACAAAACUCAAGACCAAGGUAUUCGGUCAUUCACACAAUAUUUUGACAUGGUAUCAGAGCAAGGUUGCUAAUUUUUCUUCCCUCAAAUUAUUUUCUGUCUUUUCGGUUUCGGAGGUGCCUCUCGUGUCUUUCGGUCAAGUUUGUGUUGAUCCGUGCUGCACCCAACCACAACCAUUUCUCUCAGUAUUUCUGUGGCUGUCGUGGGUCAGUUUUUCUUCUGGGAUUUUUUUUUGGUCCAUCCUUUUGUCUCGGGUUCUAUUUAUUUUCUAUGGAUUCCGCACCGCUGUGUGUUAAGUUUACAGGCACCAAUUAUUCUACCUGGGCAUUUCAGUUUGAACUUUUUCUCAAGGGAAAAGACCUUUGGGGUCAUAUUGAUGGCACAGAUGUUGAAAAACCAUCCACUUUUGACAAAUCUCAGGAUGGUGGGACUUCUCAUUCAUGGGCUGUGCUUGAUGCACGCAUCAUGUCUUGGCUUCUUGGUUCAGUGGAGCCUCAUAUUGUCACCCACUUGCGGCCCCAUCGCUCCGCUCAAUCUAUGUGGGCUUAUUUGAAGAAAGUUUAUCAUCAGGAUAACGAUGCUCGUCGCUUUCAAUUAGAACAUGCGAUUGCCAUGUUUCAACAUGGUAGUCUUUCCAUCCAGGACUACUACUCAGCAUUUCUGACUCUUUGGCAUGAAUAUGCUGAUUUGGUUACAGCGGAUGUUCCUAUUAUUGCCACUCUCUCAACUAUUCAGACUAUUCACGCGACUACCCGGCGUGAUCAGUUUCUUAUGAAACUACGUCCGGAAUAUGAAUCUGUUCGCUCCUCUUUACUGAAUAGAUCUCCUGUUCCCUCUCUUGAUAUUUGUUUUGGUGAGUUACUUCGCGAAGAGCAACGCCUUAGUACUCAAGCUAUUUUGGAGCAAUCUCAUGGCAGUUCCGGGACGACAACUGUAGCUUAUGCUGCCCAAGGACGCGGACCACCUAUGCAUUCUAAAAACUUGCAGUGUUUUUGCUGCAAGGAAUAUGGGCAUAUUGCUGCCACUUGCCCUAAGAAGUUUUGUUCUUAUUGCAAGAAGAAAGGUCACAUUAUCAAAGAAUGUCGUAUUCGCCCCCAGAAUCGUCAGGCCCAAGUAUUUCAGACUUCGGUUAUUGUCCCUCCUGUAGCAACACACGACUCUCCUUCAGCUGCGUGCUCUGUUCCUGCACCUCCUGCACCAGAUUAUUGCACCCCAGAAAUGGUGCAACGGAUAUUAAUUUCAGCAUUAUCAGCAAUGGGGUUUCAAGGUAACAAUUCUACUAAACUCUGGUACGUGGACUCGGGGGCCUCUAAUCACAUGACUAAUAAUCUCACCGCUUUGUGUCAUGUUUGGCCCUACGCUGGUCAAUCUUCCAUUCAGACUGCCAAUGGCAGCUCUUUGCCCAUAGCUGCUAUCGGCGAUGCCUCUUCUAAGUUCACUGAUGUGUUUCUUGCCCCUCAGCUUUCCACGAAUCUUAUUUCUGUUGGCCAAUUAGUUGAUAACAAUUGUGCUGUUAAUUUUUCUGGUAAUGGUUGUGUUGUGCAGGACCAGGUAACGGGGAAGCCGAUCGCGAAGGGACCUAAAGUGGGGCGCUUGUUUCCACUAUUUUUACCUGUUCCAGAUUUUUCUCCACGUUCUUCUAUUAAGUCUUUUGCUUGUAAUAAUGUUUCAGAUCUUAGUAUGGUGUGGCAUCGUUGUUUAGGCCAUCCCAAUACUUAGAUCUUAUCUCAUGUAUUGAACUCUGAUUUACCUGGUAAUAAGGAUCGUUAUUCUUUAUCUCUUGAGUGUGAUUCUUGCAAACUUGGUAAAAGUAAAACUCUUCCCUUCCCUUUGCAUGCAAGUAGAGCAUCUCACUGCUUUGAUCUUAUCCAUAGUGAUGUUUGGGGACCUUCCCCGGUUAGUUCACAUGAGAAAUUUAAAUAUUAUGUGACUUUCAUUGAUGAUCAUAGCAGAUUUACUUGGGUUUACUUUCUUCGCUCUAAAUCUGAGGUCUUUCGUACUUUCACUGAGUUUUUAGCGUAUGUUGACAAUCAAUUUUCUACUUCUAUUAAGACAUUACGCACAGAUUCUGGUGGUGAAUAUUUGUCUACUGAGUUUCAAGCAUUCUUGGCUUCUAAGGGUAUUAUUCAUCAACGUUCAUGUCCCUUUACUCCUCAACAAAAUGGAGUUGCCGAAUGCAAAAAUCGUCAUCUUUUAGAUGUGGUACGUACUCUCUUGUUAGAAUCUUCUGUUCCAUCCAUGUUUUGGGUAGAGGCUCUAAAAACUGCUACUCACUUGAUUAAUCGUUUACCUUCUCAAGUCCUACAUAUGGAGUCUCCCUAUUUCCGCUUAUUUGCUAAGCAACCUAGUUAUGAUCACCUUCGUAUUUUUGGUUGUGUAUGCUUUGUUCAUUUACCUCCUCAUGAGCGACAUAAAUUAUCAAGGUCCUCCCACUAUUGUUCCUCUGGGUUGCAAAUGGGUUUACUCAGUCAAGGUCCGAUCUGAUGGAAGUUUGGAUCGUUACAAAGCUCGGCUUGUUGCACUUGGGAAUAAUCAGGAAUAUGGUGUCAAUUAUGAAGAGACCUUUGCUCCUGUGGCUAAAAUGACUACUGUUCGUACGAUUCUAGCUCUUGCUGCUUCCAGUGAUUGGCCAUUACAUCAGAUGGAUGUAAAAAAUGCUUUUCUUCAUGGGGAUCUUAAAGAGUGUAUUUAUAUGAAGCCACCCCCGGGAUUGUUUCCCUCUCCGACUUCACAUGUGUGUAAGCUUCGUCGCUCUCUUUAUGGUCUCAAACAGGCUCCGAGGGCCUGGUUUGAGAAAUUCCGCACCACUUUAUUACAAUUUUCAUUCAGGCAGAGCAAGUAUGACACUUCCUUGUUUCUUCGGAAAUCAGACAUGGGUAUUGUUGUUCUUUUGGUUUAUGUUGAUGAUAUUGUGAUCACUGGUUCCGAUUCUGCUUUACUUGGUCAGCUCAAAACUCAUCUCUCCGAGUCCUUUCAUAUGAAAGAUCUUGGGCCUCUCACAUAUUUUCUUGGUCUUGAGGUGCAUCAUAGUCCCUCUGGUAUUUCCCUCAAUCAACAUAAGUAUGCGAGUGACUUGGUGGCUACAGCUGGUCUACAAGGGGCUACUUCUGUUGAUACUCCCAUGGAAUUAAAUGUCAAGCUUCGCAAAGAGGAGGGCGACUUACUUGCUGAUCCCAGUUUAUACAGGAAGUUGGUGGGUAGCCUUGUUUAUCUCACCAUUACUAGACCGGACAUUUCUUUUGCUGUACAGCAAGUCAGCCAGUUCCUUCAGACUCCUCGUCAUCUUCAUUUGGCUGCUGUUCGUAGGAUCAUACGCUAUGUUCAAGGCACUUCUACUCGUGGCUUGUUCUUCCUUGCAGGCAAUUCUACUCGCCUUGCUGCUUAUAGUGAUGCUGAUUGGGCUGGUUGUGCGGAUACCCGUCGCUCCAUCACUGGUUGGUGUGUGUUCUUAGGAGAUGCAUUGAUAUCUUGGAAAAGUAAGAAGCAAGACAGAGUCUCUAAGUCAUCUACGAUUCUGAGUACCGGGCGAUGUCUCUUGCUUGUUCUGAAAUCAUUUGGCUUCGAGGUUUGCUUGCGGAGUUAGAUUUUUCUGAGACCGAUCCUACACCUCUCCAUGCCGAUAAUACAAGCGCUAUUCAGAUCACGGCCAAUCCUGUCUAUCAUGAGCGCACAAAGCAUAUUGAAGUGGACUGUCACUCUAUCCGUGAAGCCUUUGAAGCUCGUGUUAUCGCUCUUCCACAUAUUUCCACCGACUUACAAAUUGCUGAUAUCUUCACCAAGGCUCUCCCUCGUCAUCGACAUUGCUUGCUAAGUAGCAAAUUGAUGCUUGUUGAUCAACCUGCAUCAAUUUGAGGGGGGCUAUCAAAGGACAGCUUUGCUAGUCAAAGGACAGCUGUCAAAGGACAGCUUUGCUGUCACACUUCCUUCCUUAUUUUAGCCCACACUUGCUGUCCACACUUCCUUCCUUAAUUUAGCCCACCCUUCUUUCCUUAUUUUAGCCCACAAUUGUUUCCUUAUUUCUUCAUUUAUUAUUUUAUACAGUUAGCAUAUAUUAUUUGACAGAUUAUAGUUUACAUGUAUAGGGCUAGAAUCAUGCUGGAAUUUAUUUCCUUUUAUUUUCUUUCCAUGUAAAGCAUCCUUGUAAAGUCUAUAUAUAAUAUACAAAACUCAAGGCCAAGGUAUUCGGUCAUUCACACAAUAUUUUGACAAUCUCUACAUUUGAAUCACAUAAUUAGUAAAUUUCCAAUAAUUGAAUGAAAUUAAUGAUUUAAUUUUAGUAUUUUGCAUUAUUAAUAGCAUUGAACUUAAAUUAAUUCAAUUUGAUGUCAUGUAUAGUUCACUUUCAAUUGCAAUUGAAUUUAAUAUUAGUUUCACAGUCUAUUAUUGUAUACUCAUUUUUUUUUUUAAAUCACAUAAUUAUUUCAUUUAAGUUUAUUAAAUUAAUGGUUUAAUGUUUCAACUUAAAAAGAAUAGUCAGUGGAAAUGCAGUUGGGAGUGACAUACCGAGACGAGAUUUAGCUUGGAAGCAUUGUAUACUGGUGGAUGGGAAAAUAUAUGAGACAAUUUGUAACUAUUGUAACUGUUGAUGAAGAGUAGAGGCAUUACUCGAUUCAAGUUCCAUUUAUCGCAUAUAAACCUGCACUUUAACACCAAAAAAUGUCAUAGAGUGCUUCCUAAAGAGAAAUAAGAGAUACGAUAACUUUUGCAUCAAAAAACCAAAGCAAAAGCAAAGAAAGUUGCGAAUGUUGAAGAGGUCUAUGCUCAAUUACGUGGCACCAUAUGGGCAGCUAAAGACAUGUCAUAGACUAGGAUGAUGAUGAUGAUGAUGUGUACAUGUAUUUGACAGCUAUGCACUUUGAUAAGCGAGAUGCUUAUCUAUUUGUGGACCCGUAUUUUUUACGUGUCUCCACUCAAUCGACAAGACUUACUUUUUUUUUUUUUGUGAAAAUUUAGUUUUGGAAAAGUUGGAGUCGCCACUUAUUUUAUUUUUAUUUUAAAGGGAAAAUAAAACAAAAAAGAAAACCCUAAAGAAGUGACUCUAUAGUUUUUGGAAAAACGUGUCUUUGAAAAAAUCCGAGUCUAGGUCCGAGGAUCAUGUUACCUAUUGGGAAGGUACCUCUAAAAGGUAGUAUCCCUCUAAGCCCUAAAAAGGUCUCUACUAACCUAGUUGAACGAAAUGAGGCAAUUAAUUGGUUGAUUAUAGAUACCUAAAUAGGCUAAGGUGAUUUCAAGAUUCUAUCCAUACUAGCAUGUCAAAUAAGAAAUCAAAUUACAAUCAUAAAGGAGAGUUAGGGUGUGUACCUGAACUGAUUCUUACUUGCUAUCAUAAGACAAUCAAACAAGUAUCAAGGCAAUCAAGGAUAGCGUUCAAACAUGGAUAUAGCUCAUGAUAACAUGCAUUUUCAUAGAAUUUUGGAAUUAGAGAAUAGAGAGCGUACCUGGAUAGCAAGUAUAUUUUAUAAGAUUCCUCCAAAGAUGCUAGAGUGGUUAGGAUAAGCAUAAAUUAUAUAACACAUCCAUUAUGUUUAAUAUACAAUGUCAAAGCCAAAAAUUGAGUUAAGAUAAAUCAAAUGACUCCAAAAAUAAUAACAAUUUCAAGUAAAGUAUAAAAUCAUCAACAUGUAGUUAGAAAAGGAAGCAUCAUAAAAUAAUUUCUAAAAAAAUGGCUUAGAGUGGAAUUUAAAUACGAAAAAUUUCAGGAAACAACUUGUACACAUCUAGAUCAAUAUACCGAAAGGCAAACACUCAUUCAAAGGAUAGAUUACAGCAAAGAAACCUAAAGGUUCUACAAAGUCCAGAUUAGAUAAGAAAAAGUAACAUGCAUAAACAAUUUUAAAAAUAAUAAUAAUAAAUGAUCACAUAAAAUCAUAAAAAAAAUCACACAAAUAGUCCAAAGUGUUUAUAUCACAUAAAAAAAUGAAUCCAGGUUAGAUAGUACUCAAAAAUAUUUUUAAAACACUCAAGAUAAUCAGAUGUCCAGAAUCCAGCAUGCACAGUAGACACGACUUUGAAAAAUCACAUCUCCCUCAAAAAGGCAUAUUUUUUAAUAUUUUAUGUGUCAAAGAUCAAUUUCAAGAAGCCUAGAAUUGAGAAAAAAUAUUGAAUCAAAUUUAAAAAGUUGUUUAGUAUUUUAUUUUUGCAAAAAUAUCUCGGAGCCCCCCUAUAGACUCGUUGAUAUCUUCUAUUCUAGAAUGGCUUUCUAACUCAAACGAAACUUUAAAUUCAAGUUCAAGAAGUGAGGAAAGUCAUACAAGUUUUGGAAAUUUUUUAAAAAUAUUCUAAAGUUGCUUAAACGAAUUUUAAAUCUAGAAGGUCAGUGGUUGAAUGAAAACUGGUAGCAAGUGGUUUCUUGAAAUCUGAAUUUUUUAUGAAUCUAGAAACUCUUUAAGGAUGGAAUCUAGAAACUCUUUAAGGAUGAAAUCUGGAAUCGUUUAACAAAACAAAGAAAGAGGAGGAUGGUGUGACUGCCCUUGAGAAUGAGUGAAUGGUGCGUGUAGGUAAGAUCGUUUGUGGAGGCUGGCUUAUUCUAUAUUAUGCAUGCUACAUGUUGUAACGUGGCUUUAAAGAGGACGCAAACCGCCCCAUUUUCAAUCCUUGAUGCAGAUGUUAGUGGAGUUCAUUCAUAGUGGCAGUAGAACUGUAAAUUCCUUUUGAGUUGUGUGCUGAAAUUGAAUUCCAAAUGCACUUUGUCCCCUGUAGCAUUGCUAAUUGCACGAAAAUGAUAGCAUGCCUGCCCAUAUGCAAACCGUUGACCUUUUUAUGCAUGGACUUUCACAAAGAGCCUAGAGCAACAAGAGACAUCAAAUUGCUAAUGCUAUGGGGUAUAGUUCCAUCAAUUUAAUUUCCUUAGGGGCAUUUGAAAGUGUUAAUGACCUGCAUAAAUGCACCAUUUCUUUUUGUUCAUUUCGCGACAUACAUGAACUUCACAUUAACGAGUUCACAUUUUUUUUUUUAUCACCAACAGUCCACAUAGAUAGCUUAGACUACACGAACUCUUGAGUGUGGGCAUGUUAUGCAUAAUGGAAUCUCUGAUUUUAGAUUGGAAUUGUGGUGUUGUUUCCGUUCUCUUUCCAAUAACAGUAUCGCUUAGAGACCGUGGUUGUGAAGUUGAGGUUAGUGAUUGAGAUGGGAAAAUGAAGAAAGAUGGCCAUGCAUGGCCAUAAAAAAAAAAAAAAAAAAAGUCUAGCACUCACGUGUCACCCAAUAAGAAUUCUAUGCUUGGAGGCCGGUACCAUGUGGAUGAACUUGAGGCUAAGAUGCAAUAUACCUAGACCAUGCAACAACAACACAAUCCCUGUUACUCCAAAUUUAAGUGCAGUAAGAACUGCUGGUGCGACUUGGAAAACAAGCAUCUGCAUUCCAAAUCUUGAAUUCCCAUUAGCAAAAUCACCAAAUUGGGUUUCCCAUAUUACUUAAGCAAUUGAAAACCUCUAGUGACAUAUGGUCUGAAUCAGAACUAUCGUGCUUUCGAGCAUUAAAUAUUCAUCUUUCCUUUGUUUCAAUGAAUAACCAUAACAUUAUGCUCGUAGUUUUAUUUGAUUAUUGCCUAGAAUGUCCCCUGUUGGAGACUUCAUUGAUGAAGGAAUAUUUUAUACCCACACGUCAUGUUUUCUUAUAACAUUAACAACAACUGAAGUAAACAAGCAGGCCACCCAAAACUACUAGACAAGCAAUAAGCAUAAUCUAACACUAUCUCCAGGGAUGGGAGGACUAGGUGCAGAAUGCUAAAUAAUCCGAAGUAGAUCAUCAAACAAAGUAAAGAAUCAUUAAAUUAAGUCACAUCCCAUGCUGCAAUCAACAGGCUUAAGUGCAAAUGGGGGACUUAGAUUUCAAACAAACACUAAAGCAUGAUUUUCAAACACCAAAGCGGAAAAUAACACUCAACAUUCAACGAGAAAGGAGAAGAGAACAAUGAAGGAUAUCAACAUAAAUAAAACAUCCAUUUGAAUCGAUGUUCAACAAUACUUAACGAUGCAACCAUGAUUAUUCUCAACCAUACAAACAAACGAUAUACCAGUAAUAAAAAGAGAAGAUGAAGACCAUAGAUCAUGAAAACGAACAUAAACCCAUAGCAAAGAUACUUGGAGUUGCCCCCAUUCUCUGACGUGCUGAAAGUCCUUUUUGAAAAAGACCUCAUUUUUUUUUCUCUAUCUCUCCUCGUCUAUGAAAACCCUCUCUGAAAAAAAAAAUCCUUCAAAACCACCAACCUAUGUUUUUUAUAGCAAUUGGCAGUUGUUCCACCUGAAGACUCCUCCUCUCCCUGAAUUCUCAUCUACUAGAAAAAUCCCUUUUAAAUUUCAAACAAAACCAAUCCAUGCAUAUCACCUAAGAGUCCCAUCUUUUCCAAAAACUCCUUCAUCCCUAUUUUAGCUCUCCAGAAGAGUUCAUUUCCUUUUGAAAGUCUUACCAAUUUCAAAAUUCUUUUUCAUCCAAUUGGUUGAUUUUCCUAUAAAAACAUCAAAUUAUUAAAUUAAAUUAAUGAAUAAAAAUAAAUAAAUAAAUAAAUAAAAUAAAAUAAUAAAUCGGAGAAUGAUAAAAUAAUAAUAGAUAAAUGAAUAAAUAACAAGAUAAUGAACAAAAUAAUAAUAAAAUAACUAAAUAACUAAAUAAAUAAAAGUGAUUGAUAAUAAUAAUAAAAUAAAUAAUAAAUAAAUAAGUAAAUGAGAUAAAUGAGCCAUGCAACCAUACAAAUCACGCUAAGAAUGUCUAAUGGGUCAAGCGUGCCUAAAUGGGCCUAAAGUGUCUAAAUGGGCCUAAGUGAACCUAGACGGGCCUAAGGUGUCUAAAUGGGCUUAAGGUAGUGCCUAAUGGGUCGGGUAUACCUAUAUGGGCCUAGGCUGAGACUAGGUGGGCUUAACUAAGUUUAACCUAAAGUGCAGCUAAGUGAAGCCUAAUCUAAGCUUGAAAGGUAGCCAAGGUCAUAAAUGUGGAAUUGAAUAAACCCCUCAACCAAAGUCUCUAAAGUGGCUUAGAAAAGGUAAGCUACACGAGUAGUAACAGGCCACCAAGGAAUUGAUGUAAAGUAUCGAACAAACACGUAAAAGGACAUGUGCUAGGAGGACAAUAUGGAGGGUCUACACUAUCCUUAUUUCAUAUAUUAUAUCUCAUGAGCAUUUUGGUCUAACAUCUCUUACAUUGUACAUGAUUUGGGUGCAUUAUGAGUUGCAUAGAAGAUUCAAGUCAUGUGUUCAUUUCUUAUAAGUAGAUGACUUGUUCAUAAUUAGUUCGUAGGCUUAGACAAUCUAUUUAAGGCUAUGGUGCAUUACUUCCUAAUUGUAAGGAAUAUUGGUUUUGGAUAUUAGGAUGAGAUUCCUAUGGUGAGUGCACUAGUAUGUACAGUUACAUAUUGGAUAUGACCUACAAUAAGUCAUGACAUAAGGUUAUCGAGUAAUAAUGACUCAACGGAGUUGCUAUGUUGUAUUGUCCUUUACCCUUGAGAGAAUAUUGAGCUUAUGCUAAAGUUUGUAAUGUCUUUGACAUAAGACUAUUGAGUAGUCAUGACUUCACUAAAUUACUAUGUUGUAUUGUCUUUCACCCUUGAAAGAAUAAUGAGCUUAUGCUAAAGUUUGUAAUGUCUUUGACUUAUAGGUUUUGUCAUAAAGUGAUCAUAUAUUCCUUAUAGAUUGGGCCAUUGUUGAUGGAAGCUAUUAGUAAUAGCCAUUCUCAAUAGAGGCAUCAUGAUAUCUCAUGGACUUUGAGAAGUUUGUUCCUUUGGGUGAACCUAAGGGUAUGUGAUCGUGAAACUUGUGGUUGCAUUAAUUCCUUAAGUGGAAUUUGAUAUAUUCUCAUGUGAGUUAGAAUAUGUUAGUUGAUCACAUAAUAGAAUGAUUUGUAACUUAAAUAUGGUAGAGGUAAUCUUACGAGGUUGAUGACAUUCACCUUGUUAGAUUAUUGAUGUUGGUUCAUGAAGAGAUUGCAUAUAAUGGAUAGUAGGUUAUGGAACUUAUGGGCUUGGGCAAUUUUUGUCUCGUUAUUAUUUAUGUAGGAUACUGAAUUGUAGUUAACUCUCUAUAUUGGGAUGUUGAGUCAAGUUCAAAAUUGAUUAUGAGGGAACCAAUAUUGUUUUAUAAGUUGUAAUGGUCCUCAUUAAAGUUCAUAUUCCUUGGUGACACGAUUUAUGAGGGUUGGAUUUGUUUUUAGUUUACUUUUAUGUAUAAGGGUGUUUUAAUAAAUACAUAAGGUUACAUAGGAGUUAGUGAAGAAUAUCUAUGGACUAGGCUAAUUGAUUAAUUGAAACCUUAUUAGGUUAAUUAAUCAAUUAUGACCCCAUUUUGGGCUAGAUUAAGGAACCCAAGCCCAAGGUGGGCUCAAGUCACUUGAGUUUAUGAAAGCCUACAAAUACUCCUUUAGGGAUUAGGGUUUCAGACUUUUGUCAUUUUCCUUUACAUUAUAGAUAGAGAAACCUAGCAUCCACCCUCCAGAUCUCCAUCAUUUCAGUGCUAAGAUUCAAGGAAGAGUUAAUGAGUAGAAGAUUGUUGACUUUACAAGACCAUACGUUUCUUCAAUACUCCUCACUGACAAGAAUCAAUUUAGGAACGUCCAAACCCUUAACAAUGAAGUAAGAAAAAAGAAAAAGAAAACUAGAAAAACUACAAAUCACUAUAACCUAUAUGCAAAAAAAUUAAUGGAAAAUUUUCUUAAAAAAUUCAUAAUAUACAUGGUUGAUAAUCAAAUAAUUCCACUAUCCAAAAAAUAUCAUUAGAAUCUCAACAUGUUUAGCAUCUAUAAUAGAAAAUCAUCAUAUGAAUCAAAAACUCAACAACAUAUCCAUUUCCAACCCCAAACAAUUUUUCCAUCUAAGUCUUGUGUGUAAUUGAGCUAUUCCUUGAGUAUACUACUCAAAACUAAUCCUUUCCCCCUAUCCUAACUCAAAUAAUUUAACAACAAAAACUAUUGUCUCAAAAGUUAAGAACACACCUAUUUUUAUUCUCCAUUAUCAUUUUUUUAAACAACUUGUUGUAGGAAUGCAAUGAUAAAAGUAUCUCCCAAGCAUAUGGUCAUGUAGCGAGAAUCCAUCAAUGACUCCCAACCAUAAGGCAUAGGGUACCAAGUUUAUAAAACUAUUUCAUUAACCACUAACUUCUCGGAUUUUACCUUAGACUUCAUAAAAUAGGGUCCAAUAUCUUAACACCUACAAUUGAGCUCAUACUCCACCCAUAUAGCGAGUGUUAAGGUUGAUGGCUCCUAACCUAAAUGGCUUAAGACAUUAAGUUUCAAAGACUUUUGUGUCAUAUACCCCUUGGACCUUGCUCGGGUUUCAAGAUAAGCAUAACUUACCAUUUUUAUUCAUUAAUAUUCAAUUUUUUCUUUUUGAGAAUGGGCACCUUGGCUUCUUUCUAAGGUGUCUCAACUUAAUUCAAAAGUAAUUCAUGUUGCUAAGAUGAUUAAAUCCAAGUUUCAAGGUUGAAUUAGUUUUUCAUUUGCCAAGAAUUAUGCCAAAUAGCUUCCAAAAAUUUGCAUAAUGUACCUUUAUGGUCAUGUUGGCAUGGGCAUAUGAAAUUUCAUAUCGAUCUUCUUUAACAUUUGAUUAUUUUAGAUUAAAUCCAAGUUUCAAGGUUGAAGGAGUUUUUCAUUUGCCAAGAAUUAAGUCAAAUAGCUUCCAAAAAUUUGCAUAAUGUACCUUGUGAAACCAAGGUUUGGUUAAUCUUGAUUUUGAUGAUAACAAAACAAGGUUUAGAACUAAUGAUCAUAUUUCAAGUGUGAUUAGGCAAGACGACUUCCAAAGUGGCAAUCCAAAGACAAAUCAAGCCAAUGAGAAAUCAUGAAGAAGAAGACCACUUCAAAGAGAAGAGUUUUUCAAGACCAAAACUUCUUAAGAUCUCUUUGUAAGGUUGUUGGUGCACUAGGACUUUCAUGCAUUUCAUUCUUUAUUUAUGCAUCAAAAUCAUCCAAGAGUAAUAUUGUUUUAAAUAUCUUAAGAAUUGGAUGAUUUCAUGUUUUCAACUAAAACCUUGUGUUACAUGAUUUUCAAACUUGUGUUAAAAGGUUUUAAGUUGAAAAAGGUUGAGUGUUGAGCCAAAAAAAUGGUUCAACCUGUUCAACCGGUCGAUCGGUUGUGCUCGUCCGGUCGAGGACCGGUUGAGGGAGGCCAAAAAGUUUCUCUUUCUCCCAGUGGUCUUCUCUUCCCGGUCAAGAUUGAACCUCAACCGGUUGAGGUCCGGUCAAGGUCCGGUCGAGGUCCAAUUGAGGUCCGGUUGAGGCCCAACGGUCACUUUCCCUAACAGUUAGUCAACCGGUCGACCCUUAGCUCGACCGGACGAACCCCCAAUGGCUAGUUUGGUUUUUUUCUUCUAUAAAAAGGCUCCAAUCUUCAUUGUUUCAAAACCUUAACCUUCCCAAAUCAUUUUUGAUUAUAUUUGAGCCUUGGAAGAGUGUUUUUUAGUGCACCAUUGUUUCAUAACUUGCAUAUCUUUAGUACACCAUUCAAUCCUAGUUUUUCUUGUAUCUUUGAGCCUAAAGUUCUAUUACUAGGAUUUUGAGAGAUGAUUAUUUGUAUAUAUUUGUGAGAAAUUUUCUCAAGUGUGAGGUAUCACUUGAAGGGUUGUUCAAGAGUGGGAUAUCUUUUGAGAAGUGUAAAGGGUGCUUGGAGCUAAAAGUCCAAAAGGGUGAAUUGGAACCAUAAUCCAAUUGUAAAGAGAUUGGAAGCUUGGUUGAAGCUUCAAGAUAGUGGAACCCUUACUCGGUUAGGAGGUUGAGGAAAGUGGACAUAGGCAAGGAAGUGUCGAACCACUAUAAACUCUCGUGUUUGCACUCUCUCUUCCCUAACUCUUUUAAAUUAUAUGCAAUUGUCUUUAUUUUGUUUAUUAUAUACUUGCAUAUAAUUGUCUCUUAUUUUUGCAUAGUUUAAAUUUGUGAAAAAAAAAACCAUCACCCUUUUUACCCCCCCCCCCCUCUCUAGGGUGAUUACCAUAGUUUGGAUUAGCAUCAAAUUCCUAACAUACCUUUAUGGUUAUGUUGCCAUGGACAUACAGAAUUUCAUAUUGAUCUUCUUUAACAUUUUAUUAUUUUAAAUUAUUUUUUUUUCUCUGCUUGAACUCAUUGUCAUUUUCAUUUUUAUCAUGAUUUGUCACAUUUUCAUUUUAUCUCACUCAUUUCUUUACUUUCCAUUCAAACUUAAUUAUCGAGAUUAAUCCAUUCUAGUGGACGAUACCUAAAAUUGCCAUACUAUCGUAACUUUUUCUAAAAACCAUUUUUUGAUUGGGUAAAAACUAUCUUAGCAUAGUUGAAUUAGGUUAAAAAUUUUGUUUUGAUAUGAUAAACGACAAAAAUCCAUGAAUAAAAAAUGGCGUCGUUGUCGGGGAUCGAACCAUGGUCACUGACGUGACAGGAGGGUAUACUCACCACUAUACAACAACAACAAUACAUUUUUAAACCUUUAAUAAUGAAAUGGUGAAAAGAAAAAUAAAAGUAUAAAAACUAAAAAUCACCAUAACCCUUAUGAAAAGAAAUUAAAGAAAAGAUUUCUUAAAAGAUUCAUAAUAUACAUGGUUGAUAAUCAAGCAAUUCCACUAUCCAAAAAAUAUCAUUAGAAUUUCAACAUUUUUACCAUCUAUAAUAGAAAAUCAUUAUAUGAAUCAAAGACUCAACAACAUAUCCAUUCCAAUCCCAAGCAAUUUUUCCAUUUAAGUCUUAUGUGUAAUUGGGCUAGUCCUUGGGAAUACUACUCAACUAAUCUUUCUAUCCCGCCCCCUUCCCCAACUUAGUUCAAAUCAUUUAACAAUAAAAUCAAUUGUCUCAAAGGUUAAGAACAACUUAUUUUUAUUUUUCAUCAUCAAUUUUUUUUUUUCAUUUUUUUAAAGGACUUAUUGUUGGAAUGUAAUGCUAAAGGUAUCUCCUAAGAAUAUGGUCCAUGUAGAAGGGAUCCAUUGAUGACUCCCAACCAUAAGACAUAGGGUACCAAGUUUAUGAGACUAUUUCACCACCCAUUAACUCCUUGGAUUUCACCCUGGACUCUACAAAAUAGGAUCUAAUACCUUAAAACCUAUAAUUGAGCUCAAACUCCACCCUUCCACCCAUAUAGUGAACAUUGAUGUCGAUGGUUCUCAACUAAAAUGGCUUAAGACAUUGGGCUUCAAAGACCCUUGGGCUUCAAAGAACAUUGGGCUAUAUAUCCCUUGGACCUUGCUCGGGUUUCAAGAUAGGCAUAACUUACCAUUUUUAUUCAUUAAUUUUUUUUUCUUUGAGAAUGGAAACAUUGACUUCUUUUCAAGGUGUCUCAACUCAAUUCGAAAGUAAUUCAUAUUCCUAAGAUGAUCAAAUCUAAGUUUGAAGGUUGAAUAAGUUUUUCAUUUGCCAAGAAUUAUGCUAAAUAGCUUCCAAAAAUUUGCAUAAUGCAUUUUUCUGGUCAUGUUGGCAUGAGCAUGCAAACUUCUAUAUCAAUCUUCUUUAAAAUUUGAUUAUUUUGGAUUUUUUUUUCUUUAUUUGAUCUCAUGGCCAUUUUCAUUUUUUAUCAUGAUUUGUCAUAUUUUCAUUUGAUUACAUUUUUUUUUUUUUUACUUCUCAUUCAAUCUUAAUUACCAGGAUUAAUUCAUCCUAGUGGAUGAUAUUUAAAACUAUUAUACUACCAUAGCUUUUUCUAAAAACCAUUUUUGAUAGGGUAAAAACUAUCUUAGCAUAGUUGAAUUAGGUUAAAAUUUUUGUUUUGAUAUGAUAAAUGAAAAAAAUCCAUGAAUAAAAAAUGACGCUGUUGCCGGGGAUCGAACCCGGGUCACUCAUGUGACAGACAGGUAUACUCACCACUAUACUACUACAACAACACAUUUUUAAACCCUUAACAAUGAAAUGGUGAAAAGAAAAAGAAAACUAUAAAAGCUACGAAUCACCAUAACCCUUAUGAAAAGAAAUCAAAGAAAAGAUUUCUUAAAAGAUUCAUAAUAUACAAGGUUGAUAAUCAAGCAAUUCCACUAUCCAAAAAAUAUCAUCAGAAUCUCAACAUGUUUAGCAUCUAUAAUAGAAAAUCAUCAUGGGAAUCAAAGUAUCAACAACAUAUUCAUUUUUAACCCCCAAAUAAUUUUUCUAUUUAAGCCUUGUGUAUAAUUGAACUAGUCUCUGAGUAUAGUACUUAAAACUAAUCUUUCUCCUCAACAUAGCUCAAAUCAUUUAAUAACAAAAUCCAUUGUCUCAAAGGUCAAGAAUAUACCUAUUUUUAUUUUUCAUCACAUUUUUUUUUUUCAUUUUUCUAAAUGACUUAUUGUAAAAAUGUAAUACUAAAUGUAUCUUCUAAGCAUAUGGUCCAUAUAGCAAGGAUCCAUCAAUAACUUCUAACCAUAAGGCAUAGGGCACCGAAUUUAUAGAACUAUUUCACCAGUCACUAAUUCCUCAUAUUUCACCUUGGACUCCACAAAAUAAGGUCCAACACCUUAACACUUACAAUUGAGCUCAUAUUCCGCCUAUCCACCUAUGUAGUAACAAUUGAGGUCGAUGCCACCUAACCAAAAUGGUUUAAUGUUAGGAAUCUUAAAUUACUUUGUUCCCAUGUCCUGGAUCUCUUAGAAUGCAUGUAUCUAUCCCUAGGGAUUUCUAGAUAUAAUGUAAUGAAAAAUAAUGGUUUUAAAACCAUUUUAGAAUAAAGAUCUUGAGAUUUCAAACUCAUACUUGAAUUUGGAUGCUCCUAGAUCAAUUUCGUUAUGGUGAAGAAUGUAUCUAAAUACUCUAAGGGUGUCAUACACCCAAAGUCUUCUACUCGAUGACUCGAACCAUGUCCAUGACAUUCCAAGAAUGGAAUUUGGAAGAGAGAAAACUUUGGCUCUCUUUCUCUCUCUCUCUAGAGGUGAAAGACGGCUAAUAAAGUCAUUAAGAAACCUGAACCCUAACUUCUAAGGGGUAUUUAUAGGAUUCUCAUAUUGGGCUUAAGUAACUUAAGCCCAUAUGGGUUUGGUCACUUAAUUUAGCUCAAAAUAGGUCAUAAUUUAUUAAUUAAUCACAUAGGGUCAUACAAUUAAUCAAUUAACUCAAUCUAGAUACCUUGCUCACUAUCUCUUAUGCAACUUUACAUAAUUACCAAAAUGUCUUUAUGCACAAGAUUGAACUUAGAACCAAUUCAACCCUUAUAAACCAUACUAACAUGGUAUAUGAGCUUAGAGUAGGAACCACUAGCACUCAUAGGAGUACUAGCUUCCUCAUAAUCCAAUUCUGAAGUUGAUUCAACAUCCCAUUACAAAGAAUCAAUUGCACUUUAGUACCAUAUGUAAAUAACAACGAGACAAAGUUCGGGUUUGUGACUUACUAUCCACUACAUGUAAAUCCCUCAUGAACUUGUGUUUGUAAUCUAACAAGGUAGUGAUAUCACCUAUCAAGAUUACCUAUCAAAUCCUUGAUUUAUAAAUCUCACUUAUUAUUGUCAAUUGACGUACUCUACCUCUAAGAAGCAUAUGUCAAAUUCCACUAAAGGAAUUACUGUAACUACAUAUUUCAUAAUCACACAUUUUUUUAAUCACCCAAGGGGAGACAUUGUCUCAAUCCCAUGAGACAUCACAGUGUCUAUUUGAGAAUACUUGUUGCCACCAGCUUUCAUCACUAGUGACCCAAUCCAUAAGGAUAUAUGACCAUUGUAGGGUUUUACCCAUAUGUUAAAACCUUUUGUUGAUUUCAACAUAGACUCAAUAUCAUUUCAAGGUUGAGAGUCCAUACAGUAUAGUAGUUUGGUGAAUCAUGACAAUCGAUAACCUUAUGUCAUGAUUUACGAUAGGUCUUAUCCAAUGUGCAUCACAUAUAGUAGUGCACUCACCAAGAGAAACUCAUCUCAAUGGUCAAGACAAGUCAUCACUCUAAUUAGGAGGUGAUGCACUAGAAUUUCUAGUGGAUUUCCCAAAUCCAUGAACUAACUAUGGACAACUUAUCUACUUAUAAGAAACCCAUAAUUUGUAUCUUCUGUGCAAUUCCUAAUGCACCCAAUUCAUGUACAAUGUAAUAGAUAUGAGUCGAAUGCUCAAAUCAAUGUCAAUGCGUAAAAGGGAUAGCAAAGGGAUGAUCAAGUCUAACUUUUUUACAUUAUGUCUUGUUUUUAGGGGUUCAAUCCCAACACUUAAGGCACCGAGCUUCAAGACCUUUGGGUCAUAUACCACUCAAACUUUUCCUGGGUUUCAAGAUAAGUGUAACUCACCCAUUUUAUUCAUUAUUAUUUUUUUUUUAGACUAAGCACAUUGGUUUUUUUUUUUUUUUUUAAGGUGUCUCAACUCAAUUCAAAAGUAAUUCAGGCUGCGAAGAUGAUUAAAUCCAUGUUUUAAAAUUGACUUAGUUUUUUAUUUUAUACUUAGGGUCUAGAGUGCAUAAUGUGUGACAAGACUCAAAUAUAACCCAUUGGAAAAUGAAAAUUUCAACAUCUUAUUAACCUUAACUCACAUGACCAAUCUUUUAAAAUCAAGCAAACGUAUAGGUAUUUUAAAUCAAUCUCUUUUAGCUAAGUUUGCUUAAUCAUCAAUCAUUGUACUAGAAUAUUGAAAAAAUCAAUUCGUUAAAUUGUUCAUAUGAUUUAUGAAAAAAAAAAUGAACAAAACAAGCUAACACAUGACAAACAUGAAAACAAACAAACAAAUGACAACUUACAUUUCCAAUCGCAUCCUUUUUAUCCCUUUAUCUAACCAAAUUAUACAUUGUCCUCAAUGUGCAAUGGGAUAUUGCAAAGAAACGAAUGGAGGAUACCUCCAAUGCCAAUGCUUUCAACUUCAAUGUCUGAAAUAAAAAAACAAACUCAAAAACAUAAGUACUCUAGGAAGAAUAAAUCAUAUAGAAAUAUGAAAUAGAAACCAUCAUUAGACACCAAAAAAAGUACAAAAGAGUGUGGAGUAGAUAUUAAAAAAACUAAGAAAAACAAAAAGAGCACUUUAUUUCUCACUACACAGUAGAAAUAGGAGUAGAUGAACUACUUGGCAUUGUAGAGGUAGGCAAAGAAAAUAUAGAAUCCAUCUCGGAUGAAUCAACGUUAGGUGUAGCCCUAGUGUUGCAAACACAAUCUCCCAUAACUUAAUAUCUUUAGAAGUUGUCUUUUUUUGCUCUAUAGUCUCUGGUUGCUCAAGUAAAUGCUCAACCUCAACAAUAGUAGUGAAGGAAGGUAUGCCAAAAUUAAAUAUUAGAGUAGUUGGUACUCUACUACUAAGUGCUCAACAAUAGUCUCCCUAUGGAGAGUUGGGGUAGUAGCUAAAAUAUCUAAUAAAUUGAAAUAAACUAUAAAAGAUGAAUAAAUAGAUGAUAUGUUCAAAUGAUGAUAACAUAAUAAAACUAUUUGCAAAAAGCUAAAUAAGAACAUAACAUUUAAUCAUAACAAACAUUUCCAUCACCAAUUAGAUGAUUAAUUUUUCUAUUGGGAUUCUUAAAGAAGUCUAAAACAUCUAAAUGGGUUAAGUCCACUUAAGCCAUCACCAUCAAUGAAGUUCAUUUCAACUUCCUUUCCAUUUGCUUUUAUUGAGAUUUGAUAAAGGUUAAGCAAAUGUUUUGAAGUACGAUAGGUACAUGACUAGUGUCCUUUCAUACCAUAUCUAUAACAUUCAUUCUCAUGAGUAUAUUUACUUUGUGGUCCUACCCCUUUUCCAAUUCAUGCCUUUGAAUUAUUCCACUUCUGGUGGUUUCAAUUGUUCUUUUAGAUUAUUCCAAAGAAUGAAAAGAUCUUUGACCAUAUGGUAUUCACCUUUUAAUCCUUCACCAAUGUAAUGGUGAAGGAGUAUUAAACUGCAUGGAUGU